Molecule: long non-coding RNA, 204520 nt
Filed under: Vitis vinifera (wine grape)
Lineage: Eukaryota; Viridiplantae; Streptophyta; Magnoliopsida; Vitales; Vitaceae
Description: long non-coding RNA (VVIN_LNC001898)
Source: RNAcentral
CACAACCACACCCAGUGCUGACACGUGACUAACAAACCUUCGCUCAUCUACCAAACCCAUGGCCUCAUGCCUUAUAUAUUUCCACAAACCUAGCUCAAUUUUCAUAGCCACCUUCACUAUCCUAUACUCACUAAGCCAUGCCCAUAGAUACAAGCCUCUUGCUUGAGUUUGCUGCAGCAACUCUACUCUUCUUCAUCACCCGCUUCUUCAUUCGUUCUCUCCUUCCCAAACCUUCCCGGAAGCUCCCCCCUGGCCCCAGAGGGUGGCCGCUCCUCGACGCUCUUCCUCUUCUAGGUAACUGAUUCGUCCCUAGCAGCGGAAGUGGCAAUGGCACCAUCUGAUUCGGGGUUCGAUCCCCGGCAACGGCGCCAUUUGACUCAUGCCCAAUUGGUGUCUCAGCUGAUUUAUGUUCAGCUGGUGCUCCUUGAUUGAGGAAGUGAUCAACAAAAUUUAUACCUAUAACACCAUACACUAGGGUAGCAAAUACAAAGCUACUAUAGUAUAGUGGCUCUAGGAUCGUUCACUGGGAAUGAUUUGCAAGCAAUCAAUGAUACCAAUUCCAAGUGAAUUGGUCUUGUUUCAUUUCACAGUUAGCUUAAGGAAUAAAACACAAACUUUGAUUUGUAAAGGUUGAGAUUUAAACUAACUAACUUAACAGAAGUUUGGAAUAAUUUAGGAAGAAAAGCAUUCCUUGGAGAUUUAGGUUCACUGGGGUGGUUCCUCAUGCAAAAGACAUAGCUCCGGUCAGAUGGUUCAUUUCCUCGCAUUAGAGAUUCAACCUAUAGUCAAUUCUCUAACCGGUGAUGUACAGAGACUCCUUCAAUUAGAUUUCACUUUAAUUCUCUCACUGAUACAACUUGCAAUGGUUCAUGCCUCUCACGAGCACUUACCAUUCAAGGUGAUCUUUAACCUUGGAUUCCCCUUCACAAACUCGCAAGAGAUAACUAAUGGAUGUCUCCUAGGAGUCCAAAAGCUUACCAAGUGUUGGUAAUUCCAGAAAAUCCUACCUUGAAGUCACCUACCAGAGGCUCGCAAGGGGUAAACUAGUGCAUUUCCACGGUUGGAAAUCACUUGCCUUACCAAGUGUUGGCCCAGGUGACUCUAAGGUGUUUUAAGUUAACUAAAAACAUUGAAAUCACUAAAGGAUUUCACUUCCUCUUCAUUACUAGCUAAAACCACAGAGCUUUGCAUUCUUGCACUUGGAACCUUCCCCGGCAACCUUAGCUCCAAGGAAUUGGAGGUUUAGUUACUCAUUCUCUGGGGAAAACUCCUCAGAGAAUUCAUAACUUAGAAAUAAAAUGAAAAUACAAAGUGAGAAGGUAAGGCAGUAGAAAGACAAGACUUUACUUGCUUACCAAACGUUUUCAGAAGGAACUCUUCCCUUAGAGAACAGGCUCCCGAGAGGUAUAUAUAUCAACAAAAUAUAAAACUAAUUGUUACAAAGAUAUUUGGUCUUUUUACUAACUUAAAAACUAAGGAAUCAUGUAAUUGGUGGUUUACAAGGAGUAUUUUGGGAUUUAGACAACAAAAAUCUAAUGGAAAAUAUCUCCCAAUGUCGGUAGCAAGCUUCGGGAGGCUUCAGGAGCCAUUUCGCAGGUGAAAAAUGAGGCCUGCGAAAUUUCGCAGACACCCAAGAGGGCUGCGAAAUUAUCUUGCAAGACCGAGCUAUCUUCACUAGGCUGCAAAGUUGGCUUCCAUCUUGAGGUUUCCAGCUCCCUUCUCGCGGCAUGGUUCGUGCAUCGUUAGAAGGAGAAAUACCUUACUGUACAAAAGUGCUGCGAAAUUCUCGCAACACAUGGCUGAUUCCGCAACACUUUAGAGUGUCUGGCUUGUAAUGGCUGCAACUUCUUCGUUUCAAUUCCGAAUCGCACACCGUUUGAAGCAUUGGAGUGUUGACUUCCUGAGCUUUGAAAUGGUAUAUAGCUUGCAUCAUUUGGACUUCAGAAAGUGCUCCAAAAGUGGCUGCUACGACUGUCAUCAAGAAUAUGCUCCAUGACUGAUCCUCUUUGCUUUUUCUCCUUGCAAUCCGGAUUCACUCUUGGCAAUUGAAUUCUAAGCUUUGCCCAAGAUUCCUCAUAGCUCUCCUCAUUCUUGACUUGCUUUGGUGAUCAAAAUACUAUCAAAAACACCAAAACUUACACAAAGUGAUCAAAAUUGCUUUAAAGGAUCCUUAACAUGCCAAUUGAGUUAAAAGGCCUAAACUACUACUCAAAAGUGUUAAAAAGGAUUAAUUAAAAGCUAUCAAAUAACACUUUUUGAGUAGUAAUCACUCCCCCCAACCGACAUAUUGCUAGUCCCUUAGCAAUAUAGGAGAGAAAAAUAAAAAUAAAUAGCAAACUAAUCUAAAAUUUACAACAUCAUGCUAAAGGAAAAUAAUUCUUAAGUGGCAUGAUGAUUUACUUCUCACAUGAAUCAUUAAAGAAAUACAAACCCAAAUCUCAACAAGAGUCAUAACACCUGUGCUAAACACUGUCAAUCAAGGGAGUGCAUUAUGCAAACUGAAGUUUUAAAAUCAUUUCACUUUCUAAGAACUAAACUUCAAUCUUCCACAAAAAUCUAUGUGUAUUGGUUCCUUAGAUUCCGAGAAUAAUAUGCUAAACUAGUCUCACCCCCCAACCUAUCUCUUUUCAACACUUUAGCAAACUGACCAAAAUCAAUAAGAAAAGAACACACUUUCAUCUUUUUUUUUUUUUUUUUUUUUUUUUUUUUUUUUUUUUUUUUUUUUUUUUUUUUCGGGGGACCUUUUGGGGGUACCCUUUCUGACUUGCCCAUGGAAGGGGGGCCCCCCGAUGACCCCCCACCAAUUAAGGUUUAGGGCCCCCCGUUUUAAGGAUUUUUCAACCCCAAACCCCCCGGAUUUUUCCCCAAAUUUUUAAAAAGGAAUUUUUAAACCCCAAGCAUCCACCAAAUGCUAUUUUUUCCUUUUCCCCCUUGGAACGGGGUUUGGGGGCGGGGACCCCCCACCAAUUAAGGGUUAGGGCCCCGGGCUUUAAGGGGUUUCCCCAAAAACCCCCCAAACCUUGCUCGGGUUNNNNNNNNNNNNNNNNNNNNNNNNNNNNNNNNNNNNNNNNNNNNNNNNNNNNNNNNNNNNNNNNNNNNNNNNNNNNNNNNNNNNNNNNNNNNNNNNNNNNUUUCAACCACUAACUCCUCGGAUUUUUCCCCAAACUUUUAAGAAUGAAUUUCUAAUACCCAAGCAUCUACCAUAUGCUAACUUUACCUAUUCACCCUUGUAACGAGCAUUGAGGUCGGUGACUCCCAACCAAUUAAGGCUUAGGGCACCAGGCUUUAAAGGCUUUCACCAUAUACCCCUCAGACCUUGCUCGGGUUUCAAGGCAAGCAAACAACUUUCUUUAUUUCAAAGGCUCAUUGGCCUUUUGCAGGGUGUUCCAAUUUUUAUCAAAUGAGGUCAAAUAUACCAAGUCUCAAAAUUAUCCUAAGUCAAGAGGGAAAUAGCUUUUCAUCUUAUAAUCGGAAACUAAUGUGCACAGUGUGUGGAUAGCUUAAAGUGGAAGAACUAACUUCAAUUACAGUAGAAGUUUCAACAAUUGAACCACUUUAGUAAGCAUAAUCCAUACUCUAAGUCAAGUGAAAAACAACAGUUCAAUUUCUCUUGGUUUAAUUUGAAAAUUUUUCCUCAAAAUUCAUGGAGAAUAGAGUAACAAGAGUAAAAAGUAAAAACUACAACUAAUUAACCAAUAUAAUUGCAAUACCAAAAAGGUUUAGACUACUUCCUUCCUCAUACCCCCCAACCGAACUGAGCAUUGUCCUUAAUGUGAUUUGAGUGACUGUAAUAAAAGGGAGGAAGUGGUACCUCCAUGCUGAUAUCAAAUUCGAAUAUUGAUUGGGGAAAACCACAUGUUUCAAAAAGAAUAGAAUAUGUGAGAAAAGGAAAUAAUAAUAACUUAAUGCUAACUUUUAACAAGAAAAAUUCAACUUGUAUUACUUUGAGUUCAUUUGAUUACAAUGCUAAAGACAAGUAACACAAGGAAUCCCAUAUAUAGUACCAAAAUACUGGGAUUUCUUUUCAACUAAAACAAAACAAGCAUAAAAACAUAAAUAGCAAAUAUAUAUAAUGUCUGAUGAGUGGGGUGAUGGUGCUAAGCAGAAGGAUCUGCCUCCUCUGUAGGUGGAUCAGCUGGGGCUUCUGGCUCUGGAGGAAGAGACUCUGAAGGCUGAGAGUGUGGCUCUGGUGGAGUAGCAGUGGAGGGCUCUACAGCUUGUGGUAGAUCGAAAUGGACUUGAAGCUGCCUUAGGAUGGCAGCUUGUUGAGCCUGAGAGGCUAACAUCUGCUCCUGGCAUGCUUUGAUGGCUGCCAACUCUUGAGCAAAAUUGCUCUGGGACGCUGUAAGAGUCUCCAAUGCUCGGCACAGCUCUCGAUAUUCGGAUAUAGGGAUGGCCAUCCUCGGCUCAGCUGAUGUGGAUGGCUGUGAUGCAGCAGGUGCAGCUGGUGAAGCUCGAGGGAUGGCAGGAGUAGCAAGUGUUAUACCUUCAGGUGCAUGUCUUGGGGAGGCUCUCCUUGCUGCUGGCUGAGGCUGCCCAGGAUGAUCAAUUUUGUAGGCCAUCAUAUUAUUCCAUUUAUCAAGGGUAAAUGGCUCACGACAUAUUCUCUUUCUUUCCUGCUGAGGCUCAGAGGGGUAUCCAAGAUGCUCCAAAACUUGGCAUAGCAGCCGUGGGAAGAGGAGGGGAAUGCAAUCUGCUCUUUAAAGCUUCUUCUUGUGAACCUUCUCCUCAAAGUAGAGAAGGGCUGCCAUGAUCAGAUGAUGAGGCCCAAAGAAGAAUCCUUCUGACAUCUUGUACAAGGCUUCCAGGAGAAUUCCCCUUCUUUGGGUCCAAUGCUGCAGGGGAUAGAUAUUAUGCCUCAAAAAGGCAUCAAUCAAAAACAUCACUAGAGGUAGCUCCCCCCUCAGCAAAUGUGAUCGAUUUGCAGCUCCUCUGGUUAGUGUGCGAACCAUCUCUAACUCAGUAGGAUUUACCCAAGCUUUAAAAUUGUCGAAUUGGGUUGGCUCAAAAGGAAUUUGCAGGGCUUCAGCAAUAUGUCUUGCUCCCAAAAUACCAUGUCUUCCAUCAAUUAUAAAAUGAAUCAAGGUUGGAUUUCUUACUUCUUUGGUUGUCAUGGUCUGGUAGAAGUCCGUGACUACCCGGGGAUAGAAAAAAUCCCUUGGAGCUAGCAGAUACUCCAUAUGAUAUCUCCUCAGCAGCUGGAAGGAUUGGGCAAGCUCUGGCCUCACUCUGAAUGCUGUUAAAUCGAAGCAAAGCUCAGAAUGGAAUGCCCGUGUUCGACAAUCCAAGUUUCCUUCGAUUGGGGGCUGGGGCAGCAUUGGCCUUCGGAUCACUUCUUCCAGAGGUGCUUCAGCUGCAAUUUGGGGCUCUGGAAUUGGCGCUUGAGGCUCCUGAGCUUUUUCUUGGGGUGCCGGAGAUGGUACCGGCGAUGGAAUUGGAGUUGCUUCAGGUGAGGGAAUUGGCGAGGGAACCGGUGACGGCACUGGAGUUUGAACCAGUGAAGGAUUUGGGGACUGCUCAGGGGAUUGCUCAGUCAAAUCAAUUGGUUCAGAGCUCUCAACCCUGGUUUUCUUCUUCAAUGGCUGACCGCCUGACCUUGUUAAAUAUCGCCUUGCCGGCGGCUUUGGUGGCGCCGGCUUCACUGGAGAAGGAUUUGGUCUCGACGGCGAAGGCUUUGGAGCAGGUUCUGGAACAGAACCUGGACUUGGCUCCUUUCGCAGACUCCUUUUGCGAUUCGAAGGGGAUGAAGACUUUGCCCCUUGUGUUCGUGCCAUUUUGGAAUACCGAAACUUUAGCCGGUGCUGCUGAACGGAGAAGACGACCGGAGGUUCGGACGGCGUGGCUUGGCGAAGAAGAUGAAGGGGCUGCGAGAAUGGUGCUCUGAUUUUUGAAACCCUUUUUGCAGCACUUUUGACCGGUAUAAAUAGGAAAAACGGAAGCCCAGGGGUCAGUUUAAGUUUCGCAACAAAACGCCAAUUUUGCAGCAACUUGCCAUUUUCGCAGCAACUUCGCAGUGAGUUUCGCAGCUGCGAAAUUGAUGUCACUGUGCUGCGGAGUGGCACUCGUGUGCCAAAACCACUUUCGCAAUUGCGAAAUGCCCUGCGGAAUGAGACUUUUGGUGCGAAAUCACGCUUUUCCAUUUCGCAAUGAGUUUCGCAGCUGCGAAAUGGGUUCUACUGUACUGCGAAGUGGCACUCGUGUGCCAAAUUCACUUUCGCAGCUGCAAAAUACACUCGCAGAGGCUUCUACAGUGCUGCGGAAUGGUUUGGCAGCAAAAUGCUCAGUUCGCAGAAGUUUCCUUCUCUCUGCGAAAUUUCGCAGAGCUCUGUUUUUCCCCUGUUUCUGCUCUGUUUCGGCUCCAAUUUCGACCCGAUUUUUUUUCUUUUCAAUCCCCUUGAAAUUUCUUCCACCUGGGAUCAUUUUAAACAAUUAAAACACACUUAAAAACAUGAUUUAAGAUCAAAAACUAAGAUCAAAAGUAUGGAAACAACUUAAAAAUUUUACAAAAUUUACAAAAAUUUUGGACUGUGGUUAAGACCACGUCCAGCAAACCCUUUUCACUUAGGCUUUUUGAGGUUCAAGGAGGUUGAUUGCCUCCUUUUCUGAUUUGAAUGACUCCAUGAACGGCUUAAGACGAUAUCCAUUGACUCUAAAGCUAUCCUUGCCAUUGGAAUUCAAUAAGUCCACCACUCCAUUGGAAUAUACUCGGUGAAUAACAAAUGGACCAAUCCACCUUGACUUGAGCUUCCCAGGAAAGAUAUGGAGUCUUGUGUCAUACAUCAAAACUUUUUGCCCUUCCUGAUUCAGUUUGCCCGGAUCCCAUUUGAAGCUUGCAUCCUUCACUUGAGACUUGGUUUGAGAUGAAGAUAUUACGACAGGACAUUGAUUAUUUUCUUCAAGAUAUGUAUAUUUCAGCUCCACAGGUAAAGGCUUCAGAUUGAAUUUUGGAAUUUCUUUUUCAGCGGCUGCCUCCUCUUCUUCAUUGAACAAAGGUAGAAUUUCUUCUAUCUUUCUCCAACUUUGUAGAGUAGCAAGCCCAAUAGGCGAUUCAGAAAAACCUUCCUCAAUAUCCUCAAGAUUUUCAUUCAACUUAUCUUGCAUAUGUUGAUUACAGUGCUCCUCCACCAAAGUAUCAAUUACACAUAACUCUUCUGGACCUUCUUCUUCUUCCGGAGUGAUUUGAUUUUUAGACAUAUAGAAAAUAUUUAGAUCCAGUGUCAUAUUACCAAAAGUGAGUUGCAUAAGCCCAUUUCUACAGUUGAUGAUUGCAUUUGAAGUUGCAAGAAAUGACCUUCCAAGGAUGAUAGGAACUAAAUUAGCUUCCUUUACAGUAGGAUCAGUAUCAAGAACAACAAAAUCUACAGGAUAGUAGAAAUUAUCUACUUGAACCAAUACAUCCUCAAUUACUCCUCUUGGAAUUUUCACUGAUCUAUCUGCCAAAGAUAAAGUGAUUGCUGUUGGCUUCAACUCUCCAAGUCCUAGUUGCUUGUAGACAGAGUAUGGAAGCAAAUUCACACUUGCUCCCAAGUCUAGCAAGGCUUUCUCCACUACCUUUCCUCCAAUCAUGACUGAAAUGGUAGGACUUCCAGGGUCUUUGUACUUCGAAGGAGACUUACACUGUAAGAUUGCACUUACUUGCUCAGUCAAGAAGGCUUUCUUGUUUACAGUCAACCCUCUUUUGAUCGUACACAAGUCCUUUAGGAAUUUUGCAUACGUUGGAACUUGUUUGAUCAUAUCCAGCAGUGGAAUAUUAACUUUCACUUGCCUCAAUACUUCUAGGAUUUCAGCUGCAUUUCUAACCCCCUUUUUCCCAUGUAAUGCUUGAGGAAAAGGUGGAAAAGUUGAUUUCUUCAGCAUUUUUUCCUUCAGAAGCUCUUUCUCUGGAAUUGCUUUCAUUGUUGAAUCAGAGUCCUUCUUCUCUUCGCUGAUCUCACUCUCUUUAUCUUCCAUUUCCUUCCCUUUCUUCAUCUCUUCUUCUUUUUCAACAUGUGGCUUGGGUGUUGGCUGCUCAAUUUUUUUACCACUCCUUAGAGUGAUCAAAGCUUUCACAUCUUUCACCUGUGAUGAUUCUCCCUCAUGGAUUUCCACUUCAUGGACACCUUUGGGAUUUUGGUUAGGUUGAGAAGGAAAUCUUCCUUUUUCUUGCAGUGUAUUCAAAUUUGUAAGCCUGGAAAUUGAAUAUUGGAUGUUAUCAAACUUUUGGUUCAUUUCAUUUUGCAUUCCAUCCAUUCUUUUGUUCAACACACUCUCCAUUCUAUCCAUUCUUUGAUCAACUCGAGCAUUGGUGGCUUCUUGCUUUCCCACAAAAUCUCCCACUACCUUGCUGAGAUUGGCUAUUAUUUGUUCAAUACUUGAAGAUUGCUGAGAUGGUGGAUCCGGCUGUUGGUAUUGAGUUGCUCUGGCCUUCCAUGAGAAAUUUGGAUGAUUCCUCCAACUUGAAUUGUAGGUAUUUCCAUAUGGAGCAUUGUUAUUGGGCCUGAAUUGUCUAACAACAUUUGCUUGAUCUCUAUACAUUUCCCUUUCAACUGAAAUUGCAGGGCACUCCUCUACCAAAUGUUCAAAUGAUUGACAAUUGGGACACAACUUCACUUGCACUGGUGCUUCAGCAACAGCUUGCACUUCAUGCAUUCUUUUCAGCUCCAGCUCCUCCAAUCUUCUUGUCAUAGCUGCCAACUUUGCUUUCAUGUCAUCAUCUUCUUUCAAAUUAUACAUCCCAGCCUUUGCAUUGUAAGCAUUCAACUGAGACUUCAUCUUUCCCACUUCUCCUUUGGUUGGUUCAUCCCAUCCCCUUGAAACAUCAGCUACAUAGUUCAAGAAAUCCAUAGCUUCCUCUGGAUUUUUGCUCAUGAAAUCUCCUCCACACAUUGUCUCGAGGAGUUGCUUCAUUGAGGAUGACAUACCAUCAUAGAAAUAGCUCACCAAUAGCCAUGUAUCAAAGCCAUGGUGAGGACAAGCAUUUAUAGCUUCCAUGUAUCUUUCCCAACACUCAUAGAAUUUCUCAUUCUCUUUAGCUGAGAAGUUUGAAAUUUGCCUUUUCAAGCCAUUUGUUCUAUGAGUAGGAAAAAAUUUCUUAAGGAAUUCAGCUUGUAAAUCAGUCCAAGAGCGGAUACUCCUUGGCCUUAAAGAAUUAAGCCAAAUUUUGGCCUUAUCCUUUAAAGUAAAAGGAAAUAACUUAAGCCUCAUCAAGUCAAUUGAAGCUCCUCCCUCUUGGAAUGUAUUACAAACAUCUUCAAAUUCCUUGAUGUGUGCAUACGGAUUCUCACUUUCCAUCCCAUGGAAAGUUGGUAGAAGUGGAACAAGAUACGGUCUGAUCACUAGCUGCUCUGUAGGGGCACUAUACAUGAUGGUGCACUCAUACGANNNNNNNNNNNNNNNNNNNNNNNNNNNNNNNNNNNNNNNNNNNNNNNNNNNNNNNNNNNNNNNNNNNNNNNNNNNNNNNNNNNNNNNNNNNNNNNNNNNNUAUAGUCAAUUCUUUAACCGGUGAUGUACAGAGACUCCUUCAAUUAGAUUUCACUUUAAUUCUCUCACUGAUACAACUUGCAAUGGUUCAUGCCUCUCACGAGCACUUACCAUUCAAGGUGAUCUUUAACCUUGGAUUCCCCUUCACAAACUCGCAAGAGAUAACUAAUGGAUGUCUCCUAGGAGUCCAAAAGCUUACCAAGUGUUGGUAAUUCCAGAAAAUCCUACCUUGAAGUCACCUACCAGAGGCUCGCAAGGGGUAAACUAGUGCAUUUCCACGGUUGGAAAUCACUUGCCUUACCAAGUGUUGGCCCAGGUGACUCUAAGGUGUUUUAAGUUAACUAAAAACAUUGAAAUCACUAAAGGAUUUCACUUCCUCUUCAUUACUAGCUAAAACCACAGAGCUUUGCAUUCUUGCACUUGGAACCUUCCCCGGCAACCUUAGCUCCAAGGAAUUGGAGGUUUAGUUACUCAUUCUCUGGGGAAAACUCCUCAGAGAAUUCAUAACUUAGAAAUAAAAUGAAAAUACAAAGUGAGAAGGUAAGGCAGUAGAAAGACAAGACUUUACUUGCUUACCAAACGUUUUCAGAAGGAACUCUUCCCUUAGAGAACAGGCUCCCGAGAGGUAUAUAUAUCAACAAAAUAUAAAACUAAUUGUUACAAAGAUAUUUGGUCUUUUUACUAACUUAAAAACUAAGGAAUCAUGUAAUUGGUGGUUUACAAGGAGUAUUUUGGGAUUUAGACAACAAAAAUCUAAUGGAAAAUAUCUCCCAAUGUCGGUAGCAAGCUUCGGGAGGCUUCAGGAGCCAUUUCGCAGGUGAAAAAUGAGGCCUGCGAAAUUUCGCAGACACCCAAGAGGGCUGCGAAAUUAUCUUGCAAGACCGAGCUAUCUUCACUAGGCUGCAAAGUUGGCUUCCAUCUUGAGGUUUCCAGCUCCCUUCUCGCGGCAUGGUUCGUGCAUCGUUAGAAGGAGAAACACCUUACUGUACAAAAGUGCUGCGAAAUUCUCGUAACACAUGGCUGAUUCCGCAACACUUUAGAGUGUCUGGCUUGUAAUGGCUGCAACUUCUUCGUUUCAAUUCCGAAUCGCACACCGUUUGAAGCAUUGGAGUGUUGACUUCCUGAGCUUUGAAAUGGUAUAUAGCUUGCAUCAUUUGGACUUCAGAAAGUACUCCAAAAGUGGCUGCUACGACUGUCAUCAAGAAUAUGCUCCAUGACUGAUCCUCUUUGCUUUUUCUCCUUGCAAUCCGGAUUCACUCUUGGCAAUUGAAUUCUAAGCUUUGCCCAAGAUUCCUCAUAGCUCUCCUCAUUCUUGACUUGCUUUGGCGAUCAAAAUACUAUCAAAAACACCAAAACUUGCACAAAGUGAUCAAAAUUGCUUUAAAGGAUCCUUAACAUGCCAAUUGAGUUAAAAGGCCUAAACUACUACUCAAAAGUGUUAAAAAGGAUUAAUUAAAAGCUAUCAAAUAGCACUUUUUGAGUCAAAUGAGUUCAAGGACAUGGUGGUGGAGCUCAUGACCACUGCUGGGUACUUCAAUAUUGGCGACUUUAUUCCGUCCAUCGCAUGGCUGGACAUCCAAGGGAUCCAGCGCGGGAUGAAGCAUUUACAUAGGAAGUUCGACCGGUUAUUAACAAAGAUGAUGGAGGAGCACACGGCGUCAGCCCAUGAGCGAAAGGGAAACCCAGAUUUUCUGGACGUAAUCAUGGCAAACCAAGAAAAUUCUACAGGGGAGAAGCUCACUAUUACCAACAUUAAAGCACUCCUCCUGGUAUGCAUAGUUAAAGCUCGUCUUCAAUUUUGUUUUCCGAUAUUUUCUUUCCGGAAACAGCACUUUUAUUGCUUUUAGAUAUGUACGUUUUUAUCAGGUAGCCAUUUUAGGGGCACAUCACUAUUCUUUAUUUUUGGACUAUUUUUUUCUUUUUCCACUUGCAUGGUUGUUUUCAUAUGCUCAGCUGCAUGGCACAAGAAAAUUGUGAAAAAUGAUUGGUUCUCUGAUCAGACCUUCUGCACCAAAACACGCUUUUCUCUAUGUUAUAAAAUCGGUUUACAUGAUUUUUCAACCAGCUUCCUUGAACUUGAACUUUUGCUAGGGCUAAUGCAAAAAAUGAUUGAUCUCAAUUUUCAAUAGCGUUUGAUUACAUAAAUUUCAAGUAUGUGAACAUAUUUUUGUUUCCUUGGCUAGAAUUUAUUUACUGCAGGAACAGACACUUCAUCGAGCGUAAUCGAGUGGUCUCUGGCUGAGAUGUUGAAAAACCCGAGCAUCCUCAAGCGUGCUCACGAAGAAAUGGAUCAAGUGAUUGGAAGGAGCCGGCGGCUCGUGGAGUCUGACUUGCCAAAACUUCCAUACCUACAAGCCAUAUGCAAGGAAAGCUUCCGGAAGCACCCAUCCACCCCGUUGAACCUUCCUCGUGUCUCAACCCAAGCAUGUGAAGUGAACGGCUACUACAUCCCAGAGAACACUAGACUUAGCGUGAACAUAUGGGCAAUUGGGCGAGACCCUAAUGUCUGGGAAAGCCCGGAAGAAUUCAGGCCAGAAAGGUUUUUAAGUGGAAGAAAUGAAAAAAUUGACCCUCGUGGAAAUGAUUUUGAGUUGAUCCCGUUUGGGGCUGGACGAAGGAUUUGCGCUGGCACUAGAAUGGGAAUAGUGCUGGUUGAGUACAUUUUAGGGACGUUGGUACAUUCAUUUGACUGGAAAAUGCCGGAUGGAGUUGAGAUCAACAUGGACGAAGCUUUCGGGCUUGCACUGCAGAAGGCAGUUUCUCUUUCGGCCAUGGUGACACCAAGGCUUCACCAGAGUGCGUAUGCAGUCUGAGCUCAAACCGCUCAGACCAAAACCCAGGCCUCGCUGCUAUAUGGCAUGGAUGCAGUUAAGUAGAAAAUAUUUUGGGAUGCCUGUGGCUUAGUAUAAGAUGUAUUAGCUCAAAGAUGGUCGUUUCAUUCUACCACCAAGCCAUAUGCAUCUAUGCAUAAUCUAUUGAUUUAGGCUCGAUUUGGUUAUAGUUUUUGUUUUUUUGUCUUCCAAAUCAGUAAAUAGUAGGGGUAUUUUUGUCCUAUGUAGUGAUUCUUUUUGUUUGAUUGAUUAUAUUUGGAUCCUUCAAAAAUAUAUGGUCAGAGCCAUCUCCAUCUUUUCACUUCUUGUGCUGCAGAAUGGGAUUGGCUUAGAUCGUUAGUCUAAUGUUAACCCCCUUCAAAUCUAAUUAUUCAUACCCAAUUUUGACACGAAAGAGCCAUUGUCAUGAAAGGGGGACCAGGGACCUCAGCACCCUUGGUUCAUCAUUUUGGUACGAUGCCAACUCUACCACAUAACCACCAUUUAGAUAUCUAUCCUUUUAUUUUUGGCAUGUGAACUUAUAGUGGGUGGCUGACCUUGAAUCCAGUAGUUAUCAUGAUAUAUAUGGCUGUGUUGAAACUAACCACCAUUUAGAUAUCUAUCCUUUUAUUUUUGGCAUGUGAACUUAUAGUAAGUCCGAUUUAUGUCCAAGGGUCAAAUUUAAAUCUCUCUUCAAUCUAAUGGCUAAGAACUUCCCAACUUUAUUUAAUACUUAAUGUAUCCAAUAAUUGUAAUCGAGUAAUCCAAUGACAAGUACCUUCAAUGAUUAUUUUGGCAAAAGAAAUAAUAUAAGUUUGUUAUUUUAUGAUAUAAUAAAUUUAUUAAUACUUUCCUUUUUCAAAAUAUGUAAUUAGUUGUAAUUUCAUUAUAUAAUAUAUAAAUUAAGUUAUUUGCAAUUUUAAAAUAUGCUCAUUUUGUAUUUUUUUAAGUGUUAUUUAAAAAUUACACAAUUUUGUUUUAUAAAAAGUAUUUAGUACUUUUAAUUUUAUAAUUUACAAACAUUAAUUUAUACUAUUUUCUUAAAAUAUUUAGUUUAGUAUGCAUAUUAUUAGUUGUUUUCUCAGAUCUCAAGUUCCAAUCAAAAAAAUAUUUAUGAUUUGUUUUUGUUAAUUUGUGUCUUGUUUUCAAUUUAAUUAAUGAAAUUUUAUUUGAUCAAAAAGUUCAUUAUAAACCAAUUUUAAAAAUCUAAUCCUUUAUUAUAUUUUGAUAUGGUUUUGAUAAAAAUGUCUUUAUUAUUAUUAUUUUUUAUAAAAAUAAUUAUUAUUUUUGAAAUAUAUUGUAAAUAUUUAAAAUAAUUAAAAAUAUUUAGAUCAAAAAUCGAUUAUUUUUCAAACAAAAAUAUGAAAGUGAUAAAUUUGCAAAUAUGGGGAAUAUUUAAUCCUUUUAAUCGAUUAUUUCAUUACUGAAGUGGGUAUAAUGAUGAACGCAGACUUGGUUUUGCUAGGGCAUGCAGAGGUUUUGCAAGAGAGAGAGAUCAUUUCUCGACUCUGAGAAAUCAAUCUCCUUUUGGCCCGGUGGUGGACUCCAAGUAAAGCCUUGAAGGAGCCUUGCUAACAUCCCUGCACACCCACGCCUUCCAGUACUGAAGGAAAUGAAGCGAAGGGUUGGCUCGUUCAACUCCACUGCUUGAACUGUACUAGCAUUCUGAUGCCGCUCUGGAUUGAAAUUUAGCGGUUCUUCCCAGAUUCUAGGGUUCCGGCCCAGCCCCAGACGGCUCAGAAGGACAUGACUGCCUUUGGGGAUAAAGUACCUAGCAACACUAGUCGGAUUCCUGAACUCGUCUAUCCUUUCCAACCACUCCAUCAAUUUCUUCACUGCUUUGCUCAAAAUCCCUGGUUGCUUGAUCAUUGCCUACCCAAUUGCAUUUGAUGGACUAUCGACGCCUGCAAGCAUCAACUCCUGCAAAUUAUGGAAGGAUCAUAAUCUGAUGAUUGAUCAAGUUAUUUGCUGGCUAGGAAAUGAUCAUCAUGCAAUGUAGAUCAAAAGGUAAGCACAACGCUACUACAAAAAUAAUUUAUGGUGUCAUUUUUUAAAUAAUGACACCAUAGGGUUUAUAAUUAAUAAAGGUGAUACAUCGUAUAAAAUUUUUUCAAUUGAGGUAGUUAGAUUAUGUUAGUUUUAUAUUUAUAGUGUCAUUUUUUGGGAAGUAACAUCAUAUAAAAUAAAUUUUUUUAAGUAUUAUAACUUAAUGAGCCCACUUGAGCCCACUUUUAUAAUUAAUAAUGGGGGAUAAUGUAUAAAAAGCCCAUUGUUUCCACAUGCCACCCACAAUCCAAAAAAUCUCAGCAUACAAACCUUAUAUAUAAAACCAUAAUCUUCUUCUACCUUUUCUCUUACCUAUAGUCAACACACUUACAACCAACAUUUUCUACUUUGUGGACUCCUGGGUAAUCCAAAUUCUCUUAGAUCUAUCAUAUUUUUUUUUUCCUUUUAUUAAUAUAAUUAUAUUGAUUGUUUCAGCAUCUUUGUAUUAUGGUUUUUGUAAACUGCGUUUUCUUGAGUUGUAGGGAAGAAAAACUUAGGUUUAAACUUCUAGCAUAGACGAAGAAACUUGUAGAUUAAUUGAUUUUUUAAUAUGAACCAAACACAUGACUGACUUCUUAAAAACAAGAAAAAAUGAAUGAUUUUUAAUAUGUAUUUAUGUGAGAAUGACAGGUACAAAAUUUUGUUGAGAUAUACUGCCACAUAAUCUUCAUCCCUUCCCUAAAACAAGAGAGAGAGAAAAAAAAAAAGGAAUGAUUUUUUUUGUGUGUAUCUAAGUGGGAAUGAGAUAUAUAGAAUUUCGUUGAGAUGCCACAUGAUCUUUAUCCUCCAUUAAACCCAACAUAUUAAAUCCACUAACUCUCCCCAAAAACGAGUAAAAAAAAAGGGAAAAAAGUAUGAGUUAAAAAACAAAAACGGAAAAUAUGAUUUUUUUUUUUUUUUAAUGUGUUUCUAAGGAAAAUGAGAGACAAAUUUUUGUUAAGAUGCAUUGCCACGUGUUCUUCAUCCUCUCCAUUAAGCCUAACAUAUUAAACCUAAUAGCUCUCUCUUUUAACUUUCCAGUGAAGUGCCUACAGUAUCCAACUCAAAAUAAGACAACUUAAGCCCCAUUAGCCAACAACCCAUAUUUUGUGUACAUCUUGAUGAGAUUAUUUUGUGAGAAAAUGUCAUGAAACAAUCCCAAUUUGAUAAUCUAGGCAUGUAUUUGAGUUAAAAAUAAAUUUCUAUUCUAUAGAUCAAAUAAUAAAAUCAUGUUUGAAAAUUAUUUUUAAAAACUUAUUUAGAGCAAAAAUAGUUUUCUAACAUAAAAAUAAUUUUUUAACUGAGAAAAUAUAUUUGAAAUUAUUUGAUAGAAAAUUGGGCAUGUAUUUGACUUAAAAACAAAUUUCUAUUCUAUAGCUCAAAUAAUAAAAUCAUGUUUGAAAAUUAUUCUUAAAAGCUUAUUUAGAGCAAAAAUGGUUUUCUAACAUUAAAAUAAUUUUUUAAUUUAGAAAAUAUAUUUGGAAACAUUUGAUAGAAAACUGGGCAUGUAUUUGACUUAAAAAUAAAUUAUUAUUCUAUAGAUCAAAGGAUAAAAUCAUGUUUGAAAAAUAUUCUUAAAAACUUAUUUAGAGUAAAAACAGUUUUCUAACAUAAAAAUAAAUUUUUAACUUAGAAAAUAUAUUUGAAAACAUUUGAUAGAAAACUUUUUUUUUUUUAAUGUCAAUAAGUUGUCUUUUGUUAAUUUAAUUGUAAUCAAUUUGCUUAUACGCAUUUAAAAGUAUAUAUUAUCAUAUUUAGUAAUAUUUUGAUUGUUAGGCAAAUUAUCAUUUUUGAGAGGAAUUUUUGUAGCUCUCAUAAUUAUAAUUGUAUUUUAAUAACCAUUUCCAAUAAAAAAAAAGAAAAAAAAAGUUAGACAAUUAUCAAAAUCUGAUUUUUAGGAUUUAAAAAAAAUCUACAAGCCAAAACUAUCUAUAAUUUUGAUCAUGUGAGAACACUUCUUUUUUAAUACUUUGAAUUAUUUUGUUUUUUUUUUCUUAGUAUCUGAAAGUAUAAAAGAAUUUCUCUUAUUAUAUUAUUAUAUUAUAUAUGUGCAUGUGUGUUCUCAUGGUUGUUUAUGUCAUGUGUUAUUAAAGAAUAAAGUGAAAUUUCCUUUGAGUGGAAGGUUUUAGUCCACGCUAGUGAGUGGACACAGUAUGAAUAGUUUGGGUGGGUUGUAUCUAUGGUAAAAAAAAUAAUAAAAGACACCUUUUGCAAGUCUCCAAGUUGGUUGAGAUACAUGGUAUCAUGUUGACUAAACCUUGACUUUUGCAAGUCUCCUAGUUUCCAACUUUUUUUUUCUUUUUUUUUUAAUAUUAAGGUGUGGGGCCAUGAACUCCUUUCUUUCCUUUUUAAAUAACAAAAAGGAAGACAAUUUUAUUGUGAGAAGGCUAUUGCUAUCAAUUGUGUUCACGUCGAGAUUUUUUUAAUUUAUGGAGGCCAUAUAUAUAUUUAUGUCUAAUUUAGGAUGGUAAUUUGGGUUUGUUUAAUCUAUUCCAUUUAAUCAUACUAUACAAUCAUUUUUUUAUUUGGAUUAUUUUUGUAUUAAAUUUCUUCAACCCAAAUUUUGUUGAAAAGUUACAAUGUAUUAUUAAAAAUAUGACUUGGUAGUUGAUUAUGGAUAUGUGUCAUUUUUAGUAAAAAAAAAAAUCUAUAACAUUUUAUAUUGAUAAUAUAUUAUUCUUGUAACAGGUUCGAAUAGUAAGCAAGUCAUUAUCAAAGAAGUUAUUGAAAGUGUAAGGGUAUGUUUAUUUAUUGCAUGCUCUUAUAUAGUAUCAAUUGUAAGGAAGAUAAAAUUACCUUGUAAAGGUAAUUAAAUCUUUCUAUAUUUUAAAAACUUUUUUCCUAUAUACUAUGCUUUUGAAGCUUGUUUAAUUAAACAUAUUAGUUAUUUGACAAACUUUUCACAAAUGUUUUGCAUGUAUACUUAUGUGUUCUAUUUUGUUCCAUAGUUUUAUUGCAUAAUACUAAUGUAUAUUUUUUCACAAACUUUUUACAACUAUUUUGUGUACUAAUGCAUAUUAAGUUUUGUUCUUGCCUAUAUAAGCUACAUUUAGUUAUUUAAAUAUAUCCAAUAUUAUGUUGAAGAAAGAUGUACUUACUUAACUUUUUUUAUUCUAAAUAUUAACAAGUUUUUCAGUUCUCUUGUCUCGAGAUUGAAUGUCAAAAGAUAGAAGGUCAGUUGAGUAUGAUGAAAGAGUUGAAAACUUUAUCAAUUUUGCAUUAGCACAUUCAAUCAACCAUUCCCCUAUAAAAUGCCCAUGCUUACGUUGUGCAAAUCUGUUAUGUCAAACUCUUCAAGUCAUUACAGAGCAUUUGUUCUUUAAUGGAAUAGAUCUCAGUUAUCGAGUAUGGUAUUGGCAUGGAGAAAAUGGACCCAGUGGAGGAUUUUCAAAUGUCUCACAACAACAUUAUGACAAAUGCAAGUAUAAUGAUGUUGUUGACACAAUAGAUAUGGUUAAUGCUGCACAAGUUAAUUGUAUGAAUGAUCCCUAAGUGUUUGGAAGGUUACUUGAAGACGCAGAAAAACCUUUAUAUCUUGGAUGCAUGAAAUACACAAAGUUGUCAGCAUUGGUAAAACUUUACGACUUAAAAGCACAUUAUGGUUGGUCUAACAAAGGAUUCUCAAAAUUGCUUCAGUUGCUUGGAGAUAUGUUGCCAUUGAAUAAUGAGAUGUCAUUGUCCAUGUAUGAAGCUAAAAAGACUUUCAGUGCACUUGGGGAUGAAUAUAAAAAAAUUCAUGCAUGUUCUAAUGAUUGUAUUUGGUAUAGAAACCAGUAUAAGGAUGCUAUUGCAUGCCUAACUUGUGGAAAGUCAAGGUGGAAGAUAAACAAUGAGGGGAAAAAGAUUAAGAAGGGGCUUCCUUCAAAGGUUUUGUGGUAUUUCCCACCAAUCCCUAGAUUCAAAAGGAUGUUCCAAUCCUCAAAAACCGCUAAACAUCUUAUGUGGCAUGCCAAGGAUAAAGAAUAUGAUGGUAAACUAUGCCACCCAUCAGACUCCUCAGCGUGGAAACUAGUUGACCAUAUGUGGCUUGAUUUUGCUUCUAAACCGAGAACCUUAGACUAGCACUCUCAACAGAUGGUACAAAUCUUCAUAAGUCUAUAAGCAAUAGACAUAGUUGUUGGACUGUUAUACUGAUCAUAUACAACCUUCCUCCUUGGUUGUGCAUGAAAAAGAAGUUUAUGAUGCUAUCAUUAGUGAUCUCAGGACCACGACAACCUAGUAAAAAUAUAGAUGUUUACUUGAGUCCAUUGGUAGAUGACCUUAAAACUUUGUGGGAAAAAAACGUUAAGACUUAUGAUGCACACUUGCUUGAGGUUUUUACUUUAAAGGUCAUCAUUUUAUGGACAAUCAAUUAUUUCCCUACAUAUGGAAACUUGGCCAAUUGCACCGUGAAAGGAUAUUAUGCAUGUCCAAUAUGUGGAGAAGGAACAUAUUCCCAAAGAUUAAAGUAUGGUAGGAAGAACUUGUAUAUGGGUCACCGAUGAUUUCUUCCACGUAACCAUCCCUAUUGGAGACAAAAAAAGGCAUUCAAUGGUGAACAAGAUUUUAGAAUUCCUCCUAAAAUUUUGAGUGGAGAAGAAAUACUUGAAAAAGUUGAUCUCAUUCCUAUUUCUUGGGGAAAAAUGAAGAUAAAAUCUCUUGAACUGAUGUGAACACAAAUUGUUGGAAAAAAAAGUCCAUAUUUUUUGAGUUAGAAUAUUGGAAAUAUCUUCAUAUCCUUCACAACUUGGCAGUUAUGCACAUUGAAAAGAAUGUUUGUGAGAGUAUUAUUGGUACUUUGUUUAACAUCCCAGGAAAAAAAAAAGAUGGACUUAAUGCUCAACUUGACCUAGUUGAAAUGGGUUUAAGGUCUGAACUUUUCCCAAGAGUUGACUUGAAGUGGACCUAUCUUCGUCCUGCAUGUUAUUCACUAUCCAAACAUAUAUGACAAAAAAUUAUUUUGUCAAACAUUGUCUAAUUUGAAGGUCCCUGAGGGGUAUUGCUCAAAUUUUAGAAAUCUUGUCUUCUUAGAGGAAUUGAAGUUAUUUGGUUUAAGAUCCCAUGACUACCAUGCACUUAUGCAACAACUAUUGCUAGUGGCAUUACGUUUUGUUUUGCUAAAGCAUGUGAAAUAUACUAUAUCAAGAUUGUGUAUCUUCUUCAAUCAAUUAUGUACAAAAAUGGUUGAUGUGCCAAAAUUGGAUGAAGUACACAAUGAGUUAGUGGUCACGUUGUGCUUACUUGAAAAGUAUUUUUCACCUUCAUUUUUUGAUAUUAUGCUUCAUCUAGUAGUGCAUUUGAUAAGGGAGGUGUGACUAUGUGGUUCAGUUUACUUUAGGUGGAUCUACCCAUUUGGGAGGUAUAUGAAAGUUCUUAAAGAAUUGUUCGCAAUCAUAAUUGGCCUGAAGGAUGCAUUACUAAGUGCUAUUUAGCAGAAAAAGCUAUCGUAUUUUGUACUGAAUAUUUAUUAGGGACUCAUGCAAUUGGAAUUCCAAAAGCAACAAUUAUGACAACAAAUUUGGUAGACCUAUAAUUGGUGGUCGUUCUACCAUCAUUGAUCGUAAAUCGUGGUUACAAGCACAUCAUUAUCUAUUAGAGAAUACAACUAUCGUCCAACCAUACACUGAGUAAGAAAAACAUACCUUUAUCUUUUUAUAAUUUCAUAACAUAAUGAUGAAAUCCUAAGUUUGCAUUCCUUGUCUUUAACGUCAUAGGGAACACAUGAAUUGGUUGAGGUCUCAAUACCCUCGAAAAUCUAAUAGACAAAUUUGGUUGCAAGAAGAACAUAUGAGUUGUUUUACAUAUUGGCUUAAAGAAAAGGUAAUCUCUUAGUUUUUAGAAAAUUUUUCAAUAUGUUGAAAACAUCACAAGUUUCCAAUAUGUUUUGAUUAUACAUAUGUUGAAGAGGCUAUCCAUAAUGGGCAAGAUAUUCCCGACACACUUAGGUGGUUAGCACAUGGCCCUACUCUCCAAGUAGUCAAAUAUCCUGGAUAUAUCGUUAAUAAGUGUCGUUACCAUAUUAAGAAACGCGAUAUGACAUGCAUCACCCAAAAUAGUGGUGUUAGCAUUUUAGCAAGGACUAUGCAAAUUGCCAGUUCUAAGGAUAAGAACCUAGUUUGUGGUGAACUUUGCUUUUAUGGGGUCAUUAAUGAGAUAUGAAAUCUUGAUUACAACAUGUUCACAAUUCUAAUUUUCAAGUGUGAUUAGGUUGACAACAAGAAUAGUAUAAAAGUUGAUGAACUCAGGUUCACAUUAGUUGACUUCUCCAAAAUAGGUCACAAAUUGGAUCCAUUUAUUUUAGCAUCACAAGCCAAGCAAAUCUUCUAUGUUGAAGAUCAACUUGAUCCUAAAUGGUCAAUAGUUCUCUCAAUUCCUCCAAAAGAUUUCAAGAACAUAGAAGGACUAGAUGACUUCACCGAUAAUUGCAUGGAACAUCACCCCUUUAUAAGUUCAAUGCCAGAAUUUGAAUCAUUUGAUGCUAUGGAUGAAUCAUAGGCAAUACACAUGAGAGAAAACUGUGAGGGCAUAUGGAUUGAAAAUAAUUAAAUAACAUAUUGUACCCUUGAAUGAGAUAUAAUAAGGCAUUUCACUUAUUAGUUUUCAUGAGUUGCACAUUAACUUAGCUUCUAUAUAUUGCUCAUGAUAUAUCUAUAUAUAUUAAUCAUCCUAAAUUUCUUUCAUGCAUCAUAAACAUAUGUUAUUCAAAGGUACCACUUCAAUCUUCAUUCAACUAUCUUUUUGUUGUCCAUAGAACUAGAUUUAUAUUAUUUUUUAUUAUCAUGUUUUGAUUUUAUGCUCACAUAACUUGAAACUCUCUUUCGUAAAUUUCUUUUUCAUUAAAACUAUAAAUCAUAAUUGAAACUAUGCACUAAUUUAUUUUAUUAUUAUCCUCACAAAUAAAUUCUUCAUUAUUGAUAAGAAAUCAAAAAACAAGACAAACUUUGAAAGAAAAUUUCAAAAAAUAUAUUUGUGAAUGACCAAUUUAAUUAUAGAAAAUAUAUGCAAGGCUAUACUAAUCUUGCUUUUGAGUCAUUUUACAGGUUUGUUGGUGAAGUACUAGUUUGCACAUUGACUUGAUAUCUUCCACACAAAUAUGGAUCUAGAAGAAGGGGAAAUGCCAAAAAUAAAGCAUAGAGGUAGUGCAUUGAAACCAAAGAUUGCAAAAAAUCGAAGUAAAGGGAUAAAACUCAAGAUUGAAUACAAUAGCCUUGGUAGUCACAUUGAGGAAAAUUCAGUUAAACUAAGUAGUUAUCUUAGUACAAUAACAAAAACCCAUGUGCCAAUAAUUAUUGAGAGUUGGAGGAAAGUCCCUAAAGAGACUAAGGAGAAGUUGUGGGAUUUGAUCACGGUAAGCCUAUCUAUAGCUUUAAUAUAUAAUUAUUGUAUACAUUCAUUAACAUGAGCUAACAUGGGUUGCUAUUUUGUAGACAAGCUUUAAUGUGAAUAAAAAAUCCAAGAGGAAUUGUUUCAUACUAAUGGGCAUCAGGUUUCGAACCUUUAAGUACAAGUUGACAAAGAAAUAUAUAUUGUCUUUCAAGAAUGACCAAAAAAGCUGAAAAAGUCACCUCCUAUUUGCCCAUUCAUACAAGAGGAUCAUUGGAGACAGUUUGUUAAAGAUAGACUUUUUGAACAUUUUAACGUUAAGCAUUAUUUUUAUUACAUCUUCAAUUUUCACAUUUACGUAGUUUCAUUAUGUACUAAUUUUGUGUCUAUAUUUUGUAGGAAUAUCGCAAAGUUCAGAAAUCAAGAAGAGAUAAACACAUUUACAAUCAUUAUCUUGGAAGAAAAUGAUAUGCACGUUUUGAGCAAGAUAUAGUAAGUUAUCAAUAUCCAUAAAAAAAAAUGGAGUAUAUAUUUUGUUUAUAGGAAAAUGAUUCUAGUUUUUAAAUAUCAUUUAUUAACUUGAUCAUGUUGAACUAAUGAGUUUUAUUGUUAAAAUUUUUAUAGCUACAAGCAGAAGGGGCUAUUGGUAGGGUUGAUAGAAGUGUUUAUGAAAGAAAACACGUGAGAAGAAAGGAAAGUUUAAUAAGAUUACAAAGCCAAUGAUUAACUAAGUUAGCAUAUUUAUGCCUUUUAGAGCCUAUAGUGUUAGUAUGUCUAUGUGAUUAUGGUUUGGGAUGAUAUCGUUAGGUGUUAAUAGGGAAGAGGCUUAAUGCUAUCAUUUUUAUGAGUAGUCAUGUUAUAUUAGUGCAAAUAUAGUAGCCUAAUUUGAAAAUUAAUUUUGAAACAAUAUACAUUAAUUUAUCUAUUAUCAUUUUUAUUAAAACAAUUCAUUUUCUAGCUACCUUGAAUUGGUCCUCUUGAAUUGGUUGUCUUUGAUUGAUAUGUUAAUCAUCAUCUUCAUCAAAUUAUUACUAAUAUAUGUUUUGUUGUAGGAUGAAUUACUAGAAAAGGCAAGGAGACUAGACUACCUCCACCUGGUCCAAAUGACAUAUUAUGUUAGGCAUUGGGUAAGCUUGAUCAUCUAGGACGUGUGGUAGGUCAAGACCGCUUGGUUAGGCCGAACUCAUACUUUCAUCAACCAUUUGAUGACAUGAAAAAAAAAAUCAAAGAAGAAAUAUGGGAAAUGGUGUGAAAGGGGAUGCAAGAUGCUGUAACAAGACAAACUAUGUCUCCUCCCACACCCCAUUCUGAUAUAGGUAGUAAUAACAUGAGACAACAACUUGUUUUACAACUAGUUGUAGCAAAAAAACCAAUGUUUAAAAUGAUGGAAGAGCCCCAACCACCAUAACCACCACUGAAACGUAAGGUAUACAUUUACUUACUAAUAAUACAAGAUUAAUAUAAGUGAUAUAUAGCCUAUGUAAAUGAUAUUAUUUGUUGUAUUAAAGGUGAUUAAAUAUAAAUUAGCAGUGGAAUGAAAAUGAAAUGUUGUUGCAACCGGUACAUUAAUAGAAGAAAAUUGAUCAAAUGGGUUGGUCGUAAUAAAUGUUGCACACAAGCUAGAUGCUAGACUCCCAUUUCCAAAUCCAUAUGAGAUUAUCAAUGUUGGGGAUGCUAUUGGCCUUAAGCUUGACUGGCCAACAAGCCUUGUCAUACUUGAAACUAAACAUCCUCGGGUAUGUCAUUUUAUACUUGUAGUAAAUUUGAUUGUAACUUGGUAUUUUAUUGUUAGGAGUAUAUAUUACUAACAUUCCUUCAUUUUUCAUAGGUGUUGGAUAAAGGAAAGAAGUAGAUAGUGAAUGCACCAAUUAUUCGAAAAUCUAAGCCUCAAAAUUAUUCGGUCAUUAAAAAUUUCCAGAAAUUUAUGGAUGGUUGUCUUAGUAAUGAGAAGACAUACCCAAUACAGCUCCCCAUUUCACUAUUUGGUGUCGAAUUCCGAACAUAUAUAUCUAGAGAGGAUUGUGAAUACAUUAUUUCAUCUUCAGAAGUGUCAUCAAAAUGCAUCUCCUUCCAUUUAUGGUGUGCACCUUUUAUUUUCAUUUGUUUUUAUUUUUUUUAAUAUGAGUUGCCCAUGUUGAACAAGAUUGGAUAUGACUAAUGAUAAUUUUCUUUUGGUGUUUUGAUAAUAUAAUAGGUACAUGCAUGAUCAACUACAUAUUGCCAAAAAGGAAUCACAAUUUAUAUUUGUUAAUCCUUUUACAAUAUCAUGAGCAGGCUUUAGUAAUCCUCAAACAGAGAAAAGAACACAAUUGUUGUCAAAACACUUAAUAGAGUGCCAAGAUGUCGGAUAUGUUUUCAUGCCCUACAACCUCGAGUAAGUGACGAAUAUUAUACUUUAAUUUGAGGUUUUAUGAUUGAUUUAUAUUUCUAAUUAGAUGCUACUUUUGUUUUUAAUGUUUUAGCUUUCAUUGGGUCUUGGUAGUGAUUGAGCCAAGGAAAAUGAUAGUCCACUAUCUUGACCCUGUGCAUCACAAACCAUGUGAGGACUUAAAGGAUAUCGUAAACAUGUAAGUUCUUCCUAUUAUUUUUCAUAGUAUUAUUUAAAAAAAAAUUACAUUCACCUCAAACACAUUUUUUAUUGUUAUUUCUAUAUAUUAAAGAGAUAAUUUUUUAUCCUACAAUGAUUGCUUCAAAGGUAUUACUUAUUUAAUGAAUUGUACAUAUUUUUAGGCUUUCAAAUGUUAUGCAUUUUAAUGUUAUUUUCUUAUUUGAUUUCAGUUUGGUGAUAAAAAAACAUAUUCUCAAGUAGAAUUCAAUGAAAUUAGAGGAGAAUUGACUACUUUUGUGCUACAACUAAUCAUGAAUCAUGUUGAUGCAUCAUGAUCACCAUGCAUGGUGAGUUCCUUAGCUACUACAUGAAUUUUUCCAUAGAUAUUGUAUAGUAUUGCUUUUCUUUGAACAAUGUUUUUAUUUGAAAAAAAGAAAAAAAAAAGUUCUUAGAUUUGUUCAUUUAUGAUAACAUCGAUCCAUAUUUAUUUUCUUCAAUGAAAUAUAUAAAACUCAUUAAACUAUGAAAUGCAGGUAUACACUCUUAGGAGGGUGGAAUAGAGAAUAAAAAGAACAAAGAAGGCAACAAGAUUUUAGGUUUUUAAAUACAGCUCGUAUGUCAUACGUUGUAGGACAUAAACAUUACUUUAAUUGGUAGUGAGAAUUUUAGAUUUUUAGAUGCUACUUUUAUGUCAUUUUAUAGUUAGUCGAUUUUAUGCUUAUGAAAUGAAGGUAUACAUGAAUCUUGGGAUGCUUCACAUUUCUAAAUCAUGUUUUGGUAUGUAUUCCCUCUUCUUUUUUAGUUUUGGUGGGUUUGAUAUGUUGGAUGUACUAUCUUUUUGUGAACAUUUGAUAUACAAAUAUUAUUAGAUGAUCAAUGUAUUACGAGUUAUUCCAUAAGCAUUACCGAAAAAUGAGUUAAAUGUAAUAUGAUUGUUAUAUUUAUGGAAAAAAUAUACACAGGUUAAUCCUAUUUGUUAAUUCAUAAGCAUUACAAAAAUCUACAACUAAAAGCAAUCAUAUCUUCCACGAUAAUUUACAAUGAUGUGACACCAUAACUCAAAGGUGAUGCAUUUAAUGUGACAUCAUAACUCAAAGAUCAUGCAUUUAAUGCGAUAUCCUAUCAUCACUAGAAAUAUAUGAUGUCACUUUCGAAUGCGUCACCAUUUAUCUACUUUGGUGUCACUUACAAAUACGUCACCAAUUGGUACCCUCUAUGGUGUCAGUGGAGAAGGUGACACUAUGUUGUAGUGACACCCUAUGUUUAUGGUGACUCGUUAUAAAUGUCACCAUAUAUUUUUUUUCUUGUAGUGCAAAUUACUUAUCUUACUAUGCAUUGGGCUUUGAUAUUAGCCAGAGACAGUAGUGGCUCCUAAUUUUUAUCCUUAACUGAAAUGAAAACGUCAAGCAGGUCCCCAACCUCUUUUUCUCCAUUCUUCCACUAUUAUACUAUUUGGUCCAUGAUUGGAUCAUGGUACUUGUUAAUGGUGUUCAUAGCCUCCCUUAUAGUCUUUUCAUGGCCAUCUAAAUUUAGCACUCUCUGCCAUGGGAAGUAAUCAGAUAAAGAGAAUACAUAUAGAUGAGCAAGUAUAGUAAAGAAGGAUUCAACAUGUUGCUCCACUUCAACUCCAGGGCCUCCAUCUUUCUUUCGUUGGCCAAAGUAUCUUGUGUUGAGGAUCAUCUUUCAGAUGACAUUCCCGUUGUAUUGACGGACUUUAUUUCUGUCACACCCCAAAUACUAGGCAACCCAGAACUUGACUCGUGGCCCUAGGUCAAAGGUUUGACCCUAAGAGUUACUCUUAUCCAUGUUGGCAAUCAAUCAAAACACCCUAGAUUUUUUUUCUUUUCAAUAAAGCGUUUAAUCCUAAAUAAAUUUAUUAAGCUAAGAUUUACUAUAACAUAUCAUUUUAUUUUUCCAAAACUAACCAUCACAUUAUCUCAUGUUCACAAGUAUUAAAAAAAUAAAAUUCCACCAAUCAUUUUCCUACCCAAAAGCUCAAAUAUUUACAAUAAACUCUAAGUCAAAAAGAAUAUUUCCAAAAUUUUUUUACAAACUAAUAAAAUAUAAUUUAACUUAAAAAAGUCCAUAUAACUCAAAUUAGUAGAUGUCAAAAAGGUAAUUAAAAAAAAACAACAACCAUUAUUAUAGUUUUUUUGCUUUUUAGAACACUUCAUGAUCUUCUUAUGGUCCCUUAGAAACUAUAUCUGCAUCUAAAAAUUUUAGAAAAAAAAGGGAUGCACAUUUCCACGUUACUCUUUAGACCUAAAUGGGUUAGAAAUUCUAGGUCAAUAAAACACAACCAUAUGCCAAAAUAUAAUAUUACAUUUACAUUAUACACACUAAAAGAAACCUCAACCAUACAAAUUUAAAUCAAUCAAAAUUAUCAUUCUCCUGAUUUAAUCAUAUGUUUAGCAUAUCAAUAAUUUUAAAUUUACAAAAUAAAUAAGUCACUUUAGUCUUGAAUAAUAUAUUCAAACAUACACUUGAUAAAUAAUACAAAUCAUUUUUCCAAAUGCAACCAUGAUACAAAUGCUUACACACAAUCACGCAAUGCAAUAUCGUUCUCGGGCUUUCACCGAAGGAUAUGCAUUUAUACCCAAAUAGACUCCCCAUUCGGAUUCUUCCUGGGAUAAAAUUUUGAGUCUUUCACCCUAAGGAUCUCACUCCCUUCUUAACUCACCAUCUCUAGGGUCUUUCAAUUUCUUAUUUUUCUUUUCUUUUCAUUUUUGCCAUUUUUUGGGUCUUUUCAUUCUCAUUUCCAUUUCACACAACCAUUUCUUUAAUUUUUCUUUUUCUUCACACAAUCAUGAUGCAUAUGAAAUGCAACUGAAUCAUAUUUUAACAUCCAUAAUUUUCCAAGACAUAAUUUUAUUUACUCCCAUUAUGUUUCAUAAUUUCCAAUAAUCCACACAACGAUUUUUCUUCACUUUAAUUGUCACAAACAUAAAAGAAAAUUCACAAUUAAUUUGUAUAGCAUCAAAACAUAGUUUUAAACAUUGACCACAUAAAUUCUAUUUAUUCCCGACAUGCUUAAUAAUUUCCAAAUCCAAUAUAACCAUUUUUUUUCAAUUAAAUAAUCACACAUAUCCAAGAAAAUUCUCGCUAAUACAAAUAUCAAUGAAAAUGUAAUUUAUGUCAUAAUUUAUUUGUCUCUAAUAAUUUCAAAAAUUUUGACACCCAUAUGAAAAAUUUCCACAAUUAAGCCACCCCAACAUUUGGGAAAAUUUUUCUAAUCAUUCAAAUAUCAACAAAAACCCAAUUUAUAUCAUCAUUUUUAUUUAUUUUUAAAAGCAUUAAUAAUUUUAAUAAUCAAUACAACACUUUUCCACAAUUAAGCCACCACAACAUUCUGGGAAAAUUUUCCAAUAAUUCAAAUAUUAACAAAACACAAUUAUACCUUAAUUUUUCUUAUCUCCAACAACAUCAAUAAUUCUUAGUACUCAAUACAACUAUUUUUAUUUUUUCAUAUUUAAUCUUCUCAAACAUUACCAAAAUUCCAAGAAAAAUCUAUAAAUCACGAAAUAAAAGUAUUCACAAUAAUAAUCACACUUCAAAUACUACAAAUAACAUCUAUUAUAUUUCAACAACACAAUAUAUAAAUUUUUUUGAAAGAAAAUAUUAAAUCAAAGUUUUAGGGUUAAAUCACCCUACCUUAAAUUUGAAAAAUUUAACCAUUAAAACUAAAACGGGACACCGUAGGAGUAUUCCUCGCAUUGAAUAGAAUAUCCUUCCAAAAUUUCAUGCGAAAUGGACGUCAUUUGGUAGGUCCAUCAACAUCCUAAAGCUAGCGACCCAUUUUUCCCACUCUUUGCCGACGACUCCCCUACAUCUCUCACUCGAUUUCCUUUCUUCAUUUUCUUUUCUUCUUCUUCUUUUAAACUCCCACGCCAAUUUCACUUUAUAUAUAUAUAUGUAUAUAUAUAUAUAUAUAUAUAUAUAUAUAUAUAUAUAUAUAUAUAUAUAUAUAUAUAUAUAUAUAUAUAUAUAUAUAUAUAUAUAUGUAUGUAUGUAUUAUUAAAACAAAUCCUAAAAUACCACGCACAUCCAUUUCUCAAUAAAUUAAAACCAUUAUUCUUAAAUUCACCUUCCAUAAUUAUGAAUUAUACCAAACUUAUGAUUUUCCAUUUCACGAAAAAUACCACUGUAUUCGUAAUUUAAUUUACUACAAGUCUACUCUUCAAAAAGUAUAAUUUGAUUAUAAUUACAUGAAACAUUGUUUUUUUACUCUAAAAUUCAUUCAAAACAUGAUAUAAUUAACUAUUAACAAAAUUCAAUUCCAUAAAAUAUGAAAAACAUAAAAUAAUUUUUUGGCAAUCAAGAAGUUGAAAUUUGUAAUAACCCUUAACCUGUUAAUUUUACCUAUAUUUAUUUACCAACAAAAAUUUAAAUAAUAUUCUAAAAUUUAAUUCCAUAAAUUAAUUAGUCAUUAAAUUUAUAAAAAUCAAAUUCUCUACCCUUUGGUAUAACUUUCAUUUAAUUUACUUCAUUUUUCAAAUUAUUCAAUCGCAUCAAAAUUUCAAAAGUUAAAUUCACUAAAUUCACAUUUAAUUAAUUUAUCCUUUUCUAUUUUUUUUUUCUAAAUUCGCAUAUCAUAAUUUAAUCUUAAUUUAAUUUUGAUUCAAUUUUGUUUUAUGUUUUCUAAUUUUAUGAGGUUUAAUUUCAAUUAUAAAAAUUAAAUUAAAUUUCUUUUUAAUUAUCCAUUAUCACAAUUUGAUAUAAUAUAAUUUUUUAUCAAGUUUUUCUUACUACGAUUUUUCUUAUAAUUAUCCAAUAAUAAUUAAAUUAAUUCUCGUAACAUAUUUAAUAUUCAAAUUUUAAAAACUUAAUCUCAAUUAUUGGAUGGUUAAUUUUUUUCUCAAAAUCUAAAUUUAAUUUAUGAAAUUCUCACUUCUUACAUCUGACGUGGCAAAAUUUUCAAACUAUUGACUUUUGACCAACUUUUCCUAAAUUUAUCCUAAUUAAAUACUAACACAUGGAUUUUCACCACUCUUUUUGACCUUUUGACCCACAAAUUUAUGAAAGACUUUAUGCUUGGAGAAUCUACAAAAACCUGGGUAUUACAAUUUCUCAGGUUGAUAACUGUCGUGGUUACGAAGCCACCACUUGAAUACUCAAUUGCCAUUGUAAUGGGCCUGGAUGCAAAUAGUACAUCAUGUUUCUUCAAAAGUUCUCUGCUAAUCUCUGGGAAAGUCGUAGGGACGAGAUGAAAUAUUUCCCAAUUGAAUACAUGCAAUUUCAGUGUUCAUUUCUUUCAUAAAGCCAAUGUAUCCACCAGAAAGUUGGCUUUUUGUUGAGUAAAUGAGGUAGAUAUUGCACUAGUGGCCCUGGAGCUAAUCCUGGAGGAAGUUGUAUCGGUUUGCUUUUGGUACUUGUUUUGGAUUUUAAUUUAGUGAAGAUGAGAAAGAUUAAUGUGAUAAAAAGCAGUAAGAGGAAGUUGAGAUGAGACAACACAUCGUCUGUGGUAGUAGAAGAAAACAAGGUUGAGUUACUGCUAUUACUCCCUGCAACAAAACCAUUUACAUGUCUUUUAUAGCAAAACCAUGUUUGUCCUAUCUUGGGUCUGGAUGCACAUUUUUAAUAUUGGGGAAAUCAUGCAACCAAAUGUCACACACAAAGAGAGAGAAAAAAAUACGUUUUUUAGAACUUGGAAAGGUAAAGUGGGACAAAAAAUAUUAUCCAUUCUUGAACUCUAAAAGUAAAGUUAUAAAAAGCUUAGUUUUUUUUUUUUUUUGUUAUGUAUGAUUGCAUGAUUUCCCCCUUUUAAGAUUUUAUCUCAUAAAAUUUUUUUCUAGAAAGUUCAAAUAAGUUUGAUGAAUAUUGUUUAUUUUAGUAAUUUUAAUUUUAUGGGGUACUUAAAACAUUAGAAGUUCACAAAAAGCAACAUUUAUCAGCUACCUAUCUAAAAAGCUUGGCCUAAUCAUUGAAAUCCAAAAUAUAAAGUGACAACACACUUUUUAAAGCAAUUUUCAAAAUAGUUUUUAAAAACACAUUUAUUUAUGAUAUUUUUAAAAUAAAAAUCUCAAAAAUAACUUGUUUAUAUAGCGUUUUAUUAGACAAAUACUUGAUCUUUAUAAGAUCACCCUAAUUAUAGAUUUAUGAACAUGUAACACAACAAUUAUCUAUAUAUAUACUUAGAAUUAUUAUAUUUUAAGUUUUUAACUACAUAGGACAUCAUGAGUUUUUCCACCAUUUAUCUUAUAAUAAGUUUAUUUAAAUAUGAUAAAGGAUAUAUUAUCUCAUUUCUUAUUAUAUCCGAUGCUAUAUAUAUAUAUAUAUAUGUAUGUAACAAAUCAAAUACAAUUUAAAGAUUUUAAUUAACCAUCUAUUAGCAACAAAGCAAUCUCUUAAUCUCAUUCAUAAUAUUAGGAUAAUUUAGUAUUUCCUUUUAUAAAACACUAGCAUAUAAAUCAACACAAAUCAUAUUAAGGGUGUAUUUGGUGUUGAUUUUAGGAAGCAUUUUUAGUAUUUCUAAUACUUGAAAGAUAAAAAUUUUCAAGUUUUAGAAAGAUCAAAAGCGCUUUUUAGAAUGACUAUCAAAUACAUGCUAAAUAUUACUUUUGGAUACUUAUAUUUUUAAAUAACUCUUAAAACUUUUAAGGCAAGUCUCUACUAUUUAUAUAAAUCCCCUAUUAUUUUUAAUUUUUAGAAACAAAAAAUAAAGAAUAGAAACUCCAUUUAAACAUCACCUUAUUAUUUCCUAUUAUAAAAUAACACAAAUCAAAUGAAUUAUUUAAAAAUAAAUAAAUAAAAAAUCAAAGUUGAAGAGAAAAAACUCUUGUGCAUUAAAAAAACAUCAAAAUAAAUAAAUAAAUAAAACAUCAUCAAAUAAAUGUAAAAAUAAAUUAAUGUUAUGGAAAAAUGAGAAUAGGCAACAAGAAAAUAAGAACACAGAUUUACAUGAAAAAUGCUAGACGGGAAAAACCAUGGAUAGAGGAGAAGAAAAUCCACUAUAUUAAAAAUUUGGUAUAAAAUGUGAGAGAAUCAAGCGAGUAUUGUAUAGGCAUAAUCACUAUGACCCUAAAUCCUAUACAUCAUUGCAUAUGUAUGGUGUAUGCGAUAAUAAAAAUAUUGUCACAUAAAAUAACUAUGGGAUGUAAUAUUUGUAAUAAUAUUUUUUACAAAAAAAUAUUUUUUCUUUGCUUUAUUCACUUUGAUCACAACUUGAAAUAAGACAAUAAAAAUAUUUUCUUAAUUUUUGAAAAUUAAUUGAGGACUUAGAGCUACUUGUUACUGAGUGAAUUUGCUGAAUGGUGAAGAAUGCGUGUAUAGUAGUUUUGCAAUUUUUCAAACUUAUAGACAUAUUUUGUGAAGUCUUUUUCUCUUUGUAAAGCCCCAUUUUCUAUGUGAAGUUAUUUUUUCAAUAUUCUCUUUGGAAGGAAUUUACCAUUAGUUAUAUAGGUAAGAUUAAGGAAUUAAAUUUGGAAUUCUUAACAUUUGAUUGCUUAAUUCAAAGAAUUUGGUUCAAGGGAAAUUUGCCAACAAAAUAAUAUUUAUUUUUAAUUCUAUGAUGACUUUAAUUAUUUGAUAUAAUUUUAUUUUGAAAGACUUGAUGUGGGGGACUCAUCACUUAUUGAGUCCAAAUUUUGUUGCACCCAAAUUUUUAUGAGCUAAGAAACCAUAAUUUUAAAGACCAAUUCAGUGGUAAGUGAAUCUGCUAAAAUCUUCUAUGUACAAAUGACCUCACUUCAAGGUGCAACACAUACAUGUAUUAUUAUGUGUAUGGGAUGAGUCUUGAAGUUAGUCUUCAUUCUUCUUUGAUUUUUUUCUUCAAAUAAAUAAAUAAAACAUCAUCAAAUAAAUGUAAAAAUAAAAUAUGUAUCGGUUAAUUGGAGAGGAGAGCUUUAAGGGCAUUUCUUCUAUGAAAUUCUAUGCUCCACGUACCAUAAAUUUGUACUCAACCAACAAAAUUACAGAAUGGGUCCAUGCACAAACAAAAUAACCCAAAUGUAAAUAUCUAAAAAUGUAUAAAGUUCACAAUAGAUAUUCAAGCCCAAAUUUAAAUUUCAAAUUAGUCCAACAGAUUUCAUCAAUCAAAAUGGGUCCAAAUUAGCAAAUAUAACCCAACAAAAAUAUCUCAUAUGUCAUAGGCCCUAAUUUAAAAUUUUCAAAUUAAUAGCCAAAAUAUAAGUUCAAUUAAUCAAACCCAAAACAUGAUAAAUUAAAAUAAAUCUCAUUAGGCCUAAACUUAAUAUCCUAUAAUUCAAGCCUAAUUUAAUAUAUAAACCUAAAUCCACAAUCAAAAUCAACCCAAUUUAUGCUAAUCCCGAUUUACAAUCAAAAUCAAACAUAAUUUAAUAAGUAAAUAACUAAAUAAAUUAAGCAAACUCAAAACACCCAAACCACUACAACAUAAAUCAAACAAUAAUAAAUAUAAUGACAAUAAUAAUAAUAAAAAAUAAAAUAAAAUAAAAUAAAAUAAAAAUAAAAAAUUUAACUCAUGUCGGAGCCAGUUUGAAUGUCUUGGGAAAGAAAGAAAAUGAGAGAAAAGUGAGAGAUGAUUGACAACUGACAGUGGCUCAUUGGCGGCGACUGGCUAGUGGUCCUACCGAUGGUAGUGAGGAUUGAUUGGUUUUUGGGAAAAAAAAUAAAAUGAAGAAAAGAAAAUGAGGAGUAAUAAAAAAAAUGGAGAAAUGAGAGGAAGGUGGGAGAAGAAUGGAGAGAGAGAACGUAGAAAAUGAGUGAAAAGAAAUGAGGCUAGUUGGAGGAGGAAGUGAUAGUGUGUGAGCUAAAGUGAAGAAGAAUAGAAGAAGAAAAUGGAGAAGAAUGGGGAAAAAAAAAUCCGCCUCCCUAAAUGAAGAGAGGUGGGUAGCCUAAAGAAGAAGAAAAAAUAAAAUAAAAUAAAAUGGGGAGAAAAUGAGAGGGGGUCAGUGGUCUUGCGAAUGAGGUGGUAUGCGUUAGAGAGAGAGAGUGGGUGGGGUUGUUGGGGAAGGUAUGAGAGAGAGAGGAGAGAGAAAAGAAAAAAGAUAAUAUAAAAUAAUAAUAAUAAUAAUAAUAAUAAUAAUAAUAAUAAUAAUAAUAAAAUAAUAUACAAAAUAAUAAAAACUAAUAAUUAAAUAGUGAGUGGGCAAAAAAUAUCAUAUGAAAUCGGGAUUUAAUUUUAAGAGUAAAAUUGGGUUAAAAAUUAAUGUAAAAUAAAAUUGGGACAAAUUUUGGGGUAUACAAUAAUGCGCGCCUCUUCGAUAGAGUCCACGACUAAAGCAAGUGUAUAUGUGAGCAAAACAAAGUGGGCUCUACUGAAAAACAAGAAAGACCACCAAAUUUGUCUUAAUAUGACAUGAACUCUCCCAAAAAAAAAAAAAAAAAAAAAAAUCUAAAACCCUACAAAAAUGGCUAAAACGGAAAUUCCUAAGGUGCCUCUAAAGUUAUACUAUGGAUCUAGACUCCCUUAGAAAAGCCUCCAAAAAUGGCCCAAAAAUCGGUGUCAAAAUCGAGUAGCAAUCAGACCACUAAGGAGCACAUGAACGAAUGCAUACAAAGGGAAAAAAAACCAUACGUGUACCAUACGAUGACAAAAGGCAUAAGGUAUCCAACAAUAUGACUGAUUCACGUGUUACGAGCUCAAAAAACUUUGUCAUGCACCAUGGAGGAAGGGAAACUCUAGAAUAAUGUGAUGAGGAAGUUAUUAGCACAAUGUAACAGAGUGAGGAAAAAAGUGAUGAGUGCAAAGCUGUGAGGACAAGGUGCACAAUGCUAAUGAAUAUGAAAUGAAUAGCACUAGGCUACAAUGCAAUCAAUAGCUCAGGGUUGUACCAUAAUGAACAAGUCAAGGAUGUGUAAAGAUGAGGAACAACUCAAGGUUGUAAUGCAAUGAACAACUUAGGGCUGUGAAUGCAAUGAACAACUCAGCGCAAUGAAUGAAAUGAAUAGCUCAGGGCUGUGAAUGCAAUGAACAACUCGAGGUUGUGGAUGUAAUGAACAACUCAGGGUUGUGGAUGUCAUGAACAACUCAAGAAUAGGGGCACUGUACACCCAAAAUGGGAGAUCACGGCCUACGAUUCCAAGUCAAACCACUAAAGGGUGACCAAAAUGAGGGUGAUCAACUCACUAAAAAAGAUGAUAAAAAUGUCUUAAGGGAGAGGAGAUGCCCCAUAUGAAACUUAAAGGAAAUGAGUAGUGCUAAUGAAACUAAAAAAAGAAAAAAUGUCACAACUGAAAUUGAAAAAAUAGCAAACUUAGAUUAAAGUGCAAUGAACAACUUUGGGCUGUGGAUGCGAUGAAUAGUACCGUGUUGUAAUGAAAUGAAUAACUCUAAGAUAUGGGCAUUGUACGCCUAAAGAGGGAGAUCGUGGUUUACGACUCCAAGUCAAACCACUAAAGGACAACUAAAAUAAGAUGAUCAACUUACUAUAAAUGAGAAUGCAACUAUCUCGAGAAAAAGGGUAUGCCCCAAAUGACACUCAACAGUAAAAGAAUGACACAAAUGAAACUAAAACAAGAGGAUGCCACAAAUGAAAUUGAAAUGAUAACAGACUCAGUACUAAUGUGUAAUGAACAACUUUGGACUAUGGAUGCAAUGAAUAGCACUGGGUUGUAAUGAAAUGAACAACUCUAAGAUGUGGGCACUAUACCCCUAAGAAAUGAGAUCAUAGUUUACGACUCUAAGUCAAACCGCUAAAGGGCGACUAGAAUAGGAUAAUCAACUCACUAAAAAUGAGGAUGCAACUAUCUCGAGAAAGGGGGUAUGCCCUAAAUGACACUCAACAGUAUAAGAAUGACAUAAAUGAAACUAAAAUAAGAGGAUGCCACAAAUAAAACUAAAAUGAUAACAAAUUCAAAACUAAUGUGCAAUGAAUAACUCUAGGUUGUGGAUGUAAUGAACAACACUGGGCUGUAAUGAAAUGAACAACUCUAAGAUGUGGGCACUAUACGCCUAAAGAGGGAAAUCACGGUCAACGACUCCAAGUCAAACCACUAAAGGGCGAUUAGAAUAGGAUGAUCAACUCACUAAAAAUGAGAAUGCAACUAUCUCGAGAAAAGCGGGAUGCCCUAAAUGACACUCAAUAGUUAAAGAAUGACACAAAUGAAACUAAAAUGAAAUGAUACUACAAAUGAAACUGAAAUGAUAACAAACUGAUAACUAAAGUGCAAUGAACAACUCUAGGCCGUGGAUGUAAUGGACAGCUCAAGAAUAGGGGAACUGUUCGCCCAAAAUGGGAGAUCGUGGUCUACGACUCUAAGUCAAACCACUAAAGGGUGGCUAAAAUCAAAAUGAUCAACUCACUAAAAAUAAGGAUCUGAACAUCUCAAGAAAGGGGUUAUGCCCCAAAUGAAACUGACAAUAGAGGGAUGCCCUAAACAGACUGAAGAAAGGAGGAUGCCCUAAACAAACUAACGAAAAAUGGAUGCCCUAAACAAACUGAAGGAAGUGAAAUGCCCUAAAUAAACUGACCAAAGAAGAAUGCACUAAACAAACUCCGAGAAAAAAAAAAAGAAGUAUGCGAUAUAGAAUAAAAAACACCUAAAGCAAAAACAAGAAACAAAGAAUGUGGUUUACAACUAGAAACACCCAAAAGAACCUUAAAGAAGUGACUGGGAUAAUGAACUUAAUGAAAAUAGGGUAUGCCACAAUAAAAGACUCGGAAGUAUCAGCAAAUGGGUCAAAUGACCAUGAAAUCAAUAGGAGAUAUGAUGAACCCAAAAAGGGCGUAUGCCCCAACAAAAGAACACUAAAAGGGGGGUAUGCCCCGAUAUGACGACUCACAAUAAUUAAGAAAUGGAUCGAGUAAUGAGAAAAUCUGCAAAAUAUCUUAUGAACUCAAAGAUGGGGGUAUGCCCCAGUGUAAAAUAGUGACCAACAUAAGACACAGAAUGUCACCAUACAAUACACUCUGGGAUAUGCUCAAUGACAAUGUAAUGAAAACAAUAGCCUCAAUCAACAAAUGUUCAAGCAAGACCAUGCAUCACAUAAACUAAAAUAAUAGGCUAAAGAAAUGCUAACCAAGUUUCUCAAUCUGAAAUGUAAGCAAGUCAAGACAUGACAUGUCAACCAUCGACAUGAAAACAUCAUCACAAAUACAUCAACAAACUAAUAGUCCCUACUAUCAUGGAAAAUGUAGAACCUAACGUCCAAAGGCAUGUGAAAACUCAACCAGAAAGCUCAAGACUAGUUUGCAUCCUCCUCUAAUAAAAAGAAUGAGAUAAGGUCAUGUAGGAUGAUGAAAUAGGCAAGCUCAAUAUUCGUUAGGCUCUACCAAGAUGGAUGUAGGUAUAAUAGUGUCAAAGGUAGGAUGUCUAGAUGUCCAACGAAGGAAACUGGGUAUCCAAGUCAAACCAAGUAUGUUGAGGAAACUGAACCCAUAGGAUAAUAACUUUAUGAUCCAUUGAAAAUAGCAAUCAUGAAUAGAAGGUCGAGUCUCGAUGUCAAAAUCAACAAGGUGGCAUUGCCCCAGUAUGAAUACAUCUUCUCAAAAUGGGUAAACCCUCAGUGCAAGAUAAUCUCUAGAAAGUAUGUGUCUAAUAUAAACUGUCAUCUCACAAAAUCUAUCACUGAUCAGUGGGCUAUACCCCAGUGUAAGCAUUUCCAAAUCAAACAUCGAUGAGAGGAGUACAACCAAUCAUACACAAUAUGAUCAAAACAAAUCUCCACUCCUCAAAGUCAUCAUGGUAAUGUGAAGAGAGUAUCUAACCUCAUUUAAAGAAAGAUCAUGUCCCAAUGUGAAAAAUAUCAAGCAAAGUGGUAUGUCUCAACAAAAAUGCACUCUAACAUGAUCAUGCCUAGAUGUAAGAUGGUAUCUUUAAGAUUAAUCACCAAUGAAAGGGUUAUGCCCCAGUAUAGGGCAAUCUCUUAAACGACUAAAAUCCACUACAAGCUCUCACAAGUGUCUAUGUCAUGAACCAAUCAUCUCAAAAAAUAAAUAAAUAAAUAAAUAAAUCUAUCAACAAUGAUGAGAAGGUUAUGCUCGUAUAAUCACAUCAAGAAAAUCACCCGGUCAUAUCUUGUAUUCCAAUGUGAAAGGAAAAUAUGAUCACCUCCAAAGAAUGGCUAUGCCCCAAAAUACAUCAUCGAUUGAGAAAUAUGCCCCUACGUAAAGUACAUCAACUGAAAUAUGCCAAUCAUGCCUCAUGCUCCAAUGUGAAAAAUGACGUAUAAUCUUCUUUGAGGGAUGGUCAUGACUCAAAAUCCAUCAUCAGUUGAGAGAAGUAUGCCCCGACAUAAUGGUCAUCUAAAAAAUCAAUCCCCGACUAAGAAAUGUGUGCCUUGAUGUGAUGUAUCAAGCAAAAUGGCUGCAUACCCCAUAAAAAACUCUCUAAGGUGGCUAUGCUCCAAUGUUGGAUCAUACCACAACUCCUGGUCGAUCACAAUCAAAAUGCUCUCCAACCAAUCCCAAGUAUCGCCCACAUGAGAGCUAUCAAACACAAUGUGUGAUGUCAUGGCCUCAAGGUGGUCUUAAGAUUCGGGACGUAACGUAGGCUAGGGUAAUAAGGUGAAGAAAUGAAGGAAAACUAGGCUUAAUAAUCCUAAUGAUAAAACCCCAUACCCUUAUGUAUAAAAUGCAAUAUGUGCAAAGAGUCUCAUAAACCAUGGAUCUAAGGACACCCAAUAUGAAUAUAUCAGUGAGGAAGAAAGAAUCUAAGAUGAAUAUAUCAAUGAUAAAAGAGAAGAAAUGAAGAAUAUCAAACUGUUGAUGGGAUGUAUAAGAAUGAUGUGUGGAAAAUAUUGAACAUGGAAUGUAAAUUGAUAUGAACAAAGAACAAUGUAGGCAAGGCAAAUGCGAUAUCAUGAUAAGAACAAAUAAAUCGAAGAAAAAUGAAUGAACACUAAUCCACUCAAAUCAAGUCAUGGAGAAUAGUCAAAUCACCAACGUAUGUAAUGAUGGAGAAGACAAUGAUUCGAAGUCCCUAGGAAAAUGUCACUUGUUUGUCACACAUAAAAUACAUAACAAGAUAGACACAAAAAUAUGAGAGUCUUUUGAAAGUUCACGUACGAACUUUCAUAAGCAACUAACUCAAUAAAGCAACCUCAAUGACCAAUAUAUACACUCAAUAAAGGAUGACACUGUAUACAUGUGUUUAUUACUUUUUCUUUUUCAUUUUUUUCAUUUUUUUUUUCAUUUUUUUUCUUUUACUCACGCAUACUCUGAAUAUCAAUAAAUGAACUUCUCUAAGAAUACAUAAUGAAAUGGAUAUACUCUCAAACAAUGAUGUAAGCGAACUCUCUCUGACAAGAUGACCCUCUAAAUUAAGGAUUUUCGAACUAACGUCCAUGAGAUAGGAGUGGAAGGGGAUAUGACCAUCCUCCUUGCAUCGAAAUGUGAAAAAUCAUCACUCAGGGCACAAAAAAAUGUGAUGAAAAAAAAUAAAAAAUGAAACAAAAGAUAUAAACAAUGGAGUAUGAUGAAGACUGAUGUUGGGAAGACAAAAAAAUAGUGAAGAAGGUGAGCCAAUAAGUCCACAACUCAUGAAACUCUCGAAUAAAAUAUAUAUACACCAAAAGACCCUUAUCCCAGUAUAAAAUGUGAGCAAGGAUAUAAGAAAGAAAAGACUAUGGUGCUCAUGUGAGGUUCAAAGGGCUAGCAACGGUCCAAAUGUCAAUAAAGGUAAUAGGGUGUGAGCUAACCAAAAUGAAGGCCACCUAUGAUGGUCUGAAACAUCAUGCUCUUAAGCUUUCAAUGAUCAAUACUGAAAAUCGAUGUCCAUUUGAUAUAAACACGUCAACCCUUUGGAAUUGUGCGCCAAACCAUACUCCAAAUGCUCCAUAAUAAUCUCAAAGAUAAUCCUCUCAAAGCACAAUAAAUAGCGAUCUCAUAAGGCACAACUACUCAUCACAAGCCAACUCUCAUCAUGCAAGAUCAAUCUCUAUUUUCAUGGAAAAAUAAGUGACAAUCUCAUCAGGCAAUUGACGAAUCCUCACAUCGUAAACCAACCAAAGAUCAUAAGUCAUUCAUUGCCAUGCAAGAUCAAUCCCAAGCUCAAACUCCUCAUACUCUACCUGGUUGGAUUAGAGAAGAAAUGGGCAAAGCUAGAAAAACUGAAGAUGGAAAGGUCAUAUAAUGGUGUCAAGGGUGAUGUUGUGCAAAACUCACAAUGGAUGGAUGUAGGUCAAAGCAAAGUCAAUGUGUGAGAGUGAGUAAGACACCACUCUGAUCAUAAGAAGAUGAGUCACAAUCUCAAACUCCUAAGGUCAAAUCUCCGAUCCUAGGCUAAUAAGCUCAACAUCCUCCAUGAUAGGUCAACCCCCAAGAUCACAAUGUGCAAAUGAAUAGAUGCCUCAAGUCAAAAGUACAACACAUCAUAUGAUAUAUGGUCCUACGAUGACAAUCUAAAACUGGAAAUAUGUUACAAACUCUAAGGUCAUAAAGGUGUCCACUGUGAGAUGACUACAAAUGUGACUAAGGAAUCUUUAUCAAUAAUCCAAAAAAUGAAUGAGGUGUGAAAAACAACACUAUCAUGAGAUCGAUACCCCAUCAAUAACAAAAUAUCUCUAAUUCACUUUCAAUCUAAGCUCUAUAAAGAAAAACGAUAAGGUUAUAAAGGCAAACCUCUCAAAAAUGGUGUGAAUGUGAAAACAUGUCUUCACCUUUCUAUAAUGAAAAUAUCAUGUUGAAAAUAGAAAUAGGCAAAUCGACCAAAGAAUGAAGUACGGAGCCCAUGACAAGUGAAGAAUGUAAAAAGGUGAACAUGAUCAAUGAACAUAUCCCAAAACAUCAAGCAUAAAGUGGCAACAAACCGAAAGAAUGUGUCAACUUAAGAAAAGAAGACUAUCUGAAGCCCUAGGGAGAAAGUGUGCUAGACUCAAGGAGCGACAAGAAGAAACUAAAACCAUAUAGCAAGGGGUGGUCCAACUGAUACUCAAACUCGUACCAAUAUCUAAGCACUCUCGACUGGAGACCAAAAGAUGGAGUAUUGGAUCCAUAUUGUGACUAAAGUGGCCUCGAAGGCUCUAAGAUGCACCCACGUGUAGGAAAGGAAAUCCUAAUAAAAAUAUCUAAGGCUUAACCUACAAGGUCAAGGCGGCUAUAAAAAGAAAAAUUGAGUGGACUUUAAAGGAUCCCUAGCAAAAGCGAUCAUACCCUCCAAUGGUACGCAACCUCCUACACGUCUUGAAAUAUAUGGGAGUAAUUCCAUGCAAGGUGGUCAUCACCUCCACACAUGCACUAGCUCAUAUCCUAGAGGGUUUCCUAAUGAUGAAGACUCUUACAUCUCUCAACACUUAGUGGUAAUCUAAGGUGCACAGUGAACGGUGUGGGUUCAUCCAAAAAUCAUAUCAAGCUAAACAAAGAGAAAACACAUUGGUCACACAAAUAUCCUGAAAUCUAGCUCUAACCUAUACAAGUCUUCAAAGAUUGGACUCCAAUUAGCAUUAAUGUUUCGACCUUCUCCAGAAUGCUCCCAAACAUAGAUAUAGUCCAUCACUAAACCCUACUCCGAAUCACUAGCUCGGUCGAAGAGCAAACAAAGUAAUAAGUCUCAUAUCAAAUACGAGAUCAAGGGGAACACGGUCACCCGAGACUAGGGAAUUGAAGGUAAGGAGAUAGGUGUGUGUCCCACAUAGAAAAUCAACAUGCAUUACACAGAAGAAGAAUAGUCAUGCAAUAGACAACCAAGCAAAGAACAGGUAUAUCAUUCAUAUCUACACACAAGCUAAACAAGAAAUAGGUAUUUAACAAGAAUAAACAAUAUGUUGAGAUAAACAAGAUAAUAUACAAUAAAGAGAAUCAAUCACACCAAUAUGAAUGAGAUAUACAAAAAUGAGAAUAUACAUGUCAAGGAGAGCAAGAUAAUCAUACAACAAGAAGAGUCUUAUGUUAAAGCAAGCAAGAGAAUCAAUCGAUGUAGUCAACAUGUCAAUAUCGCAAAUGAACAUAACAACCAAAUAUGCAUCAUAAAGAAAAAAUGGUAAUCAUGCAGCACGUAGUCAUACAAAACAAAUAUAGACAAACAUAAGCAAAUAAAUGUAAACACACAUGAUAACAAAAAUCAAUGUAUAGUAAGGCACAUGCAAUAUAUACAUAAAAUAAUCAUCAAGUCAACACUCAUAUACCUUAAAACAUGAAAAUAUACAAUAAAGACACAAUGAGAGGGUAUUCACUGAUCGAUUAAUCAAACGCUACAUUUCCUUUAACUCGAGUUCAAGUUUGAUCCUUUAAAUAUCCCUAGUGGAGUCGCUAUUUUGUGGACCCACAUUUUUCAAAUGCGUCCUUACACAACAGCGAGACUCAUUUUUUUUAUUUGGUGAAAAUUUGAUUUUUAGAAAAAAGACUUUGAGUCGUCACUUAUUUUUGUUUUUUUUUAAGGGAAAACAAAACAAGAAAGAAAACCUUGUGUAACUCCUUAUUUGGGAAAGACAUGUAUGCAAAAACCAAAUCUGGUUUCGGGGGUCAAGUUACCUAUUGGGAAUGUACGAUGGUGAGCUGUAGCACCUCUCUAAGCUCAUAUACGUACAGUCUCUACUAAACGAAUUAAGAGAGUUGUAGUAAUUAAUUAAUUAGUCAAGGAUACCAAGAAAAAGAAUCGCACAAAUGAGUACGUACAAAUCAUGAUAAAAAAAAUCAAAUUAUAAGAAUAGACAAAAUAAAUAACAAGAGAAUUGUGCAAAGUGAUUUAUUAAACUAAAUAAAAAAGAAGAUAUUAAAAAAAUUAGUUUUCAAGAAAUUUCAAAGGAUUUUAUUAAAAUGAUUUUGAAUUAAUGAUUUUAAUUUAUUUAUUUACAAAAAAAAAAGUCAAUUUAUUUUCUUCAAGUGAUUUGAUUCAAUUUUUUUUAAAAAAAAAAGUUAUUUACACUCAUGGUUGUUAAAAGAAUUAUUAACAAAAUUUCAAGUUGACAAUAAAAAUGAUUUUUACUUGCUUUUACUCGAAAACAAUGAAUUUUUACAAUUUUAUUAACAAAAGCAUUUCAAUUUAAGAAAAGUGACUUAAACAAAUUAUUAAAAAAAUAUAACUUUAUCUACAAAAGAAUUUUUAAUUAAAAAGAAAAAAUUUAAAUCAUCUAUUUCUAAAAAUGACUUUUAAUCCCAUUUUAAUUAAGGAAAAUUGAGUUAUUUAAAAAAACAUUUUUUGGACAAUUUGAAUAAAAAUUAAUUUUUGGGACAACUUAUUUACAAAACAAUUUUUGGACAAUUAUUAUUAAAAACAAAAUUUCAAAUUCGAUUAAAAACAAUUUUUUGGAUUUUUCCAAACACAUUUUUAUGAAUUUUUAUUAAUAAAAAACUUUUUUUUAUUAAGAAGAAUAUUUUUUGAGCUAUUAUUUUAUUAAAACAUGUUUAUUGAAUUAUUCUUCUUAUUCAAACAAAAUUUUUAAUUUGUUCGAUAUCCAAUUCUGUACACAACAAGUAAAUAUAUACAAACAAAUAUUUAUAGAAAGCAAUAAAAAUAAAACCAAAUAGAAGUGAGAAAUAAAACAUGUACUUAAACAUGCUUACAACAAGCUCAAUGUCUUCUUACGAUUUUUCGAGUCUCACUUUCUUUCAUUAAAUUUUAUGCUCCACGUACCAUAAAUCCGUACUCAACCAAAAAAAUUGCAGAAUUGGCCCAUGCAAAAACAAAAAUAACACAAAUGUAAAUAUCUAAAAAUGUAUAAAGUUCACAAUAGAUAUUCAAGCCCAAAUUCAAAUUUCAAAUUAGUCCAACAAAUUUCGUCAAUCAAAAUAGGUCUAAAUUAGCAAAUAUAGCCCAACAAAAACAUUUCACAUGUCAUAGGCCUUAAUAUAAAAUUUCCAAGUUAAUAACCAAAAUAUAAGUUCAAUUAAUCAGACCCAAAACAUGAUACAUUAAAAUAAAUCUCAUUAGGCAUAAACUUAAUAUCUCAUAAUUCAAGCCUAAUUUAAUAUAUAAACCUAAAUCCACAAUCAAAAUCAACUCACUUUAUGCUAAUCCCAAUUUACAAUCAAAAUCAAACAUAAUUUAAUAAGUAAAUAACUAAAUAAAUUAAGCAAAAUCAAAACUCUCAAACCACUAUUGCACAAUAUCAAACAAUAAUAAAUAUAAUGACAACAACAAUAAUAAUAAAAUAAAAUAAAAAAAUUUAACUCACGUUGGAGCCAGUUUGAGUGUCGUGGGAAAGAAAGAAAAUGAGAGAAAAGUGGGAGAUGAUCGUUAGCUGGUAGUAGCUCGCCCGCGGCGACUGGUCGAUAGUCCUGCUGGCGGUAGUGAGGAUUGAUGAAUUUUUGGGAAAGGAAAAAAAAAGAGGAGUAAUAAAAAAAUGGAGAAAUGAGAGGAAGGUGGGAUAAGAGGGGAGAGAGAGAAUGAAGAAAAUAGGGGAAAAGAAAUGAGGCCGGCCGGAGGAGGAAGUGGUAGUGUGUGUGAGCUAAAGUGAAGAAGAAUGAAAGAAGAAGAAGGAGAAAAAUGGGAAAGAAGGGGAAAAAAAAUUCGAGCCCUCUAAAUGAAGAAAGGUGAGUAGCUUAAAGAAGAAAAUAAAAUAAAAUAAAAAAAGAAAAAAUGAGGAGAAAAUGAGAGGGCCAGUAGUCUUGGGAAUGGGGUGGUAUAGGUGAGAGAGAGUGGGCGAGGUUGUUGGGGAAGGUAUGGGAGAGAGAGGAGAGAUGAAAGAAAGAGAAAAAAAAAACAUAAUAAUAAUAAUAAUAAUAAUAAUCAUAAAUAAUAUAUAAAAUAAUAAAAAUUAAUAUUUAAAUGAUGAGUGUGUCAAAAAUAUUAUAUGUAAUUGGGAUUUAAUUUUAAGAGUAAAAUUGGACUAAAAAUUAAUGUAAAAAUAAAAUUUGAACAAAUUUUAAAAUCUACAAAUACAUUCUUUAAUCUUUCCACAACAUCAAUCUGAUCUAAAUGAAAUGCAAUAAAUUCUAAAAAUGAUACAAUCUUUAAUCAAUCCACAAUAUCAACCCGAUCAAAACUCAAUGCAAUAUUGCUUAAUGGAGAGAAUCGUAAAAUCCUUUUAUGAGAGGAAAACAAAACCCUUAACAGACCUUUAUGAGAGGAAAAUAGGAAAACAUAGAACUAAAAACCCUUAACGUAUUCAUGAGAAUAAAAAAAAUCCUUAACACCUUAAUAAGAGGAAAACAAAGAAUUUGAACAAUCCUUAAUCCAUCAAAAGCUCUUAAUAUGAACGAGGGGAAAACAUAACCUUUAUUUUUCAUAUCGCUGAAUACAGAAUCUAAAGAGAUAGAAUUUUUAGUUAUUAAGGAUUUUUUAUAGAUGUCUAUUGAAAGUUUAAGAACUUUUAUGGAUAAUUGUUAAUUAAGAGACUGAAAGGGUACUUAGGAUUUUCAACUAAAAAAGUUAUAACAAUAUGAAUAGUAAGAACUUAAAAACAUCACCCAUCCAUCAUAGGAAUAUGGAAUGAGAGGUUAUUUUUUUACUUAUACAACAAUAAACUUUUUUGGAAGAGGUUUUUCUAAGUACAAAAAGUUAUGAAUAAAAAACCAUUGUUACGAUGAGUUAACUAAAAUAGAAUUAAUUUAGAAAAUAUCAAUAAAGUUGCAUGAAUUAUUAUCAUGAGUUAACUUAAUAAGAAUAAAUAGUAAUAAAGUUAAUGAAGUGAAUUUGGAUUGGCAGAUAUAUUUGAUGAUAAGAUUUUUUUAAUAAUAAAAAAUUAUUAUGGCAGGAAAAAUAGGACAAAAUUGACCUUAUGAUAAGAUUUUUUUAAUAAUAAAAACAUUAUUAUGGUAUGAAAAAAAGGGACAAAAUUGGCCUUUCCUUAAUUGUACCGGUUAAUGGAAUAAUGGGACAUGCGGUGGUUACAAGCCACCCCAAAAGGUAGGAAGAAUCUCCAACCCCCAUUCUCGGCUCCCUUAUCUUUUCCCUUACAACCAAAAAUCAACAACUAUCUUAGAAUGUCCUUCAGUCCAUCAAAAUUCAACAACAACAAUUAUACAUUACAAUAAUGAAAACAAAAUUGAUUGAUCACCAGCUAACAUUAGGAGAUUAUAAGAUAAGGAUGUAAUUGCAAUUAUUGAAAUCACUUAAAGAGUAAAAAUUAGGAACAUGCUCACAAUAAAUAAAAUCACCUUAGAAUUAAAAAUUAGGGACAUGAUUAUGAUGAUUAAAAUCACUCGAGAACUAAAAUGUUUUAGAGAUACAAUAAUUGAAAUCAACUGAAAAAUAAAUUCGGGAUGUGAUCGCAAUUAAUGUAUAUAUAAACAACCAAAUGUUGAAAGGAAAAACUAAUGAAAUUAAUAUGAUUUUCUUUUAGAUUUCUCUUGACACCAAACAAAUGUAAGGAAGUUUAUAAAGGAAAAUUAGGUUUUGAUUCACUAAAUUAAAAUAAUAUAGAAAAAAGAUCUUCAAAUUUUAUGUAUCAGUUUUAUUUUUAUUUAUUUAAAAAUAUUUUAAAAUACAUAUAUUUUUUCAUAACUCAAAUAGUCAUUCCUCAAAUGCUAGUUUUACUUGUUAUGUUAAUAACACUAGUUAAUAAUUUUGUAUUGUGAGAACGAUUUAAGAUUAAUAAAAUAAGAAAUUUUUAAAACUAAAAAGACAUUUAAAACUUUAAAAUUAAAAAUAUAAAAAUAAAACAAUAAUUUUUCAUUUAGUAAAACACGCAGUAGAAAAUAUAGAUAUAGAGAAAGAGUUGGAAAUAAAAUAAGAGUUAAUAUUUUAUUUUUAAAAUUUUAUGUUUUUUAUUUUAAUUGUAUUUAAUUUUAUGUAUUUUAGUUGUAAUUAUAUUUUUAAUUUUUAAAUUUUUUUAUUUUAUUGUUGAUGUAAAUUUUUGUUCAAUUAUAUAUAUAUAUAUAUAUUUUAAAUUAGUGAGUAAAAACCCACUUUUUCUAAUUUAUAAUAUAUUUAUGGGAUUUUAUAAUAUAAGCAAUUUUUUUUUUUGAGAAAGAGGAAAAAUCAACUUUUCAAUUUCCCUUAAUAAUUAUUAGUAUUAUUAUCCAAUUUGGCUGAUUAUGAGAUUAGUUGGUAUCAUUACUAUAUCCAUUUGUUCUUAACCCUUCAUUAGAAUAGUAUUAGGAGUUGAACGUCAGUUGGAAUACAGGCUUAUGGAAACAAAUCUAUCCGAUUAGUAGGUUCUUAUUAUUUUCAAUAUAGGCCCCAUAAAAUAAAUAGGAGAUGGGCAGCCCGUCCCUUUGUCUGGAGGCCAUCCUCCCAACUUAUUAAAGGUGAUAUGAGAUAAGAUAGUGACAAAAUUAUCGGUUACUUCCCGACACCUGGCUCUCCACAAGCAAACCCAGUGAUCCAGAAAUUAAUUGGUACCUGGACACGUGACUACCAAACGUUCGCUCACCUACCAUACCCAUGGCCUCAUGCCCCAUAUAUUUCCACAAACCUAGCUCAAUUUUCAUAGCCACCUUCACUAUCCUACACUCACUAAGCCAUGGCCAUAGAUACAAGCCUCUUGAUUGAGCUUGCUGCAGCAACUCUACUCUUCUUCAUCACCCGCUUCUUCAUUCGUUCUCUCCUUCCCAAAUCUUCCUGGAAGCUCCCUCCUGGCCCCAAAGGGUGGCCGCUCGUCGGCGCUCUUCCUCUUCUAGGUAACAUGCCUCAUGUUGCAUUAGCAAAGAUGGCCAAAAGAUACGGGCCUGUCAUGUUCUUGAAAAUGGGCACUAACAGCAUGAUGGUGGCCUCAUAUUAAGGAAAUUAUAUGUUAGUUAUUGUAUGAUUAUCUUGACAUAAUUAGCUGAUUGUAUAGGAGCAUAAUUAGCCUUAUAUUACUGAUUCUGUAGCUAUAAUUUAGGAGAAGAUUAGAUCAAACAUGUGUAUAUAUAUACUACAUUCUAUUAAUGAGAAAAGUAUCCAAUUUGAAGCCAAUCUCUUUAUUCUUGUUAUGGUAUCAGAGCAAGAACAAAAAACCACCAUGGCUGGCAGUCAGAAGGCUUCUGGAUCAGAAAACAAGACCAUCGAUCCUUCACAUCCUCUCUAUAUUCAUCAUUCAGAUCAACCAGGCCAUGUUUUGGUGCCCAUCAAAUUAAAUGGGGUCAACUAUCAAUCAUGGAGCAAAGCAGUUAUUCAUGCCCUUACUGCCAAGAAGAAGAUCGGCUUCGUCGACGGGACAGUUGAAGAACCAUCGCAGGAAGAUGAACCCUUUAUGUUUGAACAGUGGAAUCAAUGCAACAGCAUGAUACUUUCUUGGCUAACUCAUGCUGUUGAAUCGGACAUUGCUGAAGGAAUUAUCCAUGCUAAAAUAGCACGCGAAGUGUGGGUUGAUUUGCGCGACCAGUUUUCUCAAAAGAAUGCUCCAGCGGUUUUUCAAAUAUAGAAAUCAAUCGCCACCAUGUCGCAAGGAACGAUGACAGUAGCUGCAUAUUUUACAAAGAUCAAAGCCUUAUGGGACGAGCUUGAGACAUACCGUUCCCCGCUGACCUGCAACCAACGGCAAGCACAUCUCGAGCAAAGGGAGGAAGACCGUCUUAUGCAAUUUCUAAUGGGUUUGAAUGAGUCAUAUAAGGUAGUGAGAUCCAAUAUUUUGAUGAUGUCGCCAUUGCCCAAUGUCUGUCAAGCAUACUCUUUAAUUGUCCAGGAAGAGAUGCAACGACAAGUUUCUUCUGAGCCAACCGAGAAUUUCUCAAUAGCUGCCGCAGUCCCUGGAAAAGGAGGUAAUCCAAGACAAAAAUUGUGUGACCAUUGUAACAGAUCCGGACAUACCAUAGAUGAAUGUCGGACUCUUAAAUUUCACUGUAAGUUCUGUGAUAAAAGAGGUCACACGGAGGAUAGAUGCCGACUGAAAAAUGGGAGCAAUAACAAAACGGGACAAUUCCGAGGACAAUGUCCUUUUGGUCGUGGGAAUCAGCCCUUAGCAAACGCGACAGAAUCCCAGGAAAUGUCUGAUUCGACUUCUUCUAGUACAGUCCAGGGGUUCACUACAGAACAAAUACAACAGUUGGCUCAAGCAAUUUCAUGCAUUAAAUCACAGUAAUUCCGGUAAUAUUGACGCAUAUGCAAAUGCUGCAGGUUUGAUUCCAUCAACUCUUGUGUCUGUUAAUUCUAGUAGUACAAGUUCUUGGAUUUUGGAUACAGGUGCCACGGAUCACAUCGUUUCCCACAUGUCUCUUUUCACUGAUCUCAAACCUUCUAAUGUCACAACUGUUAAUUUACCAAAUGGUGCAGCAUCACCAAUAACACACACUGGCACCGUUAUUUUUGAUUCCCAAUUGACCCUUAAAGAUGUUUUAUGUGUCCCAUCCUUUAACUUGAAUUUAAUUUCGGCUAGCAAACUCGCAAAAGAUCAGAAUUGCUGCAUCAUAUUCUUUCCUGACUAUUGUAUUUUGCAGGACUUGGUUUCGGGGAAGAUGAUUGGCUCGGGUAAACAGCGUGGUGGUCUAUACUACAUGCAUCCAUCAACAAAUAAAUCGGUUGUCUUUCAUGUUUCUCAACCGUCUGACUUAUGGCAUUUACGCCUGGGUCAUCCCUCUUUUUCUCGUUUUAAAUUAUUAUCACAUUUGCUUCCAGAUAUUCAUAAAGAAUUAGGAAAUCAUUGUCCAAUUUGCCCACAGGCUAAGCAGACACGCUUGCCCUUUCCCAAAAGUUCAAUAACUACAAAAUUUCCUUUUUCUCUUUUACAUUNNNNNNNNNNNNNNNNNNNNNNNNNNNNNNNNNNNNNNNNNNNNNNNNNNNNNNNNNNNNNNNNNNNNNNNNNNNNNNNNNNNNNNNNNNNNNNNNNNNNNNNNNNNNNNNNNNNNNNNNNNNNNNNNNNNNNNNNNNNNNNNNNNNNNNNNNNNNNNNNNNNNNNNNNNNNNNNNNNNNNNNNNNNNNNNNNNNNNNNNNNNNNNNNNNNNNNNNNNNNNNNNNNNNNNNNNNNNNNNNNNNNNNNNNNNNNNNNNNNNNNNNNNNNNNNNNNNNNNNNNNNNNNNNNNNNNNNNNNNNNNNNNNNNNNNNNNNNNNNNNNNNNNNNNNNNNNNNNNNNNNNNNNNNNNNNNNNNNNNNNNNNNNNNNNNNNNNNNNNNNNNNNNNNNNNNNNNNNNNNNNNNNNNNNNNNNNNNNNNNNNNNNNNNNNNNNNNNNNNNNNNNNNNNNNNNNNNNNNNNNNNNNNNNNNNNNNNNNNNNNNNNNNNNNNNNNNNNNNNNNNNNNNNNNNNNNNNNNNNNNNNNNNNNNNNNNNNNNNNNNNNNNNNNNNNNNNNNNNNNNNNNNNNNNNNNNNNNNNNNNNNNNNNNNNNNNNNNNNNNNNNNNNNNNNNNNNNNNNNNNNNNNNNNNNNNNNNNNNNNNNNNNNNNNNNNNNNNNNNNNNNNNNNNNNNNNNNNNNNNNNNNNNNNNNNNNNNNNNNNNNNNNNNNNNNNNNNNNNNNNNNNNNNNNNNNNNNNNNNNNNNNNNNNNNNNNNNNNNNNNNNNNNNNNNNNNNNNNNNNNNNNNNNNNNNNNNNNNNNNNNNNNNNNNNNNNNNNNNNNNNNNNNNNNNNNNNNNNNNNNNNNNNNNNNNNNNNNNNNNNNNNNNNNNNNNNNNNNNNNNNNNNNNNNNNNNNNNNNNNNNNNNNNNNNNNNNNNNNNNNNNNNNNNNNNNNNNNNNNNNNNNNNNNNNNNNNNNNNNNNNNNNNNNNNNNNNNNNNNNNNNNNNNNNNNNNNNNNNNNNNNNNNNNNNNNNNNNNNNNNNNNNNNNNNNNNNNNNNNNNNNNNNNNNNNNNNNNNNNNNNNNNNNNNNNNNNNNNNNNNNNNNNNNNNNNNNNNNNNNNNNNNNNNNNNNNNNNNNNNNNNNNNNNNNNNNNNNNNNNNNNNNNNNNNNNNNNNNNNNNNNNNNNNNNNNNNNNNNNNNNNNNNNNNNNNNNNNNNNNNNNNNNNNNNNNNNNNNNNNNNNNNNNNNNNNNNNNNNNNNNNNNNNNNNNNNNNNNNNNNNNNNNNNNNNNNNNNNNNNNNNNNNNNNNNNNNNNNNNNNNNNNNNNNNNNNNNNNNNNNNNNNNNNNNNNNNNNNNNNNNNNNNNNNNNNNNNNNNNNNNNNNNNNNNNNNNNNNNNNNNNNNNNNNNNNNNNNNNNNNNNNNNNNNNNNNNNNNNNNNNNNNNNNNNNNNNNNNNNNNNNNNNNNNNNNNNNNNNNNNNNNNNNNNNNNNNNNNNNNNNNNNNNNNNNNNNNNNNNNNNNNNNNNNNNNNNNNNNNNNNNNNNNNNNNNNNNNNNNNNNNNNNNNNNNNNNNNNNNNNNNNNNNNNNNNNNNNNNNNNNNNNNNNNNNNNNNNNNNNNNNNNNNNNNNNNNNNNNNNNNNNNNNNNNNNNNNNNNNNNNNNNNNNNNNNNNNNNNNNNNNNNNNNNNNNNNNNNNNNNNNNNNNNNNNNNNNNNNNNNNNNNNNNNNNNNNNNNNNNNNNNNNNNNNNNNNNNNNNNNNNNNNNNNNNNNNNNNNNNNNNNNNNNNNNNNNNNNNNNNNNNNNNNNNNNNNNNNNNNNNNNNNNNNNNNNNNNNNNNNNNNNNNNNNNNNNNNNNNNNNNNNNNNNNNNNNNNNNNNNNNNNNNNNNNNNNNNNNNNNNNNNNNNNNNNNNNNNNNNNNNNNNNNNNNNNNNNNNNNNNNNNNNNNNNNNNNNNNNNNNNNNNNNNNNNNNNNNNNNNNNNNNNNNNNNNNNNNNNNNNNNNNNNNNNNNNNNNNNNNNNNNNNNNNNNNNNNNNNNNNNNNNNNNNNNNNNNNNNNNNNNNNNNNNNNNNNNNNNNNNNNNNNNNNNNNNNNNNNNNNNNNNNNNNNNNNNNNNNNNNNNNNNNNNNNNNNNNNNNNNNNNNNNNNNNNNNNNNNNNNNNNNNNNNNNNNNNNNNNNNNNNNNNNNNNNNNNNNNNNNNNNNNNNNNNNNNNNNNNNNNNNNNNNNNNNNNNNNNNNNNNNNNNNNNNNNNNNNNNNNNNNNNNNNNNNNNNNNNNNNNNNNUUUUCGUUUUUCACCCCAUCACCGUGCUUUUUUAGCUCUUUUGACAGCCCAAACCGAACCUUCAUCCUUUGAACAAGCUGACUGUGAUCCACGUUGGCGCCAAGCCAUGUCCACCGAACUUCAGGCUCUAGAACGAAACAACACUUGGGAGAUGGUCCCUCUUCCUCCGGGACACAAACCCAUUGGCUGCCGCUGGGUGUACAAGAUCAAAUACCAUUCUGACGGAACCAUUGAACGCUAUAAAGCCCGUUUGGUUGCCAAGGGCUACACACAGGUCGCCGGUAUCGACUAUCAGGAAACCUUUUCUCCAACUGCCAAACUCACCACUCUUCGCUGUUUGCUGACUGUCGCAGCUUCCAGAAAUUGGUACAUCCAUCAGCUUGAUGUGCACAACGCAUUCCUUCAUGGCAAUUUACAAGAAGAGGUUUAUAUGACUCCACCUCCUGGUCUUCGCCGAUAGGGGGAGAAUCUGGUAAGUCGGCUUCGCAAAUCUAUUUACGGUUUGAAACAGGCAUCACGCAAUUGGUUCUCAACUUUUACAGCUACUGUUAAGUCUGCGGGUUACAUACAGUCCAAAGCAGAUUAUUCACUUUUUACUAAAUCCCAAGGUAACAAGUUCAUUGCUAUUCUCAUUUAUGUUGAUGAUAUCCUGUUGACUGGUAAUGAUUUGCAUGAAAUCAAGAUGCUCAAGACUCAUCUGCUCAAGCAUUUUUUUAUUAAAGACCUCGGUGAAUUGAAAUAUUUUUUGGGUAUAGAAUUCUCUCGCUCUAAAAAGGGAAUCUUUAUGUCUUAAAGAAAAUAUGCAUUAGAUAUUUUGCAAGACACAGGAUUGACAGGAGUGAAGCCCGAAAAAUUUCCGAUGGAGCAAAACUUGAAAUUGACUGAUGAAGAUGGCGAGUUACUUCAUGAUCCAAGUAGGUAUCGGAGACUGGUUGGCAGAUUAAUAUACUUGACUGUAACCAGGCCUGACAUAGUGUAUUCAGUACGUACACUAAGUCAAUUCAUGAACACACCUCGGAAGCCGCACUGGGAAGCAGCAUUACGAGUCCUCCGAUAUAUUAAAGGGUCACCAGGUCAAGGUCUUUUUCUUCCAUCUGAAAAUAAUUUAACACUCAGCGCAUUUUGCGAUUCAGAUUGGGGAGGAUGUCGUAUGUCAAGACGUUCCGUUUCUGGUUAUUGUGUUUUCCUCGGAUCAUCACUCAUCUCUUGGAAAUAAAAAAAACAAACGAAUGUUUCACGUUCGUCAGCAGAAGCAGAGUACAGAGCAAUGGCGAAUACUUGCCUGGAAUUGACUUGGUUGAGGUACAUACUUAAAGAUUUGAAGGUUGAAUUGGACAAACCAGCACCAUUGUUUUGUGAUAAUCAAGCAGCUGUAUAUAUUGCAGCUAACCCAGUUUUUCACGAAUGUACUAAACACAUUGAGAUUGAUUGUCAUAUAGUUCGAGAAAAACUUCAAGCUGGGGUAAUUCGUCCGUGUUAUGUUUCUACAAAGAUGCAGUUGGCGGACGUUUUUACAAAGGCACUUGGCAGGGAGCAGUUCGAAUUUUUGUGCACCAAGUUGGGAGUUCUUGAUUUGCACUCUCCAACUUGAGGGGGAGUAUUAAGGAAAUUAUAUGUUAGUUAUUGUAUGAUUAUCUUGACAUAAUUAGCUGAUUGUAUAGGAGCAUAAUUAGCCUUAUAUUACUGAUUCUGUAGCUAUAAUUUAGGAGAAGAUUAGAUCAAACAUGUGUAUAUAUAUACUACAUUCUGUUAAUGAGAAAAGUAUCCAAUUUGAAGCCAAUCUCUUUAUUCUUGUUACCUCAACUCCCGGGGCGGCUCGGGCUUUCCUUAAAACGCUAGACAUUAAUUUCUCUAACCGCCCGCCUAAUGCCGGUGCCUCACUCUUGGCCUAUCAUGCCCAAGACAUGGUUUUUGCGGAUUAUGGGGCAAGGUGGAAGCUACUGAGAAAGCUAAGCAACUUACACAUGCUUGGUGGGAAGGCUCUUGAGGACUGGUCUCAGGUCCGAGCUGUUGAGCUAGGCCACAUGCUUCGAGCCAUGCUUGAGUUGAGCCAGCGAGCGGAGCCGGUGGUGGUGCCGGAGAUGUUAACUUUUUCCAUGGCCAACAUGAUAGGUCAAGUGAUUCUAAGCCGCCGGGUGUUUGAAACAAAAGGGUCGGAGUCAAAUGAGUUCAAGGACAUGGUGGUGGAGCUCAUGACCACUGCUGGGUACUUCAAUAUUGGCGAUUUUAUUCCGUCCAUCGCAUGGCUGGACAUCCAAGGGAUCCAGCACGGGAUGAAGCAUUUACAUAGGAAGUUCGAUCGGUUAUUAACAAAGAUGAUGGAGGAGCACACGGCGUCAGCCCAUGAGCGGAAGGGAAACCCAGAUUUUCUGGACGUGAUCAUGGCAAACCAAGAAAAUUCUACAGGGGAGAAGCUCACUAUUACCAACAUUAAAGCACUCCUCCUGGUAUGCAUAGUUAAAGCUCGUCUUUAAUUUUGUUUUCCGAUAUUUUCUUUCCUGAAACAGCACUUUUAUUGCUUUUAGAUAUGUACGUUUUUAUCAGGUAGCCAUUUUAGGGGCACAUCACUGUUCUUUAUUUGGAUUUUUUUUGUCUUUUUCCACUUGCAUGGUUGUUUUCAUAUGCUCAGCUGCAUGGCACAGGAAAAUUGUGAAAAAUGAUUGGUUCUCUGAUCAGACCUUCUGCACCAAAACAUAAUUCUCUCUAUUUUAUAAAAUCAAGAACAUUUAUGGUUUACAUGAUUUUUCGAACUUGAACUUUUGCUAGUGCUAAUGCAUGGAUCUCAAUUUUUCAAUUGCGUUUGAUUAUAUAAAUUUCAAGUAUGUGAACAUAUUUUUGUUUCCUUGGCUAGAAUUUAUUUACUGCAGGAACAGACACUUCAUCGAGCGUAAUCGAGUGGUCUCUGGCUGAGAUGUUGAAAAACCCGAGCAUCCUCAAGCGUGCUCACGAAGAAAUGGAUCAAGUGAUUGGAAGGAGCCGGCGGCUCGUGGAGUCUGACUUGCCAAAACUUCCAUACCUACAAGCCAUAUGCAAGGAAAGCUUCCGGAAGCACCCAUCCACCCCAUUGAACCUUCCUCGUGUCUCAACCCAAGCAUGCGAAGUGAACGGCUACUACAUCCCAGAGAACACUAGACUUAGCGUGAACAUAUGGGCAAUUGGGCGAGACCCUGAUGUCUGGGAAAGCCCGGAAGAAUUCAGGCCAGAAAGGUUUUUAAGUGGAAGAAAUGAAAAAAUUGAUCCUCGUGGAAAUGAUUUUGAGUUGAUCCCGUUUGGGGCUGGACGAAGGAUUUGCGCUGGCACUAGAAUGGGAAUAGUGCUGGUUGAGUACAUUUUAGGGACGUUGGUACAUUCAUUUGACUGGAAAAUGCCGGAUGGAGUUGAGAUCAACAUGGACGAAGCUUUCGGGCUUGCACUGCAGAAGGCAGUUUCUCUUUCGGCCAUGGUGACACCAAGGCUUCACCAGAGUGCGUAUGCAGUCUGAGCUCAAACCGCUCAGACCAAAACCCAGGCCUCGCUGCUAUAUGGCAUGGAUGCAGUUAAGUAGAAAAUAUUUUGGGAUGCCUGUGGCUUAGUAUAAGAUGUAUUAGCUCAAAGAUGGUCGUUUCAUUCUACCACCAAGCCAUAUGCAUCUAUGCAUAAUCUAUUGAUUUAGGCUCGAUUUGGUUAUAGUUUUUGUUUUUUUGUCUUCCAAAUCAGUAAAUAGUAGGGGUAUUUUUGUCCUAUGUAGUGAUUCUUUUUGUUUGAUUGAUUAUAUUUGGAUCCUUCAAAUAUUCCUACACAACUAUUAACCUCCUUCAAAAAUAUAUAGUUAAGGGCCUUGGUCAGAGCCAUCUCCAUCUUUUCACUUCUUGUGCUGCAGUAUGGGAUUGGCUUAGAUGAUCGUUAGUCUAAUGUUUCCUUUUCAACAUCAUAAUUCAGCGCAAACUAAGUUGAAUAUUCAACAACAAAUAAGUACAGAAAAUAAUGGAAGAAAAAUUCCCACUUUAUCUCCGUAAAGUAAUGCCAUAUUUUUCUUCAUACUUACCUUCUAGAUUUUUGUUGGAGCUCUGAGCCCGUGAUCCAUUAGAUGAUUGCGUGUGUGCAUAUGCAUGUGGGUGAUUGCGUGUAAUACGUACGUACGUUCCAUGAUUCAUGUUCGAAGUACCCUCUCUUAUUUAUCGUUGAAGAGGCUAUCGUCACAAACUCUAUUGAUUAAUUAGUCUAGGCAAAUUAAGGCGCGAUAACGACCGAUGUAUAUCUUAAAAGUAACGAUUAAGAGAAUAUUAUAUGUACAAGGGAAAAAUCUACAUAUAAUUAUUGAUGCAACUUGCAAGUGGGAUAAAAUUUGGGAUGGGGAUUAUUAUAAAUUAAUCUCAAUCCAUAAUUGUGAUUGUGGAGUAUAAAUUAAAUGAUUCAUAAUCCAUCUACAUGAAGAUUAAAACCCAUAUUGAAAAUAGCUUUAAAAAACUAAUUUAUAAGAAUAAUUUUUGCAUCAUAUUUUGUGUGCUUGAACUCGUUUCCUAUAUUUUUAAAUAUAUAUUAAAUAUAAUUUUCUUUUAUUUAUAGUGUUUUAUUUUUAAUUAUUCUUCAUAUUUAUAUAAUUAUUUUUUAAAACAAUCAUGAUAAAAAGCAAAAAGAAGUGAAAAUAGCUUAAUAUAAUUAAAGACAAAUAUCUUAUUUUUUGUUAUCUGUUGUUAUUGUUUUUUCUUUUUGUUAACCCCCUUCAAAUCUAAUUAUUCAUACUCAAUUUUGACACGAAAGAGCCAUUGUCAUGAAAGGGGGAGGUCCAUCAUUUUGGUACGAUGCCAACUCUACCACAUAACCACCAUUUAGAUAUCUAUCCUUUUAUUUUUGGCAUGUGAACUUAUAGUGGGUGGCUGACCUUGAAUCCACUAGUUAUCAUGUUGAAAUUAACCACCAUUUAGAUAUCUAUCCUUUUAUUUUUGGCAUGUGAACUUACAGUAAGUCCGAUUUAUGUCCAAGGGUCAAAUUUAAAUCUCUCUUCAAUCUAAUGGCUAAGAACUUCCCAACUUUAUUUAAUACUUAAUGUAUCCAAUAAUUGUAAUCGAGUAAUCCAAUGACAAGUACCUUCAAUGACUAUUUUGGCAAAAGAAAAAAGAAAAAAAGAAAUAAUAUAAGUUUGUUAUUUUAUGAUAUAAUAAAUUUAUUAAUACUUUCCUUUUUCAAAAUAUGUAAUUAGUUGUAAUUUCAUUAUAUAAUAUAUAAAUUAAGUUAUUUGCAAUUUUAAAAUAUGUUCAUUUUGUUUUUUUUUAAGUGUUAAUUAAAAAUUAUACAAUUUUGUUUUAUAAAAAGUAUUUAGUACUUUUAAUUUUAUAAAUUACAAACAUUAAUUAUACUAUUUUCUUAAAAUAUUUAGUUUAGUAUGCAUAUUAUUAGUUGUUUUCUCAUAUCUCAAGUUUCAAUCAAAAAAAUAUUUAUGAUUUGUUUUUGUUAAUUUGUGUCUUGUUUUCAAUUUAAUUAAUGAAAAGUUAUUUGAUCAAAAGGUUCAUUACAAACCAAUUUUAAAAAUUUAAUCCUUUAUUAUAUUUUGAUAUUGUUUUGAUAAAAAUGUCUUUAUUAUUUUUUAAAUAUAUUGUAAAUAUUUAAAAUAAUUAAAAAUAUUUAGAUCAAAAAUCGAUUAUUUUUCAAACAAAAAUAUGAAAGUGAUAAAUUUGCAAAUGUGGGGAAUAUUUAAUCCUUUUAAUCGAUUAUUUCAUUAAUGAAGUGGGUAUAAUGAUGAACGCAGACUUGGUUUUACUAGGGCAUGCAGAGGUUUUGCAAGAGAGAGAGAUCAUUUCUCGACUCUGAGAAAUCAAUCUCCUUUUGGCCCGGUGGCGGACUCCAAGUAAAGCCUUGAAGGAGCCUUGCUAACAUCCCUGCACACCCACGCCUUCCAGUACUGAAGGAAAUGAAGCGAAGGUUUGGCUCGUUCAACUCCACUGCUUGAACUGUACUAGCAUUCAGAUGCCGCUCUGGAUUGAAAUUUAGCGGUUCUUCCCAGAUUCUAGGGUUCCGGCCCAGCCCCAGACGGCUCAGAAGGACAUGACUGCCUUUGGGGAUAGAGUACCCAGCAACACUAGUCGGAUUCCUGAACUCGUCUAUCCUUUCCAACCACUCCAUCAAUUUCUUCACUGCUUUGCUCAAAAUCCCUGGUUGCUUGAUCAUUGCCUACUCAAUUGCAUUUGAUGGACUAUCGAAGCCUGCAAGCAUCAACUCCUGCAAAUUAUGGAAGGAUCAUAAUCUCAUGAUUGAUCAAGUUAUUUGCUGGCUAGGAAAUGAUCAUCAUGCAAUGUAGAUCAAAAGGUAAGCACAACACUACUACAAAAAUAAUUUAUGGUGUCAUUUUUAAAAUAAUGACACCAUAGGGUUUAUAAUUAAUAAAGGUGAUACAUCAUAUGAAAAUUCUUCAAUUGAGGUAGUUAGAUUAUGUUAGUUUUAUAUUUAUAGUGUCAUUUUUUGGGAAGUAACAUCAUAUAAAAUAAUUUUUUUUUAAGUAUUAUAACUUAAUGAGCCCACUUUUAUAAUUAAUAAUGAGGGAUAAUGUAUAAAAAGCCCAUUGUUUCCACAUGCCACCCACAAUCCAAAAAAUCUCAGUAUACAAACCUUAUAUAUAAAACCAUAAUCUUCUUCUACCUUUUCUCUUACCUAUAGUCAACACACUUAUAACCGACAUUUUCCACUUUGUGGACUCCCAAGUUAUCCAAAUUCUCUUAGAUCUAUCCUAUUUUUUUUCUUUUAUUAAUAUCAUUAUAUUGAUUGUUUCAGCAUCUUUGUAUUAUGGUUUUUGUGAACUGCAUUUUCUUGAGUUGUAGGGAAGAAAAACUUAGGUUUAAACUUCUAGCAUAGACAAAGAAACUUGUAGAUUAAUUGAUUUUUUAAUAUGAACCAAACACAUGACCGACUUUUUCUGUGUGUAAUAAGGACAGCUAGUAUUCAUGCAUAAAAUCAGCAUCAGAAUUCGUAACUGCAUUUGAUCAGCUAGUUUAGUAAAUCUGUACAACUCAUUCUUUCCUUUAUUUUCACAUAUGUUGUUAUACGUUAGCACAAGUUUAGGAGUAAUUUUAGUUUCUCAAAUCUGUAUUUAUACCUCUUCUUCUAAUAAGAAUUGUGUGAAUCAUUUUGUCUAAACCUCUUUAUGGUAUCAGAGCACACCUCAAAACUCCAACAAGUAUUUCCUGUCUUUCUCGCUUCUGCUAUGGCCACUUCUUCCUCUGAUAGUUUUCCAAUAGCCAUCAAUGCCACCCAGCAAAUUACUGCACGUCUUACACCAACCAACUUCCCUUCAUGGCAUGCUCAAUUUGAGUCUCUCCUCCUCGGCUAUAACCUCUUUGGCUAUGUCGAUGGCACUCAUACCUGCCCACCCCUACCGAUGUCAACUAAUGCAGCUGCCACUACAGCUCAUCACCUUUGGUUCCAUCAGGACAAACUUAUUCUAAGUGCAAUUUUGACUUCAGUGUCCCUAGCUGUGAUACCACUCAUAGCAACCUCCCAAACGUCAUAUCAAACCUGGACAAAACUGACAAAACUGUAUGCUAGUCGAUCCAGGACUCGUGUCAUGCAGCUCAAAGAGGAUCUCACCCUCAUGCAAUGUGGCAAUCGCAGCAUUACAAAGUACCUACACUCUGUAAAAACCAUUGUCGAUGAGCUUGCUCUCAUCGAUGCCCCAUUAUCUCAAGAUGACAUCACCCUAUAUGUUCUUCAUGGCUUAGGAUCAAAUUUUCGUGACAUUGUUGCCCCGAUUCGAGCCCGAGAGUCUUCACUCUCAUUGUUGCAAAAUACUGUCCGAAAUUGAAACCCUCUGAAGCCACUGUGAACUGCACAACUACUACUUCCAGUCCCGACAAACGUUGGCUCAUUGAUUCUAUGGCUUCCCAUAAUAUCACUUCUCAGGUUUCAAAUUUACAAUUUCACUCUGAAUAUGAUGGUACUGAUGAAGUUAUUAUUGGAGAUGGAUCAGGUUUGCCCAUUACUCAUUCUGGUUCUCUUACUCUUUCAUUUCCAAACAGAAAAUUUCAAGUUGAAGAUACUCUAUGUGUUCCUACCAUUAACAAAAACUUGAUAUCUGUUCACCACUACACAAAGCAAAACAAUGUUAUCCUGGAAUUUCACCCAACUUAUUUUCUUGCGAAGGAUUGGAGAACGGGGGAGAUUCUUCUUCAAGGACCGUGUGAAAAUGGAGUCUACCCUCUGGCCUCAUCGCCUGCUGCUACUCCAAUUGCUUUUGUCCAUGAACGCACAUCAGCAGCUGGUUGGCAUCAUCGCCUUGGUCAUCGAUCAUUCAAAGUUGUCACUCGCCUCAUUAGUUCUUUCUCCCUUCCCACCACUUCAUGUCUUUCUGGUUCUAAUAAUUGUCAUUCGUGUUCUAUCAAUAAAGCUCAUCAGUUACCCUUUCAUAAACACGGUCUAACUAGCACAACACCAUUUGAUUUACUUUACACUGAUGUAUGGGGACCUUCUCCCACUCCUAGUCUCAAUGGCCACAGAUAUUAUGUUAUUUUUGUUGAUCACUUUACCAAAUAUGGUUGGUUCUUUCCAUUGCAUCAAAAAUCAGAUGUUAAAACCAUAUUUCCUCAUUUCUACAAAAUGAUUGAAACUCGUUUUAACAUAAAAAUUAAAGGAGUUUAUUCCGAUAAUGGGGGCGAGUUCACUGUUCUUCGACCCUUUUUCACAACCCAUGGCAUUAGUCAUUAUACGACAGCCCCUUAUACACCCCAACAAAAUGGAGUGUCUGAGCGUCGUCAUCUCCAUAUUGUGGAGACAGGUCAAACCCUUCUAAGUCAUGCCUCUCUUCCAUCAGAAUAUUAGGCUUAUGCUUUUGCAACAGCCACAUAUCUAAUCAAUCGACUUCCAUCACCUGUUCUUCAUCAUAUAUCACCUCUUCAAGCAACAACCUCGGUAUGAAAAAUUACGUUCCUUUGGAUGUCUUUGCUUUCCCUUGAUGAAGCCGUAUAACACAAACAAAUUUCAAAAGAAAUCCGUUCCUUGUAUCUUUGUUGGCUACUCUACUAGCCAAAGUGCAUAUCUAUGUCUUCAUCUACAAAGUCAGCGCAUAUACACCUCCAAACACGUAACCUUUGAUGAAUCUGUUUACCCCUUCAAACAGGUUUCCAUGCAAUCACCCACUGACUCAUCCCCAUCAGAAACCUCUUCUUUUUCAGGACCAAUUUUGCAGCUUGCUUCCAGGGAGCUUCCAACAAUCACACGGGCUCAAGGAGAUAUCCCCUCUGCUUCUUCGACUCCAAGUGAAGAUCCAGCUCUUGUGCAACCUCAAGAGGCACCACUUUCCACUUUAGAUCAGGUAACUCUUAGACCUUCUACUUCUGUUUCUCAACCAGAAAAUUCAAUGCCAUCCUCUCCACCACCAUGUCCACGAACCAUCAUCACUCGCUCCAUGAACAAUAUCUUUCGGCCAAAACAACUCCACACCACCACCAAGCACCCCUUACCUGAACCACCCGAACCAAGUUGUGUAAGUCAAGCUCUUAAAGACCCUCACUGGUGCAAGGCUAUGUCAGAAGAAGUGACAACCCUCCUUUAACAUGGGACGUGAGAACUGGUUCCUCCCACUCCUGGCCAGAAUCUUGUUGGGUGUAAAUUUGUGUUUCGGAAGAAACGAAAUCCAGAUGGAACAAUCAGUCGAUAUAAAGCUCGACUUGUCGCUAAAGGAUUUCAUCAACGGCCAGGUAUUGACUACUCUCAAACCUUCAGCCCUGUCGUAAAGCCAGUAACAAUUAGGCUUCUUUUAACCAUUGCUGUCAUGCAUGGCUAGCCCCUUCGUCAGUUAGACAUCAAUAAUGCAUUCUUGCAUGGUAAUCUUGAAGAAACAGUCUUCAUGCAUCAACCUACAGGAUUUGAAGAUCCAUCUCAACCUCAGUAUGUUUGCAAGCUAAAAUAGAGUAUCUAUGGUCUUAAACAAGCCCCAUGACAGUGGUACAAGGCCCUUCGGGAUGCACUUCUCAGCUUUGGUUUUAUUCACUCGGCCACUGACAACUCUUUGUUUAUCUAUAAGUCUCAUGAUAUCUUGUGCUACUGCCUUGUUUAUGUUGAUGACAUAAUUGUCACAAGCAACACACUCAGCUUUGUGAAUAACAUUAUAAACAAGCUUGGCUCUACAUUCUUAGUCAAAGAUAUGGGCUCCUUGCAUUAUUUCUUGGGAAUAGAAGUGAUUCCAAUGCCACAGGGGCUCUUUCUAUCUCAACAUCAGUAUAUAUGGGAUCUCCUUUCACGAACCUCCAUGGAAAAUGCUAAAGAAACACUCACUCCAAUGUCCACUACAGCCAAGCUUACGGUUCAAGAUAAUUUUGAAUGUGUUGACAGCACUGAGUAUCGCAAGAUCAUUGGAGCACUUCAGUAUUUGGGACUCACUCGUCCCGAUAUUGCCUUUGCAGUCAACAGAUUAUCUCAGUUCAUGUAGAAGCCGACAACAAACCAUUGGGCCGCAGCAAAAAGACUACUCAGCUAUCUUAAACAGACCAUGUUUCAUGGUAUCCUUCUCCAAAAUCAUGAUCAAUUCCAACUCAAGACCUAUAGUGAUGUGAAGUGGGCAUUAAAUACGGACACUCGUGUUUCAACCACUACUUUCAUCACAUUCAUUGGUCCUAAUCCAAUCUCAUGGUCUGCACGCAAGCAAAUGGCAGUCUCAAGAUCAUCUAUAGAAGCAGAGUUUCGGGCACUAGCUACUGCCACACAGAAACAGUUUGGCUUCAUUCUCUUAUCAAGGAACUUGGUCUCACUCUCAGAGAAGCACCUCAAAUGUUUUGUGAUAAUAUUGGUGCCAACCAUUUCAGUUUAAAUCCAGUCCAGCACAGACGGAUGAAACACAUUGAAAUUGAUCUCCUCUUUGUACGAGAUCUUGUCAAAAAGGGAACUAUUCGUGUUCAGCACAUCCAUACCAUUGAUCAACUAGCUAAUCUCCUUACAAAAUCACUCUCACAUCAACGCUUUCAACUAUUAAGAUCCAAGAUUGGUGUUGCAGAUGGCACCUCCAUCUUGAGGGGGCAUAUAAGGACAGCUAGUAUUCAUGCAGAAAAUCAGCAUCAGAAUUCGUAACUGCAUUUGAUCAGCUAGUUUAGGAAAUCUGUACAACUCAUUCUUUCCUUUAUUUUCACAUAUGUUGUUAUACGUUAGCACAAGUUUAGGAGUAAUUUUAGUUUCUCAAAUCUGUAUUUAUACCUCUUCUUCUAAUAAGAAUUGCGUGAAUCAUUUUGUCUAAACCUCUUUAUAUUUAUGUGAGAAUGACAGGUACAAAAUUUUGUUGAGAUAUACUGCCCCAUAAUCUUCAUCCUUUCCCUAAAAUGAGAGAGGGAAAAAAAAAAAGGAAUGAUUUUUUUUGUGUGUAUCUAAGUGGGAACAAGAGAUAUAGAAUUUCGUUGAGAUGCAGUGCUGCCACAUGAUCUUUAUCCUCCAUUAAACCCAACAUAUUAAAUCCACUAACUCUCUCCCCAAAAAUGAGUAAAAAAAAAAAAAAGGAAAAAAGUAUGAGUUAAAAAACAAAAACGGAAAAUAUGAUUUUUUUAAUGUGUUUCUAAGGAGAAUGAGAGAUACAUAUUUUUGUUAAGAUGCAUUGCCACGUGUUCUUCAUCCUCUCCAUUAAGCCUAAUAUAUUAAACCUAAUAGCUCUCUCUUUUAAGCUUUCCAAUGAAGUGCCUAUAGUAUCCAACUCAAAAUAAGACAACUUAAGCCCCAUUAGCCAACAACCCAUAUUUUGUGUACAUCUUGAUGAGAUUAUUUUGUGAGAAAAUGUCAUGAAACAAUCCCAAUUUGAUAAUCUAGGCAUGUAUUUGAGUUAAAAAUAAAUUUCUAUUCUAUAGAUCAAAGAAUAAAAUCAUGUUUGAAAAUUAUUUUUAAAAACUUAUUUAGAGCAAAAAUAGUUUUCUAACAUAAAAAUAAUUUUUUAACUGAGAAAAUAUAUUUGAAAUUAUUUGAUAGAAAAUUGGGCAUGUAUUUGACUUAAAAACAAAUUUCUAUUCUAUAGCUCCAAUAAUAAAAUCAUGUUUGAAAAUUAUUCUUAAAAACUUAUUUAGAGCAAAAAUGGUUUUCUAACAUUAAAAUAAUUUUUUAAUUUAGAAAAUAUAUUUGGAAACAGUUGAUAGAAAACUGGGCAUGUAUUUGACUUAAAAAUAAAUUAUUAUUCUAUAGAUCAAAGGAUAAAAUCAUGUUUGAAAAAUAUUCUUAAAAACUUAUUUAGAGUAAAAACAGUUUUCUAACAUAAAAAUAAAUUUUUAACUUAGAAAAUAUAUUUGAAAACAUUUGAUAGAAAACUUUUUUUUUUAAUGUCAAUAAGUUGUCUUUUUGUUAAUUUAAUUGUAAUCAAUUUUCUUAUACGCAUUUAAAAGUAUAUAUUAUCAUAUUUAGUAAUAUUUUGAUUAUUAGGCAAAUUAUCAUUUUUGAGAGGAAUUUUUGUAGCUCUCAUAAUUAUAAUUGUAUUUUAAUAACCACUUCCAAUAAAUAAAAAAAAGAAAAAAAAAGUUAGACAAUUAUCAAAAUCUGAUUUUUAGGAUUUUAAAAAAAUCUACAAGCCAAAACUAUUUAUAAUUUUGAUCAUGUGAGAACACUUCUUUUUUAAUACUUUGAGUUAUUUUGUUUUUUUUUUUUCUUAGUAUCUGAAAGUAUAAAAGAAUUUCUCAUAUAUGUGCAUGUGUGUUCUCAUGGUUGUUUAUGUCAUGUCUUAUUAAAGAAUGAAGUGAAGUUUCCUUUGAGUGGAAGGUUUUAGUCCACGCUAGUCAGUGGACACGGUAUGAAUAGUUUGGGUGGGUUGUAUCUAUGGUAAAAAAAUAAUAAAAGACAACUUUUGCAAGUCUCCAAGUUGGUUGAGAUACAUGAUGUCAUGUUGACUAGACCUUGACUUUUGCAAGUCUCCUAGUUUCCAACUUUUUUUUCUUUUUUUUUUUUAAUAUUAAGGUGUGGGGCCAUGAACUCCUUUCUUUCCUUUUUAAAUAACAAAAAGGAAGAUAAUUUUAUUGUGAGAAGGCUAUUGCUACCAAUUGUGUUCACGUCGAGAAUUUUUUAAUUUACGGAGGCCAUAUAUAUAUAUAUUUAUGUCUAAUUUAGGAGGGUAAUUUGGGUUUGUCUAAUCUAUUCCAUUUAAUCAUACUAUACAAUCAUUUUUUUUUAUUUGGAUUAUUCUUGUAUUAAAUUUCUUCAACCCAAAUUUUGUUGAAAAGUUACAAUGUAUUAUUGAAAAUAUGACUUGGUAGUUGAUUAUGGAUAUGUGUCAUUUUUAGUAUAAAAAAAAAAUAAAUCUAUAACAUUUUAUAUUGAUAAUAUAUUAUUCUUGUAACAGGUUUGAAUAAUAAGCAAGUCAUUGUCAAAGAAGUUAUUGAAAGUGUAAGUGUACAUUUAUUUAUUGCAUGCUCUUAUAUUGUAUCAAUUGUAAGGAAGAUAAAAUUACCUUGUAAAGGUAAUUAAAUCUUUCUAUAUUUUAAAAACUUUUUUCCUAUAUACUAUGCUUUUGAAGCUUGUUUAAUUAAACAUAUUAGUUAUUUGACAAACUUUUCACAAAUGUUUUGUAUACUUAUGUGUUCUAUUUUGUUCCAUAGUUUUAUUGCAUAAUACUAAUGUAUAUUUUUUCACAAACUUUUUACAACUAUUUUGUGUACUAAUGCAUAUUAAGUUUUGUUCUUGCCUAUAUAAGCUACAUUUAGUUAUUUAAAUAUAUCUAAUAUUAUGUUGAAGAAAGAUGUACUUACUUAACUUUUUUUAUUCUAAAUAUUAACAAGUUUUUCAGUUCUCUUGUCUCGAGAUUGAAUGUCAAAAGAUAGAAGGUCAGUUGAGUAUGAUGAAAGAGUUGAAAACUUUAUCAAUUUUGCAUUAGCACAUUCAAUCAACCAUUCCCCUAUAAAAUGCCCAUGCUUACGUUGUGCAAAUCUGUUAUGUCAAACUCUUCAAGUCAUUACAGAACAUUUGUUCUUUAAUGGAAUCGAUCUUAGUUAUCGAGUAUGGUAUUGGCAUGGAGAAAAUGGACCCAGUGGAGGAUUUUCAAAUGUCUCACAACAACAUUAUGACAAAUGCAAGUAUAAUGAUGUUGUUGACACAAUAGAUAUGGUUAAUGCUGCACAAGUUAAUUGUAUGAAUGAUCCCUAAGUGUUUGGAAGGUUACUUGAAGACGCAGAAAAACCUUUAUAUCUUGGAUGCAUGAAAUACACAAAGUUGUCAGCAUUGGUAAAACUUUACGACUUGAAAGCAUGUUAUGGUUGGUUUGACAAAGGAUUCUCAAAAUUGCUUCAGUUGCUUGGAGAUAUGUUGCCAUUGAAUAAUGAGAUGUCAUUGUCCAUGUAAGAAGCUAAAAAUACUUUUAGUGCACUUGGGAUGAAUAUAACAAAAUUCAUGCAUGUUCUAAUGAUUGUAUUUGGUAUAGAAACCAGUAUAAGGAUGCUAUUGCAUGCCUAACUUGUGGAAAGUCAAGGUGGAAGAUAAACAAUGAGGGGAAAAAGAUUAAGAAGGGGCUUCCUUCAAAGGUUUUAUGGUAUUUCCCACCAAUCCCUAGAUUCAAAAGGAUGUUCCAAUCCUCAAAAACCGCUAAACAUCUUAUGUGGCAUGCCAAGGAUAAAGAAUAUGACGGUAAACUAUGCCACCCAUCAGACUCCUUAGCGUGGAAACUAGUUGACCAUAUGUGGCUUGAUUUUGCUUCUGAACCGAGGACCUUAGACUAGCACUCUCAACAGAUGGUACAAAUCUUCAUAAGUCUAUAAGCAAUAGACAUAGUUGUUGGCCUGUUAUACUGAUCAUAUACAACCUUCCUCCUUGGUUGUGCAUGAAAAAGAAGUUUAUGAUGCUAUCAUUAUUGAUCUCAGGACCACGACAACCUGGUAAAAAUAUAGAUGUUUACUUGAGUCCAUUGGUAGAUGACCUUAAAACUUUGUGGGAAAAAAAAGUUAAGACUUAUGAUGCACACUUGCUUGAGGUUUUUACUUUAAAGGUCAUCAUUUUAUGGACAAUCAGUUAUUUCCCUACAUAUGAAAACUUGGCCAAUUGCACCGUGAAAGGAUAUUAUGCAUGUCCAAUAUGUGGAGAAGGAACAUAUUCCCAAAGAUUAAAGUAUGGUAGGAAGAACUUGUAUAUGGGUCACCGACGAUUUCUUCCACGUAACCAUCCCUAUUGGAGACAAAAGAAGGCACUCAAUGGUGAACAAGAUUUUAGAAUUCCUCCUAAAAUUUUGAGUGGAGAAGAAAUACUUGAAAAAGUUGAUCUCAUUCCUAUUUCUUGGGGAAAAAUGAAGAUAAAAUCUCUUGAACUGAUGUGAACACAAAUUGUUGGAAAAAAAAGUCCAUAUUUUUUUAGUUAGAAUAUUGGAAAUAUCUUCAUAUCUUUCACAACUUGGAUGUUAUGCACAUCGAAAAGAAUGUCUGUGAGAGUAUUAUUGGUCCUUUGUUUAACAUCCUAGGAAAAAAAAAAUGGACUUAAUGCUCAACUUGACCUAGUUGAAAUGGGUUUAAAGUCUGAACUUUUCCCAAGAGUUGACUUGAAGCGGACCUAUCUUCCCCCUGCAUGUUAUUCACUAUCCAAACAUAUAUGACAAAAAAUUAGUUUGUCAAACAUUGUCUAAUUUGAAGGUCCCUGAGGGGUAUUGCUCAAAUUUGAGAAAUCUUGUCUCCUUAGAGGAAUUGAAGUUAUUUGGUUUAAGAUCCCAUGACUACCAUGCACUUAUGCAACAACUAUUGCUAGUGGCAUUACGUUUUGUUUUGCUAAAGCAUGUGAGAUAUACUAUAUCAAGAUUGUGUAUCUUCUUCAAUCAAUUAUGUACAAAAAUGGUUGAUGUGCCAAAAUUGGAUGAAGUACACAAUGAGUUAGUGGUCACGCUGUGCUUACUUGAAAAGUAUUUUUCACCUUCAUUUUUUGAUAUUAUGCUUCAUCUAGUAGUGCAUUUGAUAAGGGAGGUGUGACUAUGUGGUUCAGCUUACUUUAGGUCGAUCUACCCAUUUGGGAGGUAUAUGAAAGUUCUUAAAGAAUUGUUCGCAAUCAUAAUUGGCCUGAAGGAUGCAUUACUAAGUGCUAUUUAGUAGAAAAAGCUAUCGAAUUUUGUACUGAAUAUUUAUUAGGGACUUAUGCAAUUGGAAUUCCAAAAGCAACAAUUAUGACAACAAAUUUCGUAGACCUAUUGAUUACUACUCAAAAAGUGCUAUUUGAUAGCUUGUAAUUAAUCCUUUUAAACACUUUUGAGUAGUAGUUAUUGCCUUUUAACCCAAUUAACAUGUUAAGGACCCUUGCAAUCAUUUCUUAUCAAAUUGUGUAAGUUUUGGUGUUUUUGUUAGUAAUUUGAUCACCAAAACAAUCCAAGAUUGAGGAGAGUUAUUUGGAAUCCAUGGCAAAGCAAUGAAGAGCUCAAAUUCAUGAAGAACCAAGCUUUGGAGCUCCAUAGCCCUUUGCCAAAGUCGUUCAAAGUAUGCAAGGAAAGAGCACUGGAGAGAGGAAAAACAGAGUGAAGAAAACAGAGGAAAGCUAGAUGUAGUCUUCUUUCACACUUUUGGAGCAAUUUCCGAAGUCCAUUUUCUACAUUCGAUAUACCAUUUCAAAGCUCAGGAAGUCAAGAAUCCAAUGCUUCAAACGGUGCAUGAUUCGGAGUUGAAACGAAGGAGUUACAGCCAUUGCAAGCAGAUCACUCCAAAGUGUUGCGAAAUCAGCCUUUUGUUGCGAGAAUUUCGCAGCCUUUUUGUACAGUGCUAUGGAAUUCCUCCUAAAGUUGCCCGAUAUAUGCCGCAAGCUGGAAGCUGAGAACAUCAAGGUGGAAGCCAACUUCGCAGCCCUACGAGAAUAACUUGUUGAUGCGAAAAUAUUUCGCAGCCCUCUUGAGUGUCUGCGAAAUCUCGCAGACACCAUUUUCACCUGCGAAAUGUUCCUGGAGCUUCCCGAUAUUUUUGCACCGACUCUUUUGGAUAUUUUUCUUCAGAUAUUUUUGUAUAAAUUUCCAUUCUUCUCCUUGUAAGCCACGAACCAUAAGAUUUCUUAGUUAGGAAGGUUGGAAAAACAUCUCUAUAUAUAUUCCUUUGCAUCCACUGUAAUCAUAUAUCAUAUAUAGAAUAUACAGAGCCUUGCUCUGUUUUUCCUUCUCUUUCAUUUUUCAUUUAUUUUUAUUUCUAGCCAACCAAACUUUGAGGAUUUUUCCACAGAGGAUGAGAGGCUAAGCUUUUUGUCUCUUGGAGUGAGGAAAGCCGGGUAAGUUUCCACAUGCAUAAUUUGGAAGUUUUGUUGUUUUAGUUUUUAAUGAAGAGAAAGUGUGACCCGUUAGUGAUUUCUAUGUUUUUAGUUAACUUAAAACGCCUUUAAAUCACCUGGGCCAACACUUGGUAAGGCAAGUGAUUUCCAACCAUGGAAAUGCACUAGUUUACCCCUUGCGAGCCUUUGGGAGGUGACUUGAAGGUAGGAUUUUCUAGAAUAGCCAACACUUGGUAAGCUUUUGGACUCCAAGGAGACAUCCAUUAGUUAUCUCUUGCGAGCUUUUGACGGGUAAUCCAAGGUUAAAGAUCACCUUGAAUGGCAAGUGCUAGGUGAGAGGUAUGAGUCAUUGUAAGAUGCAUCAGUGAGAGGGAUUUAGUGAUUGAACCCAUUAAUGGGAAGCAUCUGUACAACACCGGUUAGAGAAUUAACUAUAUGUUAAUUCUCUAAUGCGAGGAAAAUAAACAAGUGACCGGAACUCUCCAUUUUGUAUGAGGAACAAGCCUAGUGAUCUGAACUCCAAGAAACACUUUUCUUUGUAGUUAAAACCAGUUACUAUUUUUUGUUAGCUUAAAACCAAACCUUUUUCAUUUAAACAUCUUUAUGUUUCUUUUAAAGCUAACCUUGAAAUGAAAAGGCACCAAUUCAGCUUUGAAUUGAUAUCAUUUGUGAAGUGAAAACCCAUCCCAGUGAACGAUCCUAGAGCCACUAUGCUAUAGUAGCUUUGUCUUUGCUACCCUAGUUCAUGGUGUAAUAGGUUAUAAAUUUUGUUGAUUACUCCCUCAAUCAAGGAGCACCAGCUGGACACGAAUCAGCUGAGACACCAAGUGGGCNNNNNNNGUUCAUGGUGUAUUAGGUUAUAAAUUUAGUUGUUUACUCCCUCAAUCAAGGAGCACCAGCUUGACACGAAUCAGCUGAGACACCAAGUGGGCACGAAUCAAAUGGCGCCAUUUGCUUCGUCCGUAGCAGUGGCAGUGGCAAUGGCACCAUUUGAUUCGAGGUUCAAUCCCAGGCAACGGCGCCAUUUGAUUCGUCCCUAGCAGUGGCAGUGGCAAUGGCACCAUUUGAUUCGAGGUUCAAUCCCCGGCAGCGGCGCCAUUUGAUUCGUGUCCACUUGGUGUCUCAGCUGAUUCGUGUCCAGCUGGUGCUCCUUGAUUGAGGGAGUAAUCAACAAAAUUUAUAACCUAUUACACCAUGAACUAGGGUAGCAAAGACAAAGCUACUAUAGCAUAGUGGCUCUAGGAUCGUUCACUGGGAUGGGUUUUCACUUCACAAAUGAUAUCAAUUCAAAGCUGAAUUGGUGCCUUUUCAUUUCAAGGUUAGCUUUAAAAGAAAACAUAAAGAUGUUUAAAUGAAAAAGGUUUGGUUUUAAGCUAACAAAAAAUAGUAACUAAUUUUAACUACAAAGAAAAGUGUUUCUUGGAGUUCAGAUCACUAGGCUCGUUCCUCAUACAAAAUGGAGAGUUCCGGUCACUUGUUUAUUUUCCUCGCAUUAGAGAAUUAACAUAUAGUUAAUUCUCUAACCGGUGUUGUACAGAUGCUUCCCAUUAAUGGGUUCAAUCACUAAAUCCCUCUCACUGAUGCAUCUUACAAUGACUCAUACCUCUCACCUAGCACUUGCCAUUCAAGGUGAUCUUUAACCUUGGAUUACCCGUCAAAAGCUUGCAAGAGAUAACUAAUGGAUGUCUCCUUGGAGUCCAAAAGCUUACCAAGUGUUGGCUAUUCUAGAAAAUCCUACCUUCAAGUCACCUCCCAAAGGCUCGCAAGGGGUAAACUAGUGCAUUUCCAUGGUUGGAAAUCACUUGCCUUACCAAGUGUUGGCCCAGGUGAUUUAAAGGCGUUUUAAGUUAACUAAAAACAUAGAAAUCACUAACGGGUCACACUUUCUCUUCAUUAAAAACUAAAACAACAAAACUUCCAAAUUAUGCAUGUGGAAACUUACCCGGCUUUCCUCACUCCAAGAGACAAAAAGCUUAGCCUCUCAUCCUCUGUGGAAAAAUCCUCAAAGUUUGGUUGGCUAGAAAUAAAAAUAAAUGAAAAAUGAAAGAGAAGGAAAAACAGAGCAAGGCUCUGUAUAUUCUAUAUAUGAUAUAUGAUUACAGUGGAUGCAAAGGAAUAUAUAUAGAGAUGUUUUUCCAACCUUCCUAACUAAGAAAUCUUAUGGUUCGUGGCUUACAAGGAGAAGAAUGGAAAUUUAUACAAAAAUAUCUGAAGAAAAAUAUCCAAAAGAGUCGGUGCAAAAAUAUCGGGAAGCUCCAGGAACAUUUCGCAGGUGAAAAUGGUGUCUGCGAGAUUUCGCAGACACUCAAGAGGGCUGCGAAAUAUUUUUGCAUCAACAAGUUAUUCUCGUAGGGCUGCGAAGUUGGCUUCCACCUUGAUGUUCUCAGCUUCCAGCUUGUGGCAUAUAUCGGGCAACUUCAGGAGGAAUUCCAUAGCACUGUACAAAAAGGCUGCGAAAUUCUCGCAACAAAAGGCUGAUUUCGCAACACUUUGGAGUGAUCUGCUUGCAAUGGCUGUAACUCCUUCGUUUCAACUCCGAAUCAUGCACCGUUUGAAGCAUUGGAUUCUUGACUUCCUGAGCUUUGAAAUGGUAUAUCGAAUGUAGAAAAUGGACUUCGGGAAGUGCUCCAAAAGUGUGAAAGAAGACUGCAGCUAGCUUUCCUCUGUUUUCUUCACUCUGUUUUUCCUCUCUCCAGUGCUCUUUCCUUGCAUACUUUGAACGACUUUGGCAAAGGGCUAUGGAGCUCCAAAGCUUGGUUCUUCAUGAAUUUGAGCUCUUCAUUGCUUUGCCAUGGAUUCCAAAUAACUCUCCUCAAUCUUGGAUUGUUUUGGUGAUCAAAUUACUAACAAAAACACCAAAACUUACACAAUUUGAUAAGAAAUGAUUGCAAGGGUCCUUAACAUGUUAAUUGGGUUAAAAGGCAAUAACUACUACUCAAAAGUGUUUAAAAGGAUUAAUUACAAGCUAUCAAAUAGCACUUUUUGAGUAGUAAUCACUCCCCCCAACCGACAUAUUGCUAGUCCCUUAGCAAUGAAGGAGAGAAAAAUAAAAAUAAACAAUACUAUAAUUUACAACAUCAUGCUGAUCAAAAAACAAUUUUCAAGUGGCAUGAUGAUCUAACUCUCACAUGGAACAUUAAAGAAAUAAAACUCAAACUUCAACAAGAGUUAUCAAAUAACUUGUCUAAUCACAAUUCUUAAAGAGAAGGCAUUAUGCAAAUUUAAGCUUUAAAAUCAUUUCCACUUCCAAAGGAUCAAACCUUACUCUUCCACAAAAAUCUAAGUGUUAUUUAUUAGCUUCCGAAUAUAGUAUGUUGAACUAAUCUCUCCCCCUCAACCUAGUUCUUUUUCAAAGCUUAGCAAACUAAUCAACCUCCAAUAGGCUAAGAACGCACCUCUUUUUUCAUAAUUUUUUUCAUUGUAGGAGUACAAGGCUUAAAGGUAUUCUUUUCUAAAUUGUCCAUGUAACGGGGGUCCAUCGAUGACUCCCAACCAAUUAAGGUUUAGGGCAUCAAGCUUUAAGGAUCUUUCAACCACUAACUCCUCGGAUUUUACCCCGGACUUUUGAGAAUGAAUUUUUAAUACCCAAGCACCUACAGUAUGUUAAACUCCACCUAUUCACCCUUGUAACGAGCAUUGAGGUCGGUGACUCCCAACCAAUGAAGGCUUAGGGCACCAGGUUUUAAAGAUUUUCACCAUAUACCCCUCAGACCUUGCUCGGGUUUCAAGGCAAGCAAACAUUUUUUUUUUUUUUUUUUCAAAGACUCAUUGGCCUUUUAUAAGGUGUCCCAACACUAUUAAAUGAGGUCAAAGGUACCAAGUCUAAAAUUUUCCUAAGUCAAGAGGGAAAUAGUUUUUCAUCUUAUACUCGGAACCUAUUGUGCACAGUGUGUGGAUAGCUUAAAGUGGAAGAACUAAGGUUGACUUCAAUAGAAGUUUCAACAAUUCAUCAACUUUAAUAAGCAUAAUACAAAAUCUAAGUCAAGUAAAAAGACAAAAAUUCAAUUUCUCCAAUUUUAGUUUGAAAAUUUUUCCUUAAUAACCAUGGAGAGUAGAAUAAAAACUUUAAAAUUUUUUUAAAUUAAGCAAAAAACAACUAAAUUACCAAAAUAACUUAGCAUUAUUAACAAUACUUACUUCCUCAACUCUCCCCCCAACCAAGCUGAACAUUGUCCUCAAUGUGACAAAAGCGAUUGAAAAAUAGGGAGGAAGUGGUACCUCUUGAGUGACAUGGAGUCUGAGUUGUAUAGGAGAAACCACAUGUUUCAAAGAAAACAUAAGAGUUAGUGAGUAGAAGAAAUAGAAAAAUGCCAAGUUUAAACAAAAAUGAUGUCUAUGUAUGAUGUAUCAUCAGUAACACAUCCAAUUCCAAAAUAUAAGACAUCAAAACAUGGAAUUAUCUAUACUAAUAUAAUAUGUAAAGACAAAAAUAAAGAGAUGAUCAAGCAAUGGUAAGGUCCUGUGGAGCUGAUGCAUCUAUGGUGGCCUCUUGAGUGGGUUGGAUAAGGACUUUGACCUCUGUUCUGGUAGUCUCCUUAGGUGGCAUAGUCUCCUCAACUGGAGCUCUCAGUUGGUAGCUAUGGGAUUUGAUGGUUUAAGGAGGUAAGAAAUGGAGUGAGAGGCUUGGUGUGUGUGAUCCCAGGGUAUGCAGGGCUCUCCUUUUCAGAUGCAUGUUUGCAGGGCUCUAUUGGCAUUUUAGUAACUUCCCUUGGCUUUGCAAAGUGUUUUUGCAAAUCACCCUCCAUUUCACAAGUCAAUUUUGCAAUUUAAAGUCCAUUUUGAAGCUUGGAGGUGAUUUCACAGCCCUUUCGAAGCUUGGAGAUCAUUUCGCAGAAAAGUGGCAUGUUCACUGACCAUUUUUGAAGCUUGGAGCAUUUUCGCAGCCAUUCUGAAGCUUGGAGAUCAUUUUGCAGAAAAGUGGCAUUUUCGCAGACCAUUUUUGAAGCUUGGAGCAUUUUCGCAGCCAUUUCGAAGUUUGGAGAUCAUUUCACAGGCAAUGGGCAAUUCCGCAGCCCAUUUCUGAAGCUUGGAGCAUUUUCGCAGCGGGGGGUGGAUUUCACAGAGGAGGGGAAUUCUCGCAGCCCAUUUCGUAGCUUAAAAGUAAUUUCAUAGCUCAAAGGUGAUUUCGCAGCCAUAUCGCAGCUUCAAAAUGAGGGGAACUGUGCUGCAAAUGGCACUCGUGUGCCAAAAAGUGGUUUCGUAGCUGCGAAACACCCUUCCAAAUGGCGUCUCGGCUGCGAAAUUCCCGUUCAGCUUUGCGCGCUUGUCUUCAAAUGACCAUAACUUCUUUAUUUCAAAUCCAAAUCGAGUACCGUUUGAAGCUAUGGACUCCUGACUUCCCAAGAUUUGAAACGAGAUAUCAUAUGCAUAAUUUGAGCUCCAGGAAGUGCUUCAAAAAUGUGUCCAACAGUAGCAAAAUUGAGGUGCGACAUUUCCGCUCAUGGUUUGCACAGUCAUCUUCAAACAGCCAUAACUUUUCUGUUUCAAAUCCAAAUCGAGCACCAUUUGAAGAUAUGGACUCCUGACUUCCCAAGCUUUCCAACGAGAUAUUGCAUGCAUAAUUUGAACUUCGGGAAGUGAUCGAGAUGUGCCCAACAAUUGCCAAAAUGAGGGUGCGGCUGUGAAAUUGGGAUUUUUCAAUUUUGGGUUUCGCAGCCAUUUUCGCAGCUGCGAAAUGGCACUCGUGUGCCAAAACCAGCUUCGCAAUUGCGAAAUACCCUGCGGAAUGGGGCUUUGGCUGCCAAAAAAAAUGAAUUUUUUUUUUUUUUUUUUUUUUGGUUUCGCAGCCAUUUUCGCAGCUGCGAAAUGAGGGUUACUGUGCUGCGAAAUGGCACUCGUGUGCCAAAAGUUGGCUUCGCAGCUGCCAAACACCCUUCCAAAUGGAGCUUUCCCUACGAAAUGGAGGAUUUCAUGCUUUGGUGGUUCGCAGCCGCUUUCGCAGCUGCGAAAUGGGGGCUCCUGUGCUGCGAAGUGGCACUCAUAUGCCAAAAUUGGUUUUGCAGCUGCCAAAAUUUUCGCAAAGAGGGCUAUUGGGUUGCGAACUGGUUUCGCAGCAAAAUUUCGAUUUCGUAGAGGCUGCGAUAUCUCGCAGACCCCUGUUUUUCCCCUAUUUCUCCCCUGUUUUCGCUCCGUUUGACUCCGAUUUUGCUCCGAUUUUUUUCCUUCAAUUUCUUUGCAAUUCCUCUUGAUUUUGAUCAUCCAAAAACCUAUAUUACAUCAAAACAAACUAGAAUUAAAACAUUUAAAUCAAAAUUAAAGCAUUGAAAUCAAAAUUAAAACAAGUAAAAAAAAAACAAAACAAAAAGAUAUGGACUAGCUAGUCUUUAAAAAGACUAAGUCCAUCAAAAAAUUUGCUCCUGAUUUAGCUUGCCCGGAUCCCAUAUGAAGCUUGCAUCUCUCACUUGGGGCUUUCUCUGUAUGAUUUUCUCAUACAAAGCUUGGAGAAAAGUUAGAGGCACGUGUUUCAUCAUCAAUUCUUCCUUGAUGACUAUCCUCUGUGGUUCUUCAUCUAUAUAGUCAUCUUUCUCUGUACUUUUCCCCUUUUUCUUUCCUUUGAUUUCCUCCCUCUUUUCUUUCUCUGUUUCACUAUCUACCUUAUGCUCUAGCUUGCAUGUGGGCAGAUCAACCUCUUUACCACUCCUCAGAGUGAUCACUUCUUCAAUUUCCUUCACCAUUGAAGAUUCUCCCUCUUUAGUCUCCAUUUCAUGGAUACUCAUGGAAUUUUGAUAAGGUUGAGAAGGAGAGUUUUCUUUCUCUUGCAUUGUUUUGAGGUUGGCAAACCUUGAGAUUGAAUCUUGGAGAAUAUCUAACUUCUGAGCCAUAUCAUUUUGCAUUACAUCCAUCCUUUAUUCAAAGUACUCUCCAUUCUGUCAAUUCUUUGAUUGAUUUGAGCAUUGAUGGCUUCUUGCUUUCCAAUAAAAUCUCCCACGACCUUGCAAAGAUUCACCAUAGCUUGUUCAAGGAUUGAGGCUUGCUGUGGUGCUUGAGCAGGUUGCUGAUACUGAGGUGGCUGUGGUUUCCAAGAGAAAUUUGGAUGGUCCCUCCAAUUGGAAUUGUGGGUGUUGCAAUCACCAAACAUUUCCCUCUCGGAUGGAAUGGUAGGACACUCAUCCACCAAGUGCUCAUAUGAUCGACAAAUGGCACAAGGCAUAGCUUGCAAUGGUGUUUAAAAGAUGGUUUGCACUUCUUGCAUCUGGUUCAUUUCUAGCUCAUCCAAUCUCCUUUCCAUAGCUGCAAUCUCUGCCUUCAUGUCCAUGCCGUCAUUCAAAAUAUACAUCUCACCCUUAGCUUUAGGUUGAGACGUCAUUCUUCCCAUAUCUCUAGCAUUUGGUUCAUCCCAUCCUCUUGAAAAUUCAGCCACAUAACUCAUGAAGUUCAUGGCUUCCUCUGCUAUGUGGUUCAAUAUGGCAUGCACAACUAGCAAUUUGUGAUUUAAAAACAGAGAACACAAAAGAAAACAAAAGAAAAACAAUUCAAAGAAAGAAAAUUAAGGUAAACUAAAGACUAAAUAAAAGGUAUACUAAAAUAUGAACAACAAAGAAAUAAAAAGGGUUAGUGAAAGGAAAAGAAAAGUCACCAAACUUGUGAUGAAGAUCACAAGUACUCUAGAAAGGUGCAUUGUAAAGUGGCACCAUCCCCGGCAACAGCGCCAUUUGAUUCGUGCCCACUUGGUGUCUCAGCUGAUUCGUGUCCAGCUGGUGCUCCUUGAUUGAGGGAGUAAUCAACAAAAUUUAUAACCUAUUACACCAUGAACUAGGGUAGCAAAGACAAAGCUACUAUAGCAUAGUGGCUCUAGGAUCGUUCACUGGGAUGGGUUUUCACUUCACAAAUGAUAUCAAUUCAAAGCUGAAUUGGUGCCUUUUCAUUUCAAGGUUAGCUUUAAAAGAAAACAUAAAGAUGUUUAAAUGAAAAAGGUUUGGUUUUAAGCUAACAAAAAAUAGUAACUAAUUUUAACUACAAAGAAAAGUGUUUCUUGGAGUUCAGAUCACUAGGCUCGUUCCUCAUACAAAAUGGAGAGUUCCGGUCACUUGUUUAUUUUCCUCGCAUUAGAGAAUUAACAUAUAGUUAAUUCUCUAACCGGUGUUGUACAGAUGCUUCCCAUUAAUGGGUUCAAUCACUAAAUCCCUCUCACUGAUGCAUCUUACAAUGACUCAUACCUCUCACCUAGCACUUGCCAUUCAAGGUGAUCUUUAACCUUGGAUUACCCGUCAAAAGCUUGCAAGAGAUAACUAAUGGAUGUCUCCUUGGAGUCCAAAAGCUUACCAAGUGUUGGCUAUUCUAGAAAAUCCUACCUUCAAGUCACCUCCCAAAGGCUCGCAAGGGGUAAACUAGUGCAUUUCCAUGGUUGGAAAUCACUUGCCUUACCAAGUGUUGGCCCAGGUGAUUUAAAGGCGUUUUAAGUUAACUAAAAACAUAGAAAUCACUAACGGGUCACACUUUCUCUUCAUUAAAAACUAAAACAACAAAACUUCCAAAUUAUGCAUGUGGAAACUUACCCGGCUUUCCUCACUCCAAGAGACAAAAAGCUUAGCCUCUCAUCCUCUGUGGAAAAAUCCUCAAAGUUUGGUUGGCUAGAAAUAAAAAUAAAUGAAAAAUGAAAGAGAAGGAAAAACAGAGCAAGACUCUGUAUAUUCUAUAUAUGAUAUAUGAUUACAGUGGAUGCAAAGGAAUUUAUAUAGAGAUGUUUUUCCAACCUUCCUAACUAAGAAAUCUUAUGGUUCGUGGCUUACAAGGAGAAGAAUGGAAAUUUAUACAAAAAUAUCUGAAGAAAAAUAUCCAAAAGAGUCGGUGCAAAAAUAUCGGGAAGCUCCAGGAACAUUUCGCAGGUGAAAAUGGUGUCUGCGAGAUUUCGCAGACACUCAAGAGGGCUGCGAAAUAUUUUCGCAUCAACAAGUUAUUCUCGUAGGGCUGUGAAGUUGGCUUCCACCUUGAUGUUCUCAGCUUCCAGCUUGCGGCAUAUAUCGGGCAACUUCAGGAGGAAUUCCAUAGCACUGUACAAAAAGGCUGUGAAAUUCUCGCAACAAAAGGCUGAUUUCGCAACACUUUGGAGUGAUCUGCUUGCAAUGGCUGUAACUCCUUCGUUUCAACUCCGAAUCACGCACCGUUUGAAGCAUUGGAUUCUUGACUUCCUGAUCUUUGAAAUGGUAUAUAGAAUGUAGAAAAUGGACUUCGGUAAGUUCUCCAAAAGUGUGAAAGAAGACUGCAGCUAGCUUUCCUCUGUUUUCUUCACUCUGUUUUUCCUCUCUCCAGUGCUCUUUCCUUGCAUACUUUGAACGACUUUGGCAAAGGGCUAUGGAGCUCCAAAGCUUGGUUCUUCAUGAAUUUGAGCUCUUCAUUGCUUUGCCAUGGAUUCCAAAUAACUCUCCUCAAUCUUGGAUUGUUUUGGUGAUCAAAUUACUAACAAAAACACCAAAACUUACACAAUUUGAUUAGAAAUGAUUGCAAGGGUCCUUAACAAGUUAAUUGGGUUAAAAGGCAAUAACUACUACUCAAAAGUGUUUAAAAGGAUUAAUUACAAGCUAUCAAAUAGCACUUUUUGAGUAGUAAUCACCUAUAAUUAGUGGUCGUUCUACCAUCAUUGUUCAUAAAUCGUGGUUACAAGCACAUCAUUAUCUAUUAGAGAAUACAACUAUCGUCCAACCAUACACUGAGUAAGAAAAACAUACCUUUAUCUUUUUAUAAUUUCAUAACAUAAUGAUGAAAUCCUAAGUUUGCAUUCCUUGUCUUUAACGUCAUAGGGAACACAUGAAUUGGUUGAGGUCUCAAUACCCUCGACAAUCUAAUAGACAAAUUUGGUUGCAAGAAGAACAUAUGAGUUGUUUUACAUAUUGGCUUAAAGAAACGGUAAUCUCUUAGUUUUUAGAAAAAUUUUCAAUAUGUUGAAAACAUCACAAGUUUUCAAUAUGUUUUGAUUAUACAUAGGUUGAAGAGGCUAUCCAUAAUGGGCAAGAUAUUCCCGACACACUUAGGUGGUUAGCACAUGGCCCUACUCUCCAGGUAGUCAAAUAUCCUAGAUAUAUCGUUAAUGAGUGUCGUUACCAUAUUAAGAAACGCGAUAUGACAUGCAUCACCCAAAAUAGUGGUGUUAGCAUUUUAGCAAGGACUAUGCAAAUUGCCAAUUCUAAGGAUAAGAACCUAGUUUGUGGUGAACUUUGCUUUUAUGGGGUCAUUAAUGAGAUAUGAAAUCUUGAUUACAACAUGUUCACAAUUCUAAUUUUCAAGUGUGAUUAGGUUGACAACAAGAAUGGUAUAAAAGUUGAUGAACUUAGGUUCACAUUAGUUGACUUCUCCAAAAUAGGUCACAAAUUGGAUCCAUUUAUUUUAGCAUCACAAGCCAAGCAAAUCUUCUAUGUUGAAGAUCAACUUGAUCCUAAAUGGUCAAUAGUUCUCUCAAUUCCUCCAAAAGAUUUCAAGAACAUAGAAGGACUAGAUGACUUCACCAAUAAUUGCAUGGAACAUCACCCCUUUAUAAGUUCAAUGCCAGAAUUUGAAUCAUUUGAUGCUAUGGAUGAAUCAUAGGCAAUACACAUGAGAGAAAACUGUGAGGGCAUAUGGAUUGAAAAUAAUUAAAUAACAUAUUGUACCCUUGAAUGAGAUAUAAUAAGGCAUUUCACUUAUUAGUUUUCAUGAGUUGCACAUUAACUUAGCUUCUAUAUAUUGCUCAUGAUAUAUCUAUAUAUAUUAAUCAUCCUAAAUUUCUUUCAUGCAUCAUAAACAUAUGUUAUUCAAAGGUACCACUUCAAUCUUCAUUCAACUAUCUUUUUGUUGUCCAUAGAACUAGAUUUAUAUUAUUUUUUAUUAUCAUGUUUUGAUUUUAUGCUCACAUAACUUGAAACUCUCAUUCCUAAAUUUCUUUUUCAUUAAAACUAUAAAUCAUAAUUGAAACUAUGCACUAAUUUAUUUUAUUAUUAUCCUCACAAAUAAAUUCUUCAUUAUUGAUAAGAAAUCAAAAAACAAGACAAACUUUGAAAGAAAAUUUCAAAAAAUAUAUUUGUGAAUGACCAAUUUAAUUAUAGAAAAUAUAUGCAAGGCUAUACUAAUCUUGCUUUUGAGUCAUUUUACAGGUUUGUUGGUGAAGUACUAGUUUGCACAUUUACUUGAUAUCUUCCACACAAAUAUGGAUCUAGAAGAAGGGGAAAUGCCAAAAAUAAAGCAUAGAGGUAGUGCAUUGAAACCAAAGAUUGCAAAAAAUCGAAGUAAAGGGAUAAAGCUCAAGAUUGAAUACAAUAGCCUUGGUAGUCACAUUGAGGAAAAUUCAGUUAAACUAAGUAGUUAUCUUAGUACAAUAACUAGUACCCAUGUGCCAAUAAUUAUUGAGAGUUGGAGGAAAGUCCCUAAAGAGACUAAGGAGAAGUUGUGGGAUUUGAUCACGGUAAGCCUAUCUAUAGCUUUAAUAUAUAAUUAUUGUAUACAUUCAUUAACAUGAGCUAACAUGGGUUGCUAUUUUGUAGACAAGCUUUAAUGUGAAUAAAAAAUCCAAGAGGAAUUGUUUCAUACUAAUGGGCAUCAGGUUUCGAACCUUUAAGUAUAAGUUGACAAAGAAAUAUAUAUUGUCUUUCAAGAAUGACCAAAAAAGCUGAAAAAGUCACCUCCUAUUUGCCCAUUCAUACAAGAGGAUCAUUGGAGACAGUUUGUUAAAGAUAGACUUUUUGAACAUUUUAACGUUAAGCAUUAUUUUUAUUACAUCUUCAAUUUUCACAUUUACAUAGUUUCAUUAUGUACUAAUUUUGUGUCUAUAUUUUGUAGGAAUAUCGCAAAGUUCAAAAAUCAAGAAGAGAUAAACACAUUUACAAUCAUUAUCUUGGAAGAAAAUGAUAUGCACGUUUUGAGCAAGAUAUAGUAAGUUAUCAAUAUCCAUAAAAAAAAUGGAGUAUAUAUUUUGUUUAUAGGAAAAUGAUUCUAGUUUUUAAAUAUCAUUUAUUAACUUGAUCAUGUUGAACUAAUGAGUUUUAUUGUUAAAAAUUUUAUAGCUACAAGCAGAAGGGGCUAUUGGUAGGGUUGAUAGAAGUGUUUAUGAAAGAAAACACGUGAGAAGAAAGGAAAGUUUAAUAAGAUUACAAAGCUAAUGAUUAACUAAGUUAGCAUAUUUAUCUCUUUUAGAGCCUAUAAUGUUAGUAUGUCUAUGUGAUUAUGGUUUAGGAUGAUAUCGUUAGGUGUUAAUAGGGAAGAGGCUUAAUGCUAUCAUUUUUAUGAGUAGUCAUGUUCUAUUAGUGCAAAUAUAGUAGCCUAAUUUGAAAAUUAAUUUUGAAACAAUAUACAUUAAUUUAUCUAUUAUCAUUUUUAUUAAAACAAUUCAUUUUCUAGCUACCUUGAAUUGGUCCUCUUGAAUUGGUUGUCUUUGAUUGAUAUGUUAAUCAUCUUCAUCAAAUUAUUACUAAUAUAUGUUUUGUUGUAGGAUGAAUUACUAGAAAAGGCAAGGAGACUGGACUACCUCCACCUGGUCCAAAUGACAUAUUAUGUCAGGCAUUGGGUAAGCUUGAUCAUCUAGGACGUGUGGUAGGUCAAGACCACUUGGUUAGGCCGAACUCAUACUUUCAUCAACCAUUUGAUGACAUGAAAAAAAAUAAUCAAAGAAGAAAUAUGGGAAAUGGUGUGAAAGGGGAUGCAAAAUGCUGUAACAAGACAAACUAUGUCUCCUCCCACACCCCAUUCUGAUAUAGGUAGUAAUAACAUGAGACAACAACUUGUUUUACAACUAGUUGUAGCAAAAAAACCAAUGUUUAAAAUGAUGGAAGAGCCCUAACCACCAGAACCACCACUGAAACGUAAGGUAUACAUUUACUUACUAAUAAUACAAGAUUAAUAUAAGUGAUAUAUAGCCUAUGUAAAUGAUAUUAUUUGUUGUAUUAAAGGUGAUUAAAUAUAAAUUAGCAGUGGAAUGAAAAUGAAAUGUUGUUGCAACCAGUACAUUAAUAGAAGAAAAUUGAUCAAAUGGGUUGGUCGUAAUAAAUGUUGCACACAAGCUAGAUGCUAGACUCCCAUUUCCAAAUCCAUAUGAGAUUAUCAAUGUUGGGGAUUCUAUUGGCCUUAAGCUUGACUGGCCAACAAGCCUUGUCAUACUUGAAACUAAACAUCCUCGGGUAUGUCAUUUUAUACUUGUAGUAAAUUUGAUUGUAACUUGGUAUUUUAUUGUUUAGGAGUAUAUAUUACUAACAUUCCUUCAUUUUUCAUAAGUGUUGGAUAAAGGAAAGAAGUAGAUAGUGAAUGCACCAAUUAUUCGAAAAUCUAAGCCUCAAAAUUAUUCGGUCAUUAAAAAUUUUCAGAAAUUUAUGGAUGGUUGUCUUAGUAAUGAGAAGACAUACCCAAUACAACUCCCCAUUUCACUAUUUGGUGUCGAAUUCCGAACAUAUAUAUCUAGAGAGGAUUGUGAAUACAUUAUUUCAUCUUCAGAGGUGUCAUCAAAAUGCAUCUCCUUCCACUUAUGGUGUGCACCUUUUAUUUUCAUUUGUUUUUAUUUUUUUAAUAUGAGUUGCCCAUGUUGAACAAGAUUGGAUAUGACUAAUGAUAAUUUUCUUUUGGUGUUUUGAUAAUAUAAUAGGUACAUGCAUGAUCAACUACAUAUUGCCAAAAAGGAAUCACAAUUUAUAUUUGUUAAUCCUUUUACAAUAUCAUGAGCAGGCUUUAGUAAUCCUCAAACAGAGAAAAGAACACAAUUGUUGUCAAAACACUUAAUAGAGUGCCAAGAUGUCGGAUAUGUUUUCAUGCCCUACAACCCCGAGUAAGUGACGAAUAUUAUACUUUAAUUUGAGGUUUUAUGAUUGAUUUAUAUUUAUAAUUAGAUGCUACUUUUGUUUUUAAUGUUUUAGCUUUCAUUGGGUCUUGGUAGUGAUUGAGCCAAGGAAAAUGAUAGUCCACUAUCUUGACCCUAUGCAUCACAAACCAUGUGAGGACUUAAAGGAUAUCGUAAACAUGUAAGUUCUUCCUAUUAUUUUUCAUAGUAUUAUUUUAAAAAAAAUUACAUUCACCUCAAACACAUUUUUUAUUGUUAUUUCUAUAUAUUAAAACAUAUAAUAUUUACCUAUUUUAAAAUUGUACCCAUUGAACUUAUUUACAUAGGGCUCUUUAAAUAUAUGCAAAGAAAAUAUCUAAGAGAGAGCCAUCUUGGCAACUAGUGCAAGUAACAUCCAAAAAUUUUCUUUACACAUUUAGCUUAUGCAUUUGCACCAUUUAUAUAUAUGAGUACUAAUGUUAUUUUAUAACUGAUCGAUUAGUGUCCAAGACAAGAAGGAGGGUUCAAAUGUGACUACUUUGUUAUGAGAUUCAUUAAAGAGAUAAUUUUUUAUCCUACAAUGAUUGCUUCAAAGGUAUUACUUAUUUAAUGACUUGUACAUAUUUUUAGGCUUCCAAAUGUUAUGCAUUUUAAUGUUAUUUUCUUAUUUGAUUUCAGUUUGGUGAUAAAAAAAACAUAUUAUCAAGUAGAAUUCAAUGAAAUUAGAGGAGAAUUGACUACUUUUGUGCUACAACUAAUCAUGAAUCAUGUUGAUGCAUCAUGAUCACCAUGCAUGGUGAGUCCCUUAGCUACUACAUGAAUUUUUCCAUAGAUUAUAGUAUUGCUUUUCUUUGAACAAUGUUUUUAUUUGAAAAAAAGAAAAAAAAAAGUUCUUAGAUUUGUUCAUUUAUGAUAACAUCGAUCCAUAUUUAUUUUCUUCAAUNNNNNNNNNNNNNNNNNNNNNNNNNNNNNNNNNNNNNNNNNNNNNNNNNNNNNNNNNNNNNNNNNNNNNNNNNNNNNNNNNNNNNNNNNNNNNNNNNNNNGGUAUACACUCUUAGGAGGGUGGAAUAGAGAAUAAAAAGAACAAAGAAGGCAACAAGAUUUUGGGUUUUUAAAUGCAGCUCGUAUGUCAUACAUUGUAGGACAUAAACGUUACUUUAAUUGGUAGUGAGAAUUUUAGAUUUUUAGAUGCUACUUUUAUGUCAUUUUAUAGUUAGUCGGUUUUAUGCUUAUGAAAUGAAGGUAUACAUGAAUCUUGGGAUGCUUAACAUUACUAGAUCAUGUUUUGGUAUGUAUUCACUCUUCUUUUUUAGUUUUGGUGGGUUUGAUAUAUUGGAUGUACUAUCUUUUUGUGAACAUUUGAUAUACAAAUAUUAUUAGAUGAUCAAUGUAUUACGAGUUAUUCCAUAAACAUUACUGAAAAAUGAGUUAAAUGUAAUAUGAUUGUUAUAUUUAUGGACAAAAUAUACACAGGUUAAUCCUAUUUGUUAAUUCAUAAGCAUUACAAAAAUCUACAACUAAAAGCAAUCAUAUCUUCCAUGAUAAUUUACAAUGAUGUGACACCAUAACUCAAAGGUGAUGCAUUUAAUGUGACAUCAUAACUCAAAGAUCAUGCAUUUAAUGCGACAUCCUAUCAUCACUAGAAAUAUAUGAUGUCACUUUCGAAUGCGUUACCAUUUAUCUACUUUGGUGUCACUUACAAAUACGUCACCAAUUGGUACCCUCUAUGGUGUCAGUGGAGAAGGUGACACUAUGUUGUAGUGACACCCUAUGUUUAUGGUGACUCGUUAUAAAUGUCACCAUAUAUCUUUUUUCUUGUAGUGCAAAUUACUUAUCUUACUAUGCAUUGGGCUUUGAUAUUAGCCAGAGACAGUAGUGGCUCCUAAUUUUUAUCCUUAACUGAAAUGAAAACGUUAAGCAGGUCCCCAGCCUCUUUUUCGCCAUUCUUCCACUAUUCUACUAUUUGGUCCAUGAUUGGAUCAUGGUACUUGUUAAUGGUGUUCAUAGCCUCCCAUAUAGUCUUUUCAUGGCCAUCUAAAUUCAGCACUCUCUGCCAUGGGAAGUAAUCAGAUAAAGAGAAUACAUAUAGAUGAGCAAGUAUAGUAAAGAAGGAUUCAACAUGUUGCUCCACUUCAACUCUAGGGCCUCCAUCUUUCUUUCGUUCGCCAAAGUAUCUUGUGUUGAGGAUCAUCUUUCAGAUGACAUUCCCGUUGUAUUGACGGACUUUAUUUCUGUCACACCCCAAAUACUAGGCAACCCAGAACUUGACUCGUGGCCCUAGGUCAAAGGUUUGACCCUAAGAGUUACUCUUAUCCAUGUUGGCAAUCAAUCAAAACACCCUAGAUUUUUUUUCUUUUCAAUAAAGCGUUUAAUCCUAAAUAAAUUUAUUAAGCUAAGAUUUACUAUAACAUAUCAUUUUAUUUUUCCAAAACUAACCAUCACAUUAUCUCCUGUUCACAAGUAUUAAAAAAAUAAAAUUCCACCAAUCAUCUUCCUACCCAAAAGCUCAAAUAUUUACAAUAAUCUCUAAGUCAAAAAGAAUAUUUCCAAAAAUGUUUUACAAACUAAUAAAAUAUAAUUUAACUUAAAAAGGUCCAUAUAACUCAAAUUAGUAGAUGUCAAAAAGGUAAUUAAAAAAAAACAACAACCAUUAUUAUGGUUUUUUUGCUUUUUAGAACACUUCAUGAUCUUCUUAUGGUCCCUUAGAAACUAUAUCUGCAUCUAAAAAUUUUAGAAAAUAAAGGGAUGCACAUUUCCACGUUACUCUUUAGACCUAGACGAGUUAGAAAUUCUAGGUCAAUAAAACACAACCAUAUGCCAAAAUAUAAUAUUACAUUUACAUUAUACACACUAAAAGAAACCUCAACCAUACAAAUUUAAAUCAAUCAAAAUUAUCAUUUUCCUUAUUUAAUCAUAUGUUUAGCAUAUCAAUAAUUUUAAAUUUACAAAAUAAAUAAGUCACUUUAGUCUUGAAUAAUAUAUUCAAACAUACACUUGAUAAAUAAUACAAAUCAUUUUUCCAAAUGCAACCAUGAUACAAAUGCUUACACACAAUCGCGCAAUGCAAUAUCGUUCUCGGGCUUUCACCGAAGGAUAUGCAUUUAUACCCAAAUACACUCCCCAUUCGGAGUCUUCCUGGGAUAAACUUUUGAGUAUUUCACCCUAAGGAUCUCACUCCCUUCUUAACUCACCAUCUCUAGGGUCAUUCAAUUUCUUAUUUUUCUUUUCUUUUCAUUUUUGCCAUUUUUGGGGUCUUUUCAUUCUCAUUUCCAUUUCACACAACCAUUUCUUUAAUUUUUCUUUUUCUUCACACAAUCAUGAUGCAUAUGAAAUGCAAUUGAAUCAUAUUUUAACAUACAUAAUUUUCCAAGACAUAAUUUUAUUUACUCCCAUUAUGUUUCAUAAUUUCCAAUAAUCCACACAACGAUUUUUCUUCACUUUAAUCGUCACAAACAUAAAAGAAAAUUCACAAUUAAUUUGUAUAGCAUCAAAACAUAGUUUUAAACAUUGACCACAUAAAUUCUAUUUAUUCCCGACAUGCUUAAUAAUUUCCAAAUCCAAUAUAACCAUUUUUUUUCAAUUAAAUAAUCACACAUAUCCAAGAAAAUUCUCGCUAAUACAAAUAUCAACGAAAAUGUAAUUUAUGUCAUAAUUUAUUUGUCUCCAAUAAUUUCAAAAAUUUUGACACCCAUAUGACAAAUUUCCACAAUUAAGCCACCCCAACAUUUGGGAAAAAUUUUCCAAUAAUUCAAAUAUCAACAAAAACCCAAUUUAUAUCAUCAUUUUAUUUAUUUUUAAAAGCAUUAAUAAUUUUAAUAAUCAAUACAACACUUUUCCACAAUUAAGCCACCACAACAUUCUGGGAAAAUUUUCCAAUAAUUCAAAUAUUAACAAAACACAAUUAUACCUUAGUUUUUCUUAUCUCCAACAACAUCAAUAAUUCUUAGUACUCAAUACAACUAUUUUUAUUUUUUCAUAUUUAAUCUUCUCAAACAUUACCAAAAUUCCAAGAAAAAUCUAUAAAUCACGAAAUAAAAUUAUUCACAAUAAUAAUCACACUUCAAAUACUACAAAUAACAUCUAUUAUAUUUCAACAACACAAUAUAUAAAUUUUUUUGAAAGAAAAUAUUAAAUCAAAGUUUUAGGGUUAAAUCACCCUACCUUAAAUUUGAAAAUUUUAACCAUUAAAACUAAAACGGGACACCGUAGGAGUGUUCCUUGCAUUGAAUAGAAUAUCCUUCCAAAAUUUCAUGCGAAAUGGACGUCAUUUGGUAGGUCCACCAGCAUCCUAAAGCUGGCGACCCAUUUUUCCCACUCUUUGCUGAUGACUCCCCUACAUCUCUCACUCGAUUUCCUUUCUUCAUUUUCUUUUCUUCUUCUUCUUUUAAACUCCCACGCCAAUUUCACUUUAUAUAUAUAUAUAUAUAUAUAUAUAUAUUAUUAAAACAAAUCCUAAAAUACCACGCACAUCCAUUUCUCAAUAAAUUAAAACCAUUAUUCUUAAAUUCAUCUUCCGUAAUUAUGAAUUAUACCAAACUUAUGAUUUUCCAUUUCACGAAAAAUACCACCGUAUUCGUAAUUUAAUUUACUACAAGUCUACUCUUCAAAAAGUAUAAUUUGAUUAUAAUUACAUGAAACAUUGUUUUUUUACUCUAAAAUUCAUUUAAAACAUGAUAUAAUUAACUAUUAAAAAAAUUUAAUUCCAUAAAAUAUUAAAAACAUAAAAUAAUUUUUUGGCAAUCAAGAAGUUGAAAUUUGUAAUAACCUUUAACCUGUUAAUUUUACCUAUAUUUAUUUACCAACAAAAAUUUAAAUAAUAUUCUAAAAUUUAAUUCCAUAAAUUAAUUAGUCAUUCAAUUUAUAAAAAUCAAAUUCUCUACCCUUUGGUAUAACUUUUAUUUAAUUUACUUCAUUUUUCAAAUUAUUCAAUCGCAUCAAAAUUUCAAAAGUUAAAUUCACUAAAUUCACAUUUAAUUAAUUUAUCCUUUUGUAUUUUUUUUUUCUAAAUUCGCAUAUCAUAAUUUAAUCUUAAUUUAAUUUUGAUUCAAUUUUGUUUUAUGUUUUCUAAUUUUAUGAGGUUUAAUUUCAAUUAUAAAAAUUAAAUUCAAUUUCUUUUUAAUUAUCCAUUAUCACAAUUUGAUAUAAUAUAAUUUUUUAUCAAGUUUUUCUUACUACGAUUUUUCUUAUAAUUAUCCAAUGAUAAUUAAAUUAAUUCUCAUAACAUAUUUAAUAUUCAAAUUUUAAAAACUUAAUCUCAAUUAUUUGAUGGUUAAUUUUUUUCUCAAAAUCUAAAUUUAAUUUAUGAAAUUCUCACUUCUUACAUCUGACGUGGCAAAAUUUUCAAACUAUUGACUUUUGACCAACUUUUCCUAAAUUUAUCCUAAUUAAAUACUAACACAUGGAUUUUCACCACUCUUUUUGACCUUUUGACCCACAAAUUUAUGAAAGACUUUAUGCUUGGAGAAUCUACAAAAACCUGGGUAUUACAAUUUCUCAGGUUGAUAACUGUCGUGGUUACGAAGCCACCACUUGAAUCCUCAGUCGCCAUUGUAAUGGGCCUGGAUGCAAAUAGUACAUCAUGUUUCUUCAAAAGUUCUCUGCUAAUCUCUGGGAAAGUCGUAGGGACGAAAUGAAAUAUUUCCCAAUUGAAUACAUGCAAUUUUAGUGUUCAUUUCUUUCAUAAAGCCAAUGUAUCCACCAGAAAGUUGGCUUUUUGUUGAGUAAAUGAGGUAGAUAUUGCACUAGUGGCCAUGGAGCUAAUCCUGGAGGAAGUUGUAUCGGCUUGCUUUUGGUACUUGUUUUGGAAUUUAAUUUAGUGAAGAUGAGAAAGAUUGAUGUGAUGAAAAGCAAUAAGAGGAAGUUGAGAUGAGACAACACAUCGUCUGUGGUAGUAGAAGAAAACAAGGUUGAGUUACUGCUACUACUCUCUGCAACAAAACCAUUUACACGUCUUUUAUAGCAAAACCAUGUUUGUCCUAUCUUGGGUCUGGAUGCACAUUUUUAAUAUUGGGGAUCAUGCAACCAAAUGUCACACACAAAGAGAGAGAAAAAAAUACGUUUUUUAGAACUUGAAAAGGUAAAAUGGGACAAAAAAUAUUAUCCAUUCUUGAACUCUAAAAGUAAAGUUAUAAAAAGCUUAGGUGGUGUUUGUUUUUUUACUUAAUUCUAAAUAGAACCUUAAUGCUUAAUAGUGUUAAAUAUUAGGUUGUUUGUUUUUGUAGUAUUUUAUUUCUAUUAAGUAUUAAAAAGUAAAAAAACCAAUAUGUUAUUUUUUCUAUUAAGAAAAAGUUACAUAUUUUGACUUUUUCUAUUUAGUAAAAAGUUUAUAAUAAGUCAUGAAAAAGUAGAAAAACAAACAACUUAAAUUUUAAAACUAAAUUGCUUUCAGCAAAAAGCCAAAAAAACAAACACCACCUUAGUUUUUUUUUUUUUUUUUUUUUGUUAUGUAUGAUUACAUGAUUUCCCCCUUUUAAGAUUUUAUCUCAUAAAAUUUUUUUUCUAGAAGGUUCAAAUAAGUUUGAUGAAUAUUGUUUAUUUUAGUAAUUUUAAUUUUGUGGGGUACUUAAAACAUUAGAAGUUCACAAAAAGCAACAUUUAUCAGCUACCUAUCUAAAAAGCUUGGCCUAAUCAUUGAAAUCCAAAAUAUAAAGUGACAACACACUUUUUAAAGCAAUUUUCAAAAUAGUUUUCAAAAACACAUUUAUUUAUGAUAUUUUUAAAAUAAAAAUCUCAAAAAUAACUUGUUUAUAUAGCGUUUUAUUAGACAAAUACUUGAUCUUUAUAAGAUCACCCUAAUUAUAGAUUUAUGAACAUGUAACACAACAAUUAUCUAUAUAUAUACUUAGAAUUAUUAUAUUUUAAGUUUUUAACUACAUAGGACAUCGUGAGUUUUUCCACCAUUUAUCUUAUAAAAAGUUUAUUUAAAUAUGAUAAAGGAUAUAUUAUCUCAUUUCUUAUUAUAUCUGAUGCUAUAUAUAUAUAUAUAUAUGUAACAGAUCAAAUACAAUUUAAAGAUUUUAAUUAACCAUCUAUUAGCAACAAAGCAAUCUCUUAAUCUCAUUCAUAAUAUUAGGAUAAUUUAGUAUUUCCUUUUAUAAAACACUAGCAUAUAAAUCAACACAAAUCAUAUUAAGGGUGUAUUUGGUGUUGAUUUUAGGAAGCGUUUUUAGUAUUUCUAAUACUUGAAAGAUAAAAAUUUUCAAGUUUUAGAAAGAUCAAAAGCGCUUUUUAGAAUGACUAUCAAAUACAUGCUAAAUAUUACUUUUGGAUACUUAUAUUUUUAAAUAACUCUUAAAACUUUUAAGGCAAGUCUCUACUAUUUAUAUAAAUCCCCUAUUAUUUUUAAUUUUUAGAAACAAAAAAUAAAGAAUAGAAACUCCAUUUAAACAUCACCUUAUUAUUUCCUAUUAUAAAAUAACACAAAUCAAAUGAAUUAUUUAAAAAUAAAUAAAUAUAAAAUCAAAGUUGAAGAGAAAAAACUCUUGUGCAUUAAAAAAACAUCAAAAUAAAUAAAUAAAUAAAACAUCAUCAAAUAAAUGUAAAAAUAAAUUAAUGUUAUGGAAAAAUGAGAAUAGGCAACAAGAAAAUAAGAACACAGAUUUACAUGAAAAAUGCUAGACGGGAAAAACCAUGGAUAGAGGAGAAGAAAAUCCACUAUAUUAAAAAUUUGGUAUAAAAUGUGAGAGAAUCAAGCGACUAUUGUAUAGGCAUAAUCACUAUGACCCUAAAUCCUAUACAUCAUCGCAUAUGUAUGGUGUAUGCGAUAAUAUUUGUGAUAAUAAAAAUAUUGUCACAUAAAAUAACUAUGGGAUGUAAUAUUUGUAAUAAUAUUCUUUACAAAAAAAUAUUUUUUCUUUGCUUUAUUCACUUUGAUCACAACUUGAAAUAAGACAAUAAAAAUAUUUUCUUAAUUUUUGAAAAUUAAUUGAGGACUUAGAGCUACUUGUUACUGAGUGAAUUUGCUGAAUGGUGAAGAAUGCGUGUAUAGUAGUUUUGCAAUUUUUCAAACUUGUAGACAUAUUUUGUGAAGUCUUUUUCUCUUUGUAAAGCCCCAUUUUCUAUGUGAAGUUAUUUUUUCAAUAUUCUCUUUGGAAGGAAUUUACCAUUAGUUAUAUAGGUAAGAUUAAGGAAUUAAAUUUGGAAUUCUUAAGAUUUGAUUACUUAAUUCAAAGAAUUUGGUUCAAGGGAAAUUUGCCAACAAAAUAAUAUUUAAUUUUAAUUCUAUGAUGACUUUAAUUAUUUGAUAUAAUUUUAUUUUGAAAGACUUGAUGUGGGGGACUCAUCACUUAUUGAGUCCAAAUUUUGUUGCACCCAAAUUUUUAUGAGCUAAGAAACCAUAAUUUUAAAGACCAAUUCAGUGGUAAGUAAAUCUGCUAAAAUCUUCUAUGUACAAAUGACCUCACUUCAAGGUGCAACACAUACAUGUAUUAUUAUGUGUAUGGGAUGAGUCUUGAAGUUAGUCUUCAUUCUUCUUUGAUUUUUUUUUCUUCAAAUAAAUAAAUAAAACAUCAUCAAAUAAAUGUAAAAAUAAAAUAUGUAUCAGUUAAUUGGAGAGGAGAGCUUUAAGGGCAUUUCUUCUAUGAAAUUCUAUGCUCCACGUACCAUAAAUUUGUACUCAACCAACAAAAUUACAGAAUGGGUCCAUGCACAAACAAAAAUAACCCAAAUGUGAAUAUCUAAAAAUGUAUGAAGUUCACAAUAGAUAUUCAAGCCCAAAUUUAAAUUUCAAAUUAGUCCAACAGAUUUCAUUAAUCAAAAUGGGUCCAAAUUAGCAAAUAUAACCCAACAAAAAUAUCUCAUAUGUCAUAGGCCCUAAUUUAAAAUUUUCAAAUUAAUAGCCAAAAUAUAAGUUCAAUUAAUCAAACCCAAAACAUGAUAAAUUAAAAUAAAUCUCAUUAGGCCUAAACUUAAUAUCCCAUAAUUCAAGCCUAAUUUAAUAUAUAAACCUAAAUCCACAAUCAAAAUCAACCCAAUUUAUGCUAAUCCCGAUUUACAAUCAAAAUCAAACAUAAUUUAAUAAGUAAAUAACUAAAUAAAUUAAGCAAACUCAAAACACCCAAACCACUACAACAUAAAUCAAACAAUAAUAAAUAUAAUGACAACAAUAAUAAUAAUAAAUAAAAUAAAAUAAAAUAAAAUAAAAAUAAAAAAUUUAACUCACGUCGGAGCCAGUUUGAAUGUCUUAGGAAAGAAAGAAAAUGAGAGAAAAGUGAGAGAUGAUUGACAACUGACAGUGGCUCACUAGCGGCAACUGGUUAGUGGUCCUACCGAUGGUAGUGAGGAUUGAUUGGUUUUUGGGAAAAAAAAUAAAAUGAAGAAAAGAAAAUGAGAAGUAAUAAAAAAAAUGGAGAAAUGAGAGGAAGGUGGGAGAAGAAUGGAGAGAGAGAACGUAGAAAAUGAGUGAAAAGAAAUGAGGCUAGUUGGAGGAGAAAGUGGUAGUGUGUGAGCUAAAGUGAAGAAUAAUAGAAGAAGAAAAUGGAGAAGAAUGGGGAAAAAAAAAUCCGUCUCCCUAAAUGAAGAAAGGUGGGUAGCCUAAAGAAGAAGAAAAAAUAAAAUAAAAUAAAAUGGGGAGAAAAUGAGAGGGGGUCGGUGGUCUUGCGAAUGAGGUGGUAUGCGUUAGAGAGAGAGAGAGUGGGUGGGGUUGUUGGGGUUGUUGGGGAAGGUAUGAGAGAGAGAGGAGAGAGAAAAGAAAAAAAAGAAAGAAAAGAAAAAAGAUAAUAUAAAAUAAUAAUAAUAAUAAUAAAAUAAAAUAAUAUACAAAAUAAUAAAAACUAAUAAUUAAAUAGUGAGUGGGCAAAAAAUAUCAUAUGUAAUCAAGAUUUAAUUUUAAGAGUAAAAUUGGGUUAAAAAUUAAUGUAAAAUAAAAUUGGGAUAAAUUUUGGGGUAUACAAAUAUGCACCUCUUCAAUAGAGUCCACGAGUAAAGCAAGUGUAUAUGUGAGCAAAACAAAGUGGGCUCUACUGAAAAAUAAGAAAGACCACCAAAUUUGUCUUAAUAUGACAUGAACUCUCCCAAAUAAAAAAAAUAAAAAAUCUAAAACCCUACAAAAAUGGCCAAAAUGGAAACUCCUAAGGUGCCUCUAAAGUUAUACUAUGGAUCUAGACUCCCUUAGAAAAGCCUCCAAAAAUGGCCCAAAAAUCGGUGCCAAAAUCGAGUAGCAAUCAGACCACUAAGGAGCACAUGAACGAAUGCAUACAAAGGGAAAAAAACCAUACGUGUACCAUACGAUGACAAAAGGCAUAAGGUAUCCAACAAUAUGACUGAUUCACGUGUUACGAGCUUAAAGAACUUUGUCAUGCACCAUGGAGGAAGGGAAACUCUAGAAUAAUGUGAUGAGGAAGUUAUUAGCACAAUGUAACAGAGUGAGGAAAAAAGUGAUGAGUGCAAAGCUGUGAGGACAAAGUGCACAAUGCUAAUGAAUAUGAAAUGAAUAGCACUAGGCUAUAAUGCAAUGAAUAGCUCAGGGUUGUACCAUAAUGAACAAGUCAAGGAUGUGUAAAGAUGAGGAACAACUCAAGGUUGUAAUGCAAUGAACAACUUAGGGCUAUGAAUGCAAUGAACAGCUCAGCUCAAUGAAUGAAAUGAAUAGCUCAGGGCUGUGAAUGCAAUGAACAACUCGACGUUGUGGAUGUAAUGAACAACUCAUGGUCAUGGAUGCAAUGAACAGCUCAGGGCUAUAGAUGAACAACUCGGGGUUGUGGAUGUCAUGAACAACUCAAGAAUAGGGGCACUAUACACCCAAAAUGGGAGAUCACGGUCUACGAUUCCAAGUCAAACCACUAAAGGGUGACCAAAAUGAGGGUGAUCAACUCACUAAAAAAGAUGAUCAAAAUGUCUUAAGGGAGAGGAGAUGCCCCAGAUGAAACUUAAAGGAAAUGAGUAGUGCUAAUGAAACUAAAAAAAGAAAAAAUGUCACAACUGAAAUUGAAAAAAUAGCAAACUUAGAUUAAAGUGCAAUGAACAACUUUGGGCUGUUGCGAUGAGUAGUACCGUGUUGUAAUGAAAUGAAUAACUUUAAGAUAUGGGCAUUGUACGCCUAAAGAGGGAGAUAGUGGUUUACGACUCCAAGUCAAACCACUAAAGGACGACUAAAAUAAGAUGAUCAACUUACUAUAAAUGAUAAUGCAACUAUCUCGAGAAAAAGGGUAUGCCCCAAAUGACACUCAACAGUAAAAGAAUGACACAAAUGAAACUAAAACAAGAGGAUGCCACAAAUGAAACUGAAAUGAUAACAGACUCAGUACUAAUGUGUAAUGAACAACUUUGGACUAUGGAUGCAAUGACUAGCACUGGGUUGUAAUGAAAUGAACAACUCUAAGAUGUGGGCACUAUACCCCUAAGAAAUGAGAUCAUAGUUUACGACUCUAAGUCAAACCGCUAAAGGGCGACUAGAAUAGGAUAAUCAACUCACUAAAAAUGAGGAUGCAACUAUCUCGAGAAAGGGGGUAUGCCCUAAAUGACACUCAAUAGUAUAAGAAUGACAUAAAUGAAACUAAAAUAAGAGGAUGCCACAAAUAAAACUAAAAUGAUAACAAACUCAAAACUAAUGUGCAAUGAAUAACUCUAGGUUGUGGAUGCAAUGAACAACAUUGGGCUGUAAUGAAAUGAACAACUCUAAGAUGUGGGCACUAUACGCCUAAAGAGGGAAAUCACGGUCUACGACUCCAAGUCAAACCACUAAAGGGCGACUAGAAUAGGAUGAUCAACUCACUAAGAAUGAGAAUGCAACUAUCUUGAGAAAAGCGGGAUGCCCUAAAUGACACUCAAUAGUUAAAGGAUGACACAAAUGAAACUAAAACGAAAUGAUACUACAAAUGAAACUGAAAUGAUAAUAAAUUGAUAACUAAAGUGCAAUGAACAACUCUAGGCCGUGGAUGCAAUGGACAGCUCAAGAAUAGGGGAACUGUUCGCCCAAAAUGGGAGAUCGUGGUAUGCGACUCUAAGUCAAACCACUAAAGGGUGGCUAAAAUCAAAAUGAUCAACUCACUAAAAAUGAGGAUCUGAACAUCUCAAGAAAGGGGUUAUGCCCCAAAUGAAACUGACAAUAGAGGGAUGCCUUAAACAGACUGAAGAAAGAAGGAUGCCCUAAACAAAUUAACGAAAAAUGGAUGCCCUAAACAAACUGACGGAAGUGAAAUGCCCUAAAUAAACUGACCAAAGAAGAAUGCACUAAACAAACUCUGAGAAAAAAAAAAAAAGAAGUAUGCAAUAUAGAAUCAAAAACACCUAAAGCAAAAACAAGAAACAAAGAAUGUGGUUUACAACUAGAAACACCCAAAAGAACCUUAAAGAAGUAACUGGGAUAAUGAACUUAAUGAAAAUGGGGUAUGCCACAGUAAAAGACUCGGAAGUAUCAGCAAAUGGGUCAAACGACCAUGAAAUCAAUAGGAGAUAUGAUGAACCCAAAAAGGGCAUAUGCCCCAACAAAAGAACACUAAAAGGGGGGUAUGCCCCGAUAUGACGACUCACAAUAAUUAAGAAAUGGAUCGAGUAAUGAGAAAAUCUGCAAAAUAUCCUAUGAACUCAAAGAUGGGGGUAUGCCCCAGUGUAAAAUAGUGACCAACAUAAGACACAGAAUGUCACCAUACAAUACACUCUGGGAUAUGCUCAAUGUCAAUGUAAUGAAAACAAUAGCCUCAAUCAACAAAUGUUCAAGCAAGACCAUGCAUCACAUAAACUAAAAUAAUAGGCUAAACAAAUGCUAACCAAGUCUCUCAAUCUGAAAUGUAAGCAAGUCAAGACAUGACAUGCCAACCAUCGACAUGAAAACAUCAUCACAAAUACAUCAACAAACUAAUAGUCCCUACUAUCAUGGAAGAUGUAGAACCUAACGUCCAAAGGCAUGUGAAAACUCAACCAGAAAGCUCAAGACUAGUUUGCAUCCUCCUCUAAUAAAAAGAAUGAGAUAAGGUCAUGUAGGAUGAUGAAAUAGGCAAGCUCAAUAUUCGUUAGGCUCUACCAAGAUGGAUGUAGGUAUAAUAGUGUCAAAGGUAGGAUGUCUAGAUUUCCAACGAAGGAAACUGGGUAUCCAAGUCAAACCAAGUAUGUUGAGGAAACUGAACCCAUAGGACAAUAACUUUAUGAUCCAUUGAAAAUAGCAAUCAUGAAUAGAAGGUCGAGUCUCGAUGUCAAAAUCAACAAGGUGGCAUUGCCCCAGUAUGAAUACAUCUUCUCAAAAUGGGUAAACCUUUAGUGCAAGAUAAUCUCUAGAAAGUGUGUGUCUAGUAUAAACUGUCAUCUCACAAAAUUUAUCACUGAUGAGUGGGCUAUACCCCAGUGUAAGCAUUUCCAAAUCAAACAUCGAUGAGAGGAGUACAACCAAUCAUACAUAAUAUGAUCAAAACAAAUCUCCACUCCUCAAAGUCAUCAUGGUAACGUGAAAAGAGUAUCUAACCUCAUUUAAAGAAAGAUCAUGUCCCAAUGUGAAAAAUAUCAAGCAAAGUGGUAUGUCUCAACAAAAAUGCACUCUAACAUGAUCAUGCCUAGAUGUAAGCUGGUAUCUUUAAGAUCAAUCACCAAUGAAAGGGUUAUGCCCCAGUAUAGGGCAAUCUCUUAAAUGACUAAAAUCCGCUACAAGCUCUCACAAGUGUCUAUGUCAUGAACCAAUCAUCUCAAAAAAUAAAUAAAUAAAUAAAUCUAUCAACAAUGAUGAGAAGGUUAUGCUCCUAUAAUCACACCAAGAAAAUCACCCGGUCAUAUCUUGUACUCCAAUGUGAAAGGAAAAUAUGAUCACCUCCAAAGAAUGGCUAUGCCCCAAAAUACAUCAUCGAUUGAGAAAUAUGCCCCUACGUAAAGUACAUCAACUGAAAUAUGCCAAUCAUGCCUCAUGCUCCAAUGUGAAAAAUGACGUAUAAUCUUCUUUGAGGGAUGGUCAUGACUCAAAUCCAUCAUCAGUUGAGAGAAGUAUGCCCCGACAUAAUGGUCAUCUAAAAAAUCAAUCCCCGACUAAGAAAUAUGUGCCUUGAUGUGAUGUAUCAAGCAAAAUGGCUGCAUACCCCAUAAAAAACUCUCUAAGGUGGCUAUGCUCCAAUGUUGGAUCAUACCACAACUCCUGGUCUAUCACAAUCAAAAUGCUGUCCAACCAAUCCCAAGUAUCGCCCACAUGAGAGCUAUCAAACACAAUGUGUGAUGUCAUGGCCUCAAGGUGGUCUUAAGAUUCGGAACGUAACGUAGGCUAGGGUAAUAAGGUAAAGAAAUGAAGGAAAACUAGGCUUAAUAAUCCUAAUGAUAAAACCCCAUACCUUAUGUAUAAAAUGCAAUAUGUGCAAAGAGUCUCAUAAACCAUGGAUCUAAGGACACCCAAUAUGAAUAUAUCAGUGAGGAAGAAAGAAUCUAAGAUGAAUAUAUCAAUGAUAACAGAGAAGAAAUGAAGAAUAUUAAACUGUUGAUGGGAUGUAUAAGAAUGAUGUAUGGAAAAUAUUGAACAUGGAAUGUAAAUUGAUAUGAACAAAGAACAAUGUAGGCAAGGCAAAUGUGAUAUCAUGAUAAGAACAAAUAAAUCGAAGAAAAAUGAAUGAACACUAAUCCACUCAAAUCAAGUCAUGGAGAAUAGUCAAAUCACCAACGUAUGUAAUGAUGGAGAAGACAAUGAUUCAAAGUCCCUAGGAAAAUGUCACUUGUUUGUCACACAUAAAAUACAUAACGAGAUAGACACAAAAAUAUGAGAGUCUUUUGAAAGUUCACAUACGAACUUUCAUAAGCAACUAACUCAAUAAAGCAACCUCAAUGACCAAUAUAUACACUCAAUAAAGGAUGACACUGUAUACAUGUGUUUAUUACUUUUUCUUUUCAUUUUGUUUUUCAUUUUUUUCAUUUUUGUUUUCAUUUUUUUUCUUUUACUCGCGCAUACUCUGAAUAUCAAUAAAUGAACUUCUCUGAGAAUACAUAAUGAAAUGGAUAUACUCUCAAACAAUGAUGUCAGCGAACUCUCUCUGACAAGAUGACCCUCUAAAUUAAGGAUUUUCGAACUAACGUCCAUGAGAUAGGAGUGGAAGGGGAUAUGACCAUCCUUCCUGCACCGAAAUGUGAAAAAUCAUCACUCAGGGCACAAAAAAAUGUGAUGAAAAAAAAUAAAAAAAUGAAACAAAAGAUAUAAACAAUGAAGUAUGAUGAAGACUGAUGUUGGGAAGACAAAAAAAAUUGUGAAGAAGGUGAGCCAAUAAGUCCUCAACUCAUGAAACUCUCGAAUAAAAUAUAUAUACACCAAAAAACCCUUAUCCCGGUGUAAAAUGUGAGCAAGGAUAUAAGAAAGAAAAAACUAUGGUGCUCAUGUGAGGUUCAAAGGGCUAGCAACGGUCCAAAUGUCAAUAAAGGUAAUAGGGUGUGAGCUAACCAAAAUGAAGGCCACCUAUGAUGGUCUGAAACAUCAUGCUCUUAAGCUUUCAAUGAUCAAUACUGAAAAUCGAUGUCAACCCUUUGGAAUUGUGCGCCAAACCAUACUCCAAAUGCUCCAUAAUAAUCUCAAAGAUAAUCCUCUCAAAGCAAAGUAAAUAGCGAUCUCAUAAGGCACAACUACUCAUCACAAGCCAACUCUCAUCAUGCAAGAUCAAUCUCUAUUUUCAUGGAAAAAUAAGUGACAAUCUCAUCAGGCAAUCGACGAAUCCUCACAUCGUAAACCAACCAAAGAUCAUAAGUCAUUCAUUGCCAUGCAAGAUCAAUCCCAGGCUCAAACUCCUCAUACUCUACCUGGUUGGAUUAGAGAAGAAAUGGGCAAAGCUAGAAAAACUGAAGAUGGAAAGGUCAUAUAAUGGUGUCAAGGGUGAUGUUGUGCAAAACUCACAAUGAAUGGAUGUAGGUCAAAGAAAAGUCAAUGUGUGAGAGUGAGUAAGGCACUACUCUGAUCAUAAGAAGAUGGGUCACAAUCUCAAACUCCUAAGGUCAAAUCUUCGAUCCUAGGCUAAUAAGCUCAACAUCCUCCAUGAUAGGUCAACCCCCAAGAUCACAAUGUGCAAAUGAAUAGAUGCCUCAAGUCAAAAGUACAACACAUCAUAUGAUAUAUGGUCCUACGAUGACAAUCUAAAACUGGAAAUAUGUUAGAAACUCUAAGGUCAUAAAGGUGUCCACUGUGAGAUGACUACAAAUGUGACUAAGGAAUCUUUAUCAAUAAUCCAAAAAAUGAAUGAGGUGUGAAAAACAACACUAUCAUGAGAUCGAUACCCCAUCAAUAACAAAAUAUCUCUAAUUCACUUUCAAUCUAAGCUCUAUAAAGAAAAACGAUAAGGUUAUAAAGGCAAACCUCUCAAAAAUGGUGUGAAUGUGAAAACAUGUCUUCACCUUUCUAUAAUGAAAAUAUCAUGUUGAAAAUAGAAAUAGGCAAAUCAACCAAAGAAUGAAGCACGGAGCCCAUGACAAGUGAAGAAUGUAAAAAGGUGAACAUGAUCAAUGAACAUAUCCCAAAACAUUAAGCAUAAAGUGACAACAAACCGAAAGAAUGUGUCAAUUUAAGAAAAGAAGACUAUCUGAAGCCCUAGGGAGAAAGUGUGCUAGACUCAACGAGCGACAAGAAGAAACUAAAACCAUAUAGCAAGGGGUGGUCCAACUGAUACUCAAACUCGUACCAAUAUCUAAGCACUCUCGACUGGAGACCAAAAGAUGGAGUAUUGGAUCCAUAUUGUGACUAAAGUGGCCUCGAAGGCUCUCAGAUGCACCCACGUGUAGGAAAGGAAAUCCUAAUGAAAAUAUCUAAGGCUUAACCUACAAGGUCAAGGCGGCUCUCAAAAGAAAAUUUGAGUAGACUUUAAAGGAUCCCUAGCAAAAGCGAUCAUACCCUCCGAUGGUACACAACCUCCUACACGUCUUGAAAUAUACGGGAGUGAUUCCAUGCAAGGUGGUCAUCACCUCCACACAUGCACUAUCUCGUAUCCUAGAGGGUUUCCUAAUGAUGAAGACUCUUACAUCUCUCAACACUUAGUGGUAAUCUAAGGUGCACAGUGAACGGUGUGGGUUCAUCCAAAAAUCCUAUCAAGCUAAGCAAAGAGAAAAAACAUUGGUCACACAAAUAUCCUGAAAUCUAGCUCUAACCUAUACAAGUCUUCAAAGAUUAGACUCCAAUUAGCAUUAAUGUUUCGACCUUCUCUAGAAUGCUCCCAAACAUAGAUAUAGUCCAUCACUAAACCCUACUCCGAAUCACUAGCUCGGUCAAAGAGCAAACAAAGUAAUAAGUCUCAUAUCAAAUACGAGAUCAAGGGGAACAUGGUCACCCGAGACUAGGGAAUUGAAGGUAAGGGGAUAGAUGUGUGUCCCGCAUAGAAAAGCAACAUGCAUCACACAGAAGAAGAAUAGUCAUGCAAUAGACAACCAAGCAAAGAACAGGUAUAUCAUUCAUAUCUACACACAAGCUAAACAAGAAAUAGGUAUUUAACAAGAAUAAACAAUAUGUUGAGAUAAACAAGAUAAUAUACGAUAAAGAGAAUCAAUCACACCAAUAUGAAUGAGAUAUACAAAAAUGAGAAUAUACAUGUCAAGGAGAGCAAGAUAAUCAUACAACAAGAAGAGUCUUAUGUUAAAGCAAGCAAGAGAAUCAAUCGAUGUAGUCAACAUGUCAAUAUCUCAAAUGAACAUAACAACCAAAUAUGCAUCAUAAAGAAAAAAUGGUAAUCAUGCAGCACACAGUCAUACAAAACAAAUACAGACAAACAUAAGCAAAUAAAUGUAAACACACAUGAUAACAAAAAUCAAUGUAUAGUAAGGCACAUGCAAUAUAUACAUAAAAUAAUCAUCAAGUCAACACUCAUAUACCUUAAAACAUGAAAAUAUACAAUAAAGACACAACGAGAGGGUAUUCACUGAUCGAUUAAUCAAACGCUACAUUUCCCUUAACUCGAGUUCAAGUUUGAUCCUUUAAAUAUCCCUAGUGAAGUCGCUAUUUUGUGGACCCACAUUUUUCAAAUACGUCCUUACACAACAGCGAGACUCAUUUUUUUUAUUUGGUGAAAAUUUGAUUUUUAGAAAAAAGACUUUGAGUCGUCACUUAUUUUUGUUUUUUUUUAAGGGAAAACAAAACAAGAAAGAAAACCUUGUGUGACUCCUUAUUUGGGAAAGACAUGUAUGCAAAAACCAAAUCUGGAUUCGGGGGUUAAGUUCCCUAUUGAGAAUGUACGAUGGUGAGCUGUAGCACCUCUCUAAGCUCAUAUACGUAUGGUCUCUACUAAACGAAUUAAGAGAAUUGUAGUAAUUAAUUAAUUAGUCAAGGAUACCAAGAAAAAGAAUCGCACAAAUGAGUACGUACAAAUCAUGAUAAAAAAAAUCAAAUUAUAAGAAUAGACAAAAUAAAUAACAAGAGAAUUGUGCAAAGUGAUUUAUUAAACUAAAUAAAAAAGAAGAUAUUAAAAAAAUUAGUUUUCAAGAAAUUUCAACGGAUUUUAUUAAAAUGAUUUUGAAUUAAUGAUUUUUAUUUAUUUAUUUACAAAAAAAGUGUCAAUUUAUUUUCUUCAAGUGAUUUGAUUCAAUUUCAUUUGUAUUCAAUUUUUUUUUUUUAAAAGUUAUUUACACUCAUGGUUGUUAAAAGAAUUAUUCACAAAAUUUCAAGUUGACAAUAAAAAUGAUUUUUACUUGCUUUUACUCAAAAACAAUGAAUUUUUACAAUUUUAUUAACAAAAGCAUUUCAAUUUAAGAAAAGUGACUUAAACAAAUUAUUAAAAAAAAUAUAACUUUAUCUGCAAAAGAAUUUUUAAUUAAAAAGAAAAAAUUUAAGUCAUCUAUUUCUAAAAAUGACUUUUAAUCCCAUUUUAAUUAAGGAAAAUUGAGUUAUCUAAAAAAACAUUUUUUGGACAAUUUGAAUAAAAAUUAAUUUUUGGGACAACUUUAUUUACAAAACAAUUUUUGGACAAUUAUUAUUAAAAACAAAAUUUCAAAUUCGAUUAAAAACAAUUUUUUGGAUUUUUCCAAACACAUUUUUAUGAAUUUUUAUUAAUAAAAAACUUUUUUUUAUUAAGAAGAAUAUUUUUUGAGCUAUUAUUUUAUUAAAACAUGUUUAUUGAAUUAUUCUUCUUCUUCAAACAAAAUUUUUAAUUUGUUCGAUAUCCAAUUCUGUACACAACAAGUAAAUAUAUACAAACAAAUAUUUAUAGAAACCAAUAAAAAUAAAACCAAAUAGAAGUGAGAAAUAAAACAUGUACUUAAACAAGCUUACAACAAGCUCAAUGUCUUCUUACGACUUUUCGAGUUUCACUUUCUUUCAUUAAAUUUUAUGCUCCACGUACCAUAAAUCCGUACUCAACCAAAAAAAUUGCAGAAUUGGCCCAUGCAAAAACAAAAAUAACACAAAUGUAUAAAGUUCACAAUAGAUAUUCAAACCCAAAUUCAAAUUUCAAAUUAGUCCAACAAAUUUCGUCAAUCAAAAUAGGUCUAAAUUAGCAAAUAUAGCCCAACAAAAAUAUCUCACAUGUCAUAGGCCUUAAUAUAAAAUUUCCAAAUUGAUAACCAAAAUAUAAGUUCAAUUAAUCAAACCCAAAACAUGAUACAUUAAAAUAAAUCUCAUUAGGCCUAAACUUAAUAUCUCAUAAUUCAAGCCUAAUUUAAAUAUAAACCUAAAUCCACAAUCAAAAUCAACUCACUUUAUGCUAAUCCCAAUUUACAAUCAAAAUCAAACAUAAUUUAAUAAGUAAAUAACUAAAUAAAUUAAGCAAACUCAAAACUCUCAAACCACUAUUGCAUAAUAUCAAACAAUAAUAAAUAUAAUGACAACAAUAUUAAUAAUAAAAUAAAAUAAAAAAAUUUAACUCACGUUGGAGCCAGUUUGAGUGUCGUGGGAAAGAAAGAAAAUGAGAGAAAAGUGGGAGAUGAUCGUUAGCUGGUAGUGGCUCGCCGACAGCGACUGGUCGAUAGUCCUACUGGCGGUAGUGAGGAUUGAUGAGUUUUUGGGAAAGGAAAAAAAAAAAAAAGAGGAGUAAUAAAAAAAAAAUGGAAAAAUGAGAGGAAGGUGGGAUAAGAGGGGAGAGAGAGAAUGAAGAAAAUAGGGGAAAAGAAAUGAGGCCGGCUGGAGGAGGAAGUGGUAGUGUGUGUGAGCUAAAGUGAAGAAGAAUGAAAGAAGAAGAAGGAGAAAAAUGGGAAAGAAGGGGAAAAAAAUUCGAGCCCUCUAAAUGAAGAAAGGUGAGUAGCUUAAAGAAGAAAAAAAAAUAAAAUAAAAAAAGAAAAAAUGAGGAGAAAAUGAGAGGGCCAGUAGUCUUGGGAAUGGGGUGGUAUAAGUGAGAGAGAGUGGGCGAGGUUGUUGGGGAAGGUAUGGGAGAGAGAGGAGAGAUAAAAGAAAGAGAAAAAAAAACAUAAUAAUAAUAAUAAUAAUCAUAAAUAAUAUAUAAAUUAAUAAAAAUUAAUAUUUAAAUGAUGAGUGUGUCAAAAAUAUUAUAUGUAAUUGGGAUUUAAUUUUAAGAGUAAAAUUGGACUAAAACUUAAUGUAAAAAUAAAAUUUGAACAAAUUUUAGAAUCUACAAAUACAUUCUUUAAUCUUUCCACAACAUCAAUCUGAUCUAAAUGAAAUGCAAUAAAUUCUAAAAAUGAUACAAUCUUUAAUCAAUCCACAACAUCAACCCGAUCAAAACUCAAUGCAAUAUUGCUUAAUGGAGAGAAUCGUAAAAUCCUUUUAUGAGAGGAAAACAAAACCCUUAACAGACCUUUAUGAGAGGAAAAUAGGAAAACAUAGAACUAAAAACCCUUAACGUAUUCAUGAGAAUAAAAAAAUCCUUAACACCUUAAUAAGAGGAAAACAAAGAAUUUGAACAAUCCUUAAUCCAUCAAAAGCUCUUAAUAUGAACGAGGGGAAAACAUAACCUUUAUUUUUCAUAUCGUUGAAUACAGAAUCUAAAGAGAUAGAAUUUUUAGUUAUUAAGGAUUUUUUAUAGAUGUCUAUUGAAAGUUCAAGAACUUUUAUGGAUAAGUGUUAAUUAAGAGACUGAAAGGGUACUUAGGAUUUUCAACUAAAAAAGUUAUAACAAUAUGAAUCGUAAGAACUUAAAAACAUCACCCAUCCAUAAGAGGAAUAUGGAAUGAGAGGUUAUAUUUUUACUUAUACAACAAUAAACUUUUUUGGAAGAGGUUUUUCUAAGUACAAAAAGUUAUGAAUAAAAAACCAUUGUUACGAUGAGUUAACUAAAAUAGAAUUAAUUUAGAAAAUAUCAAUAAAGUUGCAUGAAUUAUUAUCAUGAGUUAACUUAAUAAGAAUAAAUAGUAAUAAAGUUAAUGAGGUGAAUUUGGAUUGGCAGAUAUAUUUGAUGAUAAGAUUUUUUUAAUAAUAAAAAAUUAUUAUGGCAGGAAAAAUAGGACAAAAUUGACCUUAUGAUAAGAUUUUUUUAAUAAUAAAAACAUUAUUAUGGUAUGAAAAAAAGGGACAAAAUUGGCCUUNNNNNNNNNNNNNNNNNNNNNNNNNNNNNNNNNNNNNNNNNNNNNNNNNNNNNNNNNNNNNNNNNNNNNNNNNNNNNNNNNNNNNNNNNNNNNNNNNNNNUUUUCUAAGUACAAAAAGAGUUAUGAAAUAAAAACCCCAUUUGUUACGAUGAGUAACUAAAAAUAGAAUUAAUUUAGAAAAAUAUCAUAAAGUUGCAUGAAUUAUUAUCAUGAGUAACUUAAUAAGAAUAAAUAGUAAUAAAGUUAAUGAGGUGAAUUUGGAUUGGCAGAUAUAUUUGAUGAUAAGAUUUUUUUAAUAAUAAAAAAUUAUUAUGGCAGGAAAAAUAGGACAAAAUUGACCUUAUGAUAAGAUUUUUUUAAUAAUAAAAACAUUAUUAUGGUAUGAAAAAAAGGGACAAAAUUGGCCUUUCCUUAAUUGUACCGGUUAAUGGAAUAAUGGGACAUGCGGUGGUUACAAGCCACCCCAAAAGGUAGGAAGAAUCUCCAACCCCCAUUCUCGGCUCCCUUAUCUUUUCCCUUACAACCAAAAAUCAACAACUAUCUUAGAAUGUCCUUCAGUCCAUCAAAAUUCAACAACAACAAUUAUACAUUACAAUAAUGAAAACAAAAUUGAUUGAUCACCAGCUAACAUUAGGAGAUUAUAAGAUAAGGAUGUAAUUGCAAUUAUUGAAAUCACUUAAAGAGUAAAAGUUAGGAACAUGCUCACAAUAAAUAAAAUCACCUUAGAAUUAAAAAUUAGGGACAUGAUUAUGAUGAUUAAAAUCACUCGAGAACUAAAAUGUUUUAGAGAUACAAUAAUUGAAAUCAACUGAAAAAUAAAUUCGGGAUGUGAUCGCAAUUAAUGUAUAUAUAAACAACCAAAUGUUGAAAGGAAAAACUAAUGAAAUUAAUAUGAUUUUCUUUUAGAUUUCUCUUGACACCAAACAAAUGUAAGGAAGUUUAUAAAGGAAAAUUAGGUUUUGAUUCACUAAAUUAAAAUAAUAUAGAAAAAAGAUCUUCAAAUUUUAUAUACCAGUUUUAUUUUUAUUUAUUUAAAAAUAUUUUAAAAUACAUAUAUUUUUUCAUAACUCAAAUAGUCAUUCCUCAAAUGCUAGUUUUACUUGUUAUGUUAAUAACACUAGUUAAUAAUUUUUUAUUGUGAGAACGAUUUAAGAUUAAUAAAAUAAGAAAUUUUUAAAACUAAAAAGACAUUUAAAACUUUAAAAUUAAAAAUAUAAAAAUAAAACAAUAAUUUUUCAUUUAGUAAAACACGCCAGUAGAAAAUAUAGAUAUAGAGAAAGAGUUGGAAAUAAAAUAAGAGUUAAUAUUUUAUUUUUAAAAUUUUAUGUUUUUUAUUUUAAUUGUAUUUAAUUUUAUGUAUUUUAGUUGUAAUUAUAUUUUUAAUUUUUAAUUUUUUUUUAUUUUAUUGUUGAUGUAAACUAAUAAAUUUUUUGUUCAAUUAUAUAUAUAUAUAUAUAUAUAUAUAUAUAUAUAUAUAUAUAUAUAUAUUUUAAAAUUAGUGAGUAAAAACCCACUUUUUCUAAUUUAUAAUAUAUUUAUGGGAUUUUAUAAUAUAAGCAAUUUUUUUUUUUUUGAGAAAGAGGAAAAAUCAACUUUUCAAUUUCCCUUAAUAAUUAUUAUUAUUAUUAUCCAAUUUGGCUGAUUAUGAGAUUAGUUCGUAUCAUUACUAUAUCCAUUUGUUCUUAACCCUUCAUUAGAAUAGUAUUAGGAGUUGAACGUCAGUUGGAAUACAGGCUUAUGGAAACAAAUCUAUCCGAUUAGUAGGUUCUUAUUAUUUUCAAUAUAGCCCCAUAAAAUAAAUAGGAGAUGGGCAGCCCGUCCCUUUUGUCUGGAGGCCAUCCUCCCAACUUAUUAAAGGUGAUAUGAGAUAAGACAGUGACAAAAUUGUCGGUUACUUCCCGACACCUGGCUCUCCACAAGCAAACCCAGUGAUCCAGAAAUUAAUUGGUACCUGGACACGUGACUAACAAACCUUCGCUCAUCUACCAAACCCAUGGCCUCAUGCCUUAUAUAUUUCCACAAACCUAGCUCAAUUUUCAUAGCCACCUUCACUAUCCUAUACUCACUAAGCCAUGGCCAUAGAUACAAGCCUCUUGCUUGAGUUUGCUGCAGCAACUCUACUCUUCUUCAUCACCCGCUUCUUCAUUCGUUCUCUCCUUCCCAAACCUUCCCGGAAGCUCCCCCCUGGCCCCAGAGGGUGGCCGCUCCUCGGCGCUCUUCCUCUUCUAGGUAACAUGCCUCAUGUUGCAUUAGCAAAGAUGGCCAAAAGAUACGGGCCUGUCAUGUUCUUGAAAAUGGGCACUAACAGCAUGGUGGUGGCCUCAACUCCCGAGGCGGCUCGGGCUUUCCUUAAAACGCUAGACAUUAAUUUCUCUAACCGCCCGCCUAAUGCCGGUGCCACACUCUUGGCCUAUCAUGCCCAAGACAUGGUUUUUGCGGAUUAUGGGGCAAGGUGGAAGCUACUGAGAAAGCUAAGCAACUUACACAUGCUUGGUGGGAAAGCUCUUGAGGACUGGUCUCAGGUCCGAGCUGUUGAGCUAGGCCACAUGCUUCGAGCCAUGCUUGAGUUAAGCCAGCGAGCGGAGCCGGUGGUGGUGCCGGAGAUGUUAACUUUUUCCAUGGCCAACAUGAUAGGUCAAGUGAUUCUAAGCCGCCGGGUGUUUGAAACAAAAGGGUCGGAGUCAAAUGAGUUCAAGGACAUGGUGGUGGAGCUCAUGACCACUGCUGGGUACUUCAAUAUUGGCGACUUUAUUCCGUCCAUCGCAUGGCUGGACAUCCAAGGGAUCCAGCGCGGGAUGAAGCAUUUACAUAGGAAGUUCGACCGGUUAUUAACAAAGAUGAUGGAGGAGCACACGGCGUCAGCCCAUGAGCGAAAGGGAAACCCAGAUUUUCUGGACGUAAUCAUGGCAAACCAAGAAAAUUCUACAGGGGAGAAGCUCACUAUUACCAACAUUAAAGCACUCCUCCUGGUAUGCAUAGUUAAAGCUCGUCUUCAAUUUUGUUUUCCGAUAUUUUCUUUCCGGAAACAGCACUUUUAUUGCUUUUAGAUAUGUACGUUUUUAUCAGGUAGCCAUUUUAGGGGCACAUCACUAUUCUUUAUUUUUGGACUAUUUUUUUCUUUUUCCACUUGCAUGGUUGUUUUCAUAUGCUCAGCUGCAUGGCACAAGAAAAUUGUGAAAAAUGAUUGGUUCUCUGAUCAGACCUUCAGCACCAAAACACGCUUUUCUCUAUGUUAUAAAAUCGGUUUACAUGAUUUUUCAACCAGCUUCCUUGAACUUGAACUUUUGCUAGGGCUAAUGCAAAAAAUGAUUGAUCUCAAUUUUCAAUAGCGUUUGAUUACAUAAAUUUCAAGUAUGUGAACAUAUUUUUGUUUCCUUGGCUAGAAUUUAUUUACUGCAGGAACAGACACUUCAUCGAGCGUAAUCGAGUGGUCUCUGGCUGAGAUGUUGAAAAACCCGAGCAUCCUCAAGCGUGCUCACGAAGAAAUGGAUCAAGUGAUUGGAAGGAGCCGGCGGCUCGUGGAGUCUGACUUGCCAAAACUUCCAUACCUACAAGCCAUAUGCAAGGAAAGCUUCCGGAAGCACCCAUCCACACCACUGAACCUUCCUCGUGUCUCAACCCAGGCAUGUGAAGUGAACGGCUACUACAUCCCAAAGAACACUAGACUUAGUGUGAACAUAUGGGCAAUCGGGCGAGACCCUGAUGUCUGGGAAAGCCCGGAAGAAUUCAGGCCAGAAAGGUUUUUAAGUGGAAGAAAUGAAAAAAUUGAUCCUCGUGGAAAUGAUUUUGAGUUGAUCCCGUUUGGGGCUGGACGAAGGAUUUGCGCUGGCACUAGAAUGGGAAUAGUGCUGGUUGAGUACAUUUUAGGGACGUUGGUACAUUCAUUUGACUGGAAAAUGCCGGAUGGAGUUGAGAUCAACAUGGACGAAGCUUUCGGGCUUGCGCUGCAGAAGGCAGUUUCUCUUUCGGCCAUGGUGACACCAAGGCUUCACCAGAGUGCGUAUGCAGUCUGAGCUCAAACCGCUCAGACCAAAACCCAGGCCUCGCUGCUAUAUGGCAUGGAUGCAGUUAAGUAGAAAAUAUUUUGGGAUUUUUGCCUGUGGCUUAGUAUAAGAUGUAUUAGCUCAAAGAUGGUCGUUUCAUUCUACCACCAAGCCAUAUGCAUCUAUGCAUAAUCUAUUGAUUUAGGCUCGAUUUGGUUAUAGUUUUUGUUUUUUUGUCUUCCAAAUCAGUAAAUAGUAGGGGUAUUUUUGUCCUAUGUAGUGAUUCUUUUUGUUUGAUUGAUUAUAUUUGGAUCCUUCAAAAAUAUACGGUCAGAGCCAUCUCCAUCUUUUCACUUCUUGUGCUGCAGAAUGGGAUUGGCUUAGAUCGUUAGUCUAAUGUUAACCCCCUUCAAAUCUAAUUAUUCAUACUCAAUUUUGACACGAAAGAGCCAUUGUCAUGAAAGGGGGACCAGGGACCUCAGCACCCUUGGUUCAUCAUUUUGGUACGAUGCCAACUCUACCACAUAACCACCAUUUAGAUAUCUAUCCUUUUAUUUUUGGCAUGUGAACUUAUAGUGGGUGGCUGACCUUGAAUCCAAUAGUUAUCAUGAUAUAUAUGGCUGAAAUUAACCAUCAUUUAGAUAUCUAUCCUUUUAUUUUUGGCAUGCGAACUUAUAGUAAGUCCGAUUUAUGUCCAAGGGUCAAAUUUAAAUCUCUCUUCAAUCUAAUGGCUAAGAACUUCCCAACUUUAUUUAAUACUUAAUGUAUCCAAUAAUUGUAAUCGAGUAAUCCAAUGACAAGUACCUUCAAUGAUUAUUUUGGCAAAAGAAAUAAUAUAAGUUUGUUAUUUUAUGAUAUAAUAAAUUUAUUAAUACUUUCCUUUUUCAAAAUAUGUAAUUAGUUGUAAUUUCAUUAUAUAAUAUAUAAAUUAAGUUAUUUGCAAUUUUAAAAUAUGCUCAUUUUGUAUUUUUUUAAGUGUUAAUUAAAAAUUAUACAAUUUUGUUUUAUAAAAAGUAUUUAGUACUUUUAAUUUUAUAAAUUACAAGCAUUAAUUUAUACUAUUUUCUUAAAAUAUUUAGUUUAGUAUGCAUAUUAUUAGUUGUUUUCUUACAUCACUACUACAAAAAUAAUAUAUGAUGUCACUAUUUAUAGUGUCGCAUUUAAAAUAAUGACACCAUUGAACUUAAAAUUUAUAAAGGUGACACAUCAUUUAAAAAAUCUUCAAUUAGGAUAGUUAGAUUAUGCUAAUUUCAGAUUUACGGUGUCAUUUUUUGGAAGUGACACCAUAUGAAAUAAAAAGUUUUAAAUUUUAUAACUCAAUGGGCCUUUUUUAAAAAUAGUGAGUAGGAACAAUUUAUGAAAAGUCUAUUGUUUCCAUAUAUACAUUAACUAAUAUAAAAGAUCUUGUUGCUUGACCCUAACCAUCGUUUUCUUCUCCUUCUUCUCACACCCAUGGUCAGCACACCCAUAAUUGAUAUUCUUUGCUUCGUAAAAUCUCGGGUAAGUCAAAAUCUCUUAUCUAUCAUCUUUAUUUUUUUUAUUAAUGCAAAAAACUUUGUUAGUAUAAUUGUUUUAUAUCUCUUGAUUUAGUAUAUCUAUGAUGUGGGUUUUGUAAAUGGUGUUUUUUAUCGAGUUCUAAGGAAGUAAAAACUAAGUUUAACAUUCUAACAUAUUUUUUGUUUCAUUGCUAAUAAGCCCCAAAACAAAUGAAAACAAGAAAAAUGAAUUAUUUUUAAAAAAUUUGUCUAAUUGAGAAUGAGAGAUACACUAGUUUGUAGUAAUUUUUCGCAUGAAAUAGUAUUUUAUUGAAGACUUGACUAUAUUUGAUACUUUUUUCCACCGUGCUAGGAGCUUUUUGGUGAAGUCUAACAAUAGAGAUUGAUAUCUGCUACAAGAUGAUACUCAAUUAAACCAAAAGCACUUAAGUUAUUUAGGGUUUUCUUCGGUUAACCUAAGAAAACAUUCCCACUUUCUUUGUAUUGAGUCAUCUAAAUAGAAUAGAAUAUUGGGUAUCAGAGUCGUAAAUGGUAUUAUAAAUAUGACUUUUUUUUUAGAGUCACCUACAUGGAAUGAAUUAUUGGUAGGUGAACAAAAUAUUGGGGUGAUUGUAAUAGUUGAAUUAGUAAAUGGAAGAUAAGUGUAUGUUGCUUUGUUUAUUCUAUAAAAACAAUAAUUUUAGUAGUUGAAAUUUACAUGCUUUGUUGUUUUAUAAAAACAAUAAUUUUAGUAUUUGAAAUUUUAAAAUGUGAAUGAAAUGCCUGAAAAUAUAUUUUGAAAAAUAGGAUAGUAAUAAAUGGAAAAUAACUCAUUUCCUAAAAAUAUUUUGAUAAAUUAAAAUAAUAUGUGGUUAAAAUAUAUUUUUGUGAAAGUAUUUAAAAAUGAAUCAAAAUAUAAAUAAUUGUUAUUUUUUUUUAAAAUAAUUUAGGAAUAUAAAAUAAUAUUGGGGAUAAUUUUUGAGUUUAAAUUGUGUUAUAAAUGGUUAAUUUUUUUAGGACUGUCCUUUUUGAAAAUAAUCCAAUGAUAAUUUUUUUAAAUAAGAAUGUUGAAACUAAUUUUAAAAAUAAAAUUUUGUUGGCAAUGAUUUUUCUAAAAGUAUUUUAGGCAUAAAUGGAAAUUUCUUGUAUGAAAAUAAGAGAAUUUAUAUAUAUAUAAUAGACAUAAAAAUAGAUUUCUUUGAUAUUUAAUAAACAAGUGAAUUUUUCUCUAAAAAAAGAAUAAAAUAAGAAUUUCUCUAUAUAAUAAAAUAAUUUAUAUAUGAGAUAGUUUUCAAUAAGAAAGUUUUGAAAAUAAAUUUGGGAUAAAAUAUUUUUUAGUAAGUUUUGUUUAGAUAAUUCAAGAAUAAAGUGGUUUAUUAACUUUUCUUAAAAAAUAACAUUCUUCUUUCUUUUUUGAAUUGAUCAAUAGUUUGGAAAUAAAAUUGUUAGAUUCUAUUUUUUGUAAAUGUUUAAGAUAUUCUAAAAAAUUCUUUAAAAAUGAAAUGACCUUUCUACCACAUUCCUUUAAUAAAUAAUUGUAUUUUUAUACAUAUUGUAAAGUAAAAAAAAAAGUCUUUAUUUAGUUAACCUAAGAAGACAUUCCUACUUUUCUUUGUGUUGAGAGUCACCUAAAUGGAAUAAAAUAUUCAAUAUCAUAGGAGAGUAAAAAGUAUUGUAGAAAUGAUUUUGUUGAGAGAGUUAUCUAAAUGGAAUGAGAUAUUGGUAGGUGAAUAAAAUAUUAUGGUGAUUGUAAUAGUUGACUUAGUGAGUGGAGGAGAAGUGUAUGCUUCUUUGUUUAUUCUAUAAAAACAAUAAUUUUAGUAGUUGAAAACGUGUAUGAAAUGACUGAAAAUAUUUUUUGAAAAAUAAGAAAAUAAUAAAUGGAUAAUAGCUCAUUUCCUAAAAAUCUUUUGAUAAAUUAAAAUAACUUGUAGUUAAAAUAUAUUCUUAUGAAAGUAUUUAAAAAUAAACCAAUAUAUUAAUAAUUGUUAUUUUGUUUAAAAAUAAUUUAAUAGUAAAAAAAUAAUACUGAGUUCAAAUAUGACUACUUUGUUAUGAGAUUCAUUAAAGAAAUAAUUGUUGAUUUUACAGUUAUUGCAUCAAAGGUUUUACUCGUUUAAUGAAUUGUACAUAAUUUCAUACUUUCAAUUAUUAUGAUAUUAAUGUUAUUCUCAUUUGAUUUCAGUUUGAUUACAAAUAAAACAUAUUCUCAAGUAGAAUUUGAUGAAAUUAGAGAAAAAUAGAUUACUUUUGUGUUAUAACUAAUCAUGAAUCAUAUUGAUGUAUCGUGAUCAUUCAUGGUAAGUCCCUUAGUUGUUAUAUGAUUGAAUUUUCCAUUGAUAUUGUAUAACAUUACUUAUUCUUUACGAACUAUUUUUAUACCAAAAUGAGAAAAAGGAAAAAGAAAAAGAAAACAUUAGUACUUAGAUUUGUUUAUUGUUUAUAACAUCACAUUUUUAUUUUCAAUAAGAACUCUAAAACUCAUUAAUCUAUGAAAUGCAGGUAUACACUCUUGGGAGGACAAUAUGAAGAAUAAAAAGAAAGGAGAAAGAGACAACAAGAUUUAGGUUGUUAGAUAUGACUCUUAUGUCAUACAUUAUAGGACAUAAAUGUUACUUUAUUUGGAAUUGAGAAUUUUGGGUUUUUGGAUGCAACUCUUGUGUCAUUUUAUGGUUAGCCGGUUUUAUACAUAUGAAAUGCAAGUAUACAUGAAUGUUGGGAAACUUAACAUUUCUAAAUCAUGUUUUAAUGUGUAUUCACUUUUCUUUUUUAGUUUUGGUGGGUUUGAUGUGUUUGAUGUACUAUCAUUUUGUGAACAUUUGAUAUACAAAUAUUAUUGGAUGAUGUAAUAUGUUACAAAUUAAUUCAUAAGCAUUAUGAAAAUAUAAGUUAAAUGUAAUAUGAUUAUUAUAUUUAUGGACAAUUUACACAGGUUAGUCUUAUUUAUUAAUAAGCAUUACAAAAAUCUACAAACUAAUCAACAAAAAACAACCAUAUCUUCCAUAAUCAUUUACAAUGAUGUGACACCAUAAAUUAAAGGUGAUACAUUUAACGUGACACCAUAACUCAAAGAUGAUGCAUUUAAUAUGACACCUUAUAUAUCUCAUACAACUCUAUAUCAAAUUAAGCAUCACUAAAAAUAUAUGGUGUCUCUUCUGAAUGUGUCACCAUUUAUCUGCUUUGGUGUCGCUUCCAAAUACGUCACCAAUUGAUACCCUCUAUGGUGUCAGUGGAUAAGGUGACGCUAUGUUGUAGUGACACCCUAUGUUUAUAGUGACUUAUUAUAAAUGUCACCAUAUAUCUUUUUCCUUGUAGUGCAUCUCAAGUUUCAAUCAAAAAAAUAUUUAUGAUUUGUUUUUAUUAAUUUGUGUCUUGUUUUCAAUUUAAUUAAUGAAAAUUUAUUUGAUCAAAAAGUUCAUUACAAACCAAUUUUAAAAAUCUAAUCCUUUAUUAUAUUUUGAUAUCGUUUUGAUAAAAAUGUCUUUAUUAUUAUUAUUAUUUUUUUUUUUAUAAAAAUAAAUUUUUUUAUAAAUAUAUUGUAAAUAUUUAAAAUAAUUAAAAAUAUUUAGAUCAAAAAUCGAUUAUUUUUCAAACAAAUAUAUGAAAGUGAUAAAUUUGCAAAUAUGGGGAAUAUUUAAUCCUUUUAAUCGAUUAUUUCAUUAAUGAAGUGGGUAUAAUGAUGAACGCAUACUUGGUUUUACUAGGGCAUGCAGAGGUUUUGCAAGAGAGAGAGAUCAUUUCUCGACUCUGAGAAAUCAAUCUCCUUUUGGCCCGGUGGCGGACUCCAAGUAAAGCCUUGAAGGAGCCUUGCUAACAUCCCUGCACACCCACGCCUUCCAGUACUGAAGGAAAUGAAGCGAAGGUUUGGCUCGUUCAACUCCACUGCUUGAACUGUACUAGCAUUCAGAUGCCGCUCUGGAUUGAAAUUUAGCGGUUCUUCCCAGAUUCUAGGGUUCCGGCCCAGCCCCAGACGGCUCAGAAGGACAUGACUGCCUUUGGGGAUAGAGUACCCAGCAACACUAGUCGGAUUCCUGAACUCGUCUAUCCUUUCCAACCACUCCAUCAAUUUCUUCACUGCUUUGCUCAAAAUCCCUGGUUGCUUGAUCAUUGCCUACUCAAUUGCAUUUGAUGGACUAUCGACGCCUGCAAGCAUCAACUCCUGCAAAUUAUGGAAGGAUCAUAAUCUGAUGAUUGAUCAAGUUAUUUGCUGGCUAGGAAAUGAUCAUCAUGCAAUGUAGAUCAAAAGGUAAGCACAACACUACUACAAAAAUAAUUUAUGGUGUCAUUUUUAAAAUAAUGACACCAUAGGGUUUAUAAUUAAUAAAGGUGAUACAUCAUAUGAAAAUUCUUCAAUUAAGGUAGUUAGAUUAUGUUAGUUUUAUAUUUAUAGUGUUAUUUUUUGGGAAGUAACAUCAUAUAAAAUAAAUUUUUUUUUAAGUAUUAUAACUUAAUGAGCCCACUUUUAUAAUUAAUAAUGAGGGAUAAUGUAUAAAAAGCCCAUUGUUUCCACAUGCCACCCAUAAUCCAAAAAAUCUCAGUAUACAAACCUUAUAUAUAAAACCAUAAUCUUCUUCUACCUUUUCUCUUACCUAUAGUCAAUACACUUACAACCGACAUUUUCUACUUUGUGGACUCCUGGGUAAUCCAAAUUCUCUUAGAUCUAUCAUAUUUUUUUUUCUUUUAUUAAUAUAAUUAUAUUGAUUGUUUCACCAUCUUUGUAUUAUGGUUUUUGUAAACUGCGUUUUCUUGAGUUGUAGGGAAGAAAAACUUAGGUUUAAACUUCUAGCAUAGACGAAGAAACUUGUAGAUUAAUUGAUUUUUUAAUAUGAACCAAACACAUGACUGACUUCUUAAAAACAAGAAAAAAUGAAUGAUUUUUAAUAUGUAUUUAUGUGAGAAUGACAGGUACAAAAUUUUGUUGAGAUAUACUGUCACAUAAUCUUCAUCCCUUCCCUAAAACAAGAGAGAGAGAGAGAAAAAAAAAAAGGAAUGAUUUUUUUUGUGUGUAUCUAAGUGGGAAUGAGAUAUAUAGAAUUUUGUUGAGAUGCCACAUGAUCUUUAUCCUCCAUUAAACCCAACAUAUUAAAUCCACUAACUCUCCCCAAAAACGAGUAAAAAAAAAGGGAAAAAAGUAUGAGUUAAAAAACAAAAACGGAAAAUAUGAUUUAUUUUUUUUUAAUGUGUUUCUAAGGAAAAUGAGAGACACAAAUUUUUGUUAAGAUGCAUUGCCACGUGUUCUUCAUCCUCUCCAUUAAGCCUAAUAUAUUAAACCUAAUAGCUCUCUCUUUUAACUUUCCAGUGAAGUGCCUACAGUAUCCAACUCAAAAUAAGACAACUUAAGCCCCAUUAGCCAACAACCCAUAUUUUGUGUACAUCUUGAUGAGAUUAUUUUGUGAGAAAAUGUCAUGAAACAAUCCCAAUUUGAUAAUCUAGGCAUGUAUUUGAGUUAAAAAUAAAUUUCUAUUCUAUAGAUCAAAUAAUAAAAUCAUGUUUGAAAAUUAUUUUUAAAAACUUAUUUAGAGCAAAAAUAGUUUUCUAACAUAAAAAUAAUUUUUUAACUGAGAAAAUAUAUUUGAAAUUAUUUGAUAGAAAAUUGGGCAUGUAUUUGACUUAAAAACAAAUUUCUAUUCUAUAGCUCAAAUAAUAAAAUCAUGUUUGAAAAUUAUUCUUAAAAGCUUAUUUAGAGCAAAAAUGGUUUUCUAACAUUAAAAUAAUUUUUUAAUUUAGAAAAUAUAUUUGGAAACAUUUGAUAGAAAACUAGGCAUGUAUUUGACUUAAAAAUAAAUUAUUAUUCUAUAGAUCAAAGGAUAAAAUCAUGUUUGAAAAAUAUUCUUAAAAACUUAUUUAGAGUAAAAACAGUUUUCUAACAUAAAAAUAAAUUUUUAACUUAGAAAAUAUAUUUGAAAACAUUUGAUAGAAAACUUUUUUUUUAAUGUCAAUAAGUUGUCUUUUUGUUAAUUUAAUUGUAAUCAAUUUGCUUAUACGCAUUUAAAAGUAUAUAUUAUCAUAUUUAGUAAUAUUUUGAUUGUUAGGCAAAUUAUCAUUUUUGAGAGGAAUUUUUGUAGCUCUCAUAAUUAUAAUUGUAUUUUAAUAACCAUUUCCAAUAAAAAAGAAAAAGAAAAAAGAAGUUAGACAAUUAUCAAAAUCUGAUUUUUAGGAUUUUAAAAAAAUCUACAAGCCAAAACUAUCUAUAAUUUUGAUCAUGUGAGAACACUUCUUUUUUAAUACUUUGAAUUAUUUUGUUUUUUUUUUUCUUAGUAUCUGAAAGUAUAAAAGAAUUUCUCUUAUUAUAUUAUUAUAUUAUAUAUGUGCAUGUGUGUUCUCAUGGUUUCUUUAUGUCAUGUCUUAUUAAAGAAUAAAGUGAUGAAAUUUCCUUUGAGUAGAAGGUUUUAGUCCACGCUAGUGAGUGGACACGGUAUGAAUAGUUUGGGUGGGUUGUAUCUAUGGUAAAAAAUAAUAAAAGAUACCUUUUGCAAGUCUCCAAGUUGGUUGAGAUACAUGGCAUCAUGUUGACUAAACCUUGACUUUUGCAAGUCUCCUAGUUUCCAACUUUUUUUUUUCUUUUUUUUUUAAUAUUAAGGUGUGGGGCCAUGAACUCCUUUCUUUCCUUUUUAAAUAACAAAAAGGAAGAUAAUUUUAUUGUGAGAAGGCUAUUUCUAUCAAUUGUGUUCACGUCGAGAAUUUUUUAAUUUAUGGAGGCCAAAUAUAUAUUUAUGUCUAAUUUAGGAGGGUAAUUUGGGUUUGUUUAAUCUAUUCCAUUUAAUCAUACUAUACAAUCAUUUUUUUAUUUGGAUUAUUUUUGUAUUAAAUUUCUUCAACCCAAAUUUUGUUGAAAAAUUACAAUGUAUUAUUAAAAAUAUGACUUGAUAGUUGAUUAUGGACAUGUGUCAUUUUUAGUAAAAAAAAAAAUCUAUAACAUUUUAUAUUGAUAAUAUAUUAUUCUUGUAACAGGUUCGAAUAGUAAGCAAGUCAUUAUCAAAGAAGUUAUUGAAAGUAUAAGUGUACGUUUAUUUAUUGCAUGCUCUUAUAUUGUAUCAAUUGUAAGGAAGAUAAAAUUACCUUGUAAAGGUAAUUAAAUCUUUCUAUAUUUUAAAAACUUUUUUCCUAUAUACUAUGCUUUUGAAGCUUGUUUAAUUAAACAUAUUAGUUAUUUGACAAACUUUUCACAAAUGUUUUGUAUACUUAUGUGUUCUAUUUUGUUCCAUAGUUUUAUCGCAUAAUACUAAUGUAUAUUUUUUCACAAACUUUUUACAACUAUUUUGUGUACUAAUGCAUAUUAAGUUUUGUUCUUGCCUAUAUAAGCUACAUUUAGUUAUUUAAAUAUAUCCAAUAUUAUGUUGAAGAAAGAUGUACUUAACUUUUUUUAUUCUAAAUAUUAACAAGUUUUAUAGUUCUCUUGUCUUGAGAUUGAAUGUCAAAAGAUAGAAGGUCAGUUGAGUAUGAUGAAAGAGUUGAAAACUUUAUCAAUUUUGCAUUAGCACAUUCAAUCAACCAUUCCCCUAUAAAAUGCCCAUGCUUACGUUGUGCAAAUCUAUUAUGUCAAACUCUUCAAGUCAUUACAGAGCAUUUGUUCUUUAAUGGAAUAGAUCUCAGUUAUCGAGUAUGGUAUUGGCAUGGAGAAAAUGGACCCAGUGGAGGAUUUUCAAAUGUCUCACAACAACAUUAUGACAAAUGCAAGUAUAAUGAUGUUGUUGACACAAUAGAUAUGGUUAAUGCUGCACAAGUUAAUUGUGUGAAUGAUCCCUAAGUGUUUGGAAGGUUACUUGAAGACGCAAAAAAACCUUUAUAUCUUGGAUGCAUGAAAUACACAAAGUUGUCAGCAUUGGUAAAACUUUACGACUUAAAAGCACGUUAUGGUUGGUCUGACAAAGGAUUCUCAAAAUUGCGUCAGUUGCUUGGAGAUAUGUUGCCAUUGAAUAAUGAGAUGUCAUUGUCCAUGUAUGAAGCUAAAAAGACUUUCAGUGCACUUGGGAUGAAUAUCAAAAAAUUCAUGCAUGUUCUAAUGAUUGUAUUUGGUAUAGAAACCAGUAUAAGGAUGCUAUUGCAUGCCUAACUUGUGGAAAGUCAAGGUGGAAGAUAAACAAUGAGGGGAAAAAGAUUAAGAAGGGGCUUCCUUCAAAGGUUUUGUGGUAUUUCCCACCAAUCCCUAGAUUCAAAAGGAUGUUCCAAUCCUCAAAAAUCGUUAAACAUCUUAUGUGGCAUGCCAAGGAUAAAGAAUAUGACGGUAAACUAUGCCACCCAUCAGACUCCUCAGCGUGGAAACUAGUUGACCAUAUGUGGCUUGAUUUUGCUUCUGAACCGAGAACCUUAGACUAGCACUCUCAACAGAUGGUACAAAUCUUCAUAAGUCUAUAAGCAAUAGACAUAGUUGUUGGCCUGUUAUACUGAUCAUAUACAACCUUCCUCCUUGGUUGUGCAUGAAAAAGAAGUUUAUGAUGCUAUCAUUAUUGAUCUCAGGACCACGACAACCUGGUAAAAAUAUAGAUGUUUACUUGAGUCCAUUGGUAGAUGACCUUAAAACUUUGUGGGAAAAAAAAGUUGAGACUUAUGAUGCACACUUGCUUGAGGUUUUUACUUUAAAGGUCAUCAUUUUAUGGACAAUCAAUUAUUUCCCUACAUAUGGAAACUUGGCCAAUUGCACCGUGAAAGGAUAUUAUGCAUGUCCAAUAUGUGGAGAAGGAACAUAUUCCCAAAGAUUAAAGUAUGGUAGGAAGAACUUGUAUAUGGGUCACCGACGAUUUCUUCCACGUAACCAUCCCUAUUGGAGACAAAAGAAGGCAUUCAAUGGUGAACAAGAUUUUAGAAUUCCUCCUAAAAUUUUGAGUGGAGAAGAAAUACUUGAAAAAGUUGAUCUCAUUCCUAUUUCUUGGGGAAAAAUGAAGAUAAAAUCUCUUGAACUGAUGUGAACACAAAUUAUUGGAAAAAAAAGUCCAUAUUUUUUGAGUUAGAAUAUUGGAAAUAUCUUCAUAUCCUUCACAACUUAGAUGUCAUGCACAUCGAAAAGAAUGUCUGUGAGAGUAUUAUUGGUACUUUGUUUAACAUCCCAGGAAAACAAAAAGAUGGACUUAAUGCUCAACUUGACCUAGUUGAAAUGGGUUUAAGGUCUGAACUUUUCCCAAGAGUUGACUUGAAGCGGACCUAUCUUCCCCCUGCAUGUUAUUCACUAUCCAAACAUAUAUGACAAAAAAUUAGUUUGUCAAACAUUGUCUAAUUUGAAGGUCCCUGAGGGGUAUUGCUCAAAUUUUAGAAAUCUUGUCUCCUUAAAGGAAUUGAAGUUAUUUGGUUUAAGAUCCCAUGACUACCAUGCACUUAUGCAACAACUAUUGCUAGUGGCAUUACGUUUUGUUUUGCUAAAGCAUGUGAGAUAUACUAUAUCAAGAUUGUGUAUCUUCUUCAAUCAAUUAUGUACAAAAAUGGUUGAUGUGCCAAAAUUGGAUGAAGUACACAAUGAGUUAGUGGUCACGCUGUGCUUACUUGAAAAGUAUUUUUCACCUUCAUUUUUUGAUAUUAUGCUUCAUCUAGUAGUGCAUUUGAUAAGGGAGGUGUGACUAUGUGGUUCAGUUUACUUUAGGUGGAUCUACCCAUUUGGGAGGUAUAUGAAAGUUCUUAAAGAAUUGUUCGCAAUCAUAAUUGGCUUGAAGGAUGCAUUACUAAGUGCUAUUUAACAGAAAAAGCUAUUGAAUUUUGUACUGAAUAUUUAUUAGGGACUCAUGCAAUUGGAAUUCCAAAAGCAACAAUUAUGACAACAAAUUUGGUAGACCUAUAAUUGGUGGUCGUUCUACCAUCAUUGAUCAUAAAUUGUGGUUACAAGCACAUCAUUAUCUAUUAGAGAAUACAACUAUCGUCCAACCAUACACUGAGUAAGAAAAACAUACCUUUAUCUUUUUAUAAUUUCAUAACAUAAUGAUGAAAUCCUAAGUUUGCAUUCCUUGUCUUUAACGUCAUAAGGAACACAUGAAUUGGUUGAGGUCUCAAUACCCUCGACAAUCUAAUAGACAAAUUUGGUUGCAAGAAGAACAUAUGAGUUGUUUUACAUAUUGGCUUAAAGAAAAGGUAAUCUCUUAGUUUUUAGAAAAUUUUUCAAUAUGUUGAAAACAUCACAAGUUUCCAAUAUGUUUUGAUUAUACAUAGGUUGAAGAGGCUAUCCAUAAUGGGCAAGAUAUUCCCGACACACUUAGGUGGUUAGCACAUGGCCCUACUCUCCAGGUAGUCAAAUAUCCUGGAUAUAUCAUUAAUGAGUGUUGUUACCAUAUUAAGAAACGCGAUAUGACAUGCAUCACCCAAAAUAGUGGUGUUUUUAGCAAGACUAUGCAAAUUGCUAGUUCUAAGGAUAAGAACCUAGUUUGUGGUGAACUUUGCUUUUAUGGGGUCAUUAAUGAGAUAUGAAAUCUUGAUUACAACAUGUUCACAAUUCUAAUUUGCAAGUGUGAUUAGGUUGACAACAAGAAUGGUAUAAAAGUUGAUGAACUCAGGUUCACAUUAGUUGACUUCUCCAAAAUAGGUCACAAAUUGGAUCCAUUUAUUUUAGCAUCACAAGCCAAGCAAAUCUUCUAUGUUGAAGAUCAACUUGAUCCUAAAUGGUCAAUAGUUCUCUCAAUUCCUCCAAAAGAUUUCAAGAACAUAGAAGGACUAGAUGACUUCACCGAUAAUUGCAUGGAACAUCACCCCUUUAUAAGUUCAAUGCCAGAAUUUGAAUCAUUUGAUGCUAUGGAUGAAUCAUAGGCAAUACACAUGAGAGAAAACUGUGAGGGCAUAUGGAUUGAAAAGAAUUAAAUAACAUAUUGUACCCUUGAAUGAGAUAUAAUAAGGCAUUUCACUUAUUAGUUUUCAUGAGUUGCACAUUAACUUAGCUUCUAUAUAUUGCUCAUGAUAUAUCUAUAUAUAUUAAUCAUCCUAAAUUUCUUUCAUGCAUCAUAAACAUAUGUUAUUCAAAGGUACCACUUCAAUCUUCAUUCAACUAUCUUUUUGUUGUCCAUAGAACUAGAUUUAUAUUAUUUUUUAUUAUCAUGUUUUGAUUUUAUGCUCACAUAACUUGAAACUCUCAUUCCUAAAUUUCUUUUUCAUUAAAACUAUAAAUCAUAAUUGAAACUAUGCACUAAUUUAUUUUAUUAUUAUCCUCACAAAUAAAUUCUUCAUUAUUGAUAAGAAAUCAAAAAACAAGACAAACUUUGAAAGAAAAUUUCAAAAAAUAUAUUUGUGAAUGACCAAUUUAAUUAUAGAAAAUAUAUGCAAGGCUAUACUAAUCUUGCUUUUGAGUCAUUUUACAGGUUUGUUGGUGAAGUACUAGUUUGCACAUUUACUUGAUAUCUUCCACACAAAUAUGGAUCUAGAAGAAGGGGAAAUGCCAAAAAUAAAGCAUAGAUGUAGUGCAUUGAAACCAAAGAUUGCAAAAAAUCAAAGUAAAGGGAUAAAACUCAAGAUUGAAUACAAUAGCCUUGGUAGUCCCAUUAAGGAAAAUUCAGUUAAACUAAGUAGUUAUCUUAGUACAAUAACUAGAACCCAUGUGCUAAUAAUUAUUGAGAGUUGGAGGAAAGUCCCUAAAGAGACUAAGGAGAAGUUGUGGGAUUUGAUCACAGUAAGCCUAUCUAUAGCUUUAAUAUAUAAUUAUUGUAUACAUUCAUUAACAUGAGCUAAUAUGGGUUGUUAUUUUGUAGACAAGCUUUAAUGUGAAUAAAAAAUCCAAGAGGAAUUGUUUCAUACUAAUGGGCAUCAGGUUUCGAACCUUUAAGUACAAGUUGACAAAGAAAUAUAUAUUGUCUUUCAAGAAUGACCAAAAAAGCUGAAAAAGUCACCUCCUAUUUACCCAUUCAUACAAGAGGAUCAUUGGAGACAGUUUGUUAAAGAUAGACUUUUUGAACAUUUUAAUGUUAAGCAUUAUUUUUAUUACAUCUUCAAUUUUCACAUUUACGUAGUUUCAUUAUGUACUAAUUUUGUGUCUAUAUUUUGUAGGAAUAUCGCAAAGUUUAGAAAUCAAGAAGAGAUAAACACAUUUACAAUCAUUAUCUUGGAAGAAAAUGAUAUGCACGUUUUGAGCAAGAUAUAGUAAGUUAUCAAUAUCCAUAAAAAAAAUGGAGUAUAUAUUUUGUUUAUAGGAAAAUGAUUCUAGUUUUUAAAUAUCAUUUAUUAACUUGAUCAUGUUGAACUAAUGAGUUUUAUUGUUAAAAUUUUUAUAGCUACAAGCAGAAGGGGCUAUUGGUAGGGUUGAUAGAAGUGUUUAUGAAAGAAAACACGUGAGAAGAAAGGAAAGUUUAAUAAGAUUACAAAGCUAAUGAUUAACUAAGUUAGCAUAUUUAUGCCUUUUAGAGCCUAUAGUGUUAGUAUGUCUAUGUGAUUAUGGUUUGGGAUGAUAUCGUUAGGUGUUAAUAGGGAAGAGGCUUAAUGCUAUCAUUUUUAUGAGUAGUCAUGUUAUAUUAGUGCAAAUAUAGUAGCCUAAUUUGAAAAUUAAUUUUGAAACAAUAUACAUUAAUUUAUCUAUUAUCAUUUUUAUUAAAACAAUUCAUUUUCUAGCUACCUUGAAUUGGUCCUCUUGAAUUGGUUGUCUUUGAUUGAUAUGUUAAUCAUCUUCAUCAAAUUAUUACUAAUAUAUGUUUUGUUGUAGGAUGAAUUACUAGAAAAGGCAAGGAGACUGGACUACCUCCACUUGGUCCAAAUGACAUAUUAUGUCAGGCAUUGGGUAAGCUUGAUCAUCUAGGACGUGUGGUAGGUCAAGACCGCUUGGUUAGGUCGAACUCAUACUUUCAUCAACCAUUUGAUGACAUGAAAAAAAAAAUCAAAGAAGAAAUAUGGGAAAUGGUGUGAAAGGGGAUGCAAGAUGCUGUAACAAGACAAACUAUGUCUCCUCCCACACCCCAUUCUGAUAUAGGUAGUAAUAACAUGAGACAACAACUUGUUUUACAACUAGUUGUAGCAAAAAAACCAAUGUUUAAAAUGAUGGAAGAGCCCCAACCACCAGAACCACCACUGAAACGUAAGGUAUACAUUUACUUACUAAUAAUACAAGAUUAAUAUAAGUGAUAUAUAGCCUAUGUAAAUGAUAUUAUUUGUUGUAUUAAAGGUGAUUAAAUAUAAAUUAGCAGUGGAAUGAAAAUGAAAUGUUGUUGCAACUGGUACAUUAAUAGAAGAAAAUUGAUCAAAUGGGUUGGUCGUAAUAAAUGUUGCACACAAGCUAGAUGCUAGACUUCCAUUUCCAAAUCCAUAUGAGAUUAUCAAUGUUGGGGAUGCUAUUGGCUUUAAGCUUGACUGGCCAACAAGCCUUGUCAUACUUGAAACUAAACAUCCUCGGGUAUGUCAUUUUAUACUUGUAGUAAAUUUGAUUGUAACUUGGUAUUUUAUUGUUUAGGAGUAUAUAUUACUAACAUUCCUUCAUUUUUCAUAGGUGUUGGAUAAAGGAAAGAAGUAGAUAGUGAAUGCACCAAUUAUUCGAAAAUCUAAGCCUCAAAAUUAUUCGGUCAUUAAAAAUUUUCAGAAAUUUAUGGAUGGUUGUCUUAGUAAUGAGAAGACAUACCCAAUACAGCUCCCCAUUUCACUAUUUGGUGUCGAAUUCCGAACAUAUAUAUCUAGAGAGGAUUGUGAAUACAUUAUUUCAUCUUCAGAGGUGUUAUCAAAAUGCAUCUCCUUCCAUUUAUGGUGUGCACCUUUUAUUUUCAUUUGUUUUUAUUUUUUUAAUAUGAGUUGCCCCUGUUGAACAAGAUUGGAUAUGACUAAUGAUAAUUUUCUUUUGGUGUUUUGAUAAUAUAAUAGGUACAUGCAUGAUCAACUACAUAUUGCCAAAAAGGAAUCACAAUUUAUAUUUGUUAAUCCUUUUACAAUAUCAUGAGCAGGCUUUAGUAAUCCUCAAAUAGAGAAAAGAACACAAUUGUUGUCAAAACACUUAAUAGAGUGCCAAGAUGUCAGAUAUGUUUUCAUGCCCUACAACCCCGAGUAAGUGACGAAUAUUAUACUUUAAUUUGAGGUUUUAUGAUUGAUUUAUAUUUCUAAUUAGAUGCUACUUUUGUUUUUAAUGUUUUAGCUUUCAUUGGGUCUUGGUAGUGAUUGAGCCAAGGAAAAUGAUAGUCCACUAUCUUGACCCUGUGCAUCACAAACCAUGUGAGGACUUAAAGGAUAUCGUAAACAUGUAAGUUCUUCCUAUUAUUUUUCAUAGUAUUAUUUAAAAAAAAAAAUUACAUUCACCUCAAACACAUUUUUUAUUGUUAUUUCUAUAUAUUAAAACAUAUAACAUUUACCUAUUUUAAAAUUGUACCCAUUGAACUUAUUUACAUAGGGCUCUUUAAAUAUUUGCAAAGAAAACAUCUAAGAGAGAGCCAUCUUGGCAACUAGUGCAAGUGACAUCCAAAAAUUUUCUUUAAACAUUUAGCUUAUGCAUUUGCACCAUUUAUAUAUAUGAGUACUAAUGUUAUUUAUAACUGAUCCAUUAGUGUCCAAGACAAGAAGGAGGGUUCGAAUGUGGCUACUUUGUUAUAAAAUUCAUUAAAGAGAUAAUUUUUUAUCCUACAAUGAUUGCUUCAAAGGUAUUACUUAUUUAAUGAAUUGUACAUAUUUUUAGGCUUCCAAAUGUUAUGCAUUUUAAUGUUAUUUUCUUAUUUGAUUUUAGUUUGGUGAUAAAAAAACAUAUUCUCAAGUAGAAUUCAAUGAAAUUAAAGGAGAAUUGACUACUUUUGUGCUACAACUAAUCAUGAAUCAUGUUGAUGCAUCAUGAUCACCAUGCAUGGUGAGUCCCUUAGCUACUACAUGAAUUUUUCCAUAGAUAUUGUAUAGUAUUGCUUUUCUUUGAACAAUGUUUUUAUUUGAAAAAAAGAAAAAAAAAGUUCUUAGAUUUGUUCAUUUAUGAUAACAUCGAUCCAUAUUUAUUUUCUUCAAUGAAAUCUAUAAAACUCAUUAAACUAUGAAAUGCAGGUAUACACUCUUAGGAGGGUGGAAUAGAGAAUAAAAAGAACAAAGAAGGCAACAAGAUUUUGGGUUUUUAAAUACAGCUUGUAUGUCAUACGUUGAAGGACAUAAACGUUACUUUAAUUGGUAGUGAGAAUUUUAGAUUUUUAGAUGCUACUUUUAUGUCAUUUUCUUGUAGUGCAAAUUACUUAUCUUACUAUGCAUUGGGCUUUGAUAUUAGCCAAAGAUAGUAGUGGCUCCUAAUUUUUAUCCUUAACUGAAAUGAAAACAUCAAGCAGGUCCCCAGCCUCUUUUUCGCCAUUCUUCCACUAUUCUACUAUUUGGUCCAUGAUUGGAUCAUGGUACUUGUUAAUGGUGUUCAUAGCCUCCCUUAUAGUUUUUUCAUGGCCAUCUAAAUUCAGCACUCUCUGCCAUGGGAAGUAAUCAGAUAAAGAGAAUACAUAUAGAUGAGCAAGUAUAGUAAAGAAGGAUUCAACAUGUUGCUCCACUUCAACUCCAGGGCCUCCAUCUUUCUUUCGUUGGCCAAAGUAUCUUGUGUUGAGGAUCAUCUUUCAGAUGACAUUCCCGUUGUAUUGACGGACUUUAUUUCUGUCACACCCCAAAUACUAGGCAACCCAGAACUUGACUCGUGACCCUAGGUCAAAUGUUUGACCCUAAGAGUUACUCUUAUCCAUGUUGGCAAUCAAUCAAAACACCCUGGAUUUUUUUUCUUUUCAAUAAAGCGUUUAAUCCUAAAUAAAUUUAUUAAGCUAAGAUUUACUAUAACAUAUCAUUUUAUUUUUCCAAAACUAACCAUCACAUUAUCUCCUGUUCACAAGUAUUAAAAAAAAAAAAAAUUCCACCAAUCAUCUUCUUACCCAAAAUCUCAAAUAUUUACUAUAAUCUCUAAGUCAAAAAGAAUAUUUCCAAAAAUGUUUUACAAACUAAUAAAAUAUAAUUUAACUUAAAAAAGUCCAUAUAACUCAAAUUAGUAGAUGUCAAAAAGGUAAUUAAAAAAAAACAACCAUUAUUAUGGUUUUUUUGCUUUUUAGAACACUUCAUGAUCUUCUUAUGGUCCCUUAGAAACUAUAUCUGCAUCUAAAAAUUUUAGAAAAUAAAGGGAUGCACAUUUCCACGUUACUCUUUAGACCUAAAUGGGUUAGAAAUUCUAAGUCAAUAAAACACAACCAUAUGCCAAAAUAUAAUAUUACAUUUACAUUAUACACACUAAAAGAAACCUCAACCAUACAAAUUUAAAUCAAUCAAAAUUAUCAUUUUCCUUAUUUAAUCAUAUGUUUAGCAUAUCAAUAAUUUUAAAUUUACAAAAUAAAUAAGUCACUUUAGUCUUGAAUAAUAUAUUCAAACAUAUACUUGAUAAAUAAUACAAAUCAUUUUUCCAAAUGCAACCAUGAUACAAAUGCUUACACACAAUCACGCAAUGCAAUAUCGUUCUCGAGCUUUCACCGAAGGAUAUGCAUUUAUACCCAAAUACACUCCCCAUUCGGAGUCUUCCUGGGAUAAAAUUUUGAGUCUUUCACCCUAAGGAUCUCACUCCCUUCUUAACUCACCAUCUCUAGGGUCAUUCAAUUUCUUAUUUUUCUUUUCUUUUCAUUUUUGCCAUUUUUGGGGUCUUUUCAUUCUCAUUUCCAUUUCACACAACCAUUUCUUCAAUUUUUAUUUUUCUUCACACAAUCAUGAUGCAUAUGAAAUGCAACUGAAUCAUAUUUUAACAUCCAUAAUUUUCCAAGACAUAAUUUUAUUUACUCCCAUUAUGUUUCAUAAUUUCCAAUAAUCCACACAACGAUUUUUCUUCACUUUAAUCGUCACAAACAUAAAAGAAAAUUCACAAUUAAUUUGUAUAGCAUCAAAACAUAGUUUUAAACAUUGACCACAUAAAUUCUAUUUAUUCCCGACAUGCUUAAUAAUUUCCAAAUCCAAUAUAACCAUUUUUUUUUCAAUUAAAUAAUCACACAUAUCCAAGAAAAUUCUCGCUAAUACAAAUAUCAACAAAAAUGUAAUUUAUGUCAUAAUUUAUUUGUCUCCAAUAAUUUCAAAAAUUUUGACACCCAUAUGACAAAUUUCCACAAUUAAGCCACCCCAAUAUUUGGGAAAAAUUUUCCAAUAAUUCAAAUAUCAACAAAAACCCAAUUUAUAUCAUCAUUUUAUUUAUUUUUAAAAGCAUUAAUAAUUUUAAUAAUCAAUACAACACUUUUCCACAAUUAAGCCACCACAAAAUUUUGGGAAAAUUUUCCAAUAAUUCAAAUAUUAACAAAACACAAUUAUACCUUAAUUUUUCUUAUCUCUGACAACAUCAAUAAUUCUUAGUACUCAAUACAACUAUUUUUAUUUUUUCAUAUUUAAUCUUCUCAAACAUUACCAAAAUUCCAAGAAAAAUUUAUAAAUCACGAAAUAAAAUUAUUCACAAUAAUAAUCACACUUCAAAUACUACAAAUAACAUCUAUUAUAUUUCAACAACACAAUAUAUAAUUUUUUUUGAAAGAAAAUAUUAAAUCAAAGUUUUAGGGUUAAAUCACCCUACCUUAAAUUUGAAAAAUUUAACCAUUAAAACUAAAACGGGACACCGUAGGAGUGUUCCUCGCAUUGAAUAGAAUAUCCUUCCAAAAUUUUAUGUGAAAUGGACGUCAUUUGGUAGGUCCACCAGCAUCCUAAAGCUGGCGACCCAUUUUUCCCACUCUUUGCCGACGACUUCCCUACAUCUCUUACUCGAUUUCCUUUCUUCAUUUUCUUUUCUUCUUCUUCUUUUCUUCUUCUUCUUUUAAACUCCCACGCCAAUUUCACUUUAUAUAUAUAUAUAUAUAUAUAUAUAUAUAUAUAUAUGUAUGUAUGUAUGUAUUAUUAAAACAAAUCCUAAAAUACCACGCACAUCCAUUUCUCAAUAAAUUAAAACCAUUAUUCUUAAAUUCACCUUCCGUAAUUAUGAAUUAUACCAAACUUAUGAUUUUCCAUUUCACGAAAAAUACCACCGUAUUCGUAAUUUAAUUUACUACAAGUCUACUCUUCAAAAAGUAUAAUUUGAUUAUAAUUACAUGAAACAUUGUUUUUUUACUCUAAAAUUCAUUUAAAACAUGAUAUAAUUAACUAUUAACAAAAUUCAAUUCCAUAAAAUAUUAAAAACAUAAAAUAAUUUUUUGGCAAUCAAGAAGUUGAAAUUUGUAAUAACCCUAAACCCGUUAAUUUUACCUAUAUUUAUUUACCAAAAAAAAUUUAAAUAAUAUUCUAAAAUUUAAUUCCAUAAAUUAAUUAGUCAUUCAAUUUAUAAAAAUCAAAUUCUCUACCCUUUGGUAUAACUUUUAUUUAAUUUACUUCAUUUUUCAAAUUAUUCAAUCGCAUCAAAAUUUCAAAAGUUAAAUUCACUAAAUUCACAUUUAAUUAAUUUAUCAUUUUGUAUUUUUUUUUUUUCUAAAUUCGCAUAUCAUAAUUUAAUCUUAAUUUAAUUUUGAUUCAAUUUUGUUUUAGGUUUUCUAAUUUUAUGAGGUUUAAUUUCAAUUAUAAAAAUUAAAUUCAAUUUCUUUUUAAUUAUCCAUUAUCACAAUUUGAUAUAAUAUAAUUUUUUAUCAAGUUUUUCUUACUACGAUUUUUCUUAUAAUUAUCCAAUAAUAAUUAAAUUAAUUCUCGUAACAUAUUUAAUAUUCAAAUUUUAAAAACUUAAUCUCAAUUAUUUGAUGGUUAUUUUUUUUUUCUCAAAAUCUAAAUUUAAUUUAUGAAAUUCUCACUUCUUACAUCUGACGUGGCAAAAUUUUCAAACUAUUGACUUUUGACCAACUUUUCCUAAAUUUAUCCUAAUUAAAUACUAACACAUGGAUUUUCACCACUCUUUUUGAUCUUUUGACCCACAAAUUUAUGAAAGACUUUAUACUUGGAGAAUCUACAAAAACCUGGGUAUUACAAUUUCUCAGGUUGAUAACUGUCGUGGUUACGAAGCCACCACUUGAAUACUCAAUCGCCAUUGUAAUGGGCCUAGAUGCAAAUAGUACAUCAUGUUUCUUCAAAAGUUCUCUGCUAAUCUCUGGGAAAGUCGUAGGGACAAGAUGAAAUAUUUCCCAAUUGAAUACAUGCAAUUUCAGUGUUCAUUUCUUUCAUAAAGCCAAUGUAUCCACCAGAAAGUUGGCUUUUUGUUGAGUAAAUGAGGUAGAUAUUGCACUAGUGGCCAUGGAGCUAAUCCUGGAGGAAGUUGUAUCGGCUUGCUUUUGGUACUUGUUUUGGAUUUUAAUUUAGUGAAGAUGAGAAAGAUUGAUGUGAUGAAAAGCAGUAAGAGGAAGUUGAAAUGAGACAACACAUCGUCUGUGGUAGUAGAAGAAAACAAGGUUGAGUUACUGCUACUACUCUCUGCAACAAAGCCAUUUACACGUCUUUUAUGGCAAAACCAUGUUUGUCCUAUCUUGGGUCUGGAUGCACAUUUUUAAUAUUGGGGAAAUCAUGCAACCAAAUGUCACACACAAAGAGAGAGAAAAAAAUACGUUUUUUAGAACUUGAAAAGGUAAAGUGGGACAAAAAAUAUUAUCCAUUCUUGAACUCUAAAAGUAAAGUUAUAAAAAGCUUAGUUUUUUUUUUUUUGUUAUGUAUGAUUGCAUGAUUUCCCCCUUUUAAGAUUUUAUCUCAUAAAAUUUUUUUCUAGAAGGUUCAAAUAAGUUUGAUGAAUAUUGUUUAUUUUAGUAAUUUUAAUUUUAUGGGGUACUUAAAACAUUAGAAGUUCACAAAAAGCAACAUUUAUCAGCUACCUAUCUAAAAAGCUUGGCCUAAUCAUUGAAAUCCAAAAUAUAAAGUGACAACACACUUUUUAAAGCAAUUUUCAAAAUAGUUUUUAAAAACACAUUUAUUUAUGAUAUUUUUAAAAUAAAAAUCUCAAAAAUAACUUGUUUAUAUUACUUUUUAUUAGACAAAUACUUGAUCUUUAUAAGAUCACCCUAAUUAUAGAUUUAUGAACAUGUAACACAGCAAUUAUCUAUAUAUAUACUUAGAAUUAUUAUAUUUUAAGUUUUUAACUACAUAGGACAUCAUGAGUUUUUCCACCAUUUAUCUUAUAAUAAGUUUAUUUAAAUAUGAUAAAGGAUAUAUUAUCUCAUUUCUUAUUAUAUCUGAUGCUAUAUAUAUAUAUAUAUAUAUAUAUAUAUGUAACAAAUCAAAUACAAUUUAAAGAUUUUAAUUAACCAUCUAUUAGCAACAAAGCAAUCUCUUAAUCUCAUUCAUAAUAUUAGGAUAAUUUAGUAUUUCCUUUUAUAAAACACUAGCAUAUAAAUCAGCACAAAUCAUAUUAAGGGUGUAUUUGGUGUUGAUUUUAGAAAGCGUUUUUAGUAUUUCUAAUACUUGAAAGAUAAAAAUUUUCAAGUUUUAGAAAGAUCAAAAGCGCUUUUUAGAAUGACUAUCAAAUACAUGCUAAAUAUUACUUUUGGAUACUUAUAUUUUUAAAUAACUCUUAAAACUUUUAAGGCAAGUCUCUACUAUUCAUAUAAACCCCCUAUUAUUUUUAAUUCUUAGAAACAAAAAAUAAAGAAUAAAAACUCCAUUUAAACAUCACCUUAUUAUUUCCUAUUAUAAAAUAACACAAAUCAAAUGAAUUAUUUAAAAAUAAAUAAAUAUAAAAUCAAAGUUGAAGAGAAAAAACUCUUGUGCAUUAAAAAAACAUCAAAAUAAAUAAAUAAAUAAAUAAAUAAAACAUCAUCAAAUAAAUGUAAAAAUAAAUUAAUGUUAUGGAAAAAUGAGAAUAGGCAACAAGAAAAUAAGAACACAGAUUUACAUGAAAAAUGCUAGAUGGGAAAAACCAUGGAUAGAGGAGAAGAAAAUCCACUAUAUUAAAAAUUUGGUAUAAAAUGUGACAGAAUCAAGUGAGUAUUGUAUAGGCAUAAUCACUAUGACCCUAAAUCCUAUACAUCAUCGCAUAUGUAUGGUGUAUGCGAUAAUAUUUGUGAUAAUAAAAAUAUUGUCGCAUAAAAUAACUAUGGGAUGUAAUAUUUGUAAUAAUAUUCUUUACAAAAAAAAUAUUUUUUCUUUGCUUUAUUCACUUUGAUCACAACUUGAAAUAAGACAAUAAAAAUAUUUUCUUAAUUUUUGAAAAUUAAUUGAGGACUUAGAGCUACUUGUUACUGAGUGAAUUUGCUGAAUGGUGAAGAAUGUGUGUAUAGUAGUUUUGCAAUUUUUCAAACUUGUAGACAUAUUUUGUGAAGUCUUUUUCUCUUUGUAAAGCCCCAUUUUCUUUGUGUAGUUAUUUUUUCAAUAUUCUCUUUGGAAGGAAUUUACCAUUAGUUAUAUAGGUAAGAUUAAGGAAUUAAAUUUGGAAUUCUUAAGAUUUGAUUGCUUAAUUCAAAGAAUUUGGUUCAAGGGAAAUUUGCCAACAAAAUAAUAUUUAUUUUUAAUUCUAUGAUGACUUUAAUUAUUUGAUAUAAUUUUAUUUUGAAAGACUUGAUGUGGGGGACUCAUCACUUAUUGAGUCCAAAUUUUGUUGCACCCAAAUUUUUAUGAGCUAAGAAACCAUAAUUUUAAAGACCAAUUCAGUGGUAAGUGAAUCUGCUAAAAUCUUCUAUGUACAAAUGACCUCACUUCAAGGUGCAACACAUACAUGUAUUAUUAUGUGUAUGGGAUGAGUCUUGAAGUUAGUCUUCAUUCUUCUUUGAUUUUUUUUUCUUCAAAUAAAUAAAUAAAACAUCAUCAAAUAAAUGUAAAAAUAAAAUAUGUAUCGGUUAAUUGGAGAGGAGAGCUUUAAGGGCAUUUCUUCUAUGAAAUUCUAUGCUCCACGUACCAUAAAUUUGUACUCAACCAACAAAAUUACAGAAUGGGUCCAUGCACAAACAAAAAUAACUCAAAUGUAAAUAUCUAAAAAUGUAUAAAGUUCACAAUAGAUAUUCAAGCCCAAAUUUAAAUUUCAAAUUAGUCCAAUAGAUUUCAUCAAUCAAAAUGGGUCCAAAUUAGCAAAUAUAACCCAACAAAAAUAUCUCAUAUGUCAUAGGCCCUAAUUUAAAAUUUUCAAAUUAAUAGCCAAAAUAUAAGUUCAAUUAAUCAAACCCAAAACAUGAUAAAUUAAAAUAAAUCUCAUUAGGCCUAUACUUAAUAUCCCAUAAUUCAAGCCUAAUUUAAUAUAUAAACCUAAAUCCACAAUCAAAAUCAACCCAAUUUAUGCUAAUCCCGAUUUACAAUCAAAAUCAAACAUAAUUUAAUAAGUAAAUAACUAAAUAAAUUAAGCAAACUCAAAACACCCAAACCACUACAACAUAAAUCAAACAAUAAUAAAUAUAAUGACAAUAAUAAUAAUAAUAAUAAUAAUAAUAAUAAUAAUAAAAUAAAAUAAAAUAAAAUAAAAAAAUUUAACUCAUGUCGGAGCCAGUUUGAAUGUCUUGGGAAAGAAAGAAAAUGAGAGAAAAGUGAGAGAUGAUUGACAACUGACAGUGGCUCACUGGCGACGACUGGCUAGUGGUCCUACCGAUGGUAGUGAGGAUUGAUUGGUUUUUGGGAAAAAAAAUAAAAUGAAGAAAAGAAAAUGAGGUGUAAUAAAAAAAUGGAGAAUUGAGAGGAAGGUGGGAGAAGAAUGGAGAGAGAGAACAUAGAAAAUGAGUGAAAAGAAAUGAGGCUAGUUGGAGGAGGAAGUGGUAGUGUGUGAGCUAAAGUGAAGAAGAAUAGAAGAAGAAAAUGGAGAAGAAUGGGGAAAAAAAAUCCGCCUCCUUAAAUGAAGAGAGGUGGGUAGCCUAAAGAAGAAGAAAAAAUAAAAUAAAAUAAAAUGGGGAGAAAAUGAGAGGGGGUCGGUGGUCUUGUGAAUGAGGUGGUAUGCGUUAGAGAGAGAGAGUGGGUGGGGUUGUUGGGGAAGGUAUGAGAGAGAGAGGAGAGAGAAAAGAAAAAAAAGAAAGAAAAGAAAAAAGAUAAUAUAAAAUAAUAAUAAUAAUAAAAUAAAAUAAUAUACAAAAUAAUAAAAACUAAUAAUUAAAUAGUGAGUGGGCAAAAAAUAUCAUAUGUAAUCGGGAUUUAAUUUUAAGAGUAAAAUUGGGUUAAAAAUUAAUGUAAAAUAAAAUUAGGACAAAUUUUGGGGUAUACAAAUAUGCGCCUCUUCGGUAGAGUCCACGAGUAAAGCAAGUGUAUAUGUGAGCAAAACAAAGUGGGCUCUACUGAAAAACAAGACAAACCACCAAAUUUGUCUUAAUAUGACAUGAACUCUCCCAAAAAAAAAAAAAAAAAAAAAAUCUAAAACCCUACAAAAAUGGCCAAAACGGAAACUCCUAAGGUGCCUUUAAAGUUAUACUAUGGAUCUAGACUCCCUUAGAAAAGCCUCCAAAAAUGGCCCAAAAAUCGGUGUCAAAAUCGAGUAGCAAUCAGACCACUAAGGAGCACAUGAACGAAUGCAUACAAAGGGAAAAAAACCAUACGUGUACCAUACGAUGACAAAAGGCAUAAGGUAUCCAACAAUAUGACUGAUUCACGUGUUACGAGCUCAAAGAACUUUGUCAUGCACCAUGGAGGAAGGGAAACUCUAGAAUAAUGUGAUGAGGAAGUUAUUAGCACAAUGUAAUAGAGUGAGGAAAAAAGUGAUGAGUGCAAAGCUGUGAGGACAAGGUGCACAAUGCUAAUGAAUAUGAAAUGAAUAGCACUAGGCUAUAAUGCAAUGAAUAGCUCAGGGUUGUACCAUAAUGAACAAGUCAAGGAUGUGUAAAGAUGAGGAACAACUCAAGGUUGUAAUGCAAUGAACAACUUAGGGUUGUGAAUGCAAUGAACAGCUCAGCGCAAUGAAUGAAAUGAAUAGCUCAGGGCUGUGAAUGCAAUGAACAACUCGAGGUUGUGGAUGUAAUGAACAACUCAUGGUCAUGGAUGCAAUGAACAGCUCAGGGCUGUAGAUGAACAACUCAGGGUUGUGGAUGUCAUGAACAACUCAAGAAUAGGGGCACUGUACACCCAAAAUGGGAGAUCACGGUCUACGAUUCCAAGUCAAACCACUAAAGGGUGACCAAAAUGAGGGUGAUCAACUCACUAAAAAAGAUGAUCAAAAUGUCUUAAGGGAGAGGAGAUGCCCCAGAUGAAACUUAAAGGAAGUGAGUAGUGCUAAUGAAACUAAAAAAAGAAAAAAUGUCACAACUGAAAUUGAAAAAAUAGCAAACUUAGAUUAAAGUGCAAUGAACAACUUUGGGUUGUGGAUGCGAUGAACAGUACCUUGUUGUAAUGAAAUGAAUAACUCUAAGAUAUGGGCAUUGUACGCCUAAAGAGGGAGAUCGUGGUUUACGACUCCAAGUCAAACCACUAAAGGACGACUAAAAUAAGAUGAUCAACUUACGAUAAAUGAGAAUGCAACUAUCUCGAGAAAAAGGGUAUGCCCCAAAUGACACUCAAUAGUAAAAGAAUGACACAAAUGAAACUAAAACAAGAGGAUGCCACAAAUGAAACUGAAAUGAUAACAGACUCAGUACUAAUGUGUAAUGAACAACUUUGGACUAUGGAUGCAAUGAAUAGCACUGGGUUGUAAUGAAAUGAACAACUCUAAGAUGUGGGCACUAUACGCCUAAGAAAUGAGAUCAUAGUUUACGACUCUAAGUCAAACCGCUAAAGGGCGACUAGAAUAGGAUAAUCAACUCACUAAAAAUGAGGAUGCAACUAUCUCGAGAAAGGGGGUAUGCCCUAAAUGACACUCAACAGUAUAAGAAUGACAUAAAUGAAACUAAAAUAAGAGGAUGCCACAAAUAAAACUAAAAUGAUAACAAACUCAAAACUAAUGUGCAAUGAAUAACUCUAGGUUGUGGAUGCAAUGAACAACACUGGGCUGUAAUGAAAUGAACAACUCUAAGAUGUGGGCACUAUACGCCUAAAGAGGGAAAUCACGGUCUACGACUCCAAGUCAAACCACUAAAGGGCGACUAGAAUAGGAUGAUCAACUCACUAAAAAUGAGAAUGCAACUAUCUCGAGAAAAGAGGGAUGCCCUAAAUGACACUCAAUAGUUAAAGGAUGACACAAAUGAAACUAAAACGAAAUGAUACUACAAAUGAAACUGAAAUGAUAACAAACUGAUAACUAAAGUGCAAUGAACAACUCUAGGCCGUGGAUGCAAUGGACAGCUCAAGAAUAGGGGAACUAUUCGCCCAAAAUGGGAGAUCGUGGUCUGCGACUCUAAGUCAAACCACUAAAGGGUGGCUAAAAUCAAAAUGAUCAAUUCACUAAAAAUGAGGAUCUGAACAUCUCAAGAAAGGGGUUAUGCCCCAAAUGAAACUGACAAUAGAGGGAUGCCCUAAACAGACUGAAAAAAGGAGGAUGCCUUAAACAAACUAACGAAAAAUGGAUGCCCUAAACAAAUUGACGGAAGUGAAAUGCCCUAAAUAAACUGACCAAAGAAGAAUGCACUAAACAAACUCCAAGAAAAAAAAAGAAGAAGUAUGCGAUAUAGAAUCAAAAACACCUAAAACAAAAACAAGAAACAAAGAAUGUGGUUUACAACUAGAAACACCCAAAAGAACCUUAAAGAAGUGACUGGGAUAAUGAACUUAAUGAAAAUGGGGUAUGCCACAGUAAAAGACUCGGAAGUAUCAGCAAAUGGAUCAAACGACCAUGAAAUCAAUAGGAGAUAUGAUGAACCCAAAAAGGGCGUAUGCCCCAACAAAAGAACACUAAAAGGGGGGUAUGCCUUGAUAUGACGACUCACAAUAAUUAAGAAAUGGAUCGAGUAAUGAGAAAAUCUGCAAAAUAUCUUAUGAACUCAAAGAUGGGGGUAUGCCCCAGUGUAAAAUAGUGACCAACAUAAGACACAGAAUGUCACCAUACAAUACACUCUGGGAUAUGCUCAAUGACAAUGUAAUGAAAACAAUAGCCUCAAUCAACAAAUGUUCAAGCAAGACCAUGCAUCACAUAAACUAAAAUAAUAGGCUAAACAAAUGCUAACCAAGUCUCUCAAUCUGAAAUGUAAGCAAGUCAAGACAUGACAUGUCAACCAUCGACAUGAAAACAUCAUCACAAAUACAUCAACAAACUAAUAGUCCCUACUAUCAUGGAAGAUGUAGAACCUAACGUCCAAAGGCAUGUGAAAACUCAACCAAAAAGCUCAAGACUAGUUUGCAUCCUCCUCUAAUAAAAAGAAUGAGAUAAGGUCAUGUAGGAUGAUGAAAUAGGCAAGCUCAAUAUUCGUUAGGCUCUACCAAGAUGGAUGUAGGUAUAAUAGUGUCAAAGGUAGGAUGUCUAGAUGUCCAACGAAGGAAACUGGGUAUCCAAGUCAAACCAAGUAUGUUGAGGAAACUGAAGCCAUAGGACAAUAACUUUAUGAUCCAUUGAAAAUAGCAAUCAUGAAUAGAAGGUCGAGUCUCGAUGUCAAAAUCAACAAGGUGGCAUUGCCCCAGUAUGAAUACAUCUUCUCAAAAUGGGUAAACCCUCAGUGCAAGAUAAUCUCUAGAUAGUAUGUGUCUAGUAUAAACUGUCAUCUCACAAAAUCUAUCACUGAUGAGUGGGCUAUACCCCAGUGUAAGCAUUUCCAAAUCAAACAUCGAUGAGAGGAGUACAACCAAUCAUACAUAAUAUGAUCAAAACAAAUCUCCACUCCUCAAAGUCAUCAUGGUAACGUGAAGAGAGUAUCUAACCUCAUUUAAAGAAAGAUCAUGUCCCAAUGUGAAAAAUAUCAAGCAAAGUGGUAUGUCUCAACAAAAAUGCACUCUAACAUGAUCAUGCCUAGAUGUAAGCUGGUAUCUUUAAGAUCAAUCACCAAUGAAAGGGUUAUGCCCCAGUAUAGGGCAAUCUCUGAAAUGACUAAAAUCCGCUACAAGCUCUCACAAGUGUCUAUGUCAUGAACCAAUCAUCUCAAAAAAUAAAUAAAUAAAUAAAUAAAUCUAUCAACAAUGAUGAGAAGGUUAUGCUAUAAUCACAUCAAGAAAAUCACUCGGUCAUAUCUUGUACUCCAAUGUGAAAGGAAAAUAUGAUCACCUCUAAAGAAUGGCUAUGCCCCAAAAUACAUCAUCGAUUGAGAAAUAUGCCCCUACGUAAAGUACAUCAACUGAAAUAUGCCAAUCAUGCCUCAUGUUCCAAUGUGAAAAAUGACAUAUAAUAUUCUUUGAGGGAUGGUCAUGACUCAAAAUCCAUCAUCAGUUGAGAGAAGUAUGCCCCGACAUAAUGGUCAUCUAAAAAAUCAAUCUCCGACUAAGAAAUGUGUGCCUUGAUGUGAUGUAUCAAGCAAACUGGCUGCAUACCCCAUAAAAAACUCUCUAAGGUGGCUAUGCUCCAAUGUUGGAUCAUACCACAACUCCUGGUCUAUCACAAUCAAAAUGCUCUCCAACCAAUCCCAAGUAUCGCCCACAUGAGAGCUAUCAAACACAAUGUGUGAUGUCAUGGCCUCAAGGUGGUCUUAAGAUUCAGGACGUAACGUAGGCUAGGGUAAUAAGGUGAAGAAAUGAAGGAAAACUAGGCUUAAUAAUCCUAAUGAUAAAACCCCAUACCCUUAUGUAUAAAAUGCAAUAUGUGCAAAGAGUCUUAUAAACCAUGGAUCUAAGGACACCCAAUAUGAAUAUAUCAGUGAGGAAGAAAGAAUCUAAGAUGAAUAUAUCAAUGAUAAAAGAGAAGAAAUGAAGAAUAUCAAACUGCUGAUGGGAUGUAUAAGAAUGAUGUGUGGAAAAUAUUGAACAUGGAAUGUAAAUUGAUAUGAACAAAGAACAAUGUAGGCAAGGCAAAUGCGAUAUCAUGAUAAGAACAAAUAAAUCGAAGAAAAAUGAAUGAACACUAAUCCACUCAAAUCAAGUCAUGGAGAAUAGUCAAAUCACCAACGUAUGUAAUGAUGGAGAAGACAAUGAUUCGAAGUCCCUAGGAAAAUGUCACUUGUUUGUCACACAUAAAAUACAUAACGAGAUAGACACAAAAAUAUGAGAGUUUUUUGAAAGUUCACAUACGAACUUUCAUAAGCAACUAACUCAAUAAAGCAACCUCAAUGACCAAUAUAUACACUCAAUAAAGGAUGACACUGUAUACAUGUGUUUAUUACUUUUUCUUUUUCAUUUUUUUCAUUUUUGUUUUUAUUUUUUUUCUUUUGCUCGCGCAUACUCUGAAUAUCAAUAAAUGAACUUCUCUGAGAAUACAUAAUGAAAUGGAUAUACUCUCAAACAAUGAUGUAAGCGAACUCUCUCUGACAAGAUGACCCUCUAAAUUAAGGAUUUUCAAACUAACGUCCAUGAGAUAGGAGUGGAAGGGGAUAUGACCAUCCUCCCUGCACCGAAAUGUGAAAAAUCAUCACUCAGGGCACAAAAAAAUGUGAUGAAAAAAAAUAAAAAAUGAAACAAAAGAUAUAAACAAUGAAGUAUGAUGAAGACUGAUGUUGGGAAGACAAAAAAAUAGUGAAGAAUGUGAGCCAAUAAGUCCACAACUCAUGAAACUCUCGAAUAAAAUAUAUAUAUACACCAAAAGACCCUUAUCCCGGUGUAAAAUGUGAGCAAGGAUAUAAGAAAGAAAAGACUAUGGUGCUCAUGUGAGGUUCAAAGGGCUAGCAACGGUCCAAAUGUCAAUAAAGGUAAUAGGGUGUGAGCUAACCAAAAUGAAGGCCACCUAUGAUGGUCUGAAACAUCAUGCUCUUAAGCUUUCAAUGAUCAAUACUGAAAAUCGAUGUCCAUUUGAUAUAAACACGUCAACCCUUUGGAAUUGUGCGCCAAACCAUACUCCAAAUGCUCCAUAAUAAUCUCAAAGAUAAUCCUCUCAAAGCAAAGUAAAUAGCGAUCUCAUAAGGCACAACUACUCAUCACAAGCCAACUCUCAUCAUGCAAGAUCAAUCUCUAUUUUCAUGGAAAAAUAAGUGACAAUCUCAUCAGGUAAUCGACGAAUCCUCACAUCAUAAACCAACCAAAGAUCAUAAGUCAUUCAUUGCCAUGCAAGAUCAAUCCCAGACUCAAACUCCUCAUACUCUACCUGGUUGGAUUAGAGAAGAAAUGGGCAAAACUAGAAAAACUGAAGAUGGAAAGGUCAUAUAAUGGUGUCAAGGGUGAUGUUGUGCAAAACUCACAAUGGAUGGAUGUAGGUCAAAGCAAAGUCAAUGUGUGAGAGUGAGUAAGGCACUACUCUGAUCAUAAGAAGAUGGGUCACAAUCUCAAACUCCUAAGGUCAAAUCUCCGAUCCUAGGCUAAUAAGCUCAACAUCCUCCAUGAUAGGUCAACCCCCAAGAUCACAAUGUGCAAAUGAAUAGAUGCCUCAAGUCAAAAGUACAACACAUCAUAUGAUAUAUGGUCCUACGAUGACAAUCUAAAACUGGAAAUAUGUUAGAAACUCUAAGGUCAUAAACGUGUCCACUGUGAGAUGACUAUAAAUGUGACUAAGGAAUCUUUAUCAAUAAUCCAAAAAAUGAAUGAAGUGUGAAAAACAACACUAUCAUGAGAUCGAUACCCCAUCAAUAACAAAAUAUCUCUAAUUCACUUUCAAUCUAAACUCUAUAAAGAAAAACGAUAAGGUUAUAAAGGCAAACCUCUCAAAAAUGGUGUGAAUGUGAAAACAUGUCUUCACCUUUCUAUAAUGAAAAUAUCAUGUUGAAAAUAGAAAUAGGCAAAUCGACCAAAGAAUGAAGUACGGAGCCCAUGACAAGUGAAGAAUGUAAAAAGGUGAACAUGAUCAAUGAACAUAUCCCAAAACAUCAAGCAUAAAGUGACAACAAACCAAAAGAAUGUGUCAACUUAAGAAAAGAAGACUAUCUGAAGCCCCAGGGAAAAAGUGUGCUAGACUCAACGAGCGACAAGAAGAAACUAAAACCAUAUAGCAAGAGGUGGUCCAACUGAUACUCAAACUCGUACCAAUAUCUAAGCACUCUCGACUGGAGACCAAAAGAUGGAGUAUUGGAUCCAUAUUGUGACUAAAGUGGCCUCGAAGGCUCUCAGAUGCACCCACGUGUAGGAAAGGAAAUCCUAGUAAAAAUAUCUAAGGCUUAACCUACAAGGUCAAGGCGGCUCUAAAAAGAAAAAUUGAGUGGACUUUAAAGGAUUCCUAGCAAAAGCGAUCAUACCCUCCGAUGGUACGCAACCUCCUACACGUCUUGAAAUAUAUGGGAGUGAUUCCAUGCAAGGUGGUCAUCACCUCCACACAUGCACUAUCUCAUAUCCUAGAGGGUUUCCUAAUGAUGAAGACUCUUACAUCUCUCAACACUUAGUGGUAAUCUAAGGUGCACAGUGAAUGGUGUGGGUUCAUCCAAAAAUCCUAUCAAGCUAAGCAAAGAGAAAACACAUUGGUCACACAAAUAUCUUGAAAUAUAGCUCUAACCUAUACAAGUCUUCAAAGAUUGGACUCCAAUUAGCAUUAAUGUUUCGACCUUCUCCAGAAUGCUCCCAAACAUAGAUAUAGUCCAUCACUAAAUCCUACUCCGAAUCACUAGCUCGGUCGAAGAGCAAACAAAGUAAUAAGUCUCAUAUCAAAUAUGAGAUCAAGGGGAACAUGGUCACCCAAGACUAGGGAAUUGAAGUAAGGGGAUAGAUGUGUGUCCCACAUAGAAAAGCAACAUGCAUCACACAGAAGAAGAAUAGUCAUGCAAUAGACAACCAAGCAAAGAACAGGUAUAUCAUUCAUAUCUACACACAAGCUAAACAAGAAAUAGGUAUUUAACAAGAAUAAACAAUAUGUUGAGAUAAACAAGAUAAUAUACAAUAAAGAGAAUCAAUCACACCAAUAUGAAUGAGAUAUACAAAAAUGAGAAUAUACAUGUCAAGGAGAACAAGAUAAUCAUACAACAAGAAGAGUCUUAUGUUAAAGCAAGCAAGAGAAUCAAUCGAUGUAGUCAACAUGUCAAUAUCGCAAAUGAACAUAACAACCAAAUAUGCAUCAUAAAGAAAAAAUGGUAAUCAUGCAGCACACAGUCAUACAAAACAAAUACAAACAAACAUAAGCAAAUAAAUGUAAACACACAUGAUAACAAAAAUCAAUGUAUAGUAAGGCACAUGCAAUAUAUACAUAAAAUAAUCAUCAAGUCAACACUCAUAUACCUUAAAACAUGAAAAUAUACAAUAAAGACACAACGAGAGGGUAUUCACUGAUCGAUUAAUCAAACACUACAUUUCCCUUAACUCAAGUUCAAGUUUGAUCCUUUAAAUAUCCCUAGUGGAGUCGCUAUUUUGUGGACCCACAUUUUUCAAAUGCGUCCUUACACAACAGCGAGACUCAUUUUUUUUAUUUGGUGAAAAUUUGAUUUUGAGAAAAAAGACUUUGAGUUGUCACUUAUUUUUGUUUUUUUUUAAGGGAAAACAAAACAAGAAAGAAAACCUUGUGUGACUCCUUAUUUGGGAAAGACAUGUAUGCAAAAACCAAAUCUGGAUUCGGGGGUCAAGUUACCUAUUGGGAAUGUACGAUGGUGAGCUGUAGCACCUCUCUAAGCUCAUAUACGUACGGUCUCUACUAAACGAAUUAAGAGAAUUGUAGUAAUUAAUUAAUUAGUCAAGGAUACCAAGAAAAAGAAUCGCACAAAUGAGUACAUACAAAUCAUGAUAAAAAAAAUCAAAUUAUAAGAAUAGACAAAAUAAAUAACAAGAGAAUUGUGCAAAGUGAUUUAUUAAACUAAAUAAAAAAGAAGAUAUUAAAAAAAUUAGUUUUCAAGAAAUUUCAAAGGAUUUUAUUAAAAUGAUUUUGAAUUAAUGAUUUUAAUUUAUUUAUUUACAAAAAAAAGUCAAUUUAUUUUCUUCAAUUGAUUUGAUUCAAUUUCAUUUGUAUUCAAUUUUUUUUUUAAAAAAAAAAAGUUAUUUACACUCAUGGUUGUUAAAAGAAUUAUUAACAAAAUUUCAAGUUGACAAUAAAAAUGAUUUUUACUUGCUUUUACUCGAAAACAAUGAAUUUUUACAAUUUUAUUAACAAAAGCAUUUCAAUUUAAGAAAAGUGACUUAAACAAAUUAUUAAAAAAAUAUAACUUUAUCUGCAAAAGAAUUUUUAAUUAAAAAGAAAAAAUUUAAAUCAUCUAUUUCUAAAAAUGACUUUUAAUCCCAUUUUAAUUAAGAAAAUUUGAGUUAUUUAAAAAAACAUUUUUUGGACAAUUUGAAUAAAAAUUAAUUUUUGGGACAACUUUAUUUACAAAAAAAAUUUUGGACAAUUAUUAUUAAAAACAAAAUUUCAAAUUCUAUUAAAAACAAUUUUUUGGAUUUUUCCAAACACAUUUUUAUGAAUUUUUAUUAAUAAAAAACUUUUUUUUAUUAAGAAGAAUAUUUUUUGAGCUAUUAUUUUAUUAAAACAUGUUUAUUGAAUUAUUCUUCUUAUUCAAACAAAAUUUUUAAUUUGUUCAAUAUCUAAUUCUGUACACAACAAGUAAAUAUAUACAAACAAAUAUUUAUAAAAACCAAUAAAAAUAAAACCAAAUAGAAGUGAGAAAUAAAACAUGUUCUUAAACAAGCUUACAACAAGCUCAAUGUCUUCUUACGACUUUUCGAGUCUCACUUUCUUUCAUUAAAUUUUAUGCUCCACGUACCAUAAAUCCGUACUCAACCAAAAAAAUUGCAGAAUUGGCCCAUGCAAAAACAAAAAUAACACAAAUGUAAAUAUCUAAAAAUGAAUAAAGUUCACAAUAGAUAUUCAAGUCCAAAUUCAAAUUUCAAAUUAGUCCAACAAAUUUCGUCAAUCAAAAUAAGUCUAAAUUAGCAAAUAUAGCCCAACAAAAAUAUCUCACAUGUCAUAGGCCUUAAUAUAAAAUUUCCAAAUUAAUAACCAAAAUAUAAGUUCAAUUAAUCAAACCCAAAACAUGAUACAUUAAAAUAAAUCUCAUUAGGCCUAAACUUAAUAUCUCAUAAUUCAAGCCUAAUUUAAUAUAUAAACCUAAAUCCACAAUCAAAAUCAACUCACUUUAUGCUAAUCCCAAUUUAUAAUCAAAAUCAAACAUAAUUUAAUAAGUAAAUAACUAAAUAAAUUAAGCAAACUCAAAACUCUCAAACCACUAUUGCAUAAUAUCAAACAAUAAUAAAUAUAAUGACAACAAUAAUAAUAAUAAAAUAAAAUAAAAAAAUUUAACUCACGUUGGAGCCAGUUUGAGUGUCGUGGGAAAGAAAAAAAAUGAGAGAAAAGUGGGAGAUGAUCGUUAGCUGGUAGUGGCUUGCCGGCGGCGACUGGUCGAUAGUCCUACUGGCGGUAGUGAGGAUUGAUGAGUUUUUGGGAAAGGAAAAAAAAAGAGGAGUAAUAAAAAAAAAAAAAGAGAAAUGAGAGGAAGGUGGGAUAAGAGGGGAGAGAGAGAAUGAAGAAAAUAGGGGAAAAUAAAUGAGGCCGGCCGGAGGAGGAAGUGGUAGUGUGUGUGAGCUAAAGUGAAGAAGAAUGAAAGAAGAAGAAGGAGAAAAAUGGGAAAAAAAUUCGAGCCCUCUAAAUGAAGAAAGGUGAGUAGCUUAAAGAAGAAAAAUAAAAAUAAAAAAAGAAAAAAUGAGGAGAAAAUGAGAGGGCCAGUAGUCUUGGGAAUGGGGUGGUAUAGGUGAGAGAGAGUGGGCGAGGUUGUUGGGGAAGGUAUGGGAGAGAGAGGAGAGAUAAAAGAAAGAGAAAAAAAAACAUAAUAAUAAUAAUAAUCAUAAAUAAUAUAUAAAAUAAUAAAAAUUAAUAUUUAAAUGAUGAGUGUGUCAAAAAUAUUAUAUGUAAUUGGGAUUUAAUUUUAAGAGUAAAAUUGAACUAAAAAUUAAUGUAAAAAUAAAAUUUGAACAAAUUUUAGAAUCUACAAAUACAUUCUUUAAUCUUUCCACAACAUCAAUCUGAUCUAAAUGAAAUGCAAUAAAUUCUAAAAAUGAUACAAUCUUUAAUCAAUCCACAACAUCAACCCGAUCAAAACUCAAUGCAAUAUUGCUUAAUGGAGAGAAUCGUAAAAUCCUUUUAUGAGAGGAAAAAAAAACCCUUAACAGACCUUUAUGAGAGGAAAAUAGGAAAACAUAGAACUAAAAACCCUUAACGUAUUCAUGAGAAUAAAAAAAUCCUUAACACCUUAAUAAGAGGAAAACAAAGAAUUUGAACAAUCCUUAAUCCAUCAAAAGCUCUUAAUAUGAACGAGGGGAAAACAUAACCUUUAUUUUUCAUAUCAUUGAAUACAGAAUCUAAAGAGAUAGAAUUUUUAGUUAUUAAGGAUUUUUUUAUAAAUGUCUAUUGAAAGUUUAAGAACUUUUAUGGAUAAGUGUUAAUUAAGAGACUGAAAGGGUACUUAGGAUUUUCAACUAAAAAAGUUAUAACAAUAUGAAUCGUAAGAACUUAAAAACAUCACCCAUCCAUAAGAGGAAUAUGGAAUGAGAGGUUAUUUUUUUACUUAUACAACAAUAAACUUUUUUGGAAGAGGUUUUUCUAAGUACAAAAAGUUAUGAAUAAAAAACCAUUGUUACGAUGAGUUAACUAAAAUAGAAUUAAUUUAGAAAAUAUCAAUAAAGUUGCAUGAAUUAUUAUCAUGAGUUAACUUAAUAAGAAUAAAUAGUAAUAAAGUUAAUGAAGUGAAUUUGGAUUGGCAGAUAUAUUUGAUGAUAAGAUUUUUUUAAUAAUAAAAAAUUAUUAUGGCAGGAAAAAUAGGACAAAAUUGACCUUAUGAUAAGAUUUUUUUAAUAAUAAAAACAUUAUUAUGGUAUGAAAAAAAGGGACAAAAUUGGCCUUUCCUUAAUUGUACCGGUUAAUGGAAUAAUGGGACAUGCGGUGGUUACAAGCCACCCCAAAAGGUAGGAAGAAUCUCCAACCCCCAUUCUCGGCUCCCUUAUCUUUUCCCUUACAACCAAAAAUCAACAACUAUCUUAGAAUGUCCUUCAGUCCACCAAAAUUCAACAACAACAUUACAAUAAUGAAAACAAAAUUGAUUGAUCACCAGCUAACAUUAGGAGAUUAUAAGAUAAGGAUGUAAUUGCAAUUAUUGAAAUCACUUAAAGAGUAAAAGUUAGGAACAUGCUCACAAUAAAUAAAAUCACCUUAGAAUUAAAAAUUAGGGACAUGAUUAUGAUGAUUAAAAUCACUCGAGAACUAAAAUGUUUUAGAGAUACAAUAAUUGAAAUCAACUGAAAAAUAAAUUCGGGAUGUGAUCGCAAUUAAUGUAUAUAUAAACAACCAAAUGUUGAAAGGAAAAACUAAUGAAAUUAAUAUGAUUUUCUUUUAGAUUUCUCUUGACACCAAACAAAUGUAAGGAAGUUUAUAAAGGAAAAUUAGGUUUUGAUUCACUAAAUUAAAAUAAUAUAGAAAAAAGAUCUUCAAAUUUUAUAUAUCAGUUUUAUUUUUAUUUAUUUAAAAAUAUUUUAAAAUACAUAUAUUUUUUCAUAACUCAAAUAGUCAUUCCUCAAAUGCUAGUUUUACUUGUUAUGUUAAUAACACUAGUUAAUAAUUUUUUAUUGUGAGAACGAUUUAAGAUUAAUAAAAUAAGAAAAUUUUAAAACUAAAAAGACAUUUAAAACUUUAAAAUUAAAAAUAUAAAAAUAAAACAAUAAUUUUUCAUUUAGUAAAACACGCCAGUAGAAAAUAUAGAUAUAGAGAAAGAGUUGGAAAUAAAAUAAGAGUUAAUAUUUUAUUUUUAAAAUUUUAUGUUUUUUAUUUUAAUUGUAUUUAAUUUUAUGUAUUUUAGUUGUAAUUAUAUUUUUAAUUUUUAAAUUUUUUUUUAUUUUAUUGUUGAUGUAAACUAAUAAAUUUUUUGUUCAAUUAUAUAUAUAUAUAUAUAUAUAUAUAUAUAUAUAUAUUUAAAUUAGUGAGUAAAAACCCACUUUUUCUAAUUUAUAAUAUAUUUAUGGGAUUUUAUAAUAUAAGAAAUUUUUUUUUAGAAAGAGGAAAAAUCAACAUUUCAAUUUCCCUUCAUUAUUAUUAUUAUUAUCCAAUUUGGUUGAUUAUGAGAUUAGUUGGUAUCAUUACUAUAUCCAUUUGUCCUUAACCCUUCAUUAGAAUAGUAUUAGGAGUUGAACGUCAGUUGGAAUACAGGCUAUGGAAACAAAUCUAUCCGAUUAGUAGGUUCUUGUUAUUUUCAAUAUAGACCCCAUAAAAUAAAUAGGAGAUAUGAGAUAAGACUGUGACAAAAUUGGCGGUUACUUCCCGACACCUGGCUCUCCACAAACAAACCCAGUGAUCCAGAAAUUAAUUGGUACCUGGACACGUGACUACCAAACGUUCGCUCACCCACCAUACCCAUGGCCUCAUGCCCCAUAUAUUUCCACAAACCUAGCUCAAUUUUCAUAGCCACCUUCACUGUCCUACACUCACUAAGCCAUGGCCAUAGAUACAAGCCUCUUGCUUGAGUUUGCUGCAGCAACUCUACUCUUCUUCAUCACCCGCUUCUUCAUUCGUUCUAUCCUUCCCAAACCUUCCCGGAAGCUCCCCCCUGGCCCCAAAGGGUGGCCGCUCCUCGGCGCUCUUCCUCUCGUAGGUAACAUGCCUCAUGUUGCAUUAGCAAAGAUGGCCAAAAGAUACGGGCCUGUCAUGUUCUUGAAAAUGGGCACUAACAGCAUGGUGGUGGCCUCAACUCCCGAGGCGGCUCGGGCUUUCCUUAAAACGCUAGACAUUAAUUUCUCUAGCCGCCCGCCUAAUGCCGGUGCCACACUCUUGGCCUAUCAUGCCCAAGACAUGGUUUUUGCGGAUUAUGGGGCAAGGUGGAAGCUACUGAGAAAGCUAAGCAACUUACACAUGCUUGGUGGAAGGCUCUUGAGGACUGGUCUCAGGUCCGAGCUGUUGAGCUAGGCCACAUGCUUCGAGCCAUGCUUGAGUUGAGCCAGCGAGCGGAGCCGGUGGUGGUGCCGGAGAUGUUAACUUUUUCCAUGGCCAACAUGAUAGGGCAAGUGAUACUAAGCCGCCGGGUGUUUGAAACAAAAGGGUCGGAGUCAAAUGAGUUCAAGGACAUGGUGGUGGAGCUCAUGACCACUGCUGGGUACUUCAAUAUUGGCGAUUUUAUUCCGUCCAUCGCAUGGCUGGACAUCCAAGGGAUCGAGCGCGGGAUGAAGCAUUUACAUAAGAAGUUCGACAAGUUAUUGACAAGGAUGAUAGAGGAGCACACGGCAUCAGCCCAUGAGCGCAAGGGAAACCCAGAUUUUCUGGACGUAGUCAUGGGCCAUCAAGGAAAUUCUACAGGGGAGAAGCUCACCCUUACCAACAUUAAGGCGCUCCUCCUGGUAUGCAUAGUUAAAGCUUGUCUUUAAUUUUGUUUUCCGAUAUUUUCUUUCCGGAAACAGCACUUUUAUUGCUUUUAUAUCAGGUAGCCAUUUUAGGGGCACAUCACUGUUCUUUAUUUGCAUUUUUUUUUGUCUUUUUUCACUUGCAUGGUUGUUUUCAUAUGCUCAGCUGCAUGGCACAGGAAAAUUGGGAAAAAUGAUUGGUUCUCUGAUCAGACCUUCUGCACCAAAACACACUUCUCUCUAUUUUAUAAAAUCAAGAACAUUUAUGGUUUACAUGAAUUUUCGAACUUGAACUUUUGCUAGGGCUAAUGCAUGGAUCUCAAUUUUCAAUUGCGUUUGAUUACAUAAAUUUCAAGUAUGUCACCACAUUUUUGUUUCCUUGGCUAGAAUUUAUUUACUGCAGGAACAGACACUUCAUCAAGCGUAAUCGAGUGGUCUCUGGCUGAGAUGUUGAAAAACCCGAGCAUCCUCAAGCGUGCUCACGAAGAAAUGGAUCAAGUGAUUGGAAGGAGCCGGCGGCUCGUGGAGUCUGACUUACCAAAACUUCCAUACCUACAAGCCAUAUGCAAGGAAAGCUUCCGGAAGCACCCAUCCACCCCAUUGAACCUUCCUCGUGUCUCAACCCAGGCAUGUGAAGUGAACGGCUACUACAUCCCAAAGAACACUAGACUUAGCGUGAACAUAUGGGCAAUCGGGCGAGACCCUGAUGUCUGGGAAAGCCCGGAAGAAUUCAGGCCAGAAAGGUUUUUAAGUGGAAGAAAUGCAAAAAUUGAUCCUCGUGGAAAUGAUUUUGAGUUGAUCCCGUUUGGGGCUGGACGAAGGAUUUGUGCUGGCACUAGAAUGGGAAUAGUGCUAGUUGAGUACAUUUUGGGGACGUUGGUACACUCAUUUGACUGGAAAAUGCCGGAUGGAGUUGAGAUCAACAUGGACGAAGCUUUCGGGCUUGCUCUGCAGAAGGCAGUUUCUCUUUCGGCUAUGGUGACACCAAGGCUUCACCAGAGUGCGUAUGCAGUCUGAGCUCAAGCUGUUCAGACCAAAACCCAGGCCUAGCUACUAUAUGGCAUGGAUUUGUUUCAGUUUCCUUUGGGUUAGUAUAACGGUAUAAGAUGUAUUAGCUCAAAGAUUGGGAGUUUCAUUCUACCACCAUGCCAUAUGCCUAUCCGUGAUCUAUAAAUUUAGCUUCAGUUUGGUUAUAGUUUCUAUUUUUCUUUUGUCUUCGUAAUCAGUAAAUAAUAGUAACCUUUAUAUAAAAUAUAGUAACUCUUGCAGCUAUUAUACCAUGUACAAUAAAAGUACAGUGGUUUUGGAAAAUACAAUGAAACAGUGAGUUUGAUUUUUUAUUUUUUAUUUUUUAAUAAAAUAAAAUGUUGGAAAAGAGAAGUAAAUAAAGGAAGAUAUAUUAAGAGUCUAUUUGACAUUACUUAUAAUGAAAGUGUUUUUAUUAUAAGUGUUUUCUUUAUUAUAAGUGUUUAAAAAUCACUUUGAUGAGAAUUUAAAAAAAUGAUUCUAAUAGUGUUUUUAAUAAUAUAUUAUAUAAGUAAAAACCACUUUUAAUAAUAAUAAAUUACUAUAAAAAAAAAGACAUUUAUUAUAAAAAGAAAAUAUUAUAAUAAACCAAAAACUUUUAUUAAAAAAAAUAUAUACAAAUAUUUAAUUGUUAAAAAAACUCAAAAAUUAUUUUUAUGAAAAUGAAGUGAAAGAGGAAGAGGAGAGUAAGAAGAAAAAAGAGAGUUAAAAGGAAAUGGAGGAUAGCGAGAAAUUUUAUUUUAGGAAUAUAUAAAAAAAAUUUGAAAUAUUUUUUUAAAGAAACACCUCUCAAGUGCUUUUCUAAAAAAACACUUCAAGUGCUUUUCUAAAAAAACACUUCAAGUGUUUUUUAAAAUUUUCAUAAGUGUUGUUCAAAAUAUUGUCAAACACAUAUUUUUUUUAUCUUAAAAAAGCAUUUAAGUGUUUUUAGGGCUAAAAGCACUUCUAAAAAGCAUUGCCAAACGAGCUCUAAAUAAUUCAUAUUUCCUUGAAUUUAUAUUUUUAUUUUCUCUCUAUGAAUUUUCCUUUAUUUCAAAUACAAAAUAUAUUUUAAAAGGUUAAUUUUAUUUACUUGUCUUAAGGUUUUUGUUAGAUACACUUAAUUAUCAUUUAUUUGAAAUUUCAUUAAUUAUCUUUCUUAUCCUUUCCGUUUCUUAAUUUGUCAUGUACUUGAGAAAGUCAAUUUCAUUAUCAUCUUUACUUCUUGAACCUUGACUUAAAACUCCAACUUCACACAGGAUAUGAUAUAAAUUAAGAAAAGACUUAUUAAAAGUAGUAACGUUCUACUUUAGUUUAAAAAUGUUAACAAAAAUUAGAGGAGAAUUAACUAAAAUAUACUGAAUUUUAAAUCAAGCUAACAUAUUAUAAACCAUUGGAAAACCCACGUGAUUAAAUAGCUUUCUUGUAGUCUGACAAAGGAAAGAAAUUACCUGAAAAGAAUGGCAAAAAUGGAACUGCAUCUUAUGACCUAUAAUCACAUGAUUUCCACACUUAGAGCAUCCAUUGCCAAGAAAGACGUCGAUCAUAUCACCUUAAUUUUGUAAUAAUUCAAUGCCUCUUUUUGUAAAGCCAUAUCAUAAAUAUAAUGAAAUUAAAAGACAAAUUAAUCAAUCAAAUAAUAAAAUUUUGAAAUUUACAUGGUAGUAGGUGAGGGAAUUGUUCAGUUAAGAAUGAAGAGAGACCACACUCGAGGAAAUAUUAUUGAGGGCAUAGAUGUUGACUUUCCAUAUUCACACCUAAUUAAAAAGGUGAUUAAGAAAAUAAACAAAAACAACCCAAAAAGAGUGAAAGAUAUAUUGUUAGGAAAGAUUGUUCAAAAUGAUCCCGAGUUAUAAAAAUGAACUCUUUCAUUAAGAUGACCUUUUUGAAUACUUUUAUCCUUCUUUUUUUUUUUUCUUGCCUUCAAAAUUAUAAAUCUUUCCUUUAUUUAUGUUAUUUUAUUUACUUUAUUAUUUUUCUAAUUUUUCAUUUAUUUCUUCUACUUACUUUUUCUCUUCUAUGAAGUCUUUCAUCUUUAGUUUAGUCAUGUCUUAUGAAGCUAAUUGUAUUUCCCUCCUUAGCUUACUCUCUAAGUUGUUAGUAAUCCUUGAUCUCAUCUCAUAAUGCACUAUCCCACGAUUCUUUCUUGCAGUCCAUUUUUAUUUUCAUUCAAGGUGUUCAUUAAAAGUACACAAGGGCUAAAUUUAAAUUAUAAGAGUUAAUUUCAAUUACAUUCCCUCAAGUUUUGGCUUAGAUACGCCUUACUUCAACUUAUUUGAAAUUUCAUCAAUUAUCUCUUUUAUUUUAAGUGAAAGGGGAGGUGAGUAUAAUUAAUAAAUGAAAAGGUAGGGGAUAUAUUUGAAGAAAUUUCAAAUUAAUGGGCGAAGGUGUAUUUAGCUUAAAUAUCAGGGAAAGCGAAUUAAAUUAAUCUUAUAAAAAACUUAAUUGAGAUUAAAUUCUCGUUAAGUAUCGUUACUUAAUCUAUCAUGAGAUUAAGUUCAAAAUCAUAAUAUAUAGUGAUGAGAUCUCAAACUUCAUAUCUUAACACAGUCAAUUGAACUUAUCUUGAUGAGUUUGAAGUCUCAAAAUUGUUUUGAGAUCCCUAACUAAAAAUAAUUGCUAAGGCCCUUAAUUUUUUUAUUAAAAUGUCUGUGAGCUUGAUUGAGAUCAAUUUGGAUUACUUUUAGAGAUUCUAGAGGAAUUUAGAAGAAUAUAUAAAGGAAAAAACUUAGGGAAGAUGAAAAGUGCUAGUUAGAGCAGCCUUCUAUUGCACCAGAAGAAGUGGGCGCACCCUUCUACUAUGUCAAAAGGACUUGACGCAUCUGUAUAAGUACGCUAGGAAGGAAAAUAAAGCAACAAGCCGGCCUUUGACUUGAGAAUUGGAGAACCCUCUCCCAGACUUAAGUGGCACACCUUUUAAGUGCGCCAAGGAAAAGAAAGAGUUGUGGCUCAACCCCAUCAAGGAUUGAUAGGCAUACUCCGUCCACUAAAGAUUAAAUGUGUUAGCACAUCUCUUAUCUCUCUCCAUGAACAAAUGGUGCAUUUAAUUAUACAUACACUGUAAGCAUUGGGCUGCCUAUCCGAUGGUGCAAUUCAAAAGCUGUGGCAUGUUUGGUCAACGUAUGAGAAGCAUCCUCUUGCAUCCAACAAUCUUGCAUGGGUGGGGCACACCCAACCUAAGUGUUCUCGAAGUUUGGAUGGUGUUGGAGCUGUUCUUUCCAAACUUCCAGCUUCUUCUUGUCUCACGUUCACCUGCAAUGCAAGGUUUACCCGGUGAAGCCCCGGGCAGACCCCUCCGAUGGUUAAGUCUGUUGGAGUGUGAGAAGCCAACUUCUUUUUAAUUUUUCUUCUUAGCUGUGUUCUUAUACAUCUCUUCACUUACCGCCGGGACCGGAGAUAAUGGGGGCAUUUUCACCACAUCACUGCCCACUUCGCCACCUUCUCAUGGCAGCAAGCUUUUUGGGCUAACCGCUCCCACCAUUUUUGGCGGCUAGCCCCUUCAACACCUUUCACAUUACUUACCAUAUUUCUUUCUGGGCCAGAGACUCUGUCUAGUCCUCCAAAUUCACCUCUUAAUUUUAAAUGCUUGGGCCCAGGCCCAUUGGUCCAAAUUCGGCUCUUAAUUUUUAUCCCUUGGAGGAGUGUUUUUAGUUUUUCUUCUUGAAAUACUUUGCAGGUACAAAACUGUAUGAGCUUUUUGUUCAUGGAGUUCUAUGGGAUUCUUCGAAAAUGAAUGAAAUUCAAUUUUAAAAGAAGUCUUUUGUUUCUUUGCUUGAGUAAUUUUUUACCUUAAGUUUAAUUUCCCUCGCAUGUUCUAUCCAUGAAGCACUAAUUCACUUUACUGUUGUGGGUUGAAAGGGGUUGUAUCCCUUGCAACUCAAUUUAGUCCUCAAUGGUUUCAAAGGGUAGCGGAUAGGGAGGUGAAGUUCAUGAUUGCAGCAAAUGCAUGCAUGUUGUAGCAUUCUGAGAGCCCUAAGCUAAGCAACUCCAUGAGCAUGUUUGUACCUUAUAUAUUUAGCUUUCACUUCCCUUUGAGGUUGAAAAUACUAGGUGUUACACGGAAAAACGAAAAUAGGCAAUAAGAAAAUAUGAAUAAUUUAUGUGAAAAAUCCUAAACAAAAAAACUAAGGAUAAAGAAAAUCCACUAAAUUAAAAAUUGGUACAAAAACAGAAAGAAUCCAACGACUAUUGUAUAAUCCUAAAUCCUAUACACUAUCGCAUAUAUAUAUGAGAAAAAAUAAAUAAAGCAGGUCCAUAUCGUAGGGGCAAUCCUCUGCACCCACAACAAAAUCAAUAAUGGGUUAAAGUAUAAUUUUUCUUCACCAUAUAUAUCAUACCACAAAUUUUUCAAGUCAAACCAAAAAACAAUUCAUAUCAUCAAGCUCUAACAUUAAAAAAAGAUGAAAACAAAUCUUUGUAUUAUGGUUAUGGGAGUAACUUUAAACCUUAAAAUUCUCAUUCAAGCUUUUCCAAAUGAAAUAUAUUAAUAUUAAGUUUUAUUUAAAUAAUCUAUUUUUCCGCAGAUAUAACGAUGAGUUGAAAUUUAGACUUAUUUAAUUUGUUUAUGUCAAACAUUCAAAUCUAAAAUACAUAUAACAAAAGAUCAUGGGAAUUUAUAAUAUAAACAAUUUUUAUGCAAAGGGCCAAUUGUAAAUAAUAGAAUACUAUUUUCAAAAGAGAUCCAAAUCAAGUCGUUGUUUUUAAUAAAUAAAUAAAUAAAAUUUUUGUUUCAUUUGGAAGAUGGUGUUAAAGAGCGACUGAAUCAAAUAACUUGCUCAACCGGCAAAGCUGAGCUGGUCAACUUGACUCGCUUAUAUAUAUACGUAAUUGGGGAAAAAAUGUCAGAUGAGGGGGCGGAUUAGGUCACUUGGGGGGUGCCGGGUGUAGAUGGAAGAAAGAAGUACGUAUAUAAUAAUAAUAAUUGGAGGGUUGACGUUGUCUUGAGAGCAACCGAUGAUGAUAACCCAUGCAGUAUUUUUGUCAUGGGAGAAUUAGGGUGGGGGUGGCCGUAAAAAAUAAUGACUAUGAAGCUCACUAUUUUAAAGGAAAGUUUUACUUUUAAAUAUAUUCUUUAUAUUAUUUAUAAAUAAAUUAAGAUUGUCAAUGAUGUGGGUCCAUAUAUGAUGAUAAGUACAAGUUGAUAAAUUAUGUGGGGCUCAUAUAUGAUAAUAAGUACAGGUUGAUAAACAAUCAACGGUACAUUUCUCAGCUUGAAAAAAUUGUUGUCACUUUUGAACAAUUGACGGUUUAAAAAUUUACUAUUUUUUUUUCAAAAAAAAUUAAGAUUUUUUAAAGAACCUUGCAAAAAAAAUAAUUUUUAAUAUCUCAUAAAUAAAAAUCAUAUCCUAAAGUUAUUAUGUCGUUUUAUAUAUAAAACAUACAAUUAAAAACUUUGUUAUCAUAAUAUAAUGAAUAAUUAUUUUUUAAGAGCACUCAUCAAUUGAAUAACAUAUAAAUAUUCAAUUGACUAAUACACACCUAUUAAAUGAAAUAACUCACAAUUAUUCAUGGGGUAAUAUAGCACGUGAAAAAAUUAAAUAAAAAUAAAUUAAAUUAUGUUGUAAUAUAUUGUAAUGAUAGUGUAUUUAUAUUGUAAGUAUAAUGCAUUUAUAUCGUACCUAUAUUUAAUUAAAAAAGUAAUAAUUCUAAAAAUGUUUAUUCAUACCCUAUUGGUAUUAACACAUCGUAUUAAUAUAUUAACAACAUUUAUUUAGUGUCUUGAAAUUAUUUAAUAAUUUUUUUAUAUAUAUAAACUACGUGAAUUCAAAUUAGUAUUUCAUUUGAUUUCAAAAAUUAUUUAUGAUAUAGGUAUGUUGUGAAAUAUGGUAUAAUCAUAUAAAAUUACAAUUUUAAUAAAAAAUUUCAUAAAUUUUUUAAUUAGGUUUUAUUGUAAUGUAAGUGUAUUUAUAUUGUAAUUAUAACAUAUUUUUGUUGUACUUGUAUUUUAUAAUAAAAGUAAUAAUCUUGAGGAUCAUCUUUUAUACCUUAUUAAUAUUCAACAUAUCAAAUAUAUUAACAUUAUUCACUCGAUGCAUUGAGAAAAACAAAUUUAUAUGAAAUUUAUAAAAAAAAAACACUAUGCAAAGGAAAAAAAAUCAUAUAAAUUUUUUAAAAUUAUUUUAUUAUAAAAAUAAAAAAUGAUUAAACAUUCUCUACCAUUUUCUUAUUCUUUUUAGAGAAUUUGAAUGAAAAAUUAAACAUUUUAUCUUCCUUAAAUUUAAUACAAAAAUAUAAUUUAUCAAUUUAAAAUUAUAAUAUAUAUAUAUAUAUAUAUAUAUAUAUAUAUAUAUAUAUAUAUAUAUAUAUAUAUAUAUAUAUAUAUAUAUAUAUAUGAAAAAAUCAUCAUUUUUAUUAUAUAAUUAUAAAACUUAUUUUAAAAAUUAGAAUAAACAUAAAAAAAAAGGUAAAAAAACAAUAAAUGAUAUUUUGAAAAUAAUUUUUAAAAGUAUUUUUGUUUUAAAUAGUAAAUUUAAAUAACAAAUUAUAUAUAAUUGUAAGAGUUAAACCCAAAAUUUUGAUUUAAAAUUUAAAUAUUAUUAAUUACAAUAAAUAUAGGACCCAUAUACCAUAAAUGUAUUGACAAAUCAAGUGAAGUGCUUUAAAUGCUUUGAAUUUUAAAAGUUUUAGCUAAAGGACAAUUUUGGUAUAUUAAGCCUAUUAAAAUCCUUCUCAAGAAUUAUUAAAAUAUAUCACCCUUUCUAAUAAUUGUUCUGCCUAACCUAUUUUUAGGUAAUUCUCCCUUUUUUUCAUUCUCAUCCAUCUUCACGGGACUUCGUCUACCAAAUAUGACAAAUAUUAUAUUGUUAUAUUGAAUAUAUGUACUAAAAAAUAGAAAUGGGAUGAUGCACAUGGCCUGACGUGUACGUUAUUAAUUUGUUUUUGUCUACGUUUGUUUGUUUGUUUUCGUUUUUCUGUUUAUAUACGUAAAGUCAUUUUUUUCCUCUUCAUGGAAUUCUUUUUGAUGAAAAAAUUAGAGGAAAAAACACAGAUUUAACGAUAAAUUAUCCAUGUUCAUGACAAUAAGAAAAAAGAGUUUCACUAUAUAUAAAAUUAGGAUUACAUUAAAAGGUAUUUAUAUUAAUUAAAAAUAUGAUAUUAAUCAUAAUAUUUAUAAUAGACAUAUCAUAUCAAAUAAAUUAUCCAAUUUUUUAUUAUAUUAAUAGAUAAAUUGAAGUUUUUAUGGUAAAUUUAGAUUAUUUGAUAUCACAAAUAUUAUAACGUUUAAAAAUUAAUUUUAAUAACUAAGUUGUGUUUGGUUUAAAAACCAAUUUUUAGUUUUCAUUUUCCAUUUUCAUUUAUGUUUUUUCUUUUCUUAAAAAUAUCUUUGAUUAAGAAAAGUAAAAGUAGUAUUUUAAAAAAGUAAACUUAUAAAAUCUUGUUUGAUUUUAAGCUUUCGUGAAUGUAAAAACUUGUGAAAAAGUAAGCAUUGUUGUUAGUACUCUUAAAUAUUAAUUAAAUAUGACUAAGUGGAUGAUGUCUAUAUCACUUCUCCUGCCAUCGUCACCCAGUGCUCCAGAAAGAAACUGGAAUCUGGACGCGUGAUUAACAACUUCGCUGAUCGCCUACCAUUCCCAUGGCCUCAUGCCUUAUAUAUUUCCACAAACCUAGCUCAAUUUUCAUAUCCACCUUCACUGUCCUAUACUCACAAGCCAUGGCCAUAGAUACAAGCCUCUUGCCUGAGCUUGCUGCAGCAACUCUUCUCUUCUUCAUCACCCGCUUCUUCAUUCGUUCUCUCUUUCCCAAACCUUCCCGGAAGCUCCCUCCUGGCCCCAGAGGGUGGCCGCUCCUCGGCGCUCUUCCUCUUCUAGGUAACAUGCCUCAUGUUGCACUAGCAAAGAUGGCCAAAAGAUACGGACCUGUCAUGUUCUUGAAAAUGGGCACUAACAGCAUGGUGGUGGCCUCAACUCCGGAGGCAGCUCGGGCUUUCCUUAAAACCCUAGACAUUAAUUUCUCGAACCGCCCGCCUAAUGCCGGUGCAACACACUUGGCCUAUGAUGCCCAAGACAUGGUUUUUGCGGAUUAUGGGGCAAGGUGGAAGCUCCUGAGAAAGCUAAGCAACUUACACAUGCUUGGUGGGAAGGCUCUUGAGGACUGGUCUCAGGUUCGAACUGUUGAGCUAGGUCACAUGCUUCGAGCCAUGCUUGAGUUGAGCCAGCGAGAGGAGCCGGUGGUGGUGCCGGAGAUGUUAUCUUUUUCCGUGGCCAACAUGAUAGGGCAAGUGAUACUAAGCCGCCGGGUGUUUGAAACAAAAGGGUCGGAGUCAAAUGAGUUCAAGGACAUGGUGGUGGAGCUCAUGACCACUGCUGGGUACUUCAAUAUUGGCGAUUUUAUUCCGUCCAUCGCAUGGCUGGACAUCCAAGGGAUCGAGCGCGGGAUGAAGCAUUUACAUAAGAAGUUCGACAAGUUAUUGACAAGGAUGAUAGAGGAGCACACGGCAUCAGCCCAUGAGCGCAAGGGAAACCCAGAUUUUCUGGACGUAGUCAUGGGCCAUCAAGGAAAUUCUACAGGGGAGAAGCUCACCCUUACCAACAUUAAGGCGCUCCUCCUGGUAUGCAUAGUUAAAGCUCGUCUUUAAUUUUGUUUUUCGAUAUUUCCUUUCCGGAAACAGCACUUUUAUUGUUUUCCGGAAACAGCCAUUUUAGGGGCACAUCACUGUUCUUUAUUUGGAUUUUUUUUUUGUCUUUUUCCACUUGCAUGGUUGUUUUCAUAUGCUCAGCUGCAUGGCACAGGAAAAUUGGGAAAAAUGAUUGGUUCUCUGAUCAGACCUUCUGCACCAAAACACACUUCUCUCUAUUUUAUAAAAUCAAGAACAUUUAUGGUUUACAUGAUUUUUCGAACUUGAACUUUUGCUAGGGCUAAUGCAUGGAUCUCAAUUUUCAAUUGCGUUUGAUUACAUAAAUUUCAAGUAUGUCACCAUAUUUUUGUUUCCUUGGCUAGAAUUUAUUUACUGCAGGAACAGACACUUCAUCAAGCGUAAUCGAGUGGUCUCUGGCUGAGAUGUUGAAAAACCCGAGCAUCCUCAAGCGUGCUCACGAAGAAAUGGAUCAAGUGAUUGGAAGGAGCCGGCGGCUCGUGGAGUCUGACUUACAAAAACUUCCAUACCUACAAGCCAUAUGCAAGGAAAGCUUCCGGAAGCACCCAUCCACCCCAUUGAACCUUCCUCGUGUCUCAAACGAGGCAUGUGAAGUGAACGGCUACUACAUCCCAAAGAACACUAGACUUAGCGUGAACAUAUGGGCAAUCGGGCGAGACCCUGAUGUCUGGGAAAGCCCGGAAGAAUUCAGUCCAGAAAGGUUUCUAAGUGGAAGAAAUGCAAAAAUUGAUCCUCGUGGAAAUGAUUUUGAGUUGAUCCCGUUUGGGGCUGGACGAAGGAUUUGUGCUGGCACUAGAAUGGGAAUAGUGCUAGUUGAGUACAUUUUGGGGACGUUGGUACACUCAUUUGACUGGAAAAUGCCGGAUGGAGUUGAGAUCAACAUGGACGAAGCUUUCGGGCUUGCUUUGCAGAAGGCAGUUUCUCUUUCGGCUAUGGUGACACCUAGGCUUCACCAGAGUGCGUAUGCAGUCUGAGCUCAAGCUGUUCAGAUCAAAACCCAGGGCUAGUAACUCUUCAAAAAUUUUGCAUUGAAAAAAAUAGUAGUUUUAAAAUCUGUCUAAAAAAAUUAAGGAUGUGGAAAGUUCUCACGAAUUUCAGUAACUUGGGAAGGGAUUUUCUAGACCAUACCCAUUCCUAUCCACCUCGUCUUGUGACCUUCCGUUUUCUUCUGGUUUUUUAAUUUUCAAAAAUAAUUUUAAAAAACAAUAUUAAAAAAUAAUUUUUAGAAAUAAAAUUCUAUUUUAUAAUUCAAAUUUUAAAAACAAUUUUCAUUUUUUAUAAAGUUAAUUUGUAGUCUAGCAUAACAUUCUUGUUCUUAGAAUAUUGUAAAAAAAAAACCAAUAAAAUAUCUUUAAAUUCUUAUAAAAAAUAUAUUUUAAAUUUUUCUGGAAAAUCUUUCCAGGAUUUUAAUAAUAUUUUUAUAUUUCACUAUUAUUUUAUUUAUCUUAGAAAUACUCAGCUCUAUUCGUUUCUAUUAUACUAAAAUUUACUAUAAUACUUGUCAAAAUAUUUGAAUAUGAUGAUCAUGUCGAAAACAUGAGUCGAUACAUUUCCAAAGUGGAGGACAAAGUGUAUGAGAUGGCAAAUUGUGAUUGGGUGGCAGGUAGUGACGUGGGGUUAAUUUUUAAGUUAAUUAUGCUUAAAGUCUUUACUAAAUAAGAAGAGUAAAUUUUGGUAUUUAAUUAAAUUUAAAAAAUAUAUAAUAAUAUAUUAUAUUGUAUAUAUGUUAAAAAACCAUUAGAGAUGACAACUAGGUAGGGUUGAGAUGAGAUGGGUCACUCCCAUCCUGUCCCCAUCCUGUUUACACAAUUUAAUUUUCAUGUCUUAAUAAAAAAAAUUAAACGGAAGGGGUGUGAGAAUUUUCCAUAUCCACUUGGUCCCAUCCUUUUUAAUUUCUUUUAAAAUUUUAAUUUAAAAAAAUAUUUAAUUACAUUAAAAAUAAAUAUAUUUUAUAAAUAAAGAAAAUAUUAUAAUAUUUUAUAACUUCUUUUAUUAAAAAUAAAUUUUAAAUCAAAGAAAGGGGUAUUUUUAUCCAAUGAGGGUCAUUUUUUUUUUGUCGAGGCACUAUAAGAAAAAGGGCCAACAGUAACACUUCUGCGUUAUUUUCCAACUUGUCAUAAUAUUUGGAUGUGUUCCAUUAUUGAAGCCGAAUGUCUAGGUAAGCAUCUUCUUCACCACCUUGAAGAGCCAGACAUAUCAUCCAAAUGCCCCCAGAAACAAAUGGACUCAACCUUUUAUAUAUUUAUACACUACUCUUAUCCAACAUACUUCCAAAUUGAAUAGCUGGUGAAAUCAAGUAAACCCAACAAUGUCCAUCCAUUCCCAUGUCUCCACACUAUUUCUCCUCAUAGUCUUAAUAUUAUCCGGAUCCAUUGCCAUUAAAGAACAACUGUCUAUGACUUCCAAGGUCAGCUUGGUCAGGUAAGUUAUGAUCCAAAGCUCAAUUUUUCUAACAAUAGUUAGCUUAUAUUUUGGUUCUCAUCCCCUCAAUAAAGACAUGAACAGAUAUACCCAAUUAUUUUCAAUCAAAUUCUUAGAAGGGGAAAAUCUUUUCUCUAGGUGAAGAGCUUGUGUCUUGGAAAUUUCUAUUACUUAUCCUAAGAAGUUUGUGUGUGGUUGUCAGGAAAAGAGAAGUUACUGUUUCAUCUCUAUAGCAUAUUAAAAUGUAGAAAAUUGAAUUCAUUAAUUUUCAAUUUUUUCUCAUUCUACUCAGGGUAAGUGUCCUUGGGAACUUGAAAAUGCAGAAAAGAUUAAAAAAUAAAAAAUAACAGAAUUAGAAUAUGAACAUGUACGUGAAUAUGCACUAUGAUACUACACGCCAAAAAAGACAAAAAGCUUAGACAUGUUUGCUAAAGGACAAGGUGACUAGAGAGUGAAAAAUGUGUAGAGCAUCUAGUCAGGGUCAUCAUUACAAAAAUAAGAAAGGGAAACUUGUGUUUUGAUGGGGCCAUUUGGGAAAUAUAUGGUUUUCGGAAUCCAAUUUUAUGAAAUCUAAAAACCAUCUUUUAAUAUGGAAAGUUAUAUAUUUUUCAUGCACUCUGAGCCGGGUGCAUAUUUUGUGCCGAGAUUGCCCAUUCGGGUAUCCAGGUCAACAACAUCCUAAGGCCAUGUUAGCACGGGCCAAAACAGAACCGCUGAAAAACUCCAAAAUCAAAAUUUGAUCUUCCCAAAAAAACACUCUAGCCGAUGGUUCUUUUUUCCCUUUCUCUCAUUCGAUACCCAUUUCUCUCAUAUUUCUUCACUUUGUCACUGAGGCAAAGCAAAGAACCGUGUAUAGUUUUAAAAAAUUUCUCUCAUUUUAGUUUAGAAGCCCUUAAUCCCAAACUCCAAUCUACACUUUUCUUUCUUCAGCCCCUUCUCCUCUCAAAGUCCUGACCAGUCGUAUCCGAUCGUCCUAAUUUCCUCAUCCCAAACUCCAAUCACCUGUACAUUUUGAUUGAAAUUCUGGUUUAGGCUAGAGAACCAGAAUGGAAAUGACAACUAUGAUAUAUUGGCUUCAUGAAGAAAAAAAUCUCCUCUUCGUGUCAUUAGGUGGAAUUUUGCCCUAACUCCCACAGAAAAUUUUAAGGUAAUUAAUUUUUAUUUAGGGUUGUUUUGAUUUUAUUUUUUUUCAAAUGUAGCACAAGAGCAAUUGUGGAGUGGUAGUUGUAGUUCGAAUUUUGUGUGCUUUGGUGAGGCCAUAGCUUGAGGCGCAUGUGGAUUUUGGACGGCAUGAUCGGAUGGUCAAUCUCUGUCUUUUUGUGGAUUUGAGGCUCAUGAAAUGUAAAAUGAAAGUGGUAAUUUAUUUUUGAUUGUCAAAAGAAUGUUGUGGAGAUAUGUAGAAAUUGGGUAGAAGACCUUUGUUUUUUUUUUACAUUUUUAGACUGAUGGUAAUUAACGAUGACAACAAUUAGGCAAGAUCAUCUUUUGGCAAAAAAAUUCAUAAUUAAAUCAUAUUUGUUGAGACUAAAAAUAAUAAUAACAAUAAUAAUUCAAAUGCAUAAAUUAUGUGCUAGUUAGUAUAAAUUGUUGGUAGUGCUUGUGAAUUUGUAAUGUUUGUUGGAUUGUGAGGGUACAUCUUUUGCAAAUCGUGUGUGGUUUGAUCAAUUGUUUUUCUUUAUUGGGAAUGGUUUCAUUGUUGUAGUCUUUCAGAUUUUCUUUGUAGAAAGACUGAAUUUUAGUGAUGAUAUGAAAUAAAACCAUUAUAAUCUUCUUUGAGCAAUAUUUAAAAUAUUUCAUUAUGAAAUUUUGUAAGCUUGGCUUUCAUUAAUUAUAUCAGAUUAAUCCAUCCAACCAUUAUUAUUUCUCCUUUUUGCGAUAGUAAAAACAUUUUAUCUACAAAGGAAGUGUUUGCAAAUUGAUUUGAUGUUGGAAACAUUUUAUCUUAAUGAACCUUAUGUACUACCCUAAUGCACCUUAGGUACUACCUUAAUGAACCUUAGGUACGACCUUAAUGUACCUCAGGUACUACCUUAAUGCACAUUCGAAAAAUUGUGCUCUUAGGUCACUAAAGACACAAUUCUUUCAUUGCAUUACAUAUUGGAGCAUGACUUUGUUAUGUUGUUAUUGGUAACUCAAUGGUGAGCUUAUGUAAUUAUACCAGGAUCAAGGUACUACCCUACUGCACUUUAGGUACUAUCUUAAUGAACCUGAGGUACUACCUUAAUGUACCUUAGGUACUACUUUAAUGUACCUUAGGUACUACCUUAAUGCACCUUCGAGAAAUGUUGCUCUUCUGUGACUGAAGACACAAUUAUUUCAUUGCAUUAUAGAUUGGAGCAUGGCAUUGUUAUGUUCUUAUUUGUUACUUAAUCGGUAGCUUAUGUAAUCAUAACAAAUUUAAGGUACUACCUUAAUGCACCUUAGGUACGAUCUUAAUGAACCUGAGGUACUAUCUUAAUGCACCUUCGAGAAAUGUUGCUCUUCUAUGGCUAAAGAGACAAUUAUUUCAUUGCAUUACAGAUUAGAGCAUGGCAUUGUUAUGUUCUUAUUGGUUACUCAAUCGAUAGCUUAUGUAAUCAUAACAAAUUUAAGGUACUACCUUAAUGCGCCUUAGGUACGACCUUAAUGAACCUGAGGUACUACCUUAAUGUACCUCAGGUACUACCUUAAUGCACCUUCAAGAAAUGUUGCUCUUUUGUGACUAAAGACACAAUUAUUUCAUUGCAGUACAGAUUGGAGCAUGGCAUUGUUAUGUUCUUAUUGGUUACUCAAUUGGUAGUUUAUGCAAUCAUAACAAAUUUAAGGUACUACCUUAAUGCAUCUUAGGUACGACCAUAAUGAACCUGAGGUACUACCUUAAUGUACCUCGGGUACUACCUUAAUGCACCUUCGAGAAAUGUUGCUUUUCUGUGAUUGAAGACACAAUUAUUUCAUUGUAGUACAGAUUGGAGCAUGGCAUUGUUAUUUUCUUAUUGUUACUCAAUCGACAGCUUAUAUAAUCAUAAAAAAUUUAAGGUACUACCUUAAUGCACCUUAGGUACGACUUUAAUGAACAUGAGGUACUACCUUAAUGCACAUUCUAGAAAUGUUACUUUUCUGUGAUUGAAGACACAAUUAUUUCAUUGCAUUACAGAUUAGAGCAUGACAUUGUUAUGUUCUUAACCUCUUGGAUGAAUAUUUUCAGAUUUAUGCACAAUCUUCUAAGCAUAAGUCAUUUGUUAUUGUAUGGUGUCUCAUAUUAAUUUUUCAAUUGUCACCUUGUAAUUUAAUUGUUAGUGUAUGGUUUAAAAUUUAUGAUCACAUAUUCAGAUUUUUAAAUCUACAACCGUGUGCUAUCAUCUCUAUUUUGAAACUGCAUUUGAUAGACUCAUUCUUGCUAUUGAAAUAUGCAAGUUCUGAUAUAUGCUUUGCAUUCUUCAUCUCUUAUCCGAAUUAAGGAUGACAUGUGAGUGGACCUUCACCAGAUGGUGCAUACACCUCGAUGGUGUCUUACUUUUAGACAUCUCCUUGGCAAUGUAGUGAAUUAGUGUUACUGUGAUGUGUUGCUUAUGAUAUUCUGGAUGGUGUCUUAUGAUAGUCCACCAUGCUUGUGUUUGGAAAAAUAUAAACUUAUGGUCUUAUCUACCUUAUCAAGUUGUACACGGUAUUUAUAGUUGGUUUAUUUCUAAAUUUAUACGGUGCAUCAUAUAAUGUCCCUGAUUUUUGUGUGCAGGACUUCGAAGUUGAUGAACUCUCACAAAUAUUUCUUUUUGUAUCAGAAUUUCUAGAUUGUAUGAAGUAAAGGAUGACCGACCUACAGAUGCAUUUUGGAACCCUCUUUACCCCUUGCAAUGGAGGAUGUUGUUCCUUUAAGAGAGCGAGUGGCAGCCCUUGAAGAUUAACAUCAGGAUUCUCAUAUCCCAAAUGAUGUUAAGUUAGGGCUUGGGUGAUUAGGAGAGAUUUCCAUCAUUAGUAAGAGCUCAACCAAAUAUGAAGAAGAUGAGGAAAUACCACAUAAAAAAGAAGAGGAAUCUAGUCACUAAGGCUGAAGCCUAAUAGAUCAGGAUUUUAAGGCCGUAGAAGAGGAAUAGGGAGAGGAAGCGGAAGGAGUGGCAUUUUGGCUCAAUCUAGAAUUUCAUUUGGGCUGAAUCCAGUCAUUUUGGUUGCACAUUCAUGUCCACCGUCUUUGGCAUCAGAAGAGGAGCUCAUGAUGAAGACAACAAAAUUAUGGAUGGUUCAGAUUUGGCCUAUUUUAGUAGUUAUGUUCAAUUAUUUUAAAAAGUCUCUAUUAUUAGUGUCUUGAGUUCACAACUAAUGGGACUUCGGAUUCUCUUUGUUGGAAGAUUACUUGAUGACCGAUUCUUAAAAUAAAUCCAAUUCAUAACAAGCAAUUCAAAUAUAUAACAUUGCUUAUUAUUAAUCUAAUUAUUAUUAUUAUUAUUAUUAUUAUUAUUAUUAUUAUUAUUAUUAGUAUUAUUACUACCUUUGUUGAUAAUCAAAUGUAGUUUUUUAAAAACCCCACAAAAUGAUGCGCAAAAUGAAUAGUUGACAAUUUGUGGGAAGUGCAUUCUCAUCAUAUCCAGGCAAGGUUGCCACAUUAAUAUGCCAUCACACAACCCUGUUGAACCCAAUAUCUGAUAUCAAACCUAAAGAUUUCUCUUUCUUUUCCUAAGAUGAUUUAAUAAGAUUCUUAUUAAAUAAAAGAAAAAAAACUCGUGAUAGGAAGAAAUUCAUCCACAUGCUUAAGGUCAUCUCAGCACCUUAUAAUCUCAUAAAAUCACCAGUGCCACUACUCUUGAAUGUUUCCUUACGAAUACCAACCAAUGUCUUCACCAUCACCCAUGAGACCUGAAUUUGUCACCAUGGUUUAGAGCAUUCAGUUUCAAAACCAUGGUCCUUUUAUUUUAACUACAGUUGUAGAGGCCACUAGCAUGGAAUAGAACAUUCAAAUAUGGAAAACAUAUUUAAGAAAUGCAUGAUCUUCAUUUAGAUUUCCUCACUAAAAUGAAACACAAACAUAGUCCAUGGAAUUUGUACCUCAACAUAAUUAUUAUACCAUAGUCAACAAACCAAAGAAACCUCCAAACUACCAAAAACCUUGAUAGAAAUUGCUAUAUAAAACCUUACACACCAACUAAUUAUGAAAGGAAUACCCAUAAACAAGGUACUACACUGACCAUAGAAGGAUAAACUGAAAGAUGAUCAAGUUAGAAACAGAAAUUUCUAGUCUUUGUGUCUCAUUUUCCUAUUAAAUUAUUAUUUUUUCCGAUAAAAAUGUUGUCACUUUGGAUCACAAUUGAAAAACUAAUAUGUUGUCGAAUCAGUCACUAAUGCACCACGGACGCGCACCUUUCAUCAACAUAACAAAUUAUCACCUAUUUACUUUUCUCCAUGUUCUUCCUUCCUUUCCAACACAUUAUUUCACAUUAAUCAACAACCCUAUUACAAUCAUGAAUAUCCUCACUUGAAGAGGAUUGAAUAAUUGAUUUAUCAGUGUACUAAUUUUGAUCAUAUGGAAAGAUGAGUUUGCUUGAUACAAUGUGAAGAAGGAAGAUAACAUAUGACCCAGUCUGAGAUUUCUCCCUCUCGUAGGCUAUAGCACCAACAUCACCAGGAAGUCUUUGUUUUCCUUAUGCAUUGUCCAUUGAUGUACAUAAACUCCUGACAAUCACUAUGACCAAAAUCCCAUUGUUACAAUGAUUAGUGACAAACAGAUAUAGAACACAAAUAAUGGUUUUACAAUGGGAAGAAAACCACAUUAGCACACAAGAUAACUAUUCAGUCAUUUUUGGACAAACUACAAUCAAGCAUUGCUUUAUAGAGUUAGUAGCAUCAAUUAGGAAAAUACUUAUCAUCAACCAUCAGUCCCAAUUGAUAGGAGUCUAUAAUUUUAUCUCUGACGUUGUUCCGUUCAUUGAGCAGUAACUUCACAACUAGCUGGAGUCGGUACAUGUGCAUCUUGUCCUACAGAAAUCAGAACAACUGAUUUCAUGUUAUUGGAUAAAAUAAAAAGAUAAAUAGUACAAAUUAGGGUGUAAACCAGCUGUAACCUCUACCAAUGAAGUACUUAAGGUUGCCUAAUUCCAAAAUUUCAUGAACUUAAGAGCGAUUAUACCAUAUUCGUACCUAUAACACAUCACACUUAGGCUUGUCAUGUAGAUGAUUGAAACAUGAGAAAUAUAAUUAAAUGCAAAUGACUUUAUUGGUUAGAAUAUAUGAAUCUUUUACCCAUUAAGUUGUUGGACAAGAUGUGGUUGCACAUACACAAAUUUUGAGACAUCCAGGUCCAUGUGAAUUCCAUGUGCAUGCAGUGCUUUAUGGAUAGCCACUGAUAAUCCCUUGGUUGAUGCACUAAUGUUGUUUCCCCGCUGCAAUGGCAAAAAUGAAAGGAUCUCAACUCGUCCAACUAAAAGUUAACCACGUGUUUGUACCAGUGAUUGUUUUCACAUACAAGGAUAAACAAUUACAUGUUCAUUAUAGAGUUAUUAGGUUUUACGUUAUUAGAUAAUAGUCAUGGCAAAUGUCAUUGCAUAUAUUAUUAAGGAAAGUAACUUUAACAAGCAUUAUUUACCAUAUCACAUGUCCCCAGAUCAUGGCCCAAUAUGUCAGCAUCUACAUACAUGCGACAUCUAUCCAUGAUGACCUGGCUGGUUGCAUUUGCUUUCAGAUUGUUGAGAACAACUUAUUCAAGGAUGAGAUUAAUCAAUAAAAACAUUGACUCAUGCCCAAUUGGUGUCUCAGCUGAUUUGUGUUCAGCUGGUGCUCCUUGAUUGAGGAAGUGAUCAACAAAAUUUAUACCUAUAACACCAUACACUAGGGUAGCAAAUACAAAGCUACUAUAGUAUAGUGGCUCUAAGGAUCGUUCACUGGGAAUGAAUAAAUUAACAAGCAGUCAAGGAUACCAAUUCCAAGUGAAUUGGUUUUGUUUCAUUUCACGGUUAGCUUAAGGAAUAAAACACAAACUUUGAUUUGUAAAGGUUGAGAUUUAAACUAACUAACUUAACAGAAGUUUGGAAUAAUUUAGGAAGAAAAGCAUUCCUUGGAGAUUUAGGUUCACUGGGGUGGUUCCUCAUGCAAAAGACAAAGCUCCGGUCAGAUGGUUCAUUUCCUCGCAUUAGAGAUUCAACUUAUAGUCAAUUCUCUAACCGGUGAUGUACAGAGACUCCUUCAAUUAGAUUUCACUUUAAUUCUCUCACUGAUGCAACUUGCAAUGGUUCAUGCCUCUCACGAGCACUUACCAUUCAAGGUGAUCUUUAACCUUGGAUUCCCCUUCACAAACUCGCAAGAGAUAACUAAUGGAUGUCUCCUAGAGUCCAAAAGGUUACCAAGUGUUGGUAAUUCCAGAAAAUCCUACCUUGAAGUCACCUACCAGAGGCUCGCAGGGGUAAACUAGUGCAUNNNNNNNNNNNNNNNNNNNNNNNNNNNNNNNNNNNNNNNNNNNNGCUCCAAAAGUGGCUGCUACGACUGUCAUCAAGAAUAGGCUUCAUGACAGAUUCUCUUUGCUUUUUCUCCUUGCAAUCCGGAUUCACUCUUGGCAAUUGAAUUCUCAACUUUGCCCAUGAUUCCUCAUAGCUCUCCUCAAUCUUGACUUGCUUUGGUGAUCAAAAUACUAACAAAAACACCAAAACUUACACAAAGUGAUCAAAAUUGCUUUAAAGGAUCCUUAACAUGUCAAUUGAGUUAAAAGGCCUAAACUACUACUCAAAAGUGUUAAAAAGGAUUAAUUAAAGGCUAUCAAAUAGCACUUUUUGAGUAGUAAUCACUCCCCCCAACCGACAUAUUGCUAGUCCCUUAGCAAUAUAGGAGAGAAAAUAAAAAAUAAAUAGCUAAUUAUACUAAAAUUUACAACAUCAUGCUAAAAGGAAAUAAUUCUCAAGUGGCAUGAUGAUCUAAUUCUCUCAUGAAUCAUUAAAGAAAUACAAACCCAAAUCUCAACAAGAGUCAUAACAAACUAUGCUAGGCACUGUUAAUCAAGGGAGUGCAUUAUGCAAACUGAAGUUUUAAAAUCAUUUCCCCUUUUAAGAACUAAACUUCAAUCUUCCACAAAAAUCUAUGUGUAUUGGUUCCUUAGCUUCCGAGAAUAAUAUGCUACUAAUCUCACCCCCCAACCUAUCUCUUUUCAACACUUUAGCAAACUGACCAAAAUCAAUAAGAAAAGAACACACUUUCAUCUUCUUUUUUCUUCUUUUUUUUUUUUUUUUUUUUUUUUUUUUUUUUUUUUUUCAAGGUAGCUUUAUGGGGUACUCUUUCUGACUUGUCCAUGUAAUGGGGGUCCAUCGAUGACUCCCAACCAAUUAAGGUUUAGGGCACCAAGUUUUAAGGAUCUUUCAACCACUAACUCCUCGGAUUUUUCCCCGGACUUUUAAGAAUGAAUUUCUAAUACCCAAACAUCUACCAUAUGCUAACUCUACCUAUUCACCCUUGUAACGAGCAUUGAGGUCGGUGACUCCCAACCAAUUAAGGCUUAGGGCACCAGGCUUUAAAAGCUUUCACCAUAUACCCCUCAGACCUUGCUCGGGUUUCAAGGCAAGCAAAACAACUUUCUUUAUUUCAAAGGCUCAUUGGCCUUUUGCAGGGNNNNNNNNNNNNNNNNNNNNNNNNNNNNNNNNNNNNNNNNNNNNNNNNNNNNNNNNNNNNNNNNNNNNNNNNNNNNNNNNNNNNNNNNNNNNNNNNNNNNUUCCCCGGACUUUUAAGAAUGAAUUUCUAAUACCCAAACAUCUACCAUAUGCUAACUCUACCUAUUCACCCUUGUAACGAGCAUUGAGGUCGGUGACUCCCAACCAAUUAAGGCUUAGGGCACCAGGCUUUAAAAGCUUUCACCAUAUACCCCUCAGACCUUGCUCGGGUUUCAAGGCAAGCAAACAACUUUCUUUAUUUCAAAGGCUCAUUGGCCUUUUGCAGGGUGUUUCAAUUUUUAUCAACUGAGGUCAAAUAUACCAAGUCCCAAAAUUAUCCUAAGUCAAGAGGGAAAUAGCUUUUCAUCUUAUAAUCGGAAACUAAUGUGCACAGUGUGUGGAUAGCUUAAAGUAGAAGAACUCAAUUCAAUUUCAGUAGAAGUUUCAACAAUUGGACCACUUUAGUAAGCAUAAUCCAUACUCUAAGUCAAGUGAAAAACAACAGUUCAAUUUCUCUUGGUUUAAUUUGAAAAUUUUUCCUCAAAAUUCAUGGAGAAUAGAGUAACACUAGUAAAAAGUAAAAUCUACAACUAAUUAACCAAUAUAAUUGCAAUACCAAAAAGGUUUAGAAUACUUCCUUCCUCAUACCCCCCAACCGAACUGAGCAUUGUCCUCAAUGUGAUUUGAGUGACUGUAAUAAAAGGGAGGAAGUGGUACCUCCAUGCUGAUAUCAAAUUCGAAUAUUGAUUGGGGAAAACCACAUGUUUCAAAAAGAAUAGAAUAUGUGAGAAAAGGAAAUAAGGAAACUUUAAUGCUAACUUUUAACAAGAAAUAGUCAACUUGUAUUACUUUGAGUUCAUUUGAUUACAAUGCUAAAGACAAGUAAUACAAGGAAUCCCAUAUAUAGUACCAAAAUACUGGGAUUUCUUUUCAACUAAAACAAAACAAACAUGCAUAAAAACAUAAACAGCAAAUAUAUAUAUAAUGUCUGAUGAGUGGGGUGAUGGUGCUAGGCAGAAGGAUCUGCCUCCUCAGUAGGUGGAUCAGCUGGGGCUUCGGGCUCUGGAGGAUGAGACUCUGAAGGCUGAGAGUGUGGCUCUGGUGGAGUCUCAGUGGAGGGCUCUACAGCUUGUGGCAGAUCGAAAUGGACUUGAAGCUGCCUUAGGAUGGCAGCUUGUUGAGCCUGAGAGGCUAACAUCUGCUCCUGGCAUGCUUUGAUGGCUGCCAACUCCUGAGCAAGAUUGCUCUGGGAAGCUGUAAGAGUCUCCAAUGCACGGCAAAGCUCUCGAUAUUCGGAUAUAGGGAUGGCCAUCCUCGGCUCAGCUGAUGUGGAUGGCUGUGAUGGAGCAGGUGCAGCUGGUGGAGCUCGAGGGAUGGCAGGAGUAGCAAGUGUAAUACCUUCAGGUGGAUGUCUUGGGGAGGCUCUCCUUGCUGCUGAAUGAGGCUGCCCAGGCUGAUCAAUUUUGUAGGCCGUCAUAUUAUUCCAUUUAUCAAGGGUAAAUGGCUCACGGCAUAUUCUCUUUCUUUCCUGCUGAGGCUCAGAGGGGUAUCCGAGAUGCUCCAAAACUUGGCAUAGCAGCCUUGGGAAGAGGAGUGGAAUGCAAUCUGCUCUUUGAAGCUUCUUCUUGUGAACCUUCUCCUCAAAGUAUAGAAGGGCUGCCAUGAUCAGAUGAUGAGGCCCAAAGAAGAAUCCUUCAGACAUCUUGUAUAGAGCUUCCAAGAGAACUCCCCUUCUUUGGGUCCAAUGCUGCAGGGGAUAGAUAUUAUGCCUCAAAAAGGCAUCAAUCAAAAACAUAACUGGAGGUAGCUCCCCCCUCAACAAAUGCGAUCGAUUUGCAGCUCCUCUGGUUAGUGUGCGAACCAUCUCUAACUCAGUAGGAUUUACCCAAGCCUUAAAAUUGUCGAAUUGGGUUGGCUCAAAAGGAAUUUGCAAAGCUUCAGCAAUAUGUCUUGCUCCCAAAAUACCAUGCCUUCCAUCAAUUAUAAAAUGAAUCAGAGUUGGAUUUCUUACUUCUUUGGUUGUCAUGGUCUGGUAGAAGUCCGUGACUACCCGAGGAUAGAAAAAAUCCCUUGGAGCUAGCAGAUGCUCCAUAUGAUAUCUCCUCAGCAGCUGGAAGGAUUGGGCAAGCUCUGGCCUCACUCUGAAUGCUGCUAAGUCGAAGCAAAGCUCAGAGUGGAAUGCCCGAGUUCGACAAUCCAAGUUUCCUUCGAUUGGGGGCUGGGGCAGCAUUGGCCUUCGGAUCACUUCUUCCAGAGGUGCUUCAGCUGCAAUUUGGGGCUCUGGAAUUGGCGCUUGAGGCUCCUGAGGUUUUUCUUGGGGCGCCGGAGAUGGUACCGGCGAUGGAAUUGGAGUUGCUUCAGGUGAGGGAAUUAGCGAGGGAACCGGUGACGGCACUGGAAUUUGUACCGGUGAAGGAUUUGGUGAUUUCUCAGGGGAUUGCUCAGUCAAAUCAAUUGGUUCAGAGCUCUCAACCCUGGUUUUCUUCUUCAAUGGCUGACCACCUGACCUGGUUAAAUAUCGCCUUACCGGCGGCUUUGGUGGCGCCGGCUUCACUGGAAGAGGGUUUGGUCUUGACGGCGAAGGCUGUGGAGCAGGUUCUGGAAUAGAGCCUGGACUUGGCUCCUUUCGCAGACUCCUUUUGCGGUUCGAAGGAGAUGAAGAUUUUGCUCCUCGCGUUCGUGCCAUUUUUGGGCUAUCGAUCUUUGGCCGGCGUUGCUAAGCGGAGAAGACGACCGGAGAAACGGACGGCGUGGCUUGGCGAAGAAGAUGAAGGGGCUGCGAGAAUGGUGCUCUGAUUUUUGAAACCCUUUUCGCAGCACUUUUGACCGGUAUAAAUAGGAAAAACGGAAGCCCAGGGGUCAGAUUACGUUUCGCAACAAAACGCCAAUUUCGCAGCAACUUGCCAUUUUCGCAGCAACUUCGCAGUGAGUUUCGCAGCUGCGAAAUUGAUGUCACUGUGCUGCGGAGUGGCACUCGUGUGCCAAAUCCACUUUCGCAAUUGCGAAAUGCCCUGCGGAAUGGGACUUUUGGUGCGAAAUCAUGCUUUUCCAUUUCGCAAUGAGUUUCGCAGCUGCCAAAUUGAUGCCACUGUUCUGCGAAGUGGCACUCGUGUGCCAAAUCCACUUUCGCAAUUGCGAAAUACACUCGCAGAGGCUUCUACAGUGCUGCGGAAUGGUUUGGCAGCAAAAUGCUCUUUUCGCAGAGGUUUCCUUCACUCUGCGAAAUUUCGCAGAGCUCUGUUUUUUCCCUGUUUUUGCUCUGUUUCGGCUCCAAUUUCGACCCGAUUUUUUUUCUUUCAAUCCCCUUGAAAUUUCUUCCACCUGGGAUCAUAUAACAUGAUUAAAACACACCUAAAAACAUGAUUUAAGAUCAAAAACUAAGAUCAAAAGCAUGGAAAAAAACUUGAAAAUUUACAAAAUUUACAAAAAUUUUGGACUGUGGUAAAACCACGCCCAGCAAACCCAUUUUCACUUAAGCUUUUUGAGGCUCAAGGAGGUUGAUUGCCUCCUUUUCUGAUUUGAAUGACUCCAUGAAUGGCUUAAGACGAUAUCCAUUGACUCUAAAGCUAUCCUUGCCAUUGGAAUUCAAUAAGUCCACCACUCCAUUGGAAUAUACUCGGUGAAUAACAAAUGGACCAAUCCACCUUGACUUGAGCUUCCCAGGAAAGAUAUGGAGUCUUGUGUCAUACAUCAGAACUUUUUGCCCUUCCUGAUUCAGUUUGCCCGGAUCCCAUUUGAAGCUUGCAUCCUUCACUUGAGACUUGGUUUGAGAUGAAGAUAUUACGACAGGACAUUGAUUAUUUUCUUCAAGGUAUGUGUAUUUCAGCUCCACAGGUAAAUGCUUCAGAUUGAGUUUUGGAAUUUCUUUUUCAACAGCUGCCUCCUCUUCUUCAUUGAACAGAGGUAGAAUUCCUUCUAUCUUUCUCCAACUGUGUAGAGUAGCAAGCCCAAUAGGAGAUUCAGAAAAACCUUCCUCAAUAUCCUCAAGACUUUCACUCAACUUGUCUUGCAUAUGCUGAUUGCAGUGCUCCUCCACCAAAGUAUCAAUAAUACAUAGCUCUUCUGGACCCUCUUCUUCUUCUGGAGUGAUUUGCUUUUUAGACAUAUAGAAAAUAUUUAGAUCCAGUGUCAUGUUACCAAAAGUGAGUUGCAUAAGCCCAUUUCUACAGUUGAUGAUUGCAUUUGAAGUUGCAAGAAAUGGCCUUCCAAGGAUGAUAGGAACUAAAUUAGCUUCCUUUACAGUAGGAUCUGUAUCAAGAACAACAAAAUCUACAGGAUAGUAGAAAUUAUCUACUUGAACCAAUACAUCCUCAAUUACUCCUCUUGGAAUUUUCACUGAUCUAUCUGCCAGAGAUAAAGUGAUUGCUGUUGGCUUCAACUCUCCAAGUCCCAAUUGCUUGUAGACAGAAUAUGGAAGCAAAUUCACACUUGCUCCCAAGUCUAACAAGGCUUUUUCCACUACCUUUCCUCCAAUCAUGACUGAAAUGGUAGGACUUCCAGGGUCUUUAUACUUCAAAGGAGACUUACACUGUAAGAUUGCACUUACUUGCUCAGUCAAGAAGGCUUUCUUGUUUACAGUCAACCCUCUUUUGAUAGUACACAAGUCCUUUAGGAAUUUUGCAUACGUUGGAACUUGUUUGAUCAUAUCCAGCAAUGGAAUAUUAACUUUCACUUGCCUCAAUACUUCUAGGAUUUCAGCUGCAUUUCUAACCCUCUUUUUCCCCUGUAAUGCUUGAGGAAAAGGUGGAAAAGUUGAUUUCUUCAGCAUUUCUUCCUUCAGAAGCUCCUUCUCUGGAAUUACUUUCAUUGUUGCAUCAGAGUCCUUCUUUUCUUCACUGAUCUCACUGCCUUUAUCUUCCAUUUCCUUCCCUUUCUUCAUCUCUUCUUCUUUCUCAACAUGUGGCUUGGGUGUUGGCUGCUCAAUUUUCUUACCACUCCUUAGAGUGAUCAAAGCUUUCACAUCUUUCACCUGUGAUGAUUCUCCCUCAUGGCUUUCCACUUCAUGGACACCUUUGGGAUUUUGGUUAGGUUGAGAAGGAAAUCUUCCCUUUUCUUGCAGUGUAUUCAAAUUUGUAAGCCUGGAGAUUGAAUAUUGGAUGUUAUCAAAUUUUUUAUUCAUGUCAUUUUGCAUUCCAUCCAUUCUUUUGUUCAACAUACUCUCCAUUCUGUCCAUUCUUUGAUCCACUCUGUCCAUUCUUUGAUCCACUCGAGCAUUGGUGGCUUCUUGCUUUCCCACAAAAUCUCCCACUACCUUGCUGAGAUUAGCUAUUAUUUGUUCAAUACUUGAAGAUUGCUGAGAUGGUGGAUCCGGCUGUUGGUAUUGAGUUGCUCUGGCCUUCCAUGAGAAAUUUGGAUGAUUCCUCCAACUUGAAUUGUAGGUAUUUCCAUAAGGAGCAUUGUUAUUGGGCCUGAAUUGUCCAACAACAUUUGCUUGAUCUCUAUACAUUUCCCUUUCAACUGAAAUUGCAGGGCAUUCCUCUACCAAAUGUUCAAACGAUUGACAAUUGGGACACAACUUCACUUGCACUGGUGCUUCAGCAACAGCUUGCACUUCAUGUAUUCUUUUCAGCUCCAGCUCCUCCAAUCUUCUUGUCAUCGCUGCCAACUUUGCUUUCAUGUCAUCAUCUUCCCUCAAAUUAUACAUCCCAGCCUUUGCAUUGUAAGCAUUCAACUGAGACUUCAUCUUUCCCACUUCUCCUUUGGUUGGUUCAUCCCAUCCCCUUGAAACAUCAGCUACAUAGCUCAAGAAAUCCAUAGCUUCCUCUGGAUUUUUGCUCAUGAAAUCUCCUCCACACAUUGUCUCGAGGAGUUGCUUCAUUGAGGAGGACAUACCAUCAUAAAAAUAGCUCACCAAUAGCCAAGUAUCAAAGCCAUGGUGAGGACAAGCAUUUAUAGCUUCCAUGUAUCUUUCCCAACACUCAUAGAAUUUCUCAUUCUCUUUAGCUGAGAAGUUUGAAAUUUGCCUUUUCAAGCCAUUUGUUCUAUGAGUAGGAAAAAAUUUCUUAAGGAACUCAGCUUGUAAAUCAGUCCAAGAGCGGAUACUCCUUGGCCUUAAAGAAUUAAGCCAAAUUUUGGCCUUAUCCUUUAAAGUAAAAGGAAAUAACUUAAGCCUCAUCAAGUCAAUUGAAGCUCCUCCCUCUUGGAAUGUAUUACAAACAUCUUCAAAUUCCUUGAUGUGUGCAUACGGAUUCUCACUUUCCAUCCCAUGGAAAGUUGGUAGAAGUGGAACAAGAUAUGGUCUGAUCACUAGCUGCUCUGUAGGGGGCACUAUACAUGAUGGUGCACUCAUACGAGGUGGAUGCAUACGGUCCCUCAUUGAUCUGAAUUCAUUGAGAUUGUCUUGACGACCUUGGUGACUAUGCUGAUCUUCAGGUGCAGCCUCCAUGAUAUUCAAGAUUACUUCAAAUUCUCCUCUCUGAGGUGUAUCACACUUAAUAAGCCUGCCUCCAAUGUCUCGUAUCCACUUUGGCAUACACAACUAGUAUUCAGCUGCAACUUAAAUAAAAACAGAGGACAACAAGAAAAACAGGGCUACAACAGCAAAAUUAAACUAGACUAAAUUUAAAAAAGAUAAACUUAGAUUGUAAAUAAACAAAGAGAGAAUGAAAAUUAGUAAAGUGAAAGAAACUUUACCAACUUGUGAUGAAAAUCACAAGUGCUCAAAAAUGGUAUCACAAUGAUCUUGACACUCAUUCCCCGGCAACGGCGCCAUUUGACUCAUGCCCAAUUGGUGUCUCAGCUGAUUUGUGUUCAGCUGGUGCUCCUUGAUUGAGGAAGUGAUCAACAAAAUUUAUACCUAUAACACCAUACACUAGGGUAGCAAAUACAAAGCUACUAUAGUAUAGUGGCUCUAAGGAUCGUUCACUGGGAAUGAAUAAAUUAACAAGCAGUCAAGGAUACCAAUUCCAAGUGAAUUGGUUUUGUUUCAUUUCACGGUUAGCUUAAGGAAUAAAACACAAACUUUGAUUUGUAAAGGUUGAGAUUUAAACUAACUAACUUAACAGAAGUUUGGAAUAAUUUAGGAAGAAAAGCAUUCCUUGGAGAUUUAGGUUCACUGGGGUGGUUCCUCAUGCAAAAGACAAAGCUCCGGUCAGAUGGUUCAUUUCCUCGCAUUAGAGAUUCAACUUAUAGUCAAUUCUCUAACCGGUGAUGUACAGAGACUCCUUCAAUUAGAUUUCACUUUAAUUCUCUCACUGAUGCAACUUGCAAUGGUUCAUGCCUCUCACGAGCACUUACCAUUCAAGGUGAUCUUUAACCUUGGAUUCCCCUUCACAAACUCGCAAGAGAUAACUAAUGGAUGUCUCCUAGGAGUCCAAAAGGUUACCAAGUGUUGGUAAUUCCAGAAAAUCCUACCUUGAAGUCACCUACCAGAGGCUCGCAAGGGGUAAACUAGUGCAUUCCCACGGUUGGAAAUCACUUGCCUUACCAAGUGUUGGCCCAGGUGACUCCAAGAUGUUUUAAGUUAACUAAAAACAUUGAAAUCACUAAAGGAUUUCACUUCCUCUUCAUUAAAAACUAAAACCACAAAGCUUUGCAUUCUUGCACUUGGAACCUUCCCCGGCACCCUUAGCUCCAAGGAAUUGGAGGUUUAGUUACUCAUUCUCUGGGGAAAACUCCUCAGAGAAUUCAUAACUUAGAAAUAAAAUGAAAAUACAAAGUGAGAAGGAAAGGCAGUAGAAAGAAAAGACCUUUACUUGCUUCCAAAAUGGUUAUAGAAGGAACUCCUCCCUGAGAACAGGCUCCCGAGAGGUAUUUAUAGCAAACUAAUAUAAAACUAAUUCUUACAAAGAUAUUUGGUCUUUUUACUAACUUAAAAACUAAGGAAUCAUGUAAUUGGUGGUUUACAAGGAGUAUUUUGGGAUUUAGACAACAAAAAUCUAAUGGAAAAUAUCUCCCAAUGUCGGUAGCAAGCUUCGGGAGGCUUCCGGAGCCAUUUCGCAGGAGAAAAGUGAGGUCUGCGAAAUUUCGCAGACACCCAAGAGGGCUGCGAAAUUAUUUCGCAAGACCAAGAUAUCUUCACCAGGCUGCAAAGUUGGCUUCCAUCUUGAAGUUUCCAGCUCCCUUCUCGCGGCAUGGUUCGUGCAUCGUUAGAAGGAGAAACACCUUACUGUACAAAAGUGUUGCGAAAUUCUCGCAACAAAAGGCUGAUUCCGCAACACUUCAGAGUGACUGGCUUGUAAUGGCUGCAACUUCUUCGUUUCAACUCCAAAUUGCACACCGUUUGAAGCAUUGGAUUGUUGACUUCCUGAGCUUUGAAAUGGUAUAUAGCUUGCAUCAUUUGGACUUCAGAAAGUGCUCCAAAAGUGGCUGCUACGACUGUCAUCAAGAAUAGGCUUCAUGACAGAUUCUCUUUGCUUUUUCUCCUUGCAAUCCGGAUUCACUCUUGGCAAUUGAAUUCUCAACUUUGCCCAUGAUUCCUCAUAGCUCUCCUCAAUCUUGACUUGCUUUGGUGAUCAAAAUACUAACAAAAACACCAAAACUUACACAAAGUGAUCAAAAUUGCUUUAAAGGAUCCUUAACAUGUCAAUUGAGUUAAAAGGCCUAAACUACUACUCAAAAGUGUUAAAAAGGAUUAAUUAAAGGCUAUCAAAUAGCACUUUUUGAGUAGUAAUCAAACAUCAACAAAUACUAUUCUAUUUUGACACCAUCUAAAUUUAGGAUAUUAGAGGGUCCACCGAGAACGAAGGAUCAAAAUAGUGUGCUCACGCUGGUGGUGCUUGCCGUCCAUUCAAUAUGCGGGACAUAAUCACCAUAAUCUGAAAAAGUUGUGGAAAUGCACAUAUUUUACAACCUCAAUCUACACUUUAUGCAUUCAUAUUACCUAUUAAUUGGGAAUUCAAUUCAGCUAAAGGAUAAGUAACUUACCACAGAAUUAACCCACCACCUUACAUUUAGACAAGACAUUUCUUCCCGGGUAAUGUACAUUCCAUACAUCUUGCACAAACUCUCACUACAAUGAUUGAAAAGGAUUUUUGUCAUGUGGAUGUCAAGUUAUUCACAUAUUAUAUCACUGUAACAAUCAUUGGUACAAAAAAUAAAUGUACUUAGGAUCACCAUUUUAUGCCAAUGCGCAAUCCGCUAUUACCCCAUCAACAUGAGGGAUUUUAGGGAAUUGUUUAACGCAUUGCAUGACAAACGGGCUUUUGCAAGUGGGAGAAUGCUUGACAAUCCUCUUAGCAGUCCGCUUAAAUCUCCUCAUAGAUGAAGGUCUAACUAAUUGGCUGCCACUUCCACCUACCCCAUCAUUUUCCAGCACUUUUUCUAUUCUCAAUUCUAAUGGAAGCGAUGACUCUGCAUGAAACUGUGGGGGCAGUGAUUGGGAAUUAGUGGCUGCUGGUGAUGCUUCCAUUCCAAUUGGUGAGUGGGGAGUUGGUGUGAGGCUAUCUUGUGGUAUCAUUUCUUCAGCUGAAGGCUGCUUGUCCGAUGUCUCAUGCCUUGGUUGAUAUUCAGCUGGCUGCACUGUCUAUGGGCAAGGGAUUGAAGAAGUCCUGUCUGAUCCACAUCGUCGGGAACGUAAUGCAACAACAUCCCGCGCCAAAGAGGAAGCUAAUUCUCAACAUAGUCUCUAAUGUCUCGAUGAGACAAGCUUCAAGUACCUAUUACAUAGUGGAAAAUUUUAUAUACUUGUAUUCAUUGUAUGGAAGAACUGGUAUACGUGGUGAGUGAGCAUGUACUAUCUCGGUAGCAUUGUCAGAAGUUGAGGAUGUCAAAGCUACUGAUGGUACAUUCAAGUGGGGUGUGCUUUUCUGGUUGCUUUUGUGCCUACAUGUUGCAUCAACAGUUCAAUGAGAUUAUAAACAAAUUGGUUAUUAGUUGAAUAAGCUAAUAUUGUUUAUAAAAUGUAAGGAAAUAUUUGUUAAGUUAGCGCAUACAUGCACAUGUCCAUAAGCACCGAAUGUUGAUAUUUUAGCUGCUAAUCGACAUUUGAUUACUUCAUCACUCUAAGCGACAGCUAGCGGGCUGGUAACUUCAACCUUUAUUGAUGGCAUGUAGAAGUAUGCCAUGUAGAACAACUGUGCAAGGGUAGUAUAUGAGACGAGGAACAUUAAAAAAGAAAAUUGCAGUAAGCAUGACAUUCAAAUUAAAAUGUAAACUAAGUUCAUCCUAAUUACAUAAUGUACUAGAGCCUUUAUUGUACCUGUAGGAACAUGAGACAGCCUUGGAUGUAAGUAGGAUGAUUUUUGCAAUAAUCCCUGAUUCCAUCCUCUAAGUAUUGGAACACAAACUUGGCCCAAUUCCUUUGGACACCAACAUCACCAUCCCAAAUGGUGUCCUAAAGGUCAUAGAUCCCUCCAAGCUUUGAGUUUAGUGCUAGCAUAGUGGCACAUGAAAAAAAUUAAAAAUGAUUUUUAAGAAUUCAUCACAAACUAGCAGAUUCUCAAGGUUUUGCUCCAGUACACUGAGGUUGUAUGUGUGAUUGAUCGGGACUGUUUUUUUAAGGACAACCAUGUCUACCCCGGUACUAGGGAUGGCCAUGACCCUACUGACAUGUUCUUCAUUGAUAGGAACAGCAUUGUCAGUUGCCAUAUUUAGUUUAUGUAAAGUGGUAUUGUGAAAUGAGCCACCCACAUAGCUCAUACCUUAGUUCGCGACAUGCAAAGCUCAAUAGUCCCCCAAAGCCCAUCUCCUUAAUGGCUUGCUGUUUUUCAUCGAAUAGAUGUGCAAUGACACCGAUAAAUUUCUUCCUUGAACAGCGGGACUUAGGAAACUUUUCCUACAGUAAAAAUGUAAUAUUUGUCAGUGACAAAAAAAUGCAAGAUAUGGAAAUUUGCAAUAAGGUUGAAAAUGAAGAUUCAAUCCAUUUUGGAAUGAAAACUCUUUUGUCAAUCUAUGUACAUGUUGGUGGAACAUGCCCUUUCAUUUUUCUGCGUUCUGUGGCCAUGCGUAUAGUGAGAUAACCUUAUGUUCGGAAGGUGAAACUGAAAGCUCAAGUUUUGACACCCUACAAAUUAAAGACUGUUAGUGUAAAGUGUCGUAUGGUAAUGCAUAAGGCAUGAAAAAGUUCAUUUACAAAUAAAUUAUAAGAGUCUAGGAAAAAUAAACGUAGAUUUGGAAAAAAAUUGAACAAUACACUAAUAAAUGGAAGCUACCAAUAAGAAAAUUAACCAGUUUUCUUCUUAACCAACCAAAUAGUUGAAUAUUAAGGACAACAACAGUAACUAUUAGUUGCACAAUUAGUAUAAUAAAGUGAAACAAAUUUUUUGUUUAACUAUUAGAUGCAAUUUUCUAGGGAAUCAAUGGCCUUAUACAUAGUCAAGAGUAUGGAUAUGAUAGUUGUAAAAGGGAAUAAAAUUGAGACAGCUAUGGCUUUCAAAAAAUUGAAAUUGAUUUAUGUGAGUGUGAUUGGUUUAACACAAGAUCAACACUUGUGAAACAUCAAGAAGAUAUGCAAGUUUUUGAAGGGCAUAGAGAAAAAUUCUGAACAUGAUCUUGCUGCUUGCCAAAACAGUCAAGUGUAGGGAUUUACUUCUGCUAAUGAAAUAUGCAAACAUUUGUAUUUGCAAGUUUAAUAUGAAAAAAAAGGGAUCCAACAAGUAAAUACGGUUCUAUGAUAAUCCAUUUGACACAAGGAUCCCAUUAUACCUAGUUUAAAAGGACCACAUAUAAUAAACAAGUCAUUGGCAAUAUCUAUGAUAGUUAUUCCCCAUCUUAAAACUUUGAAAAGUUAUAAGGUCGAGUUUUUUCCCAAUUUACACCAGGCUCAUGUUUAACUAGUUUAAAGUCAGCAAGCCAUAAUUUUCAAAACUAUGACAAGACUCACAAACAAGUCAACAAGCAAUAUCAGAACUUUAGUGCCCAUCUUAGAAUUUUAGCAAGUUACUAAAGAUAAAUAGAGUCAUCUUGGCAAGCAAAGCUCAUAUUUUAAGAUUGAACACUCCUAGCAAUUGAAAGUUACAUAUCUACAUAAGAAAAAAAUUUAAAUAUUUCCAAAACAUAAAUUUUAUAGAUGCAAUGUAAGUCAAAUUUGUUUUUGUCCAAAACAACAAGAACUUUACAUUCAAUAGUGCCCUAGCAAGCACCUAUAUGUUGCAAGAAUUCUUAUACAACGUUAAAAAAUGGGAUAAUAACCACCAUGUAUGUAGUUAGACAAGAUAAGUGGUGGUGACGGGAGAAAGGGGGAAUGGUGGAAAACAAAGUAUAACAAAAUAUACGGAUUGAACGGUAUACAUGGAUAUAUAUAAUGUAGUUUGCUUAAGCUAGUUUAAGCAAGGUGAUGGCAGCAAAGACAUGUGGUUGGUGUCAAUACAAAUAAAACAAGAUGUGUUGCAGCCAAAAUUCAGCCAUGGUGAAAGAAAUUAAUAUUCAGAGGAAUAUAUAUAUAUAUAUAUUCCUUUUCAUUUACAUAUCUUUACCAAAAUGUAUACUCAAAUGGUAGAUAUGAUGCAAGUUACAUUAACGUACAAAGACAUGGAAAAGGGCACUAAGGUCACCAAGUAAAAACAUAAAAAUAAAUGAACAAUAGGAUUCAUGUCCAAGACUACCAUUAUAAGAUGAAAGGACAAGCUUGAUAAAUGUCGGGACCUAUUCCUACAUUUUGAUUUAUAAAAAGCCAAAUGCAAAGAAAUAAAUAGAAAUGAUAGCAAUCAUCAUCUUUAUGUUGGAGAUGAUUUUCCAAUCCCCAGAAGGGAAAAAUGUAAAUAAUAAUAUUAAUAACAAUAAUAAUAAUAAUUAUAAUAAUGUGUAGAAAAAAAAAAUUUGAUAUCAAUAGUACAUCAAUAAUUAAGGGAUAUGAUAGCAAAAAAAGUUGGCCCCGUCAAGGAGUACAACCUAUAUAAUAACAUACUUCAGUUUGAUAAUGAAUUCUAAUAGAAUGAAACCUAUAUCUAAUGGAAGGGAGUGAUGUGUUUUUGAAACUGCAUAUGUUAUGAAAGAAAAUUUGGAUUCUUUGCCAUUCAUCCUGGUUUACAAGUACUGGACAUGUACAACAUCAAUGUUGGUUCAUUUCUGGUUAGGAAGGGUCUUUAAUUUAACUCAAUGGACAUAGCAGGUGACAACAAAGGUACAAAACAUUAACAUAAUAACACUCAUUCACUGAGAACCAGUUCACUUAAGUUAGUUCAAAUACGAUAGUACAAGAUCUGAACAAUGCAAUAAGGUGACAGAUAUGCAUUGAAGGCAAAUGAUUCUUGCACGUUUUUCUGUUGUGGUCGAAUAUAUGACAACAGGAGCAAUAGACCUUCCGUUUAUCUUGAAAUUGGGACUCAAUGCGCUUCUUCCUUGGCAUUCCAGGAGGCCCUUUGUAUGUGAAGGCUUUAGAGAGAAGAAAACCUCCCUAGUGAUAGAUCGAACCAAACCAUCAUCAUUGUAGUAAUCAUUAACGCAAUCAAUAAUGUUUUGGCCAAUGAAAAUAAUGACAGCUGCAACAUGUUCACAAGGGAUUCCCAACAUUUGCCAACCCCUAUAAGUGCAUGUACGGUUUAUAAUGUCUACAUUCAACAAGGCUCCCCCAAUACAUACCCCAAAUACUCCAUUCAUAAAUGGUGUGACCGGAUACAUCUCACCAUUUUCAAUAUUUUGUAGUACCUUAUCUUCAAUUUUUGGGCCAAUAAACCCUUUCCAAUUGUUGGACUCUUCUUUAUGCUUCACAAGCAUAGAACCUAACUUGGACAUGUGCUCCAAUAAAAAGUUACAAAUGGAGUGAUGUUUUUCAUUCUAUAAGCAAGCAUUAAAUGACUCGGCAAGGUUGGUAGUCAUUUUAUCUUUUUUUUUUUUUUUUUUUUUGAAUUUUGACAUGGCCCAAUGGCCCAAUGGCAAGACACAUUUUCUUCAACCCAUGUUGCUAAAGCAUCGUUGUAUUUUUUCAGUUCAAACAUGCAAAACGUUAUAAUCAUGUUCUAACCUUGCAUAUGCAAUACUAUCUAGGAAUUGAAGUGUAUUUUCUUUACCCUUGUUUCCUCGUGUGUUAAGCUUGGACAAGAAACUACUAAAAUUCUCCUUCAAGUGACGAUAGCAAUAGGCAUGGUUUUCAAGGCCAAACAUCUCAAGAACACUGCGAAGGAGAGCAAGAUGUCUAUCUAAGACAAUAAUAAUUUCUUGGUUUCCAACAACUAUCUUCAAUUUUUCCAAGAACCACAAGCAAUCUUCAUAAUUUUUCGAGCUCAUCACUCCAAAGGCUAAGGGGAACAUGGAGUCAUUAGCAUCGUAGGCGGUGGCUGAAAAUAGCGCACCGCCAUUUGGCCCACUCAUAUGGGUUAAAUCAAUUGCAAUGAUUGGUCGACACCCCAUUACAAACCCUUGGAUAGAUAUUGAAUGAGCAAUAAAAAACUGCUCAAAAUGGCCAUCAUCAAAAUAACUCAGCUCAAUGCUCAAUCCCGAAUUUGUUGCAAUCAUUCUUUCACACAUCCAUGGCAACAAUUUGUAAUAAUUUUUGGGUAGUCCAUAAAUGCGCUCCUUAACAUUCUCCUUUAUUUUCCAUGCUUGAAGGUAAGUCAACUGGAUGCCAUGUUGCCUUACAAAGUCCUUACAAAUUUGUCGUGGUUGGUAUUCAGGAGUAGAUCGAACGACAUCAUCUAUGACCAAGAAGGCACAAGUGGAUCUCACUAAAGGUUGAGACAAGGCAACAUCUCCCAAGCAAUGGUUAUGUACAUUUCGAAAUGUGUGUACUUGAACAAUGUUUGAAUCCCCUAUUGCACGAGCAGUGAUUUUCCUAAGACAAUCUUCAAUUGUGCAUACUACAGUCAUGUGUUUUGAACUAUUUAUUUUGUAAGAAUAUUGGAAUUUUCCAGCCAAAUACAUCAAAUAGAUUGCAUCUCAAAACUCUGAGACAUUUGGGAAGGUAUGUCCACUACCUAUAAUUGAAUGUUGGAACCGGCUUGGUUGAAAUUGAAUGAUAUUUGUUUCAACACAUAUUUGGGAAAACGCAAAUGACUCAAUUGUAGGCGACUCAUUAGAUAUGUUGCAACGAGGGCUCACCAAUGGAGGAAACAUGUGUCGAGUUUGAAACAACAAUAGGUGUUGGGGCACUGUGAAAAAAACAGGAAAAGAAAUUGAUCAUCCAUCAACCUAUGUGUGAACGUUGAUUAAAAAGGGAAAAAUAUUAUGGGAAGACAUUAGGUACCUAGUAAGGGUAAUGAAGACAUCACCACCUUCAGCACAUUGGCAGACAUAGACACGACAAAACAUGUUGUUAAUUUGAACAUCUUGACUAUGUUGACAUCAUCAUGCAUCAUCGAGAGUAGACAUGAUGGGUCAAACUUCACUAUGAAAUCCAAUUUAAUUGAAUUGGGCUCCAAGUUCAGUUCACCACAUACUUUUGAAACAAAUUCAGAAUCUAAGAUAUUCUUGCUAACAACAAUGCAAUUGGUCCGACCACCCUUAUAUUCGACGGACCCAACAACAAUCUUAACAAGCUCACCACCUUCAGGAAUGUAACAAAACAUCUCCUCUUCCAUUUCCUUAAUGACAUAAAGAUUUGUUACAAAUAAUAUAACAAUGAAAGAUUGAGGAAUUAUGUAUGUUGAUUGCAUUUACUUUUAUGUAGGAAAUAUACAAGACAACUUUUAUUCAUAGAUGAAAUAUUUGAAUCUUCAAAAAUGCAAUUUCCAGUCGUCACACAGGUAGUACCCAAGGUGGGCUAAGAUAGUACCUGAUGUUGACUAAGGCAGUACCUACAGUCGAUUAAGAUUGUACUUUCAAGAAUAAUGAGCUAGUACAUAAGGUUAACUUAGCAGUAGAAUAAGGUUAACCAACUGAUCACCAAAAUAAGACACAAUGGGCUAAGGUAGUACCUAAUAGAUUGGUAAGUUCUAUGCGCAAUUGAGUAUGUUUUAUGCACGUAGCCCAUGCAAUGCCACUUAUUGGUUAUAUCCUUGUGAAAUGGACUACGUACUGACCAAGGAAUUACGAAAUGUUAAGGAAUGAAGUUACUAACGCUAAUAUGAGAAGUGAACAUUUUCUAACCAGCACACCACUUCUAAAAAUUUGGUCACCCAUAAUGACAAGCAAGGUUUUGUUAGAUCAAUUUAUUUUUUUAGGGCAUCUUCAUCAAGAUGGGAAGUUUGUAUUGUUACAGUAGAUACAAAAAGCUACAGAAUGGGAAUAGGUUUAUGCUUAGCCAUGGAGACGAAGGUAGUUUUCUAUUCUGUAGAGGACCAAAACUAAGAACAAUACCCAUGGAGAUCUAGCUCCUCCCUACACCGUUUAUUCAUAAAGAACCUUUUAUCUGAAGACUAGAGUGUCAUAAAAUUUUCAUUUCUUCAUUUAAGUCAUUGAAAAUUUUGUUACUUCAUUUGAAGGGUUACAAUUAUUACUUGCAUAUAUAAAAUAUAAAUUUGACUAGAUAAUUUUAGCUGCUGAAACCUAUAUCAUUUUUUCUAAGCAUUUAUAGCAACUGACUAAUAGUUCAAGUAAUUUUAUAUAAAAAUAUGAAAAUUAAACUGAUAAAAUUAUCAAAUCUAGGUCAUUUUGUGCUAAAUGGGAGCAGUCACAGACAAACAAAACAAAAAAUAUAUAGAUCAAUAUGCAUUUCAUCCAUUCUACUUGCAUUCCCUGGUUCCUAAAAUCUUAUUAAGGAAAUGAAACCACUGCAUGGAUACCAACAGUUCCUAUAUAGCCUUUCCUAUUUCCAUAUUCUAAAAGGGAUCUCUAAAUCAAUAUCAAUUACCAAUCAACAAGAAGAGUAACAUUUACUAACCAAAAAUAUUUGAAAAAAUGGGACAUGAAUUUAAAUUAUAGACAUAAAAAAAACCAACGAAAACUUUAGCACCCAUCAACCAUCAAUAUCAUAAAAACCCAAAAAGUUGAGUAAUUUGGAAUCUAAAAAUCACCAUUUCAAAAGCACUUAUUUCGCUCUCAAAAGAAAUACAUCAUCCCGAAAAAGUGUUCCUUUUGGUAAUCCACUGCAAAGCUCAAUCCAAAAACACAAUCCAAUAAAUGAGUUUCACUAAAAAUGCAUUGUUUCCCAACACCCAAAAAUAAGAAGGAAAAAAAAAGGUUUAUUUUUGGCAAAUCAAUUAAAAAUUUGUUUUCCCAGUUCAAAACCACAACCAAAACAAAUGGGAUUUUCAGCAAAACGAUUCCCAACCCAUAUUCUUGCCUUCAUUUGAUAUCAAAAUAGAAAAGUUUUGGGGAUUCUCCAAUCCAAAUAAAACCGUAGAAACUGAUAAAAAUGCAUGAAAUUGAGAAAAUGGAUGAUGAUUCAUUAUGAACAUAUUUAAAAACUGAUUAUGAACUCCUAGAUGCCAAAAUUUGAGCCACGCCUAAUUGAGAAAAAACCCAGACAAACAGGAGAUUUUCGUGAUGUGAAUGCAAAUGCAAAAGAAAGAAGGAAUGGGUUAUCUUGGGAGAGAAAAUCUAAGAUGAGACAAAUGGGAUUAAGGGCUUUUGAACUUAAAUGAGAUAAAUUUUUGAAAACCAUACAUGGUUUUCAACUUCGCCUAGGUGAUGGAGUGAAAAAACAUGAGAGAAAUGGGUAUCAAAUGAGAGAGAGGAAAUAAAGAAUUGUCCGCUAUGGUGUUUUUGUGGAAAAGUCAAAUUUUGAUUUUUGAGUUUUCAAGUGGUUCAGUUUCAGCCCGUGUUGACAUGGACUCAAAGAUGCUGCUGGCUUGGAGACCUGGGGGGCAAUCUUGGCCUAAAAUAUGCACCAGGCUCAGAGUGCAUAAAAAAUAUAUAACUUUCCACAUUAAAAGCUAGUUUUCAUAUUUCAUAAAUAUGGUUCCGAAAACCAUAUAUGUCCCAAAUGGCCCCAUCAAAACACAAGUUUCCCAAGAAGAAAACAUCUUUCCAAUUAGCAUUCACACUAUGGUUUUCAAAUAGGUUACAGUAUGCCAUUAUAUCCUAUGUCAAUAAUUCACCAUUAGUGGGUGUACCAAAAGAUUCUUCCUAUGAAUCAUACAUUCUUUUAAAAAAAUACAAACUUGACUAUUUUCAUGCCUCUAUUGAUUCUGCCCAACAUUCUGUUUGGAUCAGUUGUCAUAUUUCUCUUGAAUUCCUAUGUUUCUGAUACCAAGUAUAUCAGAUAAGAGUUUUAAAAAAAACACAAGAAACCUCAAACUACCCUUGAUUGCACAAGGGAAGAAGAUUAAGGAUGAAAAUAGACCACAAUGUAUUGUAUAAACAGUUUUAUGACUCUGAAGUGUUUGGUUUCAAUAAUAAUGCGUAGAACACUCAUGUUCUAUCAACAACUCCUAGUGGCUCAAGUAGUGGAUCAACUAUAUUAGCAGCAGCAAAUUUAGCAGUAAUGUCACCAGGGACGGAGACUGAUGGAUCCAUCUUAUAUCUAUCUGAUAGUAAUUCAAUAGUUGGUAUCAAACCAACACUUGGUCUCACCAGCUGAGCUAGGGUGGUUCCAAUCUCUCCUAGGCAGGACACAGUUGGGUAGGUAAUGCUUCAUCUUCCUUAAUCCGAAUACAAGACUAUCAUCUGUUGAGCAACCAAAGAGAGCAGACUGGUCCAUCUUAUUGACAAACAUAGAAAAUGAGAAAUAACAAUGAAAAGUCGGGAUCUUACAAUUAUUUAAAUUUCAAAUGAUGAUUUUUAGUAGUGAAUUUUGUGUUUACACUCUUCAUCUAGAUUGAAGCCAAUCAAGCAUCAAUGAAUGUAAUUGGAUUUUAUUACAUGCAAUACAAGAUUUUCACAUGGUUCUGUUAAUUUGUUAGGCUUUGAUAUAAAUCUGCUUGCUUUAUGAUCAUCGGCAUAUGUUUCACUACUUUGUUUUUAAUUGGAAAAACUUCAUAGUUUUGUUAUAUCCAUUGAUCUCAGAACUCAAUGGUGUUAAUUCUAGUAAGAACUCCUAACAUUUUGGAUGCAAUAGGCCUAUCUCAGGACAACCUUCUAUUCUAUAGAGAUAUUGGAUGUCAUUGUUGGUUUUGACUACAGGAAUGAAGCAACUAGGACAACAUCCAAGUACAAACCAUAAGGUAGCUAUAAGCAAUUUCUCAAUGCAAAUGAGAUCAGGGAGAAGAGAUUGUAAUAAGUACGAAUGCUAAGAAACAAAACAGAUCAUGAUCAGAAUUCUUCCAAAAAAGAAUAGAGAAAAAAAAUGAAAAAUAUUGGAGAAAGCAUUUCGCACGAUCUUGCUUUGGAUAUUGAAAUGAAAAACAAUAGAGUCCCAACACUUCACAAAACCUAAAAAACUCCAAUGAAAAUCUACAGCAUUUCACACGAUCUUGCUUAAGAUAUUGAAAGAUCAUGACCUUCUCUCAAAAGAAGUCCUUCAAUAAAUAUGGAUUAAUGGUUUUCCUCCCUCCUUUAGAGAAAAUAGGGUUAGACCAUAGGGUAGGGCAGGGCAAAUGAAAGAGAAAACAAAUUAGGGUUUCAAUUAGAAGAAAAGGAAACCCAUUGGAAUCUCGGAAUGCAAAUCUUAUCCCACUUCCAGUUGGUAGCUAGACUCCUCACUUGAGCUACUCCUCUAAUCCCGACUACAUCGACUAAAUCUUUUGCUUUUGAAAUGAAAACCUCCAGAUCUCAGUUCGUUUCUGGUUACUUCAUGGAAGAGAAAACCAAAUAGCUCUAUCUAUGGAGCACUAGUGCAUCAUUGGGAAGUGAAGCUUAGAGUGUAUGCUCUCAAAUAUUCCUACCACCAUGAGAUUCCAAGACUUAUGGAGGGAAAUUCUGUAGAAGAAAUGAAACUUUUAGCUAAAUAUAUUCACUGUGUAACAUAAUGGCGCUUUUAAGAAGUGAUGAGGAUAAAAAAAAAUUUAUAUAUAUCAAUGACACUUUUCAGAAGAGCCAAGGAUGCAAAAAAUGAUGCUUAAAAUAAGCGCCAAGAUUUUUAACCUCUACCGUUCCAUGACGCUUGUAGAGCGCCAUAGUAAAGGAGCAUCAACGUCUAGGCAUGAUAAGCUAAAUAAAGAAACUUUUCUAAUAGCGUCCAGAAAGAAAACGUCAUUCUUUUUGUGUUUUUGUUUUUUUGUUUUUUUGGUUUUUUUAGUAGUGCUAGUGAUUAUAUUUGCAUCCUUCAAAUAUCGUUACACAUCUACUUAAAUUUUAAAAAACUUAGGACAAAAAUGGCAUUCUCCUUUAAAGUUAUUAUUAUGUGGAACUAUACUUUAACAUCCUUAAGGUUGUGUUUGGUUCCAGAAAAUACUAAGGAAAAAAAAAUAUAUAAAUAAAAAUGAUUUUUUCAUAUUUGGUUGUCCUAUGAAAAAUAUAGAAGAAAAUCAAAUAUAAUUAAAAUUUCAUGUAUGUUUAAAUUAUUUAAAUCUUUAUAUCGAUGAGUUAAAAUAAAUAAAAUUAGUUUAAAGUAACAAAUAAAAAUAAUUUAUCGACUUUUAAUUUAUUUUUUAUUUUUCUUCACUUUUUCUUUCCUUCUACUUUUCCUUUAUAUUUUAUUUCCUUUGUAUUUUCCCUCAAAUUUUCCGAGAACCAAAUAUAACCUAAGAGAAUAUAGAAUAUUCUAAACAUCCUUAAAGGUGUCCAUAACUAAACUUUUGAACACCAUUAAAAACGUGAAAAACUAUAUUUUGGACAUACUUCAGAUGUCGAAUCUUUCUUUCAAGUUUGAAUGCCAUGAAAUUGUUUCAAGAUUGGGAACAACAGGACCAACUCAUCAUGUCAGGGAUCCUUGCAUCCAUAUCAGAUGCUCUUCUAACACGUAUGGUAAAUUGUGAUACUUCAGCUCACGUAUAGAGGACUCUUGAACAACAUUUUGCCACUGAAGUACGAGCCAAAAUAACUCACUUCAAGACUCAACUUCACAACACAAAGAAAGGUGGCCCAUCCAUAAGUGACUACUUUCUCAAGAUCAGAAACAUUGUUGAUCACCUUGCACUAGUUGGCCAUAAUUUUUCUGAUAAAGACCAUAUAGAUGCAGUCUUUGAAGGAUUACAUCAAGAAUAUGGAACCUUCAUCAUCUCAGUAAGCUCAAGAAUUGACCCAUAUACAGUUGAAGAGAUUGAAGCACUCCUUCUUGCCCAAGAAGCUUGUAUUGAGAAAAACAUCAAGAUUCAUGAAUUCUCCCAGUGAUACUCGGGUUUUUAAUGACAUGUCAAAUUCAGAUAUUAGAAAAGUUUUCAUAAAAUUGUUAAUCAAAUGGUAAAAAAAGAAAGAAAGAAAGAAAAAAUUGUGAAGAUCCACAUCUUAAUUGAGAGAGAUUUUAGAAAAGUUAGUUAAAAGUGAAUAGUUUAAAAAUCUUGCCACGUGUAUGUAAAGAGUAGGAAUUAAAAAAAUUAUUAAAUAAUUGAGAUUAGGUUUUAAAAUUUUGAAUAUUAAGUAUAUUGUGAGAAUUAAUUUAAUAAUUAUUAGAGAAUUGUGGAGAAAAACUUGGUAAAAAUUUAUAUUAUAUUGAAUUGUUAUAAUGAAUAAUUAAAAAACGUUGAAUUUAAUUCUAGAACGAAUCAAUUUAACUCUUAUACUUGGAAUUAAACCUUAUAGGAUUAUAAAACAUCAAAUAGAAUUGAAUUGAAAUUAAGUUUAGAUUAAAUUAUGAUAUAUGAAUUUAAGAAAAUGUAUAAAAGGGUAUUUUAAUUAAAUGCGAAUUUAAUGAAUUUAACUUUUGCAAUUUUGAUUCAAUUGAGGAAUUUGACAAAUGAAAUAAAUUAAAUGAAAGGUAUACUAAAGGUUGAUAAUUUGAUUAUUAUAUAAAUUGAAUGACUAAAUAAUUGAUGGAAUUAAGUUUUAGAAUAUUGCUUAAAUUUGUGUUAAUAAAUAAAUAUUGGUAAAAUUAACGAGUUAAAGGUUAUCAUGAAUCUCAACUUCUUGUAUGUUGAAGAAUUAUUUUAUAUUUAAGACCUUUUAUAAAAUAGAUUUUUAUUUUUUAUUUUUUAUUCUUUUUAAUAGUUAAUGGAAUCACGUCCUAAAUGAAUUUCAAAGUAAAAAUGCAUUAGGUAAUUAAAUUCAAAUUACAUUUUUUGAAGAGUAGACUUGUAGUAAUUAAAUUUAAUAAAGAAUACAAUGGUAUUUUUCGUAAGACAGAAAAUCAUAAGUUGAGUAUAAUUUAUAAUUGUGGAAUGUAAAAUAAAAACUAGUAUUUUAAUUUAUUAAAAAAAAAAUGUGUGGUAUUUCAAAUUUGUUUAAUAAUAAUAAUAAUAAUAUAUAGAAGGAAUGGAGAACAUAAUAGGGGCGUUCGUAGAAGGGAAAGUGUCGUUGGCCUUCGACCGAUCGUUUGGUGGCCAAACGACUUUCAUUUUGUGUGAGAUUUUAGAAGAACACUCUAUUCAACAUGAGGAACAUAUGAACGUAGUCAGAUUUUGAUUUCAACAGUUAGAUUUUCUAAUUUGAGGUAAGGUGGUUUAAUCCUAAAACUUUGAUUUAAUAUUUUAGUUUGAAAAAAAUUUAUAUAUUGUGUUGUUGGGAGAUAAUAGAUGUUAUUUGUAUUAUUUGAAGUGUGAUUAUGAUUAUUGAUAAUUUUAUUUUGUGAUUUACAUAUUUUUUUUGGAAUAAUGAUAAUAUUUAAAAUGAUUUAAAUAUAGAAAAAUAGUUGUAUUGAGUGUUAGAAAUUAUAUAUUGAGACUGUUGAGAAUAAAUAAAAUUAAAGUAUAAAUUGUGUUUCAUUGAUAUUUGAAUUAUUGAGAAUUUUCUUUGAUAUUUGGGAUGAGAUAAUUGAAGAAAAAUUGUUGUGUGGUUGUUGGAAAUUAUUAAGCUAUUGGGAAUAAAUAAAAUUUAUGUGACUAAGGUUUAACCCAUGUUUCGAUAAUAUACGAAUUAUUUGUGAAUUUUCUUUGAUGUUUGUAGUGAUUAAAGUGGAGAAAAAUCGUUGUGUGAAUUAUUGAAAAUUAUAAAACAUAAUUGGAGUAAAUGUAAUUAUGCCUUGGAAGAAAAAGAAAAAUUGAAGAAAUGGUUGAAUUAGUAACUUUAAUUUUAUAGGGUACUCAAAACAUUUCCAAGUUCACAAUCUAAAAAUCUCAAUCUAAUCAUUGACAUUCAAAAUAUAAAGUGAAAGAACAUUGUUUAAAACAAUUUUCAAAAUAAUUGGUUUAUGUUGACUUAUGCUAGUGUUUUAUGAAAGAAAAUACUACAUUAUUGUAAUAGCAUAAACAAUAUUUAUCUCAAUAAUUUGAGUCAUUACACUCUCAACGGGAAAAUAAUAUAUCCAACUCAUAAGCAGAUUGUUUUGGCACCUCUAGAGAAUAAGUUCAGAAUUUAUUGUAAUGUCAUCUUCACACAUCAGAGAUGGACAUGGAUGAAGACCCUCAAUGAAGAACUCAAGGCCAUUUACAAUACUAACAUUGAGUAGUUGCAUUUUUCACAAAAGAUAGUUUGAUCUAUCUCAUCGUAUAGUUAGGACUUGGUUUAGUGAUGGAAGUGGUAGUGCAUGGUAAUUUUGAGAAAUUGAAGACAAGGUUCCGAUCGAGAUUGAGGAGGACGAAACCAUUGCCACCAUUGUUGAAGAGGUAAAAGUUUCAACAAAGGGCAUGGUUGACCAUUGCACCUAUUAUACCCAAGGAGGAAAAUAUCGCGAUAUGUCAUCCAAGCAAACUUGCCCUUGGUAUAUAUUAUGUACUAAACUUAUAUAUACUUAAACUCAUUAUAUAAAGAAAAUAUUAAAAGAAUAUUUUAAAGAGCAAAUUAAUUAUAAUUAUUUUAUAAUUAAAUGCAAAAUUUUCUUUUAAUUGAUUACCAAAAAUAUAAAAAUUAUAUAAUUUUUUUCAUAAUGUUUUUAUAUCAUUAAUAAUUAAUUAAAUAUUAAAAAAUUAUAUAUAUAUCAUAAUUUAUUUUAUAUUGUUUAAUACAAUUGAAUUAAAUGGAUCAUAAUUUUAAUAUUAAUAUAUAUUUUAAAAUUAGACAUAUUAUAAUCAAUUAUCAUAAUAUUAGAUGUAAUUUAAUAAUAAAUGUACACUCGAUGCAUACAAUAUUAUUAUCAAAUAUAAUAAAUCAUGUUAUACAUAUAUCAAAUUUUUCAAUAAAAUAACUUUAAAAUGUCUAUUAUACUUCUAAUUAUAUUAAUAUAGGGUUUUUCUUACAUUUUCAUGAGUUUUUAACAAUUUUAAGAUUACCGCUAUUUUUUUUCCAAAAUAUCCGCCGAUAUAUCCGAUAUAUUCGUAAAAUCGAUGUACCGAUAUAUCCGUGAUUACCGAUAUUUUCAUCCUUGAUUAUACCAUGUAAAAUAAAAGUAUAGUGGUUUUGGAAAAUACAAUGAAACAGAGUGAGUUUGAUUUUUUAUUUUUUUAUUUUUUAACAAAAUAAAAUGUUGAAAAAAAGAAGUAAAUAAAGGAAGAUAUAUUAAGAGUCAAUUUGACAUUACUUUUAAUGAAAGUGUUUUUAUUGUAAGUGUUUUCUUCUACAACACUUCUGUGAAAAACACUUUUAUGAGAAUUUUAAAAAGUGAUUCUAAUAGUAUUUUUAAUAAUAUAUUGCAUAAGUAUAAAAACAUUUUUAAUAAUAAUAAAUUACUAAAAAAGGAUAUUUAUUACAAAAAAAAUAUUAUAAUAAAUAAAAACUUUUAUUAAAAAAAUAUAUAAAUAUUUAAUUGUUAAAAAAACUCAAAAAUUAUUUUUAUGAAAAUGAAGUGAAAGAGGAAGAGGAGAGUAAGAAAAAAAAAAAAAGAAAGUUAAAGGGAAAUGGAGGAUAGCGAGAAAAUUUAUUUUAGGAAUAUAUAAAAAAAAAUGAAGUAUUUUUUUUUUAAAGAAACACCUCUCAAGUGCUUCUCUAAAAAACACUUCAAAUGUUUUUUAAAAUUUUCAUAAGUGUUUUUCAAAAUAUUAUCAAACAUAUAUUUUUUUUAUCUUAAAAAAGCAUUUAAGUGUUUUUAGGGCUAAAAACACUUCUAAAAAACAUUGCCAAAUGAGCUCUAAAUUCAUAUUUCCUUGAAUUUAUAUUUUUUUGAAUUUAUAUUUUAUUUUCUCUCUAUGAAUUUUCCUUUAUUUCAAAUAUAAACUAUAUUUUAAAAGGUUAAUUUUAUUUACUUGCCUUAAGGUUUUUGUUAGAUACACUUAAUUAUCAUUUAUUUGAAAUUUUAUUAAAUAUCUUUCUUAUCCUUUUCAUUUCUUAAUUGCCAUGUACUCGAUAAAAUCAACUUGAAGGGAAUUAAGCCAAAUUCCCAACCUGUGAGAAACAAAAAAUAGAGAAAACACAAGCUAAAGAAAAAGAAUCACACGUACAAGACAAUAUUUACGUGGUUCGGCAAUUUGUCUACGUCCACAGAGUUACAAAAAUAUCACUAUUAUCAGGGAAGAAUACAGAGUACAUCUUGUGGCUACAAUAUUUUCUCUCUAUAUAUAACAUAGCAACCACACCACAUUAAAAAACCCUAAUUACAAAAGGCGGUUCCACAAUGGGUUAAACGGGCCUAUCGGCCCAAGCCUUCACUUCAUGGACUAAGCCUUAGUAAAUCUCCUAUUAAAAAACCAUACAAUAUUAUUCAGGUCGGGUUGUCAAACCGAAUCAAACAAAACUAGGCUCCACAAAGCCCAACAAAAUCAAUCUUAUUAUCAUCCUUACUUCUUGAACCUUGGCUUAAAACUCCAACUUCACACAACAUCUAGUAUAAAUUAAGAAAGGACUUAUUAAAAGUAGUAACAUUCUACUUUAGUUUUAAAAUGUUAACAAAAAUUAGAGGAGAAUGAACUAAAAUAUACUGAAUUUAAAAUCAAGCUAACAGAUUAGAAACCAUUUGAAAUCUCACGUGAUUAAAUAGCUUUCUUGUAGUCUGACAAAGGAAAGAAAUUACUUGAAAAGAAUGGCAAAAUCGAAUCGCAUCUUAUGAACUAUAAUCACAUGAUUUCUAGACUUAGUGCAUCCAUUGCCAAGAAAGAUGACGAUCAUAUCACCUUUUGUAAUAAUUCAAUGCCUCUUUUUGUAAAGCCAUAUCAUAAAUAUAAUGAAAUUAAAAGGCAAAUUAAUCAAUCAAAUAAUUAAAAUUUAAAAUUUACAUGGCAGUAGGUGAGGGAAUUGUUCAGUUAAGAAUGAAGAGAGACCACACUCGAGGAAAUAUUAUUGAGGGCAUUGAUGUUGACUUCCCAUAUUCACACCUAAUUAAAAAGGUGAUUAAGAAAAUAAACAAAAACAACCCAAAAAGAGUGAAAGAUAUAUUGCUAGGAAAGAUUGUUCAAAAUGAUCCCAAGUUAUAAAAAUGAACUCUUUCAUUAAGAUGACCUUUUUGAAUACUUUUAUCCUUUUUUGUUUUUUGUUUUUUGUUUGCCUUCAAAAUUAUAAUCUUUCCUUUAUUUAUGUUAUUUUAUUUACUUUAUCAUUUUUUUUUCUAAUUUUUCAUUUAUUUCUUCUACUUACUUUUUCUCUUCUAUGAAGUCUCAUUAUAACUUCAUCUUUAACUUAAUCUCUCUCUUACCCCAUAAUUUCAUCUUUAGUUUAGUCAUGUCUUAUGAAGCUAAUUGUAUUUUCCUCCCUAACUUACUCUCUAAGUUGUUAGUAAUCCUUGAUCUCAAUUCUUUCUCGUACUCCAUUUUUAUUUUCAUUCAAGGUGCUCAUUAAAAUUACACAAGGGCUAAAUUUAAAUUAUAAGAGUUAAUUUCAAUUACAUUCCCUCAAGUUUUGGCUUAGAUACACCUUACCUCAACUGGUUUGAAAUUUCAUCAAUUAUCUCUCUUAUUUUAAGUGAAAGGGGAGGUGAGUAAAAUUAAUAAAUGAAAAGGUAAAGGAUAUAUUUGAUGAAAUUUUAAAUCAAUGAGCGAAAAUAUAUUUAGCUGAAACAUCAUGGAAAAUGAAUUAAAUUAACUUUAUACAAAACUUAACUGAGAUUAAAUUCUUGUAAAGUUUCUCACUUAAUCUAUCAUGAGAUUAUGUUCAAAAUCAUAAUAGUGAUGAGAUCUCAAACUUCAUAUCUUAACACAGUCAAUUGAACUUAUCUUGAUGAGUUUGAAGUCUCAAAAUUGUUUUGAGAUCCCUAGCUAGAAAUAAUCGCUAAAGCCCUUAAUUUUUUUUAUUAAAAUGUCUGUGAGCUUGAUUGAGAUCAAUUUGGAUUACUUUUAGAGAUUCUAGAGGAAUUUAGAAGAAUAUAUAAAGGAAAAAACUUAGGGAAGAUGAAAAGUGUUAGUUAGAGCAGCCUUCUAUUGCACCAAAAGAAGUGGGCGCACCCUUCUACUAUGCCAAAAGGACUUGACGCAUCUGUAUAAGUAUGCUAGGAAGGAAAAUAAAGCAACAAGCCGACCUUUGACUUGAGAGAUGGAGAACCCGUAAGCUGAAUACACGUUCACACGUUCUCACUUCAUGAUGUGGUCCAACACUUUGACCACGUCCUCCACCAUCUCACUUCCGCUGCGGUUAAGGAGCACGUUCCACCAACUGCUCAACAUGGUGGCAAGAGCAACGUGGUUUGAUGGAAGCCACUGUUAUAAAGUUUUCAGAAAAUGGUCCCGAACUCACUCUGCUAUUAUCUUCAAAAACACCAUCUAAAAAAGAGAGAUUAGAGUUUGGAAACCAAAGGUUGAAUCGAUUCCAGCAACUUGAUCUGAUGGCUGGAGGUAAGUAGACUACAAGUCUUUUACAGAUUGAAUUCAUGUUGUAAGUGUUCAUUGAAUUGUUUAUAUGCAUUAUGAACUGGUUACAUUUGGUAUCAGAGCCAUUAAAACCUUGCCUCUGCCUUGGUAUCUAUUUUGCACCAGAAUUGUUUAGUUAAUGUUUCCUUUUCUGGUUAUAAAAUACAAUCAUACAGUAUGCUUGAGAGGAAUAUCCGUUUUAUGAUCUCUCAAUUACUACUUAAAAAAAUUAAAAUACCCAUGCUUGCCGACACCACAAAUGAAGGAUCAUUGCUACUGCCACUGUAGUAUAAUUUUAAUAAAGUCGGCUCUGGAUGGUGAGCCUCCACCCAAUCUAUGAGCCAUAGCUUUACUUGAAAGAACCCAUUUGCCAAACUUGGAGAUCGACUUCUCCAAUUAUCUCCAAUGAAAGCCACUAUUCGGCGACUUUCCGACAGAAAUCCUGCAUCAUUUCCGAAGUGGGUCUGCCUCCGGUACACCCAUUUCCAAAGGUGACCAUGAUAAGGGCUAAGGAAGCAAUCUGGUGGGUGUUUAAGAGGCCAUUGUCACUGUGAGUCAUGCAAAGCUUUCCUGAAGCGCUGCCAGGCUGUUUUGCGGCUGAAGCAUGGUGUUGCCUGUGAGGAGAGGCGCUGUCUAUCUGGUGCAUUUAGUCUCCACCGUCAUUGCCUCAAUUCUGCCAUGGUCAGACUUGGACUAGCGGCGGUGGAUUUGGUGCCGGAAAAAGCGGCAACAGUGGCGUUCAUCCGCUGGUGAUGCAGGCUGCUUGAAAGGCACUGCGUGGGGUUGUUCUUGCAUGUGUUGCAGACGGCUCCAUAGCUAGCUAAUAAUGGUGCAAUCCAUGUGGGUGGCGGCGAGUACGUGGCUACCAGUGAUGAAGUAGUCCAUGGGGUGGCGGAAAAUUAGGAUGGUGGGUUUUCGUUGCAGUUGAUAAUAAUAAUAAUAAUAAUAAUAAAAACUAGAGAGAGAUUGAGUUCUGCUAAGUUUUUGGGCCUUGGUAUAAGUGACUUUUGGGCCUAUGAAGCUUAUUGCAUGACAGUGGCCCAUUUUACUGAAUUAAGGGGCUUUAAGUGUUGGGCUAUGGGUUAAUUGUUAAAAUUGGGUCAAUUUAGGUUCUUAUGGCCCGGUUUAAAUUAUUUUUUUGGGCUUGUAACUGAUUGUGAAAUUUGGGCCAAUUUAGGCAAUUAUGACCUGUUUGAAAUAAUUUUAUUGGGUUUAGGCAUCCAUUCAUAAUUUGAAACCUUUUAAAUUAUUCUAAAUUAUAUGUGAUUUUUAUACAUGCAAAUUAAAUUAUUUAUUUUAAUUUAUAUGUUUGUAUGUGUAAAAAUAUAGCCUAAAUUUAGUUAGAUAUAUUAAAAUUAUAUCAUAUAGUAUGCAUGCAAUUGUUGCCUAAAAUUUAGUUAGAUAUAUUAAAAAUAUAUCAUAUAGUUUUAAUGUCCAGUGAAUCCAUAUGAUUUUUUAAAUAAUUAAGGAAUAGCCACAACAUCCUUCAUUAUAUAAAAAUUAUAUAUUAAUAAGGAUCACAUUAUGGACAUUAAUUGUAAUUAACUAUAUAAAUAUGAUGAUUUUACCCCACAGGGUUUUCAUUAUGUUUAUAUAAUUAAUUAGGAUAAAAUAUUAAAAUUAAUUUUUCCUAAUUUACCCACAUAAGUUAUGAAUAAUUAAUUUAAUAGGUUUAUCAUAAAGAUUAUAGACAGAAAAUAUCAAACUAUAUUCAUAAUAAAUUUCAUAAUUCAAUAAAAUAGUUUGAUAAAGUCUAUCAUAAAGAUAAUUAAUCUGAUUGAAUUAAAGAUUUAGCCUACGGGCAAUUUUUAACAAAAUUAGAUUCAAUUUUAAGCAUGUUCUACAUUGGUAAAGCAUGAAUUUAUAUUAAAGCCUCAAAUUUUUUAAUAAGCUUGUAAUCCUUUUGUGCAGUUUUACCUAGCAUAUCUGAUAUUCGUUGUGAGGUUCCCGAACUUAGAGGAGAUAACUUUAAGAUAUGGAAGGAGAGAAUUCUUCUUCAAUUAGGGUGCAUGGACAUAGAUUAUGCUAUAAGGAAAGAUGAACCACAUAAGAUCAUUGAUACCAACACACUUGAAGAAAUAUUAUUGUACGAACACUGGGAGAAAUCUAAUCGCCUUAGCGUGAUGUACAUUAAGACAAAAAUCAGUGCUGGUAUACGUGGUUCAAUCGAGCAACAUGAGAAUGUCUGUGAAUUGCUAAAGGCUAUUGGCGAGCAAUUCGUCACUUCAGAUAAAGCCUUGGCAAGCACCCUAAUUAUGAAGUUCACAUCCCUGAAGCUCACCGGUAUAAGAGGUGUGCGUGAACAUAUCAUGGAGAUGAGGGACAUUGUGGCUCAAUUGAAGAAACUCGAGGUAGAAAUGUCUGAAUCUUUCUUGGUGCACUUUAUCCUUAACACUCUUCCACCUCAAUAUGGACCUUUCAAAAUCUCUUACAACACACAUAAGGAUAAGUGGUCUAUUAAUGAAUUGAUGACCAUGUGUGUUCAAGAGGAAGGAAGGUUAUUGAUGGAACAGGGAGAAAGUGCCAUGCUGGUGAUGCAAAGGAAAGGAAAGAAAGGAAAAUCUCAAGCUAGUCAGAAAGGGAAGCAACAAAUUCCUCCCAAAUCUGACAUUAAGAAAGACGAAAAGUGUUUUUCUGUAAAAAAAAAGGACACGUGAAGAAGAAGUGUCUGAAAUUUCAGAAUUGGCUUGAGAAGAAAGGUAACCCUACCUCAUUUGUUUGCUAUGAAUCUAAUAUGGUUAAUGUAAACACCAACACAUGGUGGAUUGAUUCUGGAUCUACAAUCCACAUUUCAAAUUCCUUGCAGGGUAUGCAAAACUAAGGAAGCCAAUGACAAGUGAGCAAUUCAUCUUAUCCGGAAACAAGAUGGGCUCGCAUGUGGAAGCAAUAGGGACAUGUUAUUUAACUUUAUAUGGUGGUUUUAUUUUGGAAUUGCAAAGGACCUUUUAUGUACCAAGUUUCUCACGAAACUUGAUUUCAGUUUCUAGACUUGUACCGUUUGGAUAUUCCUUUCAUUUUUCAGAAACAUCUUUCAGUUUGAUUUAUAAAUCUGAAUGUGUUGGGAAUGUUAUCUUGUCUGAUGGUCUUUAUUGUAUAUUAUUACAAAAUGAUACCGCUCAUAAUUCAUUACAUGUCCAAACUGGCAUUAAGAGAUGUGUUGUAAAAGAGGAUUCCUCUACAUUGUGGCACCAGAGAUUAGGUCAUAUCUCCAUAGAUAGAAUCAAAAGAUUGGUGAAUGAUGGGGUACUUAGUACUCUAGAUUUUACUGACUUUGAGACUUGUGUGGACUGCAUUAAGGGUAAGUAGACCAAUAAGUCAAAAAGAGGUGCUACUAGGAAUUCCAGCAUACUAGAGAUCAUACAUACUGAUAUAUGUAGUCUUGACAUGGACUCUCAUGGUCAGAAAUACUUCAUCUCUUUCAUAGAUGAUUUCUCACGAUACAUGUAUCUCUACAUAUUUCAUAAUAAAAAUGAAGCUUUAGAUGCCUUUAAAGUCUUCAAGGCAGAAGUAGAGAAACAAUAUGGUAAACAAAUUAAGAUUGUGAGAUCAGAUAAAGGUGGAGAAUAUUAUGGUAGAUACUUGGAAGAUGGACAAUCACCUGGGCCAUUUGCGAAGUUUCUUCAAGAGCAUGGGAUUGUUGCCCAAUACACCAUGUCUGGUUCUCCAGACCAAAAUGGUGUAGCAGAAAGAAGAAACCGAACUUUAUUGGACAUGGUGAGGAGUAUGCUUAGCAGCUCAAAACUUCCUAAAUUCUUGUGGACUGAAGCACUUAAUACAGCAGUGUAUAUAUUAAACCGAGUUCCAACCAAGGUUGUCCCAAAGACGCCAUUUGAGUUAUUGAAAUGUUGGAAACCGAGUUUGCGACAUAUGCGCGUUUGGGGAUGCUCGUCUGAAGUGAGAAUUUAUAAUCCACAAGAGAAGAAACUGGACCCAAGGACUAUUAGUGGGUAUUUCAUUGGAUAUGUUGAAAAGUCUAAGGGGUACAGAUUUUACUGUCCAUCUCAUAGUAUUAGGAUUGUGGAAUCAAGAAAUGCUAAAUUUCUUGAAUAUGACUUGGUCAGUGGGAGCGAUCAAUUUAGAAACAUAGUUUCUGAUAUUGAUCAUACAGAGUCUCAACCUUCCACUUCAAGUGAUAGAUUGUUUAUUGUUCAUAACACCCCUCAAGUACAAUCGGGUGUAGAACGAACAAUCACUGAAGUUCAACCAGUUGUUGAAGUUCCACAAGCUGUUGACAACAUUCCAGUAGAUCAAGUUGAUCAGGAGUUUCCUGAUACUUCUGGACAACAAGUUGAACCUCAUACUUCCUUAGAAGAUAUUGGUGCAACCUUAAGAAGGUCUACUCAAACUAAGAGGUCAGCAAUUCCUAAUGAUUAUGUAGUGUAUCUACAGGAAUGUGACUACAAUAUAGGAGCCGAAAAUGAUCCCGAAUCAUUUUCACAAGCCAUGAGUUGCAAAGAAUCAGAAUUGUGGUACAAUGCCAUGAAGGAUGAGAUGAGUUCCAUGAAGUGCAACGAUGUUUGGGACCUUGUUGAGUUGCCUAAUGGUGCAAAAACCAUUGGUUGUUAAUGGGUUUUUAAGACAAAGAAAGACUCAUUAGGCAACAUUGAGAGAUACAAGGCCAGACUUGUUGCAAAGGGGUUCACUCAGAAAGAAGGAAUCGAUUACACGGAAACUUUUUCUCCUGUAUCUAAGAAAGAUUCCUUACACAUUAUAUUGGCAUUAGUAGCCCACUUUGAUUUGGAAUUGCAACAAAUGGAUGUGAAAACAACAUUUCUUAAUGGAGAGCUAGAGGAGGAGGUUUACAUGAAACAACCUGAAGGAUUCCCCUCUAGUGAUGGUGAGCAAUUGGUUUGUAAGCUUAAGAAAUCCAUAUAAGGUUUAAAACAAGCAUCCCGCCAAUGGUAUUUAAAAUUUCAUAACAUAAUUUCUUCAUUUGGUUUUGAAGAAAAUGUUAUGGAUCAAUGCAUAUACCUUAAGGUCAGUGGGAGUAAAGUUUGUUUUCUUGUUUUAUACGUGGAUGACAUCUUACUUGCAACCAAUGAUAAGGGUUUACUUCAUGAGGUGAAACAAUUCCUCUCUAAAAUUUUUGACAUGAAGGAUAUGGGUGAGGCAUCUUAUGUCAUUGGCAUUAAGAUCCAUAGAGACAGAUUUAAAGGUAUCUUAGGUUUGUCUCAAGAAACCUAUAUCAAUAAAGUUUUAAAGAGAUUUCAGAUGAAGAAUUGUUCACCUAGUGUUUCUCCUAUAGUGAAGGGUGAUAGGUUCAAUCUGAACCAAUGCCCGAAAAACGAUCUUGAGAGGGAACAAAUGAAGAACAUUCCAUAUGCUUCUGCAGUCGGAAGUUUGAUGUAUGCUCAAGUCUGCACAAGGCCUGACAUUGCAUUUGCUGUUGGAAUGUUAGGACGAUAUCAGAGUAACCCAGGUAUAGACCACUGGAAAGCUGCAAAGAAAGUGAUGAGAUGUCUUCAAGGAACCAAAUAUUACAAGCUUAUGCACAGACGAACAAGCAAUUUAGAGGUAGUUGGCUACUCAGAUUCAGACUUUGCUGGCUGUGUUGAUUCACGUAAAUCAACAUUUGGAUACAUUUUUAUAUUGGCCGGUGGAGCUAUAUCUUGGAGGAGCGUUAAGCAGACCAUGACUGCUACUUCUACUAUGGAAGCUGAGUUCAUAUCUUGUUUUGAGGCUACUUCACAUGGUGUAUGGCUUAAGAGUUUCAUUUUCGGGCUUAGAGUUAUGGAUUCAAUAUCUAGGCCAUUGAGUAUAUAUUACGACAAUUCAGCUGCAGUCUUUAUGGCAAAGAACAAUAAAAGUGGAAGUCGAAGCAAGCACAUCGACAUUAAGUAUCUAGUCAUAAGAGAACGUGUUAAAGAAAAGAAAGUGGUUAUUGAGCACAUUAGCACUGAAUUGAUGAUCGUUGAUCCUUUGACUAAGGGCAUGCUACCAUUGAAAUUCAAGGAUCAUGUAGUGAACAUGGGACUUAGUUCCCUUAUGUAGUUUCUAUUGUACAAACUCUUAUUAUGAUGUUUUCUCAUAUUGAUGCGCACUUUUUAUUUAAUUUUGAGAAAAUUCAACUUCAUUGGACCAAGAAUGAACAUAGGGUUUAUUCAUUAAGUAAUAUUGCCACAUAAAGUAUAAUGUUAAGAAAUGAGUACACUGUAAUACAUGGAAGGUAACACUCGUUAAAUAGAGAACUUAUCGCCAUGAUUCAUGUAUUUGUUACUUAAUGGGACAAUUGAUGGACUAAAUUAGGACAUUAGGUUAAAGGUGUGGACCAAGUGGGAGAAUGUAAGCUGAAUACACGUUCACACGUUCUCACUUCAUAAUGUGGUCCAACACUUUGACCACGUCCUCCACCAUCUCACUUCCGCUGCGGUUAAGGAGCACGUUCCACCAACUGCUCAACAUGGUGGCAAGAGCAACGUGGUUUGAUGGAAGCCACUGUUACAAAGUUUUCAGAAAAUGGUCCCGAACUCACUCUGCUAUUAUCUUCAGAAACACCAUCUAAAAAAGAGAGAUUAGAGUUUGGAAACCAAAGGUUGAACCGAUUCCAACAGCUUGACUUUUACAGAUUGAAUUCAUGUUGUAAGUGUUCAUUGAAUUGUUUAUAUGCAUUAUGAACUGGUUACAGAACCCUCUCCCAGACUUAACUGGCGCACCUUUUAAGUGCGCCAAGGAAAAGAAAGAGUUGUGGCUCAACCCCAUCAAGGAUUGAUAGGCAUACUCUGUCCACUAAAGAUUAAAUGUGUUAGCACAUCUCUUAUCUCCCUCCAUGAACAAAUGGCGCAUUUAAUUAUACAUACACUGUAAGCAUUGGGCUGCCUAUCCGAUGGUGCAAUUCAAAAGCUGUGGCACGCUUGGUCAACGUAUGAGAAGCAUCCACUUGCAUCCAACAAUCUUGCAUGGGUGGGGCACACCCAACCUAAGUGUUCUCGAAGUUUGGAUGGUGUUGGAGCUGUUCUUUCCAAACUUCCAGCUUCUUCUUGUCUCACGUUCACCUGCAAUGCAAGGUUUACCCGGUGAAGCCCCGGGCAGACACCUCCGAUGGUUAAGUCUGUUGGAGUGUGAUAAGCCAACUUCUUUUUAAUUUUUCUUCUUAGCUGUGUUCUUAUACAUCUCUUCACUUACCGCCGGGACCGGAGAUAAUGGGGGCAUUUUCACCACAUCACUAGCUACCCACUUUGCCACCUUCUCAUGGCAGCAACCUUUUGGGCUAACCGCUCCCACCAUUUUUGGCGUCUAACCCCAAGACCUUUCACAUAACUUACCAUAUUUCUUUCUGGGCCAGAGACUCUGUCUAGUCCUCCAAAUUCAGCUCUUAAUUUUAAAUGCUUGGGCCCAGGCCCAUUGCUCCAAAUCUGUGAGGGGUACCCACAGAUGGCUACCACCAUACAUUCUACUGCAACCUUAUUCAUCAAGAUGUGAACCAAUCAUGAAAACAAGGGAAGCAAUUUAGAAAAAGGAAUGGGGCCUCACAAGAUAUUUGGUGGAGAAUUUGUUCUGCUACCAUCUCUGAAAGGAUCAAAGGUUGACUAAUUUUAGGCUGGCAACCAGUAGUAUUCUAGAAAUAGAGAAGGGAAAUUUGAGGAAAAGUCAUCAUUUUCCUUCUCAAAUUUCCUUGGAGGGGUGUUCUAGAAUAUAGAAUAUAGAAGAUAUUUUUUCUUAUCCCUUGGAGGGGUGUUUUUAGUUUUUCUUCUUGAAAUACUUUGCAGGUACAAAACUGUAUGAGCUUUUUGUUCAUGGAGUUCUAUGGGAUUCUUCGAAAAUGAAUGAAAUUCAAUUUUAAAAGAAGUCUUUUGUUUCUUUGCUUGAGUAAUUUUUUACCUUAAGUUUAAUUUCCCUCGCAUGUUCUAUCCAUGAAGCACUAAUUCACUUUACUGUUGUGGGUUGAAAGGGGUUGUAUCCCUUGCAACUCAAUUUAGUCCUCAAUGGUUUCAAAGGGUAGCGGAUAGGGAGGUGAAGUUCAUGAUUGUAGCAAAUGCAUGCAUGUUGUAGCAUUCUGAGAGCCCUAAGCUAAGCAACUCCAUGAGCAUGCUUGUACCUUAUAUAUUUAGCUUCCACUUCUCUACUAGGUGUUACACCGAAAAACGAAAAUAGGCAAUAAGAAAAUAUGAAUAAUUUAUGUGAAAAAUCCUAAACAAAAAAACUAAGGAUAAAGGAGAAGAAAAUCCACUAUAUUAAAAAGUGGUACAAAAAUAGAAAGAAUCCAACUACUAUUGGGUUAAAGUAUAAUUUUUCUUCACCAUAUAUAUCAUACCACAAAGUUUUCAAGUCAAACCAAAAAACAAUUCAUAUCAUCAAGCUCUAACAUUGAAAAAAGAUGAAAACAAAUCUUUGUAUAAUGGUUAUGGGAGUAACUUUAAAUCUUAAAAUUCUCAUUCAAGCUUUUUCAAAUGAAAUAUAUUAAUAUUAAGUUUCAUUUAAAUAAUUUAUUCUUUCGCUGAUAUAACAAUGAGUUGAAAUUUAGACUUGUUCAAUUUGUUUAUGUCAAACAUUCAAAUCUAAAGUACAUAUAACAAAAUAUCAUGGGAAUUUAUAAUAUAAGCAAUUUUUAUGCAAAGAGCCAAAUUGUAAAGAAUAGAAUAUUAUUUCGAAAGAGAUCCAAAUCAAGUCGUUGUUUUUAAUAAAUUAAAAAAAAAAAUGUUUCAUUUGGGGGAAAAAUGAAAAAAGAGCGACUGAAUCAAAUAAAUUGCUCAACCGGCAAAGCUGAGCUGGUCAACUUGACUUGCUUAUAUUGACGCAAUUGGGGGAAAAAUGUCAGAUUGGGGGGCGGAUUAGGUCAUUUGGGGGGUGCCGGGUGUAGAUGGAAGAAAGAAGUACAUAUGUGAUAAUAACUGGAGGGUUGACGUUGUCUGUGAGAGCAACUGAUGAUGACAACUGCAUGAUAACAUAAAUAAAUAAUUUAACUGAUGAUGAGGUAGAGUGGCUUAAAAUAAAUAAUUAUGAAGAUUUCAUUUUAUUAUUUUAAAUAAAUCAAACUUUCAUUAAUUAUUUUUUUAUCAUAUUAAAUUAAUUUAAAUUAGAUUUAAGAGUUUUUAAUGUAGGUUUAUUAUUUAAAAACGUGAUUUGUGACAAGUUAUUUCCUUUGAAACAUUUAUAAAUAAUUUAAACUAAUUAAAAUAAUAUAUAAAAUGACAUAAUAUACCAAUCAAGAAUAUGAUAUUAAUCAUAAUAUUUAUAAUGGACACAUCAUAUCAAAUAAAUUAUCCAAUUUUUAUUAUAUUAAUAGAUAAAUUGAAGUUUUUAUGGUAAAUUUAGAUAUGUUUGAUAUCAAUAAUAUUAUAAUGUUUAAAAAUUAAUUUAAUUACUAAGUUGUGUUUGGUUUAAAAACCAUUUUUUAGUUUUCAUUUUCCAUUUUCAUUUAUGUUUUUUCUUUUCUUAAAAAUAUCUUGUUUGAUUUUAAGCUUUCGUGAAUAUAAAAACUUGUGAAAAAGUAAGCUUUGUUGUUGGUACUCUUUAAUAUUAAUUGAAUAUGACUAAGUUGCGUUGACAAAGGGUACGAUGGGCAAGUAAUAUGCAAGGGUCAAUGGUCUUUAAUGUCUGGACGCGUGAAUAACAACUUCGCUGAUCGCCUACCAUUCCCAUAGCCUCAUGCCUUAUAUAUUUCCACAAACCUAGCUCAAUUUUCAUAUCCACCUUCACUGUCCUAUACUCACAAGCCAUGGCCAUAGAUACAAGCCUCUUGCCUGAGCUUGCUGCAGCAACUCUUCUCUUCUUCAUCACCCGCUUCUUCAUUCGUUCUCUCUUUCCCAAACCUUCCCGGAAGCUCCCUCCUGGCCCCAGAGGGUGGCCGCUCCUCGGCGCUCUUCCUCUUCUAGGUAACAUGCCUCAUGUUGCACUAGCAAAGAUGGCCAAAAGAUACGGACCUGUCAUGUUCUUGAAAAUGGGCACUAACAGCAUGGUGGUGGCCUCAACUCCGGAGGCAGCUCGGGCUUUCCUUAAAACCCUAGACAUUAAUUUCUCGAACCGCCCGCCUAAUGCCGGUGCAACACACUUGGCCUAUGGUGCCCAAGACAUGGUUUUUGCGGAUUAUGGGCCAAGGUGGAAGCUCCUGAGAAAGCUAAGCAACUUACACAUGCUUGGUGGGAAGGCUCUUGAGGACUCGUCUCAGGUUCGAACUGUUGAGCUAGGUCACAUGCUUCGAGCCAUGCUUGAGUUGAGCCAGCGAGAGGAGCCGGUGGUGGUGCCGGAGAUGUUAUCUUUUUCCAUCGCCAACAUAAUAGGGCAAGUGAUACUAAGCCGCCGGGUGUUUGAAACAAAAGGGUCGGAGUCAAAUGAGUUCAAGGACAUGGUGGUGGAGCUCAUGACCUGUGCUGGGUACUUCAAUAUUGGCGAUUUUAUUCCGUCCAUUGCAUGGAUGGACAUCCAAGGGAUCGAGCGCGGGAUGAAGCAUCUACAUAAGAAGUUCGACAAGUUAUUGACAAGGAUGAUAGAGGAGCACACGGCAUCAGCCCAUGAGCGCAAGGGAAACCCAGAUUUUCUGGACGUAGUCAUGGGCCAUCAAGAAAAUACUACAGGGGAGAAGCUCACCCUUUCCAACAUUAAGGCGCUCCUCCAGGUACUUAUAGUUAGAACUCAUCUCUAAUUUUAUUUAAAAAUAACUUUUGUAAGUUAUGAUUUUUUAUUCCAUAUUUAUCUUUUUGUAAAAUAAAGAUUUUUAUUUUUAAAUAAAUUUAUACUAAAAUGUUUCCUUUUCUUUUUUUUGGAAUCAAUAUUUUUUAUUAUUAGUUCCUUCAUGUUAAGAAAUUAAAAUUCUAAAAAUUAGUUGAUGUUUGGAAGUUAUGUUAAAUUAAAUUCUAUUUUUACUUUAUUUAUGUUAAAAUUAAAUUUCCUUUAAAAUAAAAUCUUUUUAUAUUUAUUUAAUUAAUACAAUAAAAUUAGAAUUUGAAAUAAACUCUAUCUAAUUUAUUUAUAAGUGCUAAUUUUUUUUAAUAAAGAGUUAAUGAAAAAACUGAAAAAUCAAGAUUAUAUUUUUUGAAAUGACAUUGAUAAAUAAAAAUAAAAAUGGUUAUGAAGAAAACUGAUUAAAGAAUUUAAAAUUUUUUCCUUAUUAUUUACUAUUUAAAAUAAUUGAUGGUUAAAAAAUAAUUAUUACAUUUUUAUAAAAUAAAAAAUGACAAUAUUUUUUUUAAUAAUUUUAACACUCAUUAUUAAAUAAAGAUUCAAUCACUUCGUCUAAACAUUAUAUUUUUAUUUNNNNNNNNNNNNNNNNNNNNNNNNNNNNNNNNNNNNNNNNNNNNNNNNNNNNNNNNNNNNNNNNNNNNNNNNNNNNNNNNNNNNNNNNNNNNNNNNNNNNUCUCUUCUUCAUCACCCGCUUCUUCAUUUGUUCUCUC